Molecule: long non-coding RNA, 219718 nt
Filed under: Eucalyptus grandis
Lineage: Eukaryota; Viridiplantae; Streptophyta; Magnoliopsida; Myrtales; Myrtaceae
Description: long non-coding RNA (EGRA_LNC005159)
Source: RNAcentral
UCAAAGGGAAUUGAGAUUUGCUAAUAUUUAUGCAAAUGAACGAUGUUCAAUUGUAACCUUUUUUCUCUUCCAGUGGACAAAUAAACAUCUGCUCAUGCUUAAAAGUGGAGAAAACAUGUUUGUGAAGUUCAAGUCAUCAUUUCGCAGACCAUUUCUGUGUUCAGCAUUCAUGUUUGUUCAGUGACGUUUUUCUUUGGUUAACGUGUAGGGGUCGUCAUGAAUCUAAAAUAACUGAAGAGGAUGAAGAUGAAGAAUGUCUUAAGGGGGAGGAAGAUGGCUUGUCUGGUACAGGAAACACGCGGCUGCUGACACGACCCUCUUGUAAUCUCUCUCUCUCUCUCUCGUUUGAUUGAAAGAAGGAUAGUCUUUGCUGCUUAUACCUCUCCUGUACCCCUGCUCUGACUUGUAGAAGCUGUAAUGUUUGCUGCAAUUUCAGAAUGCUACGUAAUGUGGGAUUGUCAAUGUUCUUGGUGCUGACAUGAUUCCUCAUCACUAACAAUUAUAGUACUCCAAGUACUUACUUUGGUGUUGACUAAGUAGAGGUUUUUGACAUCUCUUCCCGGCCCUUGUCUAGGCAGGAACCUCUUGCACUGGGCACAAACCUUUAUUAUAUUGUCGUCUUGCUCCAGAAAGAUUCUGUUUUGCUCUGAUUUCUGCAAUUAUCUUGCCAACAGGAUAUCUCCAGCAAAUAUGAGUUAACUGCUUUCUUAAGUUCUAUUUGUAUGCUUUUUCGCAGGUAUACAAGGGAAGAUGAGGGAUUACCAGCUUGGUGGAUUGAAUCGGCUCAUAGGAUUGUAUGAGAAUGGCAUUAACGGAAUACUUGCUGAUGAAAUGGUAGGUCACGGGCUGCAGCAUUUAGAUGUGUGUAGUAUGGAAGCUGGAAAGGCUAGAAGAUGCAGAGCUUAGAGAAAAUUUGCUUAUAAAAAUUCCAAUGAUAUCUUGGAGAUAUUCAUCUUGUGAGAUCUUGAAAUUGACAUGUGCUGAGAUAACCAAUCAGCGUGGCUCCCGGAAAGUCUUAUAUGUCUACAAUAUUCAUACCGGGUUGAUGAUGGCAUUCCUGGUCUCUCCAACUUGAAAAGCUUGAGAGAUUUGUCCUGGGAAAGCCAAAACUCUCUCCCAGUUGACUAGGAACUUGAAAAGAUCGUGGAAAAUUCUAUCCCUGGUGGAUUAGUAGGUUAGACACAUUGCAGUCUUUAAAGUUGUCCUCUUCGAUAAUGACCACCUUAUCACUAGAUAUUCCACAACUUUCUCAUCUCUACAGAGUUGAACUUUGUUGGGAAUGUCUGCAGUGCCUCCCGAGGCUUCCCUCAAGUUUACCGUCCAUAUAUAUUAGAUAUUUCCUAUCAAUGCGUACAUUGAUAGACCUAUCAAACUUGAAGAAAUUAUGAGAACUUUGAGUAUUGCGCACUUACAGAGAUCCAAAGCCUUGAAAGUCUGGAGACUCUUAGAAAUUUGGAGCUGAACGAAUACCACUGACUGGACAAAUUGGCCGACUGAGUGGCUUGAAGAAACUAAUGGCUUUUCAUUUACAUCAUCGCAGUGAUCUGGUUGACCGGAAUCACCGGCCAAUUUUUCUAUCUUCUCCAGCAACUUUGUCCUGAAGUUUCUAAUGUUUCAGAGUGGAAGAAAUUAAUAUGAAUAGGCAUCCACCCCCGGAGAUUUGAAAAUUCAACACAUUAUAGAGUUGCUUGAUUAAAUUUGGCAAAUUUCUGCAAAAGAAAGAAGAAUGUACACCUGCUCUGUCAAGUACUUUUUUUCUGAUAAGAGGUGCUUCCCAUUCUGUUGUACAAUAUGUGUAACAAAGAGGUUUAUGUAAAUCUUCUUUUUCAGUUCACUUUGCAUGUUGACUAGUGAUGGUUCUGCAAGUACCCUUGUUCAGAUUUUCUCUAUUUUAAUUUGGUUUUGUUUAGAUAUUUUAAUGGCUUUGAAUUGCUAACUAACUUACCUAACGAGGUCAGGUCAAAUUAUAUGAACUCCAAGUGCAUUAUUUUGUCAAUUUACCAGGUGAUGAUUUAUUUGAGGCAUCUUAUAAAUUGCUGCUUCGUUUUACUGAAUUUGAAACUGGUCGAUGCCCAUGCUUCACAUAGGAGAACUUUAAAGUAGCUGUUACAAUGUGUAUGAAAGUAUCUGAGCACUUGUGGCAUUACCUCUACAGCAAUAACUAACACAAAAUUGCGACAUGAAGAAGAUGGACGAUCUACAUAGGUAAACACAUAUAUAGUUUGGAUUUUGGGUAAAGCAUGUUCCUUAAUUGGAUUCACACAAGAUGAAGAGAAGUGGUAACGAUUCUUAAAUAUAUUAAAUAAAUGUUUCCAGUUGCAACUUGGUCCGACAUUAUCUAAUGUUGAAGUAAAUAUGAAAUAAUGACCCAAAUCGUCAAAUUUCAAAUGAAUAGAAGUGUGGCAAAACUUUUUCCAAGUCUAAAAAUUUAACAUGGAAUAAUCUCGCACUGUCUACAAGUUCUUAUCAUUUUGCCUCUUUUUUUAUAUCUUUCGUAAUAGAUAAUCCACAAGCAUUAACCAAGAUAAUGAAGAGCCACACCUUCGAAAACACUAUUUGAAAUAGAGAACUUUCGUACUUGAGAUAAGCAGGAGUCAAUUUUGUAUUUUUUAUUUAAUCAUUAUAGUCAUUGGAGAGGCGUCACAAAACUUUGGCCAAUCACUAAAGAGGCUUCCGAGUUUGAUUGAGAAUUUGGAAAGGCUAAUUGAGUUGGUUUCCGAAUGGGAUCUAACUGGUCACAUCAAGUUUGUGAGCUUAUUUACCGGACUUGUUAGUGGCCCAAAGUUCUAAUACAACACUCAUGAAUGAUUUUCCCAUCUACAUUGACACAAAACUGUGCUUAUACAUUGGUUUUGUGUACUCUACUUUAAUAGUGUUUUGUAUAAUAAUCAGCACAAAGCAUGGAUAUAUAGGGGUUAAAUGCGAAGGUUGGUUUACCUCUAAAUAUAUGUGAUUUUUAUAAUUUGAUUGAUCACUAAGGGAGUGUCUUCGAUGAAGAUCAAGCUCGGUAAUUCCACCGGGCUUUAUGGUUUGAUGUCAAUUUAGGCCUGAGCCCUCUUUGCCCAUUAGGCUCAGAGAACAGGAGUUCCCCUUGAUUAAAUUUUUUUUUGGGGGGGGGGGGGGGUGGGGGGUUGGCGGGCAGCGAACUUGUUUGGAAGUUCCAUGUUUGCUUUGUCAACUUUGACUUUGAAUGAAUCUGCCCAUUUAUUUGAAGGCAAAAGUGGAUUCUCAUCCACAAAAUUUUGCACCAGUGAUUUCCGUGUCAAAGAAAUGUAAAUAAUUGUCAACUUUAACAAGUUGGAGUGAUGCUUCCAGGAAGCAUCUCUACUGACUGAUUUGAUAGCAAAACUGGCCAACGACUCUCUCUCAAUAUUUAGCCAAUCUUAUGGCUUCUUCUAAGUUCAAUGACCAACCGAAAAGUCAUUCAAAAAAUCUUCAUUUUUAGUACCUUAAGAUUAUGUAGUAUAAGAACAAAGGUCUUGAUAGUUAAGGCCCACAUCUAUGCAAAAAGUCUUUCUUUUCCUUUAAAAAAGUAGGAGUUAGGCAGUUCACUUAGGAUUUUUUUUUUUUGGGAGGGAGGGGGGUGGGAUGAACUUGUUUGGAAGUUCCGUGUUUGCUUUGUUGACUUUGACUUUGAAUGAAUUUGCCCAUAUAUUUUGGGGCAAAAGUAGAUUCUCAUCCCCAAAAUUUUUACACCACAUAUUAAGUGAUUUCCACAUCAAAGAAACAUAAAUAAUUGUCAACUUUGAUGGGCUGGAGUGAUGCUUCCAAGGAGCAUCCCUACUGAUCAAUUUGGCAACAAAACUGGCCCACAACUCUCUCUGCAUAUUCAGUCAAUGCUGUGGCUUCUUCUAAGUUCAAUGACCUAUCGAAAAGUCAUUAAAAAAAAUCUUCAUUUUUAGUACCUUAAGAUUCUGUGGUGUAGGAAUAAAGGUCUUGAUAGUGAAGGCCCACAUCUAUAUAAAAAGUCUUUCUUUUCCUUUAAAAGGAGUAGGAGUUUGGUAAUGUGAUCCCAUCAAUUUUCUCUUCUCCCUCGAGCUUCUAAGCUAUAAUGGAGAAAGCUCAAUUUUCGAUUGGAAUGGAACGAGUCUGAUUUCAAAAAAAUUUGCAACAAACUUGUUUGGAAGAUCUGUGUCUGCUUUGUUGACUUUGACUUUGAAUGAAUCUGCCCAUUUAUUUGGGGGCAAAAGUGGAUUCUCAUCUCCAAAAUUUCUACACCAUAUAAUAAGUGAUUCCCGUGUCAAAUAAACGGAAAUAAUUGUCAACUUUGACGAGCUGGAGUGAUGCUUCCUGGAAGCAUCCCUACCGACCGAUUUGGCAGCAAAUUUGACCCACGACUCUCUCUACAUAUUUAGCCAAUCUUGUGGCUUCUUUUAAGUUCAAUGACCUAUCAAAAAGUCAUGGGAAAAAUCUCAAAUAAGGACCCAAAGUGGCUAACAAGUCUCAAAUAAGGACCCAAACCCACUAGCCGACAAUCGUGUGACAUUUCCAGUGGCCAAAAUAUGGGCAAUUUUGUCCACAAAAAAAUAGAUAGAAAUUAACAAACCCUAAAGACAAAACCCCCCCAACUCUUCACGUUAUUUUGACCUAAAAAAAACUCUUUAUGUUCUCACGUAUUUCUUCUUCUGCUCUUCAUCUUCUCCGUUCUUUGUCCUCUCUCGCUUGGAGCACCGAAAUUUUCUGUUAAUGGAACACGAAUUGAAAUACAACAAGAAACCCCUACCUUCAUUUCUUCACAUCUUCUUCUUUUGUUUUCUUUCUUUGUUUCUUUCCAACGAAGAAGACAAAUCUUGAGUAAAGCCGCAUUUUCGUUAUUGAGACACUCGUGCGUAACAUGAGGGCCUCGAUUCUUCAUUAUCUUUUCCUAGGUUCGCCAUAUACUUUGAUUCACACUCCCGUUCAACCGAGGUCAGUUUCGUUCAAAUUGGUGCACAUAUUAAGUGAUUUCCCAUCAAAGAAAUGUAAAUAAUUGUCAACUUUGAUGGGCUGGAGCGAUGCUUCCAAGAAGCAUCCUUACUGAUCGAUUUGGCAGCAAAACUGGCCCACAACUCUCUCUACAUAUUCAGUCAAUGCUAUGGCUUCUUCUUGUGAAUGCUAGUAUGAGCACCUAAAUGGGGUGAAUAGGUGCGAAAACAAACUUUUGAGAAGUAUAGUGUAAAAUUUUACUUUUAAUCUGAGUUUGUUUAAUAGUAGACUUUAAAAUAGAAACGAGACUCUAACAAUUAAAUAAAGUUACGAGUAAAGUAAAAGAGUUUAGGGAAGAGAAUAAGAACACAAGAUCUAUAGUGGUUCGGCUUAAUCCAAGCCUACGUCCACUCUCCCGCACUGAUAGCCCACCGGCUAGAUUUCACUAUGAAUCAAAAGAGUCGUUACAGUAUCACGUCCUUGAUUCCACAGUGUAGAGACUCUGCUACAUUUCCUCAAGGUCUCACAAAUGUAUAAACCCUUUUUUGAGUACAAGUUUACACUUAACAAUUGAAUUGGCAAAAAAUAAGGAGUUUUAGACUUUGAAAUUUAUCUAUCGCGCACACUCUCGAAUAACUAGAACAUCUUCCUUAUAUACUCCUCCAUGCCUUCAUAACCGUUAACACUUUCCAAAUGAGCUUUUCCAAUCUACCCAUUGGAUAGAAUCAAUUAGGGAGAUCUCAAGUUAUUUAAGGAAUAUGAUGAUAGCUCACCAAUCAUGCUCGCCCAUACAAUCGGGAUCUAGGUUUUCAUAAGUAGAACCUUCUAAGUAUGUUUCGCUAAUCAACGGAUCCAAAAUACUCGAAUUAAAACCAAGACGAAUAAAAGAUUCCGAGAUGCUAUAUCUAGCCGAGAGAUCUUCUUUAGUUGAUAGAAUCAAAUCCUUAAAGAAAUACUCAAUUCUAGAUAAGUCUUCUUUGACGAUUUAAAAACUGUCAAUGAUGGUAGACUUUGAAUCUUGAGUCUGGUGGUUUAGCGGUCUUCAGACUUUGACGAAAGAGUCUGCAAGUCUUCAGACUAGACUGAUGGAAACGUUUUGUCAGCUUCAAAACAAAUACAGAAGUUUUCUCCAACAAUCUCUCCCUUUUUGAUGGUGACAAAACUUUUCUGCAGAUUUGGAUAUUUUUGACUUGCAAGACAAUACUCAAGCAAACAUGGAUAUCUUACAAAAGAGAAUUGGCUUAGUAAAAAUAGCAUUAAAUCUGCAUCCAUAGGAAAUAAGUAAGUUAGUCCUGUAAAUAAACAACUAUCUUUGCCAUGAAAUACCAACAGUGCUUAAGAUACUGCAGCAAACAUUUAGACGAUCAAACAAUCCAAAUCCAGUCACAACCAAACAUCCAAACAAAAGUAAAGUCAAUCAAAAGUAAACAUUUAAACGAUCAAACAAUCCAAAUCCAGUCACAACCAAACAUCCACAGAAAAGUAAAAGUCAAUCAAAAGUAAACAUUUAAAUGAUCAAACAAUCCAAAUCCAAUCACAACCAAACAUCCAAAUAAAAGUAAAGUCAAUCAAAAGUCAAGUCAAACAAGAGUCAAAUCUCAAAUAUGCACUAUCUCCCCCUUUUUGUCAGCAUUAAAAAGGUAGAGACGAAAAAAGAAUAAAAUUAGAAUUGCUUUGGAACGCGAACAAGCUGUAAAUCUCCCAUCGAUUGGACAAUCCCUUCCAGCUUUUUCAAAUCCUCCUUCAGUUGAGCUACUUCUUCACCCUUGGCAGUUGCUUUAACUUGAAGAGCAAGGGCAUGAAUUUGAUCAUGUAAGGAAACUGAAGAGGCUUGACCUGCAUUCUGCAAGUUUUGAACUUCGCAUCCCAGGGUAUAAAUCUGGCCUCGCAUCUCCAUAAGAAUAUCAAGCAGUCUUCGAAAGUCUGCUGAAUUAUCAGUCUGAGUGCUUGCUUUUGCAUGAUCAGUAGGAAUAUUGGCAGAUGAUGGCAAGUCAGCAUGAGCAACCAUAUUUGGCGAUGAAACCUCAUGACCUUCCUCAGGAAAUUAAGAGGCAUAUAUAUCCUCUGGAUUUGCAGGUGAACAGCUAACAUCUUCACUAGUAAAAGCAAUUGAAGAGGUACCUCUUUUCUUAGCAACUCCCCCUGUUUCAUUGCCUUCAGGCGGUGAGAAGUACUCUUCAUGCUCUGUUUCCUCUUGUUCACCUCUGCCAUUUUCUUCUUCUUCUGCAGUCUUUUCUUCAUUUGCUUCUUUUCUCAUCGAUUCUCUCUCUCUCCACUCCUUUGCUUGGACUCUUCUCUGUCUUAAUCCUCUCUCUCCUCUGUCCCUGGAACAAAACGAUAUAAGUUUCUCAAUGCAAGAGCGGAAAUUGUGAUAUCUUUCUUAUCUUCUUCAUCCUCCAAGAUGAGUAGUCUUCUUUUCUUGGAUGGAGCAGUCAAUGGCUCUUUCCCUUUCCGUUUUGCAGCCGAAGAAACUUGGUGAGUCUUGAUAGGGGUAAAUUGCUCCAAAGCUUUGUUAAGCUCUUUCAGACGCAUUUUGGAAUCCAUUUUCAGUCCCACCACCAUUUGAUCAUAGGUAAGGACACAUAGAAUCUUGGGAGGCUGAAUAUUCAAAUGUCUGAAUAACUUUGUAACAAGCGCUGAGUAAGGAAGUUGGCCCUUGUCUUUCACCAUCUUUCUAUACAUGUGAAACAUGAUAGUGUGAGGCAGAUAGAACUUUUUGCCAACGUUGAUAGCAUACAUCAACUUUGCUUCUGAGUUUGAGACGUCAGUCUUCGAAGUCGAUUUGGGUUUAAGGCAAUUGAUCAUGAUCUUGUGAAGCAAAAUAUUUGAGGCAUUCAUCCUCAAGUACGAAAUUCGUCCUUCUGCCAUUCCAUCCCGAACAAGCUCUACCAUCGCACGACCAACAGACAUACUAAUUGAUUGGAAUGCCCCUCGCUCUAUUGCAAUCACAUUCGCCAAUGUGUCCAUACCAAUAAUGUAGUCCUGGUCUCGAACACUAAAAGAAAAUCUAUUCACAUCCAAGAAACUUAGAUUAGAAUAGAAGUAUGCAGUAAGUUCUGGAUGAGCCACCGUUGUUUCAGAGCAAAAUUGUUCAAGUUGAAGUAGAGUGAAUUUCUCUUGCAGCUUCACAUUCAAAGAAUCAAGAAAAUCAAAGUCCACACUUCUUGGAUUGAUCACCCCUCUCUUUAGCAACUUAGAAAGGUCGCUUGUGUUCCUCUGAGCGAAACAAAUAUGUCCUUUUGCUUCCAGUAUUCACUGCAACACCCAUUCUAGGCUUAAAAUGAGUGUACAUUUUGUCAUCAUCAUUCCCAUCAGGCUGACUAAGACCUCCAACACAUGGAUCGCUUGGAAUAUUCGCAAAUGCUCGUUCUGCCGACCCCGCAGGAGCAACUACCAAUCGUUCCAUUGUUCGCAAAAAGUGGGUUUCAUUUCGAUACCCUUUCUCUUUCAAAAAUUCAUCAAUAUAAUUCAAGGGAAUGCCUCCCUUCUUCAAGGCAGAGUAAAGUUUAAAGAUAAAAGUGGGCUUUUGAGUUCUUACAGGUUCUACGCCUUCACUGAUUUCUUCCUCCGCUCUAUGAUCAAUACCCUAAGGUCUAGCUUGAGGAGAUUGACGCGGUUGAGAAUGUUGUGGGCUUUGCUGCUGUCUUGGAGAUUCUUCUUCCUCGGUGAGGUCAAAAUGCGUAGGACCCUCAUGCAUGUGUUGUGGUCUCCUGUUCACGAUCCUUGAAGACUUUUUUUGGGAAGCCAUUCUCGCAGUCUUUAUGAGAUUCCAAACUCAAUUCGCAAGAAAGAUGAGAGCUUUGAAGAUUAAAUUAGAGAGUAAAAGUAAGAAAGUGAUGUUCUGUGCUUUUAGGGUUUGUGAGGAAGACAAUCAGUAUAUAAGGCAGUCGAAAAGAGGUAUAAUGAACGGCGUAAAAGGAAAAAUAAAAAAUGCCUUUUCAAAAAAUAACUACCUUUUUGAAAAAAAAAAAAGAUAACCGUCAUUUCAAAAGAUAACUUCUCUUUCGAAAAGAAAUGAUUGCAAUAAUUAUGAGAACUGGGGAAGAUAACAUCAAUCAAUUACAGAUUAAUAGAUGAACGUACUUUUUCGAAUUUAUCCAACAGAUAAAAUUCUAAAACAUAAAUAACUUACAGUCGUGAAUCUCGAUCUUCUGAGUCUGAGUAUCUUUAGACUUUUAUCCCUGAGUUUGAAUUUCUUCAGACUUUAAGGUAUUGAGUUUGGAACGAAUAAGCUCGAAUUGACUUUUCUUCAGAGGCUUUGUAAAAAUGUCCGCUAGUUGAUUAUUUGAGUCAAUGAAUUGAAUCAAGACUUAUCCAUUUUAAACAUGGUCUCUAAUGAAAUAAUGCCGAAUCUCUAUAUGCUUUGCUCUUGAAUGAAGAAUUGGAAUUUUGGUAAGAUUAAUCGCGCUAGUGUUGUCGCAUUUGAUCUCAGUACAUGAGUCUUUGAUUUCAAAGUCUCUUAGCUGUUACUUUAUCCACAAAUUUGUGAACAAUAACUUCCAAGAGCCACAUACUCUGCUUCUACUAUUGAAAGAGCUACAGUACUUUGCUUUCUUGAAAACCAAGAUACUAUCUUGUUCCCAAGUAAUUGACAAGUGCCCGAGGUGCUCUUUCUAUCAACUCUGCAUCAUACUAGGUCUGCAUCUGAAUAUCCAAGGAAAGUAAAGUCUCAUUCUUUAGGAUACCAGAGACCCAAAUUAGAGGUUGAUGCAAUGUAUUUGAUGAUGCGUUUUGCAGCACUUAAAUGAGAUUCUUUGGGAUCUGAUUGAAAUCUGGCACAAAUACAAACACUAAACAAAAUGUCAGGUUUAGAAGCAGUAAGAUAAAGAAGUGAACCAAUGAUACUCCUAUAUAGCUUUUGGUCAACUUUCUUUCCUCCUUCAUCUUUGUCCAGCUUUGAGGAACUUGACAUUGGUGUAUCAGUCUUUUUGCAAUUUUCCAAGUCGAACUUUUUAACAAAUUCUUUAGCAUAUUUUUCUUGGUGGAUGAAAGUUCAUUCCUUCAAUUGUUUUACUUGAAGUUCGAGAAAGAAGGAUAGUUCACCUAUCAUGCUCAUUUCAAAUUCAUCCUGCAUAGUCUUAGAGAAUUUCUUGCAUAGAUUUUCGUUAGGUGAUCCAAAAAUAAUAUUAUAAACAUAAAUUUGAACAAGUAAAAAGUUUUUGCUUUGUCUUUUGAUAAACAAUAUAGUAUCUACUUUACAUUUAACAAAGUCAUUUUGGAUUAAAAACUUACUUACUUCUUUGUACCAAGCUCAAGGUGCUUGCUUUAAACCGUAUAGCGCAUUUUUCAGUUUGAAUACAGAGUCUGGUUUCCUUGGGUCUUCAAAAUCGGGAGGUUGUUCCACAUAAACUUCCUCUUAGAUAAAUCCAUUUAAGAAAGCACUUUUGACGUCUAUUUGGAAUAACCUGAAAUUCUUAUAACAAGCAAAAGCAAGUAAUAAUCUAAUUGCUUCUAACCUUGCUACUGGUGCAUAAGUCUCAUCAUAGUCUAUCCUUUCUUCUUGCGUAUAUCCUUUGGCCACGAGUCUUACUUUGUUCCUUAUGGCUUUUCCUUUUUCGUUCUCUUGUUCCUGAAAACCCAUUUAGCUCCAAUGAUAGAUUUACCUUUUGGUUUAGGAGUCAAUUUAGCUCCAAUGAUAGAUUUCCCAGACAUCAUUGAUACUGAAUUGCUUGAGUUCUUCUUGUAUAGCUUCAAUUAAGCUUUCAUUAGUUAAAGUUUCUUCUAUGCUCUUGAAUUCUAUUUAAGAAAUAAGAGCCACAGCACUAGACUCUUCACGCCUUUUGGAUCCUGUACGAAUUCCUUCAUUAAUGUCACCAAUAAUGAGUUCUUUGGGAUAACUGGACUUGUGCUUCCAGUUGCUGGUUGGUUUGUUAGACUGUUGAUCUUUUUCUUCAUUUGAUUCUUCAACGAUCAUUCGUUACUGGUCUUCUGAAGUCUGAGCUGCUUCUGAAGAUUUAGACUUUGUAGAGUCUGGAGCAGGUUCAGAUUCUUCAGAUUGAGUCUGAAUCGAUUGAUUUUGUAUAAAGUCUUGAAAUUUGACAUUUAUCGAUUCCUCCACAGAUUGAGUCUUUUUGUUGUAAACUCUGUAAGCUUUGCUGGUGGUUGAAUAUCCAAGGAAGAUGCCUCCGUCUGAUUUUUCUUCAAACUUAUCAAUUCGAUCAUUUGCAUUUUUCAAUAUAAAAUAUUUGCAUCCAAACAUAUAAAAAUAGGAAACAAUUGGCUUCUUUCCUUUGAACAACUCAUAGGGAGUUUUCUCCAGAAUAGACCUUAAGAAGACUCUAUUAAUAAUAUAACACGCUGUAGAAACUGCUUCAGCCCAAAAACGAGAGGAAAUGUUACUUUCAAUUAAUAAUGUUCUAGCCAUUUCUCGCAACGAUCAAUUCUUCCUUUCCACAACUCCAUUAUGUUCUAAAGUGUAUGGUGAGGAGAACACAUACUGAAAAUCAGAUUUAUCACAGAAUUUAGCAAAAUCUUAAUUUUCAAACUCACCUCCAUGGUCUGUCCGUAUACUUGAAUUAACAUAUCCUUUCUCAUUUUGAACUUUCUUAGCAAAUUUUAUAAAAUAAGAAAAGGUUUCAGACUUACUUGCCAUGAAAUAUACCCAAGUGAAUUGUGAAUAAUCAUCCACUAUUACUAGGCAAUAUUUCUUACCCUCCAAUGUUCUGGGUUCUAGUUGGUUAAAAGAGAUCCAUAUGCAAGAGUUGCAGCACACGAUUAGUGGAACCUUGAUUUAUUGGUUUGAAAGAGUUUCUAACUUGUUUUCCCAAUACACACGGUGUGCAUAAUUCAGAUUUUUGGUAUGUUAGGUUGCGUAGUCAACGAACAAGCUUCUUUGCAGAGAUCUUGGCUAUUUGCUUCAUGUUGAUGUGGUCAAGUUUUCUAUGCUAGAUAUUAGCUUCCUCUUGAAUUGAAACUAGACAUUGGGAUUUUUUUGGUUUGAUAUCCAAGAGAUAUAUAUUCCUAUGUCUUCGCUCCGUGAAUGUCUGAGAGGAGUCUUUACUGGUUCCUGAACAUAUUCCUCCGUGAAUGUUUUGUAACCUAUGUCGCACAGUUGGCUGAUACUCAGCAAGUUUUAGUUGAGUAAUUCCACUAAGAAAACAUUACUGAUUGUGAGACUUCCAAUCUUUACGAUUCUGUAUCCCACAAUUCUGCCUUUGCUAUUUUCUCCAAAAGAAACUUUUCCACCAUUAACUUGCAUAAGUUUUAUGAAACAACUUGAGUCUCCUGUCAUAUGUUUUGAGCAUCCACUAUCCAAUUACCAUUUAACCUUUUUCUUGAUAGUGACCUGCAUUUAAAAAAGAAACUCAAGCUUUCUUUGGUACCCAUACUUUCUUGGGUCCAAUGGAGUUAGUAUAAUAUACGGUCUUUGUCCAAACCUUCUUAACAUGUUUCCAAACCAUAGGACAUUCUUUCUCAAAAUGGUCUAAGCUGUUACACUUAGAACAUUUGAGAGCACUGCAGCCUACAGGUUUUACAAAGACUUUUUGAAAAUGAUUUCUAUAAAAAUCUUUUGUAGGUCUUUGUUUAAUUCUUUCUUUUACUUUUGGAAAAUCAAUUAGGGGAAUGGUUUCAGCAAUCAUUCCUAAGCUUGAUUUGUUAAAGUAAGGUCUUUAUGUUGAAAGAAUAUUUUCUAAUUUCUCAGAACUUAUUGAAAACCUUUUUGAAAUACUUGAAAUAUCAUUUUUCAAAAGUGCAUUUUUUUUUAAAGUGAGUAUGCAUUUUCUUUCAAAGUAAUAACACUUUUAUCCAAAUUUUUGACUUUUUCUUUCCAAAUAAUCUCUUGUUGCUUCAGUGCAUAAUUUUCUCUUUUUAGUUUGGAAAUCCUCGAGAGAGGUUUUGAGACUAAGACACAAUUCAUCAAUAUAUUUAGAGCCUUUAGUAGGAAUUUUUAAAUUACUUACCUCGAUUUCACUGUCUGAGUCUGAGUCUGUCUCAGAGUUUGAAUCUAAUUCUGAUUGUGUCAUUAGACAAAUAUAAACAUAAUCAUCAUCACUCUCUUCACAUUUAGUAUCACUCUAAGUUUCUGCUUUGAGGGCUUUUCUGAUUUUCUCAGUUUUUCCUUUCUUUUUCUUUAGUAAGGGACAGUUGGAUAUGAUAUGUUCCUUUUUCUUGCAUUCAAAACAAAUCACAUCUUUAUUGGAAUCAUCAUCCUCAGCUGAUUUAUUUUGAAACUUUUGAGAACUUUGUUUCUUCAAAUUGAAUCUUCUUCCCUUUUUGUUCAGUUUUCUGACCUUCUUAUCAUGAGAGCAAGCUCUUCAUUGUCCAUAUCGUCUUCAGAAUCUGUAACAUCAUAAUCAUCAUUAGAUUUUAGUGCAAUGGAUUUUUUACUUUUAAGAUUGUCAUCUUCAUUGAUUUGCUUCACUUCAUAAGACUGAAGAGUGCCAGCCAAUUCGUCAACAGAGAGUGGCAUGAUUCUUUGUGUCUCCCUUAUUAAGGUAUUUACGUGAUUCCAAUCUUUGGAAAGUCCACGCAGUAGCUUGUUAACUUUCAUGGGUCCACAGAUUGGUUGACCUUGAUACUCAAGACCAUUCACGAUUUCUGUAAAACGACUAAACAUGUCAGUGAUAGAUUCUCCUGGUUUCAUCCCGAAUGCUUCAUAUUGACUGAGUAGAAUAUUGAUUUUGGUUUCUUUCACUCGAUCGGUUCCUUCAUAGGUGAUGUGCAAUCUAUCCUAGAUUUCUUUAGCUGUUUCACAAGAAGAUAUUCUGUUAUAUUCAGUAGGAGAUAAUGCACAAUAUAAAGAAUAAAUUGCUUUUGCACUAAGAGCUUGUCUCUUGGUUAUCUCUUCUUGAGUCAUCUCGCUGGACUCAACAGCUUCUUUUCCCCUUUCUGAGAUCGUUGUAGUUUUAGGAAUAAUUCAUUUGUUUACCACAUCCCAUUCAAGAGGGUCUUUUGAUCUUAGGAAUGCAUUCAUUUUUUUUUCCAUAUAUUGUAUUCCUUCCAUCAAAGUAAGGCGGUCUAGUAUUGCUUUGCCCUUCAACCAAGCCUGGAGCCAACAUACUAGCCAUGGAUCGUUAACUCUGAAGUAAAAACACUUCAAUUUAAAUGAGUACACAUGCUCUGAAAACAAUUGUGAAUGCUAGUAUGAGCACCUAGAGGGGGUGAAUAGGUGCGAAAACAAACUUUUGAGAAGUAUAGUGUAAAAUUUUACUUUUAAACCUAGUCUGUUUAACAGUAGACUUUAAAAUAGAAACGAGACUCUAGCAAUUAAAUAAAGUUAUGAGUAAAGUAAAAGAUAUUAGGGAAGAGAAUAAGAACACAAGGUUUAUAGUGGUUCGGCUUAAUCCAAGCCUACGUCCACUUACCCGCACUGACAGCCCACCGACUGGAUUUCACUAUAAAUCAAAAGAGUCGUUACAGUAUCACGUUCUUGAUUCCACAGUGUAGAGACUCUGCUACACUUUCUCAAGGUCUCACAAAUAUAUAAACUCUUUUUUGAGUACAAUUUUAUGCUCAACAAUUGAAUUGGCAAAGAACAAGGAGCUUCAGACUUUGGAAUUUAUCUAUCGCUCACACACUCGAAUAACUAGAACAUCUUUCUUAUAUACUCUUCCAUGCCUUCAUAACCGUUGGCACUUUCCAAAGGAGCUCUUCCAAUCUACCCGUUUGACAUAAUCAAUUAGGGAGAUCUCAAGUUAUUUAAGGAAUAUGACGAUAACCCACCAAUCCUGCUCGCUCAUACAAUCAGGAUCUAGGUUUCCAUAAGUAAAACCUUCUAAGCAUGCUUCGCCAAUCAACGGAUCCAAAAUACUUGAAUUAAAAUCAAGACGAAUAAAAGAUUCCGAGAUGCUAUAUCCAGCUGAGAGAUCUUUUUUAGUUGAUAGAAUCAAAUCCUUAAAGAAAUACUCAAUUAUGGAUAAGUCUUCUUUGACGGUCUAGAAACUGUCAAUGAGGGUAAACUUUGAAUCUUGAGUCUGGUGGUUCAGCGGUCUUUAGACUUUGACGAAAGAGUCUGCAAGUCUUCAGACUAGACUGAUGGAAACGUUUUGUCAGUUUCAAAACAAAUACGGAAAUUUUCUCCAACACUUCUAAGUUCAAUGACCUAUCGAAAAGUCAUUAAAAAAAUCUUCCUUUUUAGUACCUUAAGAUUCUGUGGUGUAGGAAUAAAUGUCUUGAUAGUUAAGGCCCACAUCUAUAUAAAAAGUCUUUCUUUUCCUUUAAAAGGAGUAGGAGUUUGGUAAUGGGAUCCCACCCGUUUUCUCUUCUUCCUAGAGCUUUUAAGCUAUAAUGGAGAAAGCUCAAUUUUCGAUUGGAAUGGAAUGAGUCUGAUUUCAAAAAAAUUUGCAACGAACUUGUUUGGAAGUUCCAUGUCUACUUUGUUGACUUUGACUUUGAAUGAAUCUACCCAUUUAUUUGGGGGCAAAAGUGGAUUCUCAUCCCCAAAAUUUCUGCACCAUAUAAUAAGUGAUUUCCAUGUCAAAGAAACGGAAAUAAUUGUCAACUUUGACGAGCUGGAGUGAUGCUUCCUGGAAGCAUCCCUAUCGACCGAUUUGGCAACAAAUUUGGCCCAUGACUCUCUCUACAUAUUCAGCCAAUCUUGUGGCUUCUUUUAAGUUCAAUGACCUAUAAAAAAGUCAUGGGAAAAUCUCAAAUAAGGACCCAAAGUGAGUCUAUUUUCUCAAAUAAGGAUUCGAAAUAGCCGUUGUCCCAAAUAAGGACCCAAACCCGCUAGCCGGCGAGCGUGUGACAUUUCCAGUGGCCGGAAUAUGGGCAAUUUUGUCCACAAAAAAAUAGAUAGAAAUUAACAAACCCUAAAGACAAAACCCCCCCAACUCUUCACAUUCUUUUGACCUAAAAAAAACUCUUUAUGUUCUCACAUAUUUCUUCUUCUGCUCUUCAUCUUCUCCGUUCUUUGUGCUCUCUCGCUUGGAGCACCGAAAUUUUCUGUUAAUGGAACACGAAUUGAAAUACAACAAGAAACCCCUACCUUCGUGUCUUCACAUCUUCUUCUUUUGUUUUCUUUCUUCGUUUCUUUCCAACGAAGAAGACAAAUCUUAAGUAAAGCCACCUUUUCGUUAUUAAGACACUGGUGCGUAACACGAGGGCCUCGAUUCUUCAUUAUCUUUUCCUAGGUUCGCCAUUCACUUUGAUUCACACUCCCGUUCAACCGAGGUCAGUUUCGUUCAAAUUGGUGCACAUAUUAAGUGAUUUCCACAUCAAAGAAACGUAAAUAAUUAUCAACUUUGAUGGGCUGGAGUGAUGCUUCCAAGAAGCAUCCCUACUGAUUGAUUUGGCAGCAAAAUUGGCCCACAACUCUCUCUGCAUAUUCAGUCAAUGCUGUGGCUUCUUCAAAGUUCAAUGACCUAUCGAAAAGUCAUUAAAAAAAUCCUUAUUUUUAGUACCUUAAGAUUAUGUGGUGUAGGAAUAAAGGUCUUGAUAGUUAUGGCCCACAUCUAUAUAAAAAGUCUUUCUUUUCCUUUAAAAGGAGUAGGAGUUUGGUAAUGGGAUCCCACCCAUUUUCUAUUCUUCCUAGAGCUUUUAAGCUAUAAUGGAGAAAGCUCAAUUUUCGACUGGAAUGGAACGAGUCUGAUUUCAAAAAAAUUUGCAGCGAACUUGUUUGGAAGAUCCGUGUCUGCUUUGUUGACUUUGACUUUGAACGAAUCUGCCCAUUUAUUUGGGGGCAAAAGUGGAUUCUCAUCCCCAAAAUUUCUGCACCAUAUAAUAAGUGAUUGCCGUGUCAAAUAAACGGAAAUAAUUGUCAUCUUUGACGAGCUGGAGUGAUGCUUCCUGGAAGCAUCCCUACCAACCAAUUUGGCAGCAAAUUUGGCCCACGACUUUCUCUACAUAUUCAGCCAAUCUUGUGGCUUCUUUUAAGCUCAAUGACCUAUAAAAAAGUCAUGAGAAAGUCUCAAAUAAGAACCCAAAGUGAGUCUAUUUUCUCAAAUAAGGACCCGAAGUAGCCGUUAUCCCAAAUAAGGACCAAAAGUGGCUAACAAGUCUCAAAUAAGGACCCAAACCCACUAGCCGGCAAGCGUGUGAUAUUUCCGGUGGCCGGAAUAUGGGUAAUUUUGUCCAUAAAAAAAUAGAUAGAAAUUAACAAACCCUAAAGACAAAACCCCCCCAACUCCUCACGUUCUUUUGACCUAAAAAAAACUCUUUAUGUUCUCACGUAUUUCUUCUUCUGCUCUUCAUCUUCUCCGUUCUUUGUCCUCUCUCGCUUGGAGCACCGCAAUUUUCUGUUAAUGGAACACGAAUUGAAAUACAACAAGAAACCCCUACCUUCGUUUCUUCACAUCUUCUUCUUUUGUUUUCUUUCUUCGUUUCUUUCCAACGAAGAAGAAAAAUCUUGAGUAAAGCCACCUUUUCGUUAUUGAGACACUGGUGCGUAACACGAGGGCCUCGAUUCUUCAUUAUCUUUUCCUAGGUUCGCCAUACACUUUGACUCACACUCCCGUUCAACCGAGGUUUGUUUCGUUCAAAUUGGUGCAAUCGAUCCUUCAUUCGUCAAAGUGGUUGUAACUUGUUGAAGCAACAUGUCAACAAGUCGCGGGCAUGUGGUGGAAUAUCACAUAGAUGGUAGCGAGGAUGGUGAUGGCAGGAGGAAUUCUUUUGUUUUAUGGUGUUCUUUUUGCUUGUUUUGUCGGAUUUCUAAGUUAAUGUCUCUUUUGUCCGAAAAAAUGCAUAUGAGUUGUGUCCAAACGAGAGGGGACAAAGAACGUAAAAGAUGAAGAAUAGAAGAAAAAUAACGUGAAGGGUUUGGGGGUUUUGUUUUUAGGGUUUGUUAAUUUCUAUCUAUAUUUUUUGGGGACAAAAUUGCCCAUAUUCUGGCCAUUAGAAAUGUCAAAUGCUCGCCGACCGGCGGGUUCAGGUCUUUAUUUGAGACUUGUUAGCCAUUUCGGAUCCUUAUUUGGAACAACGGUCACUUCGGGUCCUUAUUUGAGAAAGUAAGCUCACUUUGGGUCCUUAUUUGAGAUUUUCCCAAAAGCCAUUAAAAAAGUCUUCAUUUUUAGUAUCUUAAGAUUCUGUGGUAUAGGAACAAAGGUCUUGAUAGUUAAGGCCCACAUCUAUACAAAAAGUUUUUCUUUUUCUUUAAAAAGAGUAGGAGUUUGGCAGUGGGUUCCCACUUGAUUUCGCUUCUUCUUGGAACUUUUGAGCUAUAAUGGAGAAAGCUCAAUGUCGAUUCGAACGAAACGAGUUUGAUUUCAAAAAACCUACAAUGAGACUUUUGGAGUUUUGUUUUACUAAAACAAAAGUCUAAGAAAGUAUAAUCAAAGCUAAAGUUAUUGGAAACAAAUUCGAUCUUCCGUUGAUCUCAAUUCAAGGAAUUUGAUACUUUUCAGGAGUUUUCUUUGACUCAUGACAUGAUUAAUAACUUCAAUCUAAAUUUAUUUUGUCAUGCUCGGAUCUAUGUCCAAAAAAAUUUGAGAACUUAUGAAUUCCAAAAUGAGAAAUAUUUACACGUUCAAAUCUAGCGAGACUUUAUUUUUCUUCCCUAGCUCCACCACCACGUGCUUCCUCCAUGUUGUCCUUAUCAAAAUAUCAAUCAGUUCGUUUAAUCAACAGCUUGCACCCUAUCGAGAUCUAAAGGUUUUGCUAGUGUUGGCGCAUUCACAUCCCUCAUGCACUGGCCCGCAACUUUGAGGGGGUCAGCUCAUCAACUUUGAGGGGCAUGGAGUUAGGUUAGGGUUUUGGAAUAUCGAGGGAUUUGGAGCAAGGAAAAAAUGUGCAGUUUUAAGCUCGUCAUUGAUCAAGCAAACCUCCACGUCAGAUUUUUGAUGUUCGCUUGGACUAAACUUUGAUGGAACGUAUUUUUUGGUUAUCAUACAAGUUUUGGAUUUGAUGAUAUAAAAACAGAUUGGAUAAUUGGCAUUUGCGAUGGAUAUAAAGGUUAGGAAUUUUUUUGGAACUGUAGCUCACUGUCGUCGAAUUGCCGCCCACGCAUCGCCAUCAUGAGCUCUCAACUUCACGCAUCAAUUCAUUGGCGACUUAACUCCCUGCCUGCUCAAGUAUGUCAUCUACACCUUCAUCUCUCUUUUUUUUUUUUCUUUUUUUUUUUUUGCGCAGAGCUCAUAACCUAGGUCCAUGGAAUUCGUAACUGAUAGAGGUUGCCAGCCUCGCACGACGACAGAUCUAGGGUUGCAUGGCCACGGGUGUCGAGGCUUGACUUAGUGAGCUCGCUCAAUUUUCUAAGCAACGGAGAGAGGCCCUCAACUCUGUUUAUCGUUAAAAUCAAUACCCAAAAAGAAAAAGAUAAAUAAAUUGGGCAUUUGGGUAUUUUGGCAGCAACAAAAAGACAAAUGCAAUAAUUCUCGAGUGUAGUGAAACAUAGGAAAAGGGGGUCGUGAUUAUAGAUAUGAAGCGGGUUUGUCAGCUGUUAGUGGUCACAUUUAUUUGGGGGCAAAAGUCGAUUCUCAAUCCGAAAUUUCUGCACCACAAGGUCCAGUGAUUUUCCGCGUUAAGAAAGGUAAUUGAUUUGUCAACUUUGAUAGGCCGCAGUGAUGGUUCAUGGAAUAUCCUUACUGGCCAUUUUGUAGCAAACUUGACCCAAACGACUCUCUGCUUAUUCACCAAAAUCGUACUCUCUGCAUAUUCACCCAAACCUUUGGCUUCUUAGUUCAAUCGCCUCUUGAAAAGUCAUUCAAAAAAAUCUUCCAAUUUUAGUUCCUUGAUAUUUUUGUGGUGAAGGAACAAAGGUCUUGAUAAAUAAGGCCCGUAUCUAUACGAAAAGUCUUUAUUUUCCUUUCAGAAUAAGAAGAGUUUAGGCAAUGAAUCCCACCUAUAUUCUCUUCUUCCCCAAGCUUUUGAGCUAACGGAGGAAACUCAAUUUCAAUUUGGAUGGAAGGAGUCUAAUUUUAAAAGAAUCUGCAACGAGGCUUUUGGAGUUUCGUUUUUACUAAAACAAAAGUUUAGUGGCAUAUAAUUAAAGCUAAAGUUAUUGGAAAACGAAUUUGAUACUUCCCAAGAGUUUUUUUUUUUUAACUCAUCGAGUCAUUGUGAUUAAUAACUUUAAUCUUAAUUUUUUUUUGUUAGACUUAGAUAUAUGCUUGGAAAGACUUACCAACUUAUGAAUUUCGACCACCGCCCGUAGCGGCGCAGCUGGCUUGGGGCUCUCUCCCCCUCACAAAGGAGAGGAGUUCGAAUCCCAGAGGUGUCGUUAGGGAUUCUUACCUGGAGUACUGUGAUAGUGCUCACCGGCUGUCGGCUUACGGGGUUUUCUAGGUUACCAAAAAAAAAAAAACUAAUGAAUUUCUAAAUUGAACAAUUUUACACCUCCGGAUCUAGUGAGAUUUUAUUUUUUGUCGUGAAAUAUGGAAUGUUUAGUUAUCGCAAAAUCGAUUUGGAAAAUAGAAAAUUACUUGCAAACAAACACCAGUUAAUCAUGUCAUCAAUCAAUAAAAAUGUUGGAACUGUCUAAUUUAACCAAAUAGAAAUGGAAUAUACAGCAUAUAUAUAGUUUUGUGUUACAUCAAAAUACAAUCACUAUAUUAAGAAUUGCAUGCGAUUGGUCGAUAUGAUUUUGAUGAGGAUGCCAACAAUCUAAAACCUAAGCUCCCUGUGCCUCGUCUUAAUGGGGUAUUAGCAUUAGUUACCACCCUCAAAAAGAGGGAAAAGAAUCAGAUAGAAUAGUGUGUGGGGCGGUGCAAGAAGACUGAAACUAAUAAUUGACCCAAGUCAAAGUCUACGAAGACUUGGACUACCAUAGGCACACGCUAAAGCAUGGGCGGGACUUUCUUUUCCACAUUAGGAUGACCCUAUCUUCUUUUUCCUUUGCUUUCAUUGCAUUAUUUCUUUUCAUUAUCACUUUGCUUUUUAACAAGAAUUUCCCUCGGAUUCUUCGAGGCAGUUUCGCCGUGAAUGACUAUCGAGUUCCCAAUGGGUUACUUACCAUGAGAAUUUUGUGAAAUAAUAUGCAUUCAACAUUUCACAUAACAUAUGACAUUUUAAUUACAACUGCAAGCAAUAUGUGGAUUUUUUUUUUAAUAUUGUUAAAAAUAUGUGCACUUUUACUCAAUAAGCACCAGCUCUUCAUCAUUUGAAGUUUAACCAAUAAAUCUAGAUUAUUUACAAGUAAUUUAAAUAAAUAUACUGAAAUCGAUACAUUAAGUGAAUAAAUAGAUUUGUGAAAAUAGAUACUACUCAAAUGAGAAUUCAAUACUUCCCAAGAGUGUGUUUUGACUCAUCAAGUCAUCAUGAUUAAUAACCUCAAUCUUAAAUGUUGUUUUUGGUUACACUCAGAUUUAUGCCUAAAAAGACUUAAGAACUUAUGAAUUUCGGAAUGGAACAUCUUUACACCUCCGGAUUUGGCGAGAUUUUGUUUUCUACUGUGAAAGAUGGAAUGUUUAAUUACCACAAAAUAGUUUUAGAAAAUAAAGAAAUACUUGCAAACAAACACCAUAUGUUCAUAAAUACUUUGAUCUUUAAAUAGUCUAGCAAAUCACAUCAUCAAUCAAUAGAAAAGUUGAGACCGUCUAAUUUAAUUAAAUGGAAAAUAAUAAAGUGCCGUAUACAUGUGAUUUUUGUGUUGCAUCGAAAUACAAUCAUUAUAUUAUGAAUUGCAUGAGAGAUUGGUUGAUGUGAUCUUGAUACAAACACCGACAAUCUAAAACUUAAGCUCCCUAUGCCUCAUUUUAACGUGGCAUUAACAUUAGCUGCCUUUCGCGGAAUGAAAGAGAGAGAAAAAUAAGACGGAACAGCGUAUGGUUGGUGCCAGAAGACAAACAUCGCAAGAUUAGAGGAGCAAAGACAAAAGUCUACGAAUUGGACUACCAUCAGUCCAUGAUGAACCAGAUUUGCUCCAAGAAGGAAUCACACCAAUUAUUAAUUCAUUUGGUAACUUUGUCCCUCACAGUCAUAGUUCCAUAAACGUAGGGAUUUUAUCAAAAAGAAGAAAAACAAAAUGUUGCUAGAUCGCUCUAUAAAAUCCAACAAUGACUCAUCGUUCUCCCAUCCACCUGCAAAAUUUACAUGGUAACAAAUUGAUCUCCAAUUCUCAUACUCAUUGAUAAUUUCAUCGCACCAUUUCAUCGAUCAUAUGCUGUUAUAUGAAAAUUGAAAAAAAAAAAAAAACUCUUAAGAUGUCUUUAUCUCAUUGAGAAUUUUUUUGCCGCGGGAAAAUGCUUUUAGGAAAUUCAAUUUCAGAGAAAAGGAAUUAAAAUAAUUUGAUUACGAUGAAAACAAGUUUAAAAAAAACACUGAUUUUAUCAUAAUUGGUAAUAAGUGAAUCCACUAAAUGCGGCUUGUAUCAUUAAAAGUAACAUGGAAUGACUAAUAAACUGGAAUUGAUAUCGUCUUUGCUUAUUUUAUAAUCCAUCAAAAUAUCAACGAUUAUAAAGAAAUUAAGAUAGAAAUUAUGAAACCAUAUUUGUAAAAUAUAGAUAUGAUCGUACUUUGGGAAUGUAGAAAAAUUGAGCAUUAAUAAAGUAUAUUCUUCUCACUUCAAAGGGCAGCAAGAAAAUAAGUGUAACGAUUCUUUCUUACCAAGUCGUUUUUCUCUAAACUUAUUUUUUUUAGGGUUAAUGAUACAAAAAUUCCAAACUGAUAUACAUAUGACAAUUUUACUCAAAACUAAUUUUUUUACUACAAAAACCUCAAACUAGCAUAUUUGUAAUAAAUUUAAUCUCCAUUAAUUUCCCUUAAAUUGGAUUAAUACUAUUGGAAAGCACAAACUAGUAUACAUAUGUCAAAUAGAGGGUAAAACCUCAAACUGAUACACUCGUCAAUUGCCAAAUUUGAUGUAUGUUUUUGUUGACUUUGACUUUGAAUGAAUUCACCAUUUAUUUCGGGGGCAAAAGUCUAUCCUAGUCUUGAAAUUUCUGCACCACAUAGUCCAAUGAUUUUUCUCAUUAAGAAACGUAAAUAAUUGUCAACUUCGGCAGGCUGGAGCAAUUCUUCAAGGAAUCAUCCUUAUUGACCAAAUUUUGCGGCAAAACCGACUCUUUUGCAUAUUCACCCAAUCCUUUGGCUUCUAAGUUCAAUGACCUACCCAAGACUCAUUCAAAAAGAUCUGUCCCUUUUAGUUCCUUAAUAUUUCCGUGGUGAACAAGCAAAUGCCUUUGAUAGUUAAGGCUCACAUCUAAUUCAAAAAGUCUUUCUUUUCCUUUAAAAAGAGCAGGAGUUAGGCAAUCGAUCCCACCAAUUUUCUCUUCUUCCCCGAGCUUUUGAGCUAGAACGGGAGGAAGCCUAAUUUCGAUUCGAAUUGAAGGACUCUAAUUUAAAAAAAGAAAAAAAAAAUCUACAAUGAGACUUUUGGAUAUUCAUUUUACAAAAUAGUAUUUUAGGGGGUAUAAUCAAACCUAAAGCUAUCAGAGAACAAAUAUGAUCUUCGAUUAGUCUCAAUUCAAGGAAUUUGAUACUUCUUGCGAGUCUUCUUUUUAAGUCAUCAAGUCAUGUGAGUAAUAACUUCAAUCUUGAAAUUUCUUUUAUCAGGCUUGGAGAUGAUAUAAAUACAGUGGGAAUAAUUGAUAUUGUGGUAAAUAUAAAGGUUGGGAUGGAACUGCCCACUUGCCGUGCGCCCAUCGCUAUCACAAACCCUCAACUUCGCGUGUCAAUCCAUCGGCAAGUUAAUGCCUUACUCGCUUGAGUCUGUCCUCUACGCUUUUGUCUCUUUUUUCUUUCCGCGUAGAGCUCAUAUCCUAUGUCCAAGGAAUUCGUGACCGACAGAGGUCGCCAGCCUCGCACGGGUACACGUGUGGCUACAUGGUCGCGGCAUUGGGGCUUGACUUAAUUAAUACGCUCGAUUUUUUUAGGAAUGGAGAGAGCCACUCAGCCCCGUUUAUCAUUAAAAUCAAUACCAGAAAAAGAGAAGGAUAAAUACAUUCCUUGCCAAAGGGGGCAUUUGGGUAUUUUGGCGGCAGCAAAAAGACAGAAUGCAAUUGAUAGGGGAGAGAGGGGAGCAGAGGAAAAGGACGUGUCGUGAUCAUGGUGCGUGUUCUGUCAGCUGUCGGUGGUCACAUGGGGGGAGUGAUGAUAUCGUGUGCAGUAGUGAAGCUAGGCUGCUAAUAAAAAAAUUCUCCUUCUCAUCUCUGGAGAGAGGAUGCAUUUGUGAUGAGGUACGGGGAGCUUAUUAUUACUCCUAGAAACAAAGAUGUUCUCCGUGCUUCCGAAUUUGAUUGCACUAUUAACUAACGGCAUUAAUCCCAAUCAAACUCUUCAACUUCAAAUGGCAGACCGUGUAAUCAUCCGCUGGGAGCCAGAAACUUGUAAGACUAGUGAGGGAAGUCAUUGCCUUUUGAUGGAAUAGUUAAAUCUAUUAGAACUCGAUGUGAAGUUUUAGUAGAAUGGUUCGCCUUGUUUUUUUUUUCUCUCCAAGAAAUUAUUAGAACUAGAUACGAGGAUUCAUUUUGCAAUUUGGGGCAUCAUAUGCGGAAUUUUUGAAAACCAUGUACCUAAGAUAAUAACUACCAUCAUUGCCCCAAUUAGAAUUUGAAAUCCAAGUUAAGGAUGUGCUCAUUUCACGGAAAUGAGUGAUUUGAAAUAUAAGUUUUGAAAGAUGAUUGUUUAUACCGUUUGGAAAAAUUAGUUAAUGAAAAAUAUUUCUAUUGUCAAUAACAAUUUAUGCCUGUCGCGACUAAAUUUUCGGCUGUGAACCACCUAGGGUUUGGCUAAUGGAUUGUUAAGCCUAGACUUAACUCGGGCUCUCCCAAGCCCAUACCAAUUCGCGACUUUAGGUUCAAGUUCUUAAUAUGCAAUUGAUUUUCAAUUAGGAGUUGCCACUAAUCUAUUUUUGAUGGGUCGAUUAGAAACCCAAGUAAAGUAAUGGGAGAUUUACUUUACUCCUACGAACCAGAGAUUAUGGGUACGGGGACUUGGUUACACUAGAUUUCUCUAAUGCCCUUUCGGUACCAUUCUUAUAAUUUCAAAAAUGUUUUUUGCAGGCAGUUUGGAUUGAUUUUAAGUCUAUUUUCCUAACAUGUAAGGUGAUCAUGCGGGUACACAAACCACCAAUUUAACACCCAGAUAAAUAAUAAAUAAAUUACAAAAACUUACCUCAAAUUAACGAAAGCAUCUACAAUGUUAAAUUAAAAUCCACAUCAACAACUCUAGAUAUGGUUUCUAAUUAACACGCAAUUUUUAUUUUGUUUUCGCUUAAUUAAUGAAAAUCAUGCAAUAUGUAAUGCAAUGUUAAUUGAAUGACUUAAUUCUAAUGACAUGUAAUUUUUAAUUAAAUGGGCCUAGCAAAAAUACUAAAUGACAUGCAUCUCAAUGAAUCUAACCCUAAUGACGUGCAUAUGACAAUUUUUUUUUCUAAAAGAAUGCAUUUUAUCCUAAAUAAUAAAACUAAUUUAACCAAUGACAUUUUUUGUAUUUUUCAAGAAAUUCGAAAUUAGGUGAAAUGUGAAAAUUACCUAAUUAGAUUAAGAUCCUAUUUAAUUUAUAUUAGGAAUUAGGUUGAGCAAAAUCCUAAUUUAAACUAAAAUAUUAUCUUAACCUAGAUAAUCCUAAAAUGCAAUCUAUUUAAUAAAAUACCUAAACCCAUAGUAAAUUAAGAAAAACAUCAUCUAAAAUUAAACUAAAUGCAAUUUUACCCUAAUAUGCUAUAACGUGCAAAAGAUGCCCUAAUUUUACAUGACAUAUGCAUAAUGACUUUAUUUUGUGUUUUUCCUUUUUUCCCUUUUUUUAAAUUUCGAAAUUAAUAAUUGCCAAAUAAUUAAACAUGCAAUCGAAGUUUUAAAAAAAAUAGCAACCUAAAUUAAUUGAUUUGAUUUUUUUUUAUUUAUGAAAAUUCGAAAUAAAAUACCUAUUAUGAACAUGCAAACCCUAAAACUACAUUCUUUUUAUUAAAAAAAAAAGUAAUUCAAGUAACACCACAGCAAAUCAAGCCAUAUCGAUACCCAAAUUGACGAACCAUAUCUCGCGCAUGAGAUUGGGUUGGCCAAUUUCACAUAAAUCACGAAUCGGAUCUCGGGUAGGAGAUCGGAUUGGCAAUUUUUUAAGUAAUUGCGAGUCGGAUUUCGGACGCGAAAAUCGGACUGACAAUCACUAAUUUCAAGGCAAUUUCAUAUCAUGGAAUUUCAAUUUCACAUUAAAGGAAUAAUUACACUAAAAGGAUAAAAUAAAAUAGCAAAAAUAAUAAAACAAAAAUAAGAUAAAGGAAAUACCUAAAUUUUCUUUUACUUUUCUCUUUUUUCUUUUCUGUUUUUUUCUAAAAAAGAAAAAAGAAAAAAUAAAGCUGGUGGUCGAUCCGGCGAGGGGAGAUCGCUAGCUAGGGUUUCGGCGAGGCUCCGGAGGAUGGCGUGACGGCGGCGCGGCACCAGGGGGCUUCGGAAUCAGCGCGGGGCGACGCGGGCGGCACGGCGAAACCGAUGGGCAGCGUCGCGGGCGGAGCAGGGGCUUCGAGUCUCCUGGCGCAGGCUGCGAAGAUCGGAUCGUGGCUACCGCGGGGACCUCGAAUCUGUAGGCGCGGUGGUCUUCAGCUGAGGCGGAACGCGGCGAGACCAGAGGGAGCGGCGGCAGCGUCGGGGAAGGGCAGCGGCAUCGUGGACCGGCGCUGGGUCGCGGCUUCACGAGGGGAAGGCAACUGGGCGUCGAGGCGUUCCGUCGGGGUCUGAACUGGCUUCAGCCGGCGGGACGCUGCAGGGAUGGCGGGAGGCCUCGGGCGGUUGCGAUGAGGAGCUUCGGCGUCUGGAUCGGGUUGUUGGGCGCGGGCGAGUGAAUCGGAUCGGGGCACGGGCGUGACUGACGGGAGGCGUCUGCUUCUGGAUCUGGAGGAGGAAGGGCGUCGGCUUCAGGUCGCGAGGCUGCAGAGGCGACAUGGCGACGCGGUGGUGCGUCGGGGCAGCGUGCGGGUCGUCGGGGCUUGCGGACGGAGGCGGCAUCGGGACAGCGACAAUGCGGGCAGAUGGCGCCGGCGCCGGCAGAGACCCCCUCCCCCCACAAGGAAGAUGAACAGUCGCGGGGGGGGACUUUUUUACCUUUUCUUUUACUUUUUUUUUUUUACUUUUCCUCUCUCUUCACUCACUUUUUUCACUUUUUGCUCUUUUUGGUGCCUUUUGUUCGACGGAAAAGAACCCCCUCCUCCCCACCGUACGCGACUCCUUUUAUACACCAAAAAAUUAUAUCUCCGUGGUAUAUUUCAUUGCCAAUUUUGCUCAUGCAAAAUAUCAUUGAAUAUAUCAUCCCACCACGCGCAAUAUUUUUUGUGUUUUUUCCAAUAUUUCAUUCGAGAAUUUCCUUUUCGUCAAAAAUACAUCCCUCGGUGUUGUUGACACCUAAAUUUUGGUGAUCCAUCUAGACAUUUAUCGUAUUAAAACCCAUUUAGACAUUUAUCGUAUUAAAAAUUAGGGGUUAAUUUUACCCCUGAAAAAAUAAAUCACUUGGCAUAUAGUUUAGAAACAUUUUUGUUUAUUUUAUUGGACCGACGGCGAGGGCAAAAUUUUUCACAUAUUCCGUUGGGAUUUUCAUAUAUUUAGGGAAUAUACCCCAAGUGAUGUAUUUUUGAUGGAAAGGAAAUUCUCGAAUGAAAUAUUGGAAAAAAAACACAAAAAAUAUUGCGCAUGGUGGGAUGAUAUAUUCAAUAGUAUUUUGCACGAGUAAAGUUGGCAAUGAAAUAUACCACGGAGAUACAAUUUUUCGGUAUAUAAAAGGAGUCGCGUACGGUGGGGAGCAAAAGGAGGCCACACAAUUGACUACACGACGGCAUAUACGGAGACUUCUCUAGGGUUCCAAGAAGAGAGAAAAAAAAAGAAAGAGAAAAAGCUUUGGGGUUUCUCCAUUCGUUCCGUAAAAAAAUAGAGGAGGAGAAAAGCUUAUUGGGAGGGGGGAAAAGUCAACAGAAGCUUUUUGCUUCUGCAGAUAGAGAGAACAGAACAACACAGAAGGGAGAUUGACAUGAGGGACGUCGAUCAACAGGAAAAAACAAGAAAAAAUAAGAAGAAAAAAUGGUGCUCCUAUUCCUGUUCAUCUUCCCUACCACGCUUUCCUUGAUUCUCGCCGGCGCAGCAGUAGCCGGGUCAAUGCUUCCGCCGGCUUUUCUCCCGCUCGCGCCACCGUCGCCACGCCUCAACCGAUGUCCCUCGCCGCACGAAGCCCGCCAUCGUUAUCGUCACUCCAAGCAUCCCUUCGCGACACCCGGGCAGCUCCACCGCUUCCUCAUUAGCUCUGCACUCAAUCACUCCACCCGCGACGCUCCUGCUCCGACGCCCAGCGGAUCUGCCUCGGACCCACGAAGCUGUCGCUGUCCCAUCUCGCCAAGAUUAUCUUCUGUGAGCCCGCAUCCCUGCACCCCGCCGCACCACCACCCUCGCCUUGCUCCGCUUCUGCAGCAGAUCCCGCAUCCUGCAGCAAAGUCCGAGUCGCCCUGAUGCACCUUCAACCCGCCGGUCCGCGACUCCUUUGUGCUCGAGACCAUCCUGCACUAGCCACUAUAGCCUUCCAAAAGGCUAUCCGUCAACGACCAGGGGUGCCAUUGGCAAGCACAGAUUCUAUCACUUAUUUUCUCCAAUAUUGAUUGUUUUAUUUGAAGGAAAAUCUGGGCAAGGGAAGGUCAUGUAAGAGUUUUCCUAAUGUGGACUAAAUUAAUUGAUAUUGUAAUUUACUGUUUUUACGGUUACCGUAAAACAUGAUUGGUCUAAAGAGAGAUAGAAGGUUUCUUAAUUAGUCUAAUAUGGGCUGGCUAGUGUGGGCCGAGUUAAGCCUGGCCCGUAAUGAGGGGGACUGGUUGGAAACUCUAUAAAUAGUGCUCAAGUCUCUCCUCUAACCCUAAUUCUCACAUGUAUCCUCACCUAAGGGGCGUUUACCUAACGCUAAACGUGAGGGGGCUGCCUCAUUGAGCCAGUGAUACGGAUGGCAAUAGAGGAGAAGAACUUGAUGCGUGAAUCCCCUUGAUAUAUGUGGGUAAUCCUUUUUUCUGCUUCCGCUUUAUGUUCGAUGGAUCCCAAAACAGGUGCGUUAAUCUUUCUACUCAAUUAUGCAUGUUCUUGUUCUGGUUAUGGAGAUCUUGGGGUUGCGCAAUUUGCGUCCAACAUGUGGUAUCAGAGCCUUCCAUAACCCUAAAACUCGAACGCAACUGGUUUUGCCCUAAUUUGUACAGAUUUACCAUAAUUUGUACGGAUCUACCCUAAUUUGUAUAGAUUAGCCCUAAUUGGUACUGAUCUUGCCCUAAUUUGUGAUUUUCGAGACUUUUUGUUCAAUAAAAAUUAAAUUAAAUCAUAAAUUUGGAUUGGGGGAGACGAGACGAGUAAAAGGGUCGGCGGCGCGUCGCCGGGGGAUGCCGCACGCGCCCCCACGCACGGCCAUGCACUGUCUGGGCGUCGAACGCGCGCCGCGCGUGAGCCCCACGCGCUGCGCACUUAGGUGGCGCGUGCGGGCGCGUGAGGGAUUAUUUUGGCACGUGGUUGGUGGCGUUGGACUCGUAUGGUGAUUUAGCAUGUCGUGGUAUAUUUAUUUUAUUUUUUUUGGUGGUUUUAUUGAUGUGAAAUUGCAUAUGGAAUCCUAAAUACGUGUAUUUUUAGUGUAUUUUUGAGUAUUUUUCUUGUAUUUUAUGUGAUUUUGGAAAUACAGGUGAUGGGUUACUAGUAUGUUAUCACAUAAUUAAAAGGUGUGAUUCAUCAAUAAAAAUCAAACUUUAUUGUGAACUGAAGCUGGCUUAAUGAGAUAGAAUUCGUAUGAGAUUGUAUUUGAGCUAUGUAAUUGAGCUGAUGAGAAACAGUAAAGAUUAUGAAACUUUUGUUACUCAAGUAUACUCCUUUACACACUGGUAAUCUUUGAAUGAUAGACGACUUAAGGACUCGUGACCAAACUGAUGUACUGAUUAACACAUUUGCUGAAUGUGGGUAAUGCAUGUCAAUUAAGUUACUGCAUAUUGUACAUGAACUCAUCUGGUCACUUGUUAAUGUCUAUCGAGUUGAAUAUUUUUUAUGGUUAAGGAGUAUGACAACAUUUAUGCAGAGCAAUAGUAUCUACUGUUAAAUUUUAGAUAUUUGGUUCUCUGGUUUGAUUCAAUUAAUAGGCCACUGGUUGAAGUAAUGAUAUUUGUUACCUAAAAUUGAUUAAUAAAUCAGUUGUUGGCCUUGGAGUCAUUUUUGCCUUAUGAACUCAUGAGUGAUAAUGAAUUAGCUGUCAAGCUUGUCGAUUUGGUGUACCAUGUAUUACUAUUGAUGUUAAUUUGUGAGAGAUAUUAUAGAUCAGCAUUCUUUUUAUGUUGUUUUGGUAAUAUGUAAUUGGGGUGCAUAAGAGAUGUUUUAUUCUCUGUUAUGAGAAGUUUCUUGUGUUACUGUGAUCAAUGAUCUCAUUGGAAUCUGUCUUUCAGGUUCGCUAUAUAUAUAUAUAUAUAUAUAUAUAUAUAUGAUUAAUUUUUUAUUAAUGAAUAAAGUAAUGUAAUUAACAUGAUAUGUGAUUUUAGUGAUAUGCUGCCCCUAUCACUAAAUUUAAAAUCACAUGUAUAUGGUAUAUGUGAGGAGUAAAGUUUAUAUCCCUGGUAUGAGAGAAUUUCAAUGAUUCAAUUGAGUAGUGACUGCCAAAGUGGCACGUUUGAUUGAGUUUGAGAAAUUUCGGUCUCGUAUGAUGAUUGUGAUGUCUCCUGAUCUAAUGCGUAAUCAUACUCCCAAAGGAGGUGAUUGUGUAUUAGUUCAUGGAGGGAUACAUGAUAGUGUGGUGGAGGAGUGACUGAUUCUAGUGAUUCAUAUGCCCAAAGGUGAUGAAUUCACGAAGAAUUGGAAUAUAUUCUCAUAAUCGCUAUCAUGUGGGGAGUGUACAACUGUAUGUCAUGUAUUAUGCCCAAAGGUGAUUAUAUGAUUAUGCAUGUAACUCUCUGGAUGUGUACUUGUAUGUCAAGUUACACAGUGCUCAGAUGAUGCUAAUUAUAUACAUUGCUUGAUUUUCAGUCACAUUUUCUGUAAUUAAUAACUUCAUUAUUAUUGAGGUUUUUACUGCUUCAAAUUUUAAGUUAUGGAUAUAUGAUUUGCUGCUUGAGAAAAGAGUAAUAGAAUUUGUUUACUAUCCAUGAGAACACUUGAAAAGAGGUUUGCUUGCGGAUUGCACUGCUAUAAGACGAUGGAAGCCUGAGUUGCUUGAAAUUAUGUCUUGUCUGAUAUUAAAAUUAGGAUACAUCUGCAAAGAUUGUGUUUAAGUCUUAAUAACAUAUACAUCUUGUAUAUGAUUAAAAGGUUGUCAAGUUUAACAGUGGCUAUGAGUAGUUUGGCAAGUAUGACAAUGCGAAAUAACUUAAAGGGUCAUUUGUCAAAUACUUGGUAGAUUUUUGGGUGGUAACUUAAUUACUAUGCCUGAAAAUCUUGACAAAAGAUUCACUCGAAAUUAUUUUGUAUCUUACCUAGAUUGUUCAAAAGGGUAUUGAUUUUAUGACCCUAAAGAAGGUACAAGAAUUAUGGAAUCACAUACUCUAAAGUUUCCAAAUAUUGACGUAAUUGUAGAGGAUAGUUGCUCUCAGACUAUUAAAGAUAAUAGUAUGAUGGAGGUUACUAUGUUUUUGUCUUUACCUAUACAGAUAAUUAUGAAAUCUCCUGUACCAUAGACUAAACUUGUUGAGGUUCAAGGUACUAUUCUUAAUAUAGUUUAUAAUGAAAUUUCUUAAACCUCUCAAGUGUAGAAUGAAGUGGUUGCAGCUUUAUUAAGGAGAGUUGUUAAGGAAAGACGAUCAGUUAUACCAUCAGACUAUAUAGUCUAUUUGUGAGAGCAUGAUUACAAUAUCCACUAUAUGGUUGAUGUAAUGACAUAUUUAUAAAUGUCGUUUUUUAUUCUCAAUCAAGUAUGUGAUUAGAUGCCAUAAAAGGCGAUAUACAAUCUAUGAAACAUCAUAGUGUUUGGAAACUAACUUACUUGCCUAAAGAUUACAAGUUCAUUAGUUGCAAAUUGGCGUACAAAAUUAAAAGAAUUUCAAAGAAAGAUUGUGGAAUUUAAAGCCAAAUUGGUAACUAAAGUUCACUCUGAAAGAGGGGUGGAUUGUUUAUAGUGAAGAAAUAAAUAUUUCUUUCUAGUAUUUUUAAAGAUUCUUUAGAGUGAAUGUGGCAUUAAUAAUUUAUUUUGAUAUGGAGUUACGCCAAAUAGAUACAAAAUCUAUAUAGUGCAACUGGAUUUUAUUUUGAUAUGGAGUUACGCCAAAUAGAUACAAAAUCUAUAUAGUGCAACUGGAUGAUUUUGCAGCAGAUUUAAGUAAACUUGUAUGUAGACUGAAAAGUUCUAAUUCAUGGUCUUAAGCAAGUUUCUAGACAAUAUUAUUAAAGUUUCAUAGUGUUAUUAUUUUGUUCAAUUGAGAACAAAGUAAUUCAAUAUACUGCAAGGUCAGUGGAAGGAAAAUUAUUUUUUCUCAUACUUUAUGUACAUGAUGUUUUGCUUACAAGUUGUGAUCUUGAGACAUCUUAUAUUUUUUAUACUGAGGUCUGUAAUGAUUGUUUUUGCCAUAUUAUAUUAGAUUUUCUCGGAGGACAUUUGCUGAUUGUAUAUUGGAAGUAUUCAAUAUACAUCAUUGCAAGCCAGGAAUUGCUCAUGUUGUUAAGGGUGAUGGACUAAAUCUAUCACAUUGUCCUUAUUUAGAUAUUGAGAAAAUCUAAUUAAAUGAUGUAUUUUGUGUCAGUGCACUUAAAAGUAUAAUGUAUGCUCGAAUUUGCACUAGACUAAAAGUUGUCUUUGUGACGGGACUUCUAGGCAGAUAUCGAUCAAAUCCAAGACGCGAUCACUGGGUUGCUGCUAAGAAGAUUUAAAGGUACUUAAAGAAGACAAGAGAUUAUAUGCUAAUUUAUAGGCAUGUUCAAUUCUUGCAGUUAGUAGGGUAUUUAUAUGUAAACUUUGCUGGCUGUUCUGAUGACAUGAAAUCAAUAACAGAAUACAUAUUUAUGUUAGCAAUAAGUGCAGUAAAUAAAUUUUUAUGUCAUCUUCUACUAUGUAAGCAGUGUCAGUAACAUUCUUUUAGGCUGUUACUUGGGUUUUUAGGCUCCAGAACUUCAUGAAAGGAGUUGAUUGUGUUAACUUUAUGGAUAGACCCAUACGGUUGUAUUGAGAUAACAAAUUUGUAGUAUUAUUUAUUUACUACAGAGGUCUCAAGGGGUCUAAAUAUAUGGUGGUCAAAUAUUUUUUACCAUAAAGAAACGAUACAGAAAGGUGACUUAUAAUAUAACAUAUUUUCAUAGAUGAUGUGGUUACAGAUCCACUAACUAAAGGCCUACGCCCAUGUGUAUUUGAGUGACAUGUCAUUAGCAUGGGCCUAGGAGUAUCUUCGGAUAUUGUUGUUUAGUGGGAGCUAUUUUGGCUUUACUCUGAUAAAUGUUUCAUCUGUGUUCGUUACACUUUGUAACGGUUUAAUAUUUUGAAUGUAUUGUUAUUAUGUUGAAUACAUAUUGAUAAAGUCUCAAUGGAUUGUAUAAACCUUGAGUGAAGGCUAGGGGCAUCCGGGCAUCCAGUUAUUAGCCUUGUGCAUAUGUCUUGUGAUACAUAAAAAAAGGUUAACCAUAAGGACAAAACAUAUGUGGGUUCAUUAGAACCAUAAAUCAUUCUCUAGUAGCACAAGUUUUUGUGACACCUAAGGUAAGAGAAUGAUGACUGGCAAAUGGGAUCUCUCUAUGAGAGAUGUUAUCCAUUUGACACACUACCAUAUUGAAUCCAUAUCAAUAAAGUUGAGAACAUUCGUGACCAUGGAAUGCUCUGUGUGUAUACAUGUAGUUACCGCCAUGAUUCGGUGUUUAAGACUUUAUGGGAUAGGAUUGACUAUUAAGAAUUAUCUCUGGACCAAAUGUGCGCACAUACGGUACGAUUUCAAUUAAUAUAGUCCAAGUGGGAGAAUGUAAGAGUUUUCCUAAUGUGGACUAAAUUAAUUGAUAUUGUAAUUUACUGUUUUUACGGUUACCGUAAAACAUGGUUGGUUUAAAGAGAGAUAGAAGGUUUCUUAAUUAGUCUAAUAUGGGCUGGCUAGUGUGGGCCGAGUUAAGCCUGGCCCGUAAUGAGGGGGACUAGCUGGAAACUCUAUAAAUAGUGCUCAAGUCUCUCCUCUAACCCUAAUUCUCACAUGUAUUCUCACCUAAGGGGCGUUUACCUAACGUUAAACGUGAGGGGGCCGCCUCAUUGAGCUAGUGAUACGGAGGGCAAUAGAGGAGAAUAACUUGAUGCAUGGAUCCCCUUGAUAUAUGUGAGUAAUCAUUUUUUCUGCUUCCGCUUUAUGUUCGAUGGAUCCCAAAACAGGUGCGUUAAUCUUUCUACUCAAUUAUGCAUGUUUUUGUUCUGGUUAUGGAGAUCUUGGGGUUGCGCAAUUUGCGUCCAACAGGUCAUACAUGAGGACGUGCACAUUGAAGAGGACACACUAGAGAAUGUCAAAGGAGGAAACGUGGAGAGGAGUCAUGCAUUAAAGAAAGCACACCAUCCAAAAAGAAAGUCAAGCGAGAUCAAUUAACCCGACAAGCCUCAGCCCCAAAUCAAGUCGCCGUCCAGUCGUUUGUUCCUUAUUUGCUGGUUUUCGAUGAUCCCAGCGCUCGCAGCCCUUGCUCUGCCAAUUUUGCUUCACUUUCUUGUAGGUUUUUUCAGUCACGUCCGAGGUCUCGCCAUCAAGCUUGUAGUUGUUGCCACCCCCAAUGACGUCCCUAAGGCCAAGCCAUCACCUAUGAUCCAUGAAGCCACUGAGCCGAGCCUCACCGCAACCAUAUCUGCCCGCGAUGCGCUUGUCCGAGUAUCAUUAACCGUCCAAGCUACACCUCUCACUGCCUUGAAGUCCAUGGUAAAAAAUCUGGAGCCAGCAAAGCUUGUUAUUGGUCAAAGCAAGAAGAUCAAGGAAAAUUUUCUUUGGGAUCGUAGGGUGGGUUUUCCUUCAAGAAAUUGCGGUUGUUCCUUGCGCCACCGCACCACAUUAAUGUCAGCAAUUCUCUGUGGAGGCUCUGACCAAUGUCUACUCAUUACCACGAAGCAGUUAAUCGAGUCAUCCAUUAGCAAGUUCUGUCGCUGCCACACUGGUCAAUCCCACCACGAGCUAGUCGUAACCUAGAGUCCCCACCACCUCUUCAUCGUGUCGAGUUUGUCCAAUUUUGACAAGCAAGUGUUUGAACAAGGUAAUAAUUUCAUCUUAGUCAAGAUUCAUAUAUUUUGUUGCCUUGCUCGAAUUAUUGCAUUCUUGAUUAAAUUCUCGAAUAAUGUUAUCAUGAGCUCGAAUGGCCGUCACGACGUGCAUAUAAUUGAUAGUCCGAUUUCACGCUCGAAAUACGACUCGCAAUCGCACAAAAAAAUCGCCAAUCCGAUCUCACGCUCGAGAUCCGAUUCGCGGUUUUAUUUAAAAUUGACCAACCCGAUCUCAUGCGUGAGAUAUGGUUCGCCAAUUUGUGGAUAUCAAUUUUUCGUCGUGUUGGUUGAAUCAGUUUUAUUUUUGUAAAAAGGAAAAAUCCAAAAAAAAUCUGAGUUAGAUUAGGUUCGUUUUAGAAUAUUUCUCGUUUUAGGGUUAUCUUGCAUGUGUAGAAUUGGAGAUUUAUUAUUUCGAACUUUGAAAAAGAAAUAAAAUAAAAAAAUGCAUUCAUUUAGGAUGUUAGUUGUUUUAAAAAAAAAUUAAGUUGCAUGUUUAAUUAUGUGGCAAUUUUAAUUUCGAAUUUCAUAAAAGGAAAAAAGAAAAAAUUUAGAAUUAGAGCAUUCUUUGCACGUCAUGGCAUAUUAGAAUAAAUUGCAUGUUUCAUUUUAAGUUUAGAUUAAUGUUUGCAUCUUAGGAUAGAGCUUGCUAGGUUAAGACAAUAUCUUAGUUUAAAUUAGGGUUUAGUCUAACCCGAUCCUUAAUAUAAGCUGGAUAGAAUUUUAAUCUAGAUAGUCAUGUUUUGCAUCAUAAAAAAAAUAAAAUUUGUCUUAGGAUAAAUUAGUUGCAAUUUCUAGGAUAGAUUGCAUUUUUAGAAUAAAAAAUCAUGUGCACGUCAUAUAGAAUUAGGUCCAUAAAAUGCACGUCAUUUAGUGAUUGUUGCUAGGUUCAUUUAAUUAGAAAUUGCCCGUCAUUAGAUUAGGUCAUUUAAUAAAUGUUGCGUGACAUAUAGCUCGCAUAUUAAAUUGUAUGUCGCAUGUCAUUUUAGUUAAAAUAAUCUUGUACGUCAUUGCAUCGCAUCAUACGUCAUUAGAAUUAAAUCAUUAUGGUUAAUUUAGAUUGCAUAUUUAAUUAUUGCAUGUUCAUUAAGAAAUCAUUAGUUUUUUUACUCAUUCAUAUAGUUUACGACAUAUUGCCAUGCCAUAUCAUUUCAUAUUAGAUUAGAAGUAUUGCAUUGCAUAUGGACUAUUCUCGUUGAAAAAGAGAAAACAAAAAUUGAGUAAUUGCUUGUUAAUUAGAAACCAUAUUUAGGGUUGUUGGUGUGGAUUUUAAUUUAAACGCUUUCGUUGCUAUGAGGUAAGUCCUGCAAUUUAUUUACUGCUUUACUUUGGUGUUAAAUUGGUGGUUUGCGCACUCGCAUGAUAACCUCACAUGUUAGGGAAAUAGUUUAAAAUCAAUUCAAGCUGCCAGCAAAACUUUUAUUUUAAAUAAAAAAAUGGUACCGAAAUGGCGUUAGAGAAAUCUAGCGUAAUCAAGUCCCCGUACCCAAAUCUCUGGUUCGUAGGAGUAAAGUAAAACUCCCGUUACUUUACUUGGGUUUCUAAUCGACCCACCAAAAAUAGAUUAGUGGCGACUCCUAAUUGAAAAUCAUUUGCAUGUUAAGAAUUCAAACCUAAGUUGCGAAUUGGUAUGGGCUUGGGAGAGCCUGAGUUAAGUCUAGGCUUAACAAUCCAUUAGCCAAACCCUAGGUGGUUCACACCCGAAAAUUUGGUCGCGACAGCUUGUCAACUCCGCUGGGGAACUGAGUUAAAACUCUUAGUGGACUUAGGCCAAUUUUUCUUUUCUUUUAAAAAAUGUUUUUGUUUGGCAGCGAGGAUUCCGGGUACGCCCUUAACAUUUAAGGUGUUAAAUGUUCUUGUAGGAUGGGAGGUAUAAGGAGAAGUGUUUGUUAACCUUUGUUUUGCAGGGAGGUCUAGGAAUGUAUGGUUUACUUUCAUAUACGAAGUGUUGCUUGAUAUAAACUGUUGUGCAUGCCUUGCAUUUGCACUACAUUAUUGCACACACAACCUGCCGCCGGACCUGGGCUGCAUAGGAUCAUUUAGGAUGGUAUUGAGAUGGAUACCACUCCAACCGCACGCUCGCAGUACGAGUCGCCCAUCUCAAUCCCAAAGUUUCUUUCAUGGUGUCAAGAUUACCCACCUCGGUCUGCAUCCUCGCGACCCGGGUCGGCUCUUUGACCAAGCCGGAGUCAUGAGGACCCGACAUAGUCCACAAGCCCGUGGCUAGUCCGAUCAUCCUUGUGGCUCCACUUUGAUAAGCCUUAUAGAGUAGAAAUCGAGCCACUUACCAUGCGCAUGUCUAUGUGAUUGCCAUUGAUUUUUCUUGGUGAAGUAAGUCUUCUAUCCCUAUACUAUGCAAUUUACUUUUGGUCUAUCCAUGACAAUCUAGGUUAGUCGUUUGAUCUAAUUCAUUUGUCAAUUAGAAAUGAAAAUGAGGAAAUUGCCAUGUAAUGAAUCAUUUGCCAAAAAACUUUGGAGAAUUUGUUUUCAAUUCAUGUUUAGGAAAUUUGGUCUUGUUAGGGUGUCUAUCUUUAUUUUCCUAGUCCAUUUUUAGGAAAUGCCCUUCUUGUAAGAACUUUUCAUGAAUAAAUGAAAAAAAAUGGAAAAAUCGAUUAAAUCAUUGUCAUGGAUUGACUUUCUAUUUGCCCUCAUGCUUACAUGUUCCCAUUCAUUUGAAUUAGGUGAUUAUGGAACUAUCCCGCUCACCCAUCUGUUCAUGAUUGAGAGCUAAAAUGACGAAUAAAAAAGAGCUAAUCUCAUCAAGAAAAAGUGUUGCAAUCUAUCUUCAACGAGAAAUUGUGACUCUAAGGAGAGAGCCAAGAAGACUUUUUGAACCGUAUCAUUUUCUUGAGGUAGCCAAAUUUGAUGCCAUCAUGAAGAAACCAGUGACAUAUAUAGAGAGAAAAAUAUUUGACCUGAGUCGUAUCACAAGAUCAAGGAGGGUGAAGAGUGAAGAAUUCAAGUACACAUGAUUCAUGGUCCUAAGUUGUUCCAUUUCCUCAUUUAAUUAGGGGCAUGCACCUUCCCCUGCGUGGGAAUUCUUAUCACUUUUUAGGGAUUGAUUUCAAUUUCUUUUGUGCUUGAGCAUUACAUUCCAAUAAUGUAAUUUGAUUACUGAAUAUCAAUAGAAUUACAAGUUUUGUUUUGGGGACAUGAUGGGGUACACCAAACUAGCCCGGUGAUGAUAUCCAACAAUGAAAAGAAAAUAUCAUCGAAGGAGAAUUCUGAGGACUGGGCUUCUUCAUGCUUCCUCAUAAAAAAAAAAUCCAAAAGAACAAAAAAAAGAAGAAGAUCAUUUUUCAAGCCAUUUCCAAAAAGCAUGCAUUAGAUUAGCCUUGUUUAAUUUUCUGACUCAUUUACUUCAUGUUUCAGAGCAUUACUUUCUUGACUCGAUAAGAAAGCAUCUAAAAAAGGCACAUCAGGUUGCAAUUGGUUCAAUUGUUACUCAACAAGUUUCUAAAGAUUUAAUGUUGGUCACAUCUCGAUACUACUUGAAAUAUCCAUCUUGAAGGGCCAAACAAAGUGUGUUCCAUUUCCAUGCUUGACGGAAUUUUCAUUCUCGCCCAUUAAAUGAGGGGCAAGUUAAAAGAGGAUCAUCCAUCUUUGGUGAAAGAGGUAUAUCUCGUUUUUGAACAUAAAUAAUUUUGGGAGAUGACACUUUGUUUCCUUGCAGAUGACGAAUUGGGGGCACUACAGAUUCUAGUAGUGACAUGACUGAGAUAAAAUCUCGAUCCGAGCCAAAAUGGUUGUGCAAUUUGAAUUUACUUUGAGUUGCAUAAUAUCCUAUUCAUGCACGUUCUCUUGUGCAGGGGCAAAAGUAAGAAUGGAGUAUUCAUCAAAUCAAAAAGCAUAUUUUCACUUUUGAUUGAUAGAGACAAUCCAAUGACAUCCAUUGCUGAGACAAUCCAUUCGUGGGACAAUUCCUUGAAUGAAUGCUUGAAAUCAUGUUUGAGUGUAGUAAAUUGUUUGUUUUGAAGUAACAAAAGUUUUUCAUGCUUAAAGUUGCUAGACUAUUUUGAAAAAGAAUUUCCAUGGUGAUUCUACCUAUUUAACUCACCAAUUUCAUGUGGAGAUUUAUCAAGAUGGACUAAUUCAAUGAAUGAUGUGGAAUGGAUUAAGCAUGCUAAAUGAGACGUGUCAGGAUGAUGAAAGGCAAGCCUUAUCCUAUACACAAUCCCCUACUUAUACACUUGUGAGAUGAGUGCAAGAAGUUCCAUAUCUGCAAGGUAAAGAGUUCUCUCGCAAAAGGUACGAUAACCAAAAUGAUGAGGGGCAAUUCAUUUCUCUAUCCCAAACACAACAGGUGAUCCAUUGCUUAACCACUUUGAGCCUUAUACACUUGUGAAGAUUUUUUUUAAAGUUAUCCCUGUCAAAAACCACCCCACAUUGGGGCAAAUUGGAAGGUAAGACAGCACCAUAAAGUGAAGAAAAUGGAUUGAAAUUUUCUUGCUUUCACUUGCAUCAAUUUUCAAGUCGUGCUAUUACAUUGAAUUCAUAUGGUAAUUUAAGUGCCUUAGGAUGACGAAGAUCAUUUCUUUCUCUAUCCUACAUAUUUAUAUCCUUUGCAUAGUCCACUUGAGCCUGCAAUUUCAUUUCUUUUAAACCCAGUUGGUGAUUAUCCCCCACACUGGGGCAAGGCAAGAGACAGAUGAAGACCUUUGAAAGUUUGAAUGUCAUUCAAAGUGUAAUUGCUUGACACAUGCAUAGAAAUCAAAAUAGAAUUAAUGGGCAUGAAAAAGCAGUGUGCUUGGUAAAAGUAAGGCCAAUGCCCAUGAAAAAAAGUAAAGAAAAAAUGAACAAGAACUGGGGGCAUGAAAAAGCGGUGUGCCUAGUAAAAGCAAGGCCAAUGCCCAUAAAUGAAAAAAAAAGAGUCAAGAUAAAUGACUGUCAAUUGCUAGAAUUAAAUCCCAAUGGAGCAAUACUCAAAGAACUCAAAAUUUGAGUUUUUACAAUCAAUUGGGCAUCUUAUUAAGACAAUCCCCGAUGAUGAAAGUGAAAACUGGUGGCAAUGCCAAGAUGAUCACCAACUCUCACUAUUCACACACAUUUUGAGCCUAAUGAUCUUUCAUUUCUCAACCCAUGAACCCAACCUACGUUACGUCCUUUACAAAGUCUCUUCAAAUUAGGGCACUUGAAUUAACAUAGGAGUUCAUAUAAGCAUCGCUCGAAGAAGUGUGAGCUAGAUUAUUUCUUUCUCAUUUUGCAGGGUUCUUGACUUGUAACCCCAGAGAUGAUUAAAAAGUUGUUCUUUCAAUAGCCUUGACUCAAAGAGUCCCUUUGUUAAGCCGUUGACCGAGCCCACAUUACGGUCCCUAUUAAAGACCUCUCAGAUUGGUAAGGUCGUACCGCUUGCAAGAAAACUCGGACCCUUGUUAGUAUGAUGACAGUGAGAUGGAGUGAUUCCCAUAAAAUAGCCUCUAAAUAAGAGUGAGUGAAAGUCCUUUCUAACUGAAGGUCUCUCAUUUGGUAUUCUUAGGAAAUCCAUGUUAUGAUUGAAGAUUGUCUUGAAUGAUAAUUCUCUCCAGUGGAAAUUUGGGUGAUGCAAAGGUCAUUAUGCAUGAACCCCAAUUGAGUUGAAGAAAACCUUACUAAAUUUUGAAAUCUGCAUUGUCUAUCUCUUUGAUGAAUGCAUAUAAGUUUUUGUUCUAAAUCAUGUCUGACGGGUAAUUCAAGUUCCUUUCAGAAUGUUUCAUGAUAUUAGAAGAUGAGAAACCUCCACCAUGAGGUGAAAGACCUCCAUAGGAUAUCUAAAUUUCAAAAGACAUAUCCCCAAGAAUUAGAGACCUCCACCAUGAGGUGAAAGACCUCCACAGGUAAGUAUAUCUCUAUCCAUAUCUUGAAUAUUUGUCAUUGCACAGGUAUUCCCUUUUAAGCAUACCGACACUCAAUUGAGUUGUCCCCCAAAGAUUUUUCCUCCAAAUUCAAUCUGAUUAAGGCGAUCGAAGAAUGGUUCGGGUCCUGGUCGAAUGAUCUCUGUUGCAAGGCUGGGCGACCGAAGAGUGGUUCCGGUCCUAGCCAAGCAAAACCUCAGUCUAGGCGACCGUAGAAUGGUACGGGUCCUAGACAACAUUUAUUGCUCAUUCAGGCGACCGUAGAAUGGUACGGGUCCUGGAAAAACAAUUUCCUCAUUCAGGCGACCGUAGAAUGGUACGGGUCCUGGAAAAAUAAUUUUCUUCGUCGAGGCGACCGUAGAAUGGUAUGGGUCCUUGACAACACCUAUUCAGGCGACCGUAGAAUGGUACGGGUCCUUGACAACACCUAUUCCUUAUUCAGGUGACCGUAUAAUGGUACGGGUCCUGGAAAAACAAUUUCCCCAUUCAGGCGACCGUAGAAUGGCACGGGUCCUGAAAAAUCAAUUUUCAUUCUAGGCGAGCGUAGAAUGGUAUGGGUCCUAGACAACAUUUAUUGCUCUAACAGGCGACCAUAGAAUGGUACGGGUCCUGGAAAAGCAAUUUCCCCAUUCAGGCGACCGUAGAAUGGUACGGGUCCUAGAAAAUGAAUUCCCGUUUAGGCGACCGUAGAAUGGUACGGGUCUUGGGAAAGCAGUUCCUUACAAAACCUUUCUGCAGUAUUGGGCGACCGUAAAAUGGUACGGGUCCUGAGAAAGCAGUUCCUUUCUGCCAUAUCGGACGAUCGUAGAAUGGUACGGGUCCUAGGAAAGUAGCAUCUUCACAAAGUCAUAGGCGACUAUAGAAUGGUACGGGUCCUGGACAAGUAACACCCACUACCUUGAAUUACUCUAUCCUCCUCGAAGGUAAGUUAUUCCAGGUAGGUUCAUUUAUCAUUUGCAUUAGAAUUUCCAUGCAUCAUAUAAGUUGUAUUAAAAAAUGGAAUUCAUGUUCCGACAAAAAAAAAAAAAUCAUUCACUGCAUGUGCAUGGUCAAAAUUUAGGUCUCAAUUUGUCUUUGAAGGCAACCUCUACGAGCUCACCUUCAAAGAGGGGCAGCUGUUGACACUUAAAUUUUGGCGACCCAUUUAGACAUUUAUCGUAUUAAAAAUUAGGGGUUAAUUUUAUCCCUGAAAAAAUAAAAUCACAUGGCAUAUAGUUUAGGAACAUUUUUGUUUAUUUUAUUGGACCGAUGGCGAGUGCAAAAUUUUUCACAUAUUUCGUUGGGAUUUUCAUAUAUUUAGGCAAUAUACACCGAGUGAUGUGUUUUUGAUGGAAAGGAAAUUCUCGAAUGAAAUAUUGGAAAAAAAACACAAAAAAUAUUGCGCAUGGUGGGAUGAUAUAUUCAAUAGUAUUUUGCACGAGCAAAGUUGGCAAUGAAAUAUACCACAUAGAUACAAUUUUUCGGUGUAUAAAAGGAGUCGCAUACGGUGGGGAGCAAAAGGAGGCCACACAAUUGACUACACGGCGGUAUAUACGGAGACUUCUCUAGGGUUCCAAGAAGAGAGAAAAAAAAAAGAAGAGAAAAAGCUUUGGGGUUUCUCCAUUCGUUCCGUAAAAAAAUAGAGGAGGAGAAAAGCUUAUUUGGAAGGGGGAAAAGUCAACAGAAGCUUUUUGCUUCUGCAGAUAGAGAGAACAGAACAACACAGCAGGGAGAUUGACGUGAGGGACGUCGAUCAACAGGAAAAAACAGGAAAAAAUAAGAAGAAAAAAGGGUGCUCUUGUUCCUAUUCAUCUUCCCCACCACGCUUUCCUUGAUUCUCACCGACGUAGCAGCAGCCGGGUCAACGCUUCCGCCGGCUUUUCUCCCGCUCGCGCCACCGUCGCUGUGCCUCAGCCAAUCUCCCUCGCCGCACGAAGCUCACCGUCGUUAUCGUCACUCUGAGCAUCCCUCCGCGACGCCCGGGCAGCUCCGUCGCUUCCUCAUCAGCUUUGCACUCAAUCGCUCCACCCGCGACGCUCCUGCUUCGACGCCUAGCGGAUCUACCCCGGACCCACGAAGCUGUCGCUGUCCCAUCUCGCCGGGAUUCUCACCUGCGAGCCCGCAUCCCUGCACCCCACCGCACCACCACCCUCGCCUUGCUCCGCUUCUGCAGCAAAGUCCGAGUCGCCCUGCUGCACCUUCAACCCGCCGGUCCGCGACUCCCCUGUGCUCGAGACCAUCCUGCACCAGCCACUAUAGCCUUCCAAAAGGCUAUCCGUCAACGACCAGGGGUGCCAUUGGCAAGCGCAGAUUCUCUCACUUUCUCCAAUAUUGAUUGUUUUAUUUGAAGGAAAAUCUGGGCGAGGGAAGGUCAUACAUGAGGAUGUGCACAUUGAAGAGGACGCACUAGAGAAUGUCAAAGGAGGAAACGUGGAGAGGAGUCAUGCAUUAAAGAAAGCACACCAUCCGAAAAGAAAGUCAAGCGAGAUCAAUUAACCCGACAAGCCUCAGCCCCAAAUCAAGUCACCGUCCAGUCGUUUGUUCCUUAUUUGCUGGUUUCCGAUGAUCCCAACGCUCACAGCCCUUGCUCUGCCAAUUUUGCUUCACUUUCUUGCAAGUUUUUUCAGUCACGUCCGAGGUCUUGCCAUCAAGCCUGCAGUUGUUGCCACCCCCAGCGACGUCCCUAAGGCCAAGCCAUCACCUAUGAUCCAUGAAGCCACUGAGCCGAGCCUCACCGCAACCGUAUCUGCCCGCGACGCGCCUGGCCGAGUAUCAUUAACCGUCCAAGCCGCACCUCUCACUGCCUUGAAGUCCAUGGUCAAAAAUCUGGAGUUAGCAAAGCUUGUUAUUGGUCAAAGCAAGAAGAUCAAGGAAAAUUUUCUUUGGGAUCGUAGGGCGGGUUUUCCUUCAAGAAAUUGCGGUUGUUCCUUGCACCACCACACCACAUUAACGUCAGCAAUUCUCUGUGGAGGCUCUGACCAAUGUCUACUCAUUACCAUGAAGCAGUUAAUCGAGUCAUCCAUUAGCAAGUUCUGCUGCUGCCACACUGGUCAAUCCCACCACGAGCUAGUCGUAACCGAGAGUCCCCACCACCUCUUCAUCGUGUCGAGUUUGUCCAAUUUUGACAAGCAAGUGUUUGAACAAGGUAAUAAUUUCAUCUUAGUCAAGAUUCAUAUAUUUUGUUGCCUUGCUCGAAUUAUUGCAUUCUUGAUUAAAUUCUCAAAUAAUGUUAUCAUGAGCUCGAAUGGCCAUCACAACGUGCAUAUGAUUGACAAUCCGAUUUCACGCUCAAAAUACAACUCACAAUCGCACGAAAAAAUCGCCAAUCCGAUCUCACGCUCGAGAUAUGAUUCGUGGUUUUAUUUAAAAUUGACCAACCCGAUCUCAUGCGUGAGAUAUGGUUCGCCAAUUUGUGGAUAUCAAUUUGUCGUCGUGUUGGUUGAAUCAGUUUUAUUUUUGUUAAAAGGAAAAAUCCAACAAAAAUCUGAGUUAGAUUAGGUUCAUUUUAGAAUAUUUCUCGUUUUAGGGUUAUCUUGCCUGUUUAGAAUUGGAGAUUUAUUAUUUCGAACUUUGAAAAAGAAAUAAAAUCAAAAAAUGCAUUCAUUUAGGAUGUUAGUUGUUUUUUAAAAAAAAAAUUAAGUUGCAUGUUUAAUUAUGUGGCAAUUUUAAUUUCGAAUUUCAUAAAAGGAAAAAAGAAAAAAUUUAGAAUUAGAGCAUUCUUUGCACGUCAUGGCAUAUUAGAAUAAAUUGCAUGUUUCAUUUUAAGUUUAGAUUAAUGUUUGCAUCUUAGGAUAGAGCUUGCUAGGUUAAGACAAUAUCUUAGUUUAAAUUAGGGUUUAGUCUAACCCGAUCCUUAAUAUAAGCUAGAUAGAAUUUUAAUCUAGAUAGUCAUGUUUUGCAUCAUAAAAAAAAAAAAAUUGUCUUAGGAUAAAUUAGUUGCAAUUUCUAGGAUAGAUUGCAUUUUUAGAAUAAAAAAUCAUGUGCACGUCAUAUAGAAUCAGGUCCAUAAAAUGCAUGUCAUUUAGUGAUUGUUGCUAGGUUCAUUUAAUUAGAAAUUGCCCGUCAUUAGAUUAGGUUAUUUAAUAAAUGUCGCGUGACAUAUAGCUCGCAUAUUAAAUUGUAUGUCGCAUGUCAUUUUAGUUAAAAUAAUCUUGUACGUCAUUGCAUCGCAUCAUACGUCAUUAGAAUUAAGUCAUUAUGGUUAAUUUAGAUUACAUAUUUAAUUAUUGCAUGUUCAUUAAGAAAUCAUUAGUUUUUUUACUCAUUCAUAUAGUUUAGGACAUAUUACCAGGCCAUAUCAUUUCAUAUUAGAUUAGAAGCAUUGUAUUGCAUAUGGACUAUAUUCUCGUUGAAAAAGAGAAAACAAACAUUGAGUAAUUGCUUGUUAAUUAGAAACCAUAUCUAGGGUUGUUGGUGUGGAUUUUAAUUUAACAUUGCAGACGCUUUCGUUGCUAUGAGGUAAGUCCUGCAAUUUAUUUACUGCUUUACUUUGGUGUUAAAUUGGUGGUUUGCGCACUCGCAUGAUAACCUCACAUGUUAGGGAAAUAGUUUAAAAUCAAUUCAAGUUGCCAGCAAAACUUUUUUUAAAAUAAAAAAAAUGGUACCGAAAGGGCGUUAGAAAAAUCUAGCGUAAUCAAGUCCCCGCACCAAAAUCUCUGGUUCGUAGGAGUAAAGUAAAACUCCCGUUACUUUACUUGAGUUUCUAAUCGACCCACCAAAAAUAGAUUAGUGGCGACUCCUAAUUGAAAAUCAUUUGCAUGUUGAGAAUUCAAACCUAAGUUGCGAAUUGAUAUGGGCUUGGGAGAGCCCGAGUUAAGUCUAGGCUUAACAAUCUAUUAGCUAAACCCUAGGUGGUUCACACCCGAAAAUUUGGUCGCGACAGGUGUAUAUUGCCUAAAUAUAUGAAAAUUCCAACGGAAUAUGUGAAAAAUUUUGCACUCGCCGUCGGUCCAACAAAAAUGUUCCUAAAUUAUAUGCCAUGUGAUUUUUUUUUUUUGGUAAAAAUUAACCCUAAAAAUUAUGCAAAAAUUUAGGUGUCAACAGCUGCCCCUCUUUGAAGGUGAGCUCGAAGAGGUUGCCUACAAAGACAAAUUAAGACCUAAAUUUUGGUCAUGCACAUGCAAUGAAUGAUUUUUGUUGGAAAAUGAAUUCCAUUUUUUAAUGCAAUUUAUGUGAUGCAUGGAAAUACUAAUGCAAAUGAUAGAUGAACCUACUUGGAAUAACUUACCUUCGAGAAUGAUAGAGUAAUUCGAGGUGGUGGGUGUUACCUGUCCAGGACCCGUACCAUUCUACGGUCACCUAGAAUAGUAAUAUGACUUUGUGAAGAUGCUACUUUCCCAGGACUCGUACCAUUCUAUGGUCGCUUAGUAUGGCAGAAAGGAGCUGCUUUCUCAGGACCCAUACCAUUCUACGGUCACCCAAUAUGGCAGCAAUGUUUUGUAAGGAACUGCUUUCCCAGGACCCGUACCAUUCUACGGUCGCCUAGUAUGGCAGAACGAUUUUGUCUAGGACCCGUACCAUUCUACGGUCGCCUAAACGGGGAUUCAUUUUCCAGGACCCGUACCAUUCUACGGUCACCUGAAUAAGGAAUAGGUGUUGUCAAGGACCCGUACCAUUCUACGGUCGCCUCGACGAAGAAAAUUAUUUUUCCAGGACCCGUACCAUUCUUCGGUCACCCAGCCUUGCGACAAAAAUCAUCCGACCAAGACUUGAACCAUUCUUCGGUCGCCUUAAUCAGAUUGAAUCUGGAGGAAAAAUCUUUGGGGGACAACUCAAUUGAGUGUCGGUAUGCUUAAAAGGGAAUACCUGUGCAAUGACAAAUAUUCAAGGUAUGGAUAGAGAUAUACUUACCUGGUAACAUCUUCGAUCUUCGGGGAUACGUCUCCUGCAAAACAUGGUCGUAGGAGAGGCAACAUGCAUUUGUAAUCAUAAACAUGCAUCAAUUUAAUGGAGGUUCGUGAUGAUUUCCAUUAUUCUUGCAUCACCUAAUUUCCAUUUUGAACACAUGAGUGUCAUGAAUGUGUCAAAUGAGGGAUCCUUUGGUCUGAAAUGGCUUUUCUCUCAUCCUCAUUAAAAUGGCCAUUUCAUCCUGACCUUUGAUGCAAGAUUUUGUCAAUCACUCUAUCUCACCAUCGUCAUACCAAACAAGGGUCUGAGCAAUCUCGCAAAUGGUACGAUCUCACCAAUCUAAGAGGUCUUUAAGAGGGACCGUAAUGUGGGCUUGGUCAACGGCUUAACAAAGGGGACUCUUUGAGUCAAGGCUAUUUGAAAAAUGACAUUUCAUAACUGUCUUGGGAUUUUUAAGUCAAGAAACAUAUGAAAUGAGACAGUAAUUAUCUUACUCGCACUUCUUCAAGCGAUGCUUUUAAGCAUAUGAACUCUUACAUUAAUUCAAGUGCCAUAAUCUGAAGAGACUUUAUAAGGGACGUAACGUAGGCUUGGUUCAUGGGUUGUGAAUUGAAAGGAUCAUUAGGCUCAAAAAGUGUUUAGAUGGUCAAAGUUGGUAAUCAUCUUGACAUUUCCACCACUUUCCUUCUUCAAUGUCGAAGAUUUUCUUUACACUCAUUGAUUGCAACAGCAUUUGAGUUUUUUUUUCUUUUUCUUUUGGGCAUCGGCCUUGCUUUUACCAGGCACAUUGCUUCUUUCAUGCCCCAUUUUUGCAUUUUUUUUUGAACAAAAUCUCCAUUUUUGUCAGCAUUCUAGUUCAUGCUACUUAAGUGUUUUUGUCUUGCCCCAGUGUGGGGGAUGAUCACCAACUGGGUUUAAUAUGAAAUGAAUUCAUAAGCUCAAGUGGGCUAUGCAAUGGAUAAAAGUGUGUAGGAUAGAGAAAUGACUGCUCUUCAUCAUCCUAAGGCACUUUAAACAAUCAUACGAGUUACAACGCGAAAGCAAUACUUGAAGAUUGAUGCAAGUAUGAGUAAGAAAAUUCCUAUCAUUCAUUUCAAACUUUGUCCCAAUGUGGGAUGAUCUUUGACAGGGAUGAUUUAAAAAUUCUUCAUGUGUGUGGCCUCGAAGGGCUAAACAAUAGGUAUACCUAUAGUGUUUUGGGUAGAGAAAGAUCUGCCUCUCGUCAACUUGGUUAGUGUACCCUUUGCGAGAUCACCCUCUUCCUUGCGGGCAUGGAACUCUUCCACACAACUCACCAAGGAUUAAUGUAUGGGAUAGUGUAUGGAACAAGGCUUGCCUUUCAUCAUUCCAAGGUACCCCAUUUGACACAUACAAUUUAUCUCACACAAUUCAUCAAGGAAGAAGAAUGCAAGCUUUAUGACAAAUUUGAACAAUUCAACUGAUUGAAGCAUAUUAUUAAUCAUAAAAUACUCGCAAUUCAAGACAAGACAUGGCAAAUUCUAUCACGGAUAAUACUUCUUGACAGCAUCAGCAUUGACUGGAGUAGAAAACUCACGACCGUCCAUUUUUGCCAAAAUCAGGGCACCUCCAGGAAGUACCUUCUUCACCACAUACGGGCCGCCGUAAUUUGGAGCGAACUUGCCCCCAGGAUCUGGAAAAAUUGGCAACAGCUUUCUCAGAACCAAAUCGUUUAUCUCGAAAUGUCUCUGUUGUAUCUUUCGGUUGAAGGAUAGAUGAGAAAAGACUUGAGUAGUUAAACUUGAUAGAUGAGAAAAGACUAAAGGCUCUUUGCCAUGGCCAGACUUACCAGCAGAGAGUGGCUAUGGCCAAGAGCCAUGGCCACUCCACUUGGGAUAGAACUCUUAGAGAAGGAAUCUCCACUUCUACAGGUAGAACUGCCUCCAUACCGUACACCAAAGCAAACGGGGUUGCCCCAGUGGAAGUGCCGAUCGAUGUCCGGUAUGCCAUCAAUGCGAAAGGUAACUUGUCAUGCCAAUCUCGAUAAUUCUUGGCUGUCUUAGCCAAAAUCUUCUUAAUGUUCUUAUUGGCUACUUCAACGGCCCCGUUCAUUUAAGGGCGGUAAGGAGAUGAAUUUAGAUGCUUGAUUUUGAACUUUCCGAACAACUCAUCAACAAGUUUGUUAUUCAAAUUGGUCCCAUUAUCAGUGAUGAUUGCUUCAGGGACACCAUAACGAGCAAUUAUGUCACGUUUGACAAACUUCACAACAUUACGAGCAGUGACACUUGCAAAGGAUGUAGCUUCGAUCCAUUUGGAGAAAUAAUCUAUCGCCACUAAAAUAAAUCGAUGCCCAUUUGAAGCCUUGGGAUUGAUUGGGCCAAUUACGUCAAUACCCCAUAUCAAGAAAGGCCAUGGCUCGGAAAACUGAUGCAGCUCAGUUGGAGGAACAUUCAUCUUAUUUCCAUGAAUCUGACAGCGGUGACAACUCCGAACAUGCCGGAUGCAGUCAUUUUCCAAUGUGAGCCAGUAGUAGCCUAAUCUCAUAAUCUUCUUGGCUAACAUGUGUCCAUUCAUAUGGGGGCCACAUACUCCCUCGUGCACUUCUUGCAUGAUUCGAGUGGCUUCGACUGCAUCUAUACAUCGCAACAAAACAGAAUCGUAAGAUCUCUUAUACAAAUUCUCACCACUGACGAAAAAUUUCGAAGCCAUCUUCGUGAUGUAUUUUCUAUCAGCCUGAGUGCUUCCUUCGGGAAAUUCCUGUCUUUUAAUGUAAUUCAUGAUAUCGUAAUAUCAUGGUUUUCCAUCGGGUUCUUCAGUCACGAUCAUACAAUAAGCCGGCUUUGGCAAAACCUCUAUUUUCAAAGGCUCGACCUCUAACCCGUCAGUGACUUGCAACAUAGACGACAAAGUUGCGAGUGCAUCCGCGAAUUGGUUAUGAGACCUCGGCAAGUAUUCGAAUGAAAUUUUCUCGAACUCCUUUACCAGAUCCUCUAAGUACUUGUGGUACGGGAGCAAUUUGGCGUCUUUAGUCUUCCAUUCACCUACGGUCUGAAGUAUGAUCAGUGCCGAAUCUCCAAAUACCAUUAGCUUGGGUACACCCAUCUCGAUUGUGGCUUGAAGUCCGAUGAUGCAAGCCUCAUACUCGGCCACAUUGUUAGUGCAUGAGAAUAUCAAUUUUGCAGCCACCGGAUAGUGCUGUCCAUUUGGGGAUAUCAAAACUGCCCCAGUACCUGAACCAGACAAGUUUACAGCUCCAUCAAAGAACAUCUUCCAUGAGUCUUCAUUUACACUCAAGACACGGUCAUCAAGGAAACUGUCAUUAGAGACUCCUGAAUUUUCAGCCAGUAGAUCAGCGAUCGCUCGACCCUUAACCGACUUUUGUGGCAUGAAUUGCACAUCAAAUUCGGAAAUCAAAAUUUGUCAUUUAGCUAACUUUCCCACCAGAGCUGGCUGAUCAAGUAAGUACUUGAUGGGAUCGUUCUCAGUCACAAUGAACGUCUGGUAAUGCGGCGUGUAUUGUCGCAAUCUAUGCAAUACCCAUACCAAUGCGGCACAAGUCUUUUCAACAUCAGAAUACUUCAGCUAUGAUAUAGUGAACUUCUUACUCAGAUAAUAAAUGGCUCGUUCUUUUUUAUCGACAGGACUUUCUUGAGCCAACAUCGCGCCUAACGACUCACUAUGGAUGGUGAGAUAAAGAAUCAAGGGAUGCCCCAGCAAUGGUGGGACGAGUACCGAUGGGUUCAUCAAGUACUGCUUCAGCUUGUCAAACGCCUCUCGACACUCAUCAUUCCAGUUGACUCGGGCAUUCUUCUUUAAGAGCUUGAAGAAUGGCUUGGCAGUUUCAGAGAGUUGGGAAAUGAACCGAGCUAUGUAAUUUAGUCUUCCCAAAAUGCUCCGAACUUCUUUCACUGUUGCUGGAGGUUGCAACUCGCAUAUGGGCUUAACUUUAGAGGGGUCGAUCUCAAUUCCUUUAUUGCUAAGAAUAAAUCCGAGCAAUUUACCGGAUGCUGCUCCGAAUACACAUUUAGUGGGGUUUAGACGAAGCUUGAAUUCACGGAGUCGAUCAAACAACUUCUUCAGGGUUUCCACAUGACUUCUUCCGGGCCGAGUUUUUGCAAUCAUAUCAUCAACAUAGACUUCAAUCUCCUGAUGCAUCAUAUCAUGGAAUAGUGUUACCAUGGCUCGUUGGUAAGUUGCCCCUGCAUUCUUGAGUCCAAAGGGCAUGACCUUGUAAUGAAAGGUCCCCCACGGGGUGAUAAAUGCAGUCUUCUCCUUGUCCUCCUCUUUCAUCCUUAUCUGAUUGUACCUAGAAAACCCAUCCAUAAACGAGAACAGUUCAAAUCCGGUAGUACUAUCCACGAGGACAUCUAUGUGAGGCAGCGGAAAAUCAUCUUUUGGGCUAGCCUUGUUCAGAUCUCGAUAGUCGACGUAAACUUGAACUCGACCAUCCUUCUUCAUCACCAGCACGAUAUUAGAUACCCAUUCAGGGUAUUGUGAGACUUCAAUGAAUCCCACCUUCAAAAGCUUCAUCACCUCUUCCUCUAUCUUCUUCGAGAGCUCGGGCUUAGUUCUCCGGAGCCUUUGCUUCUUAGGUGGUAUGUCCGGAUUAGUAGGCAAGCAAUGCUCGACGAUCGAUGGGUCUAAACCAGGCAAGUCAGCAUAGGUCCAUGCAAAGACAUCCCGAUAUUCCUUUAGUAGCUGAGUUAGGCGCUCGGCCUCGUCUUUGGGGAGAUUUUCCCCAAUUUUAAUUUCAUUGACUUCUUUGGUGUCACCUAAAUUAAUAGUGACAGUCUGCUCGGAUGUGAGAGCCUUAGCUUUUUCAUGUUGUUCCCAGCUUUGUUGCACCUCAAUGGAAUCUUCAUUCAAGUCCUCGAGGUCGUCAAUGUCAGCAUUCGUUGCAUUGGGCCGGACCAUUUCCAUACUUUUGUAUGCCGUAAGAUUGCUCUUGAAACAAGAAGUAAAUAAAUUAGAAAGACAAACAAAGUAAUCUAUAUUUUUCUUUUUACGUUUUUGUUGUUGGUUUUUUUUUUAAAGAAUUUUGGCAAAAACAUUUUUUCUUAAAAAACAUUUUGACAUGAGAAAGCAUGAUGAAGCCCAGGCCUCAGAAUUCUCCUUGAAUUUUCUUUUUCUUUUAUCGGCUGGAUAUCAUCACCGGGCUGGUUUGGUGUACCUCAUCAUGCCCUCAAAAUAAAACUUGUAAUUUUAUUGAUAUUCAUCAAUCAAUUACAUUUAUUGAAUGGAAAUGCGAUUUUCAAGCCCUAAAAGAAAGCGAAAAAGAAGAAAUAAAAAACAAGCCCUAGAAAGUGAUAAAAAUUCCCACGCAGGGGAAUGUGAGAAAGCAAUAAAUGAGUUACUCUUGUGGGCUAGAGCCCAUCUUCUUCGGAGGUCCUUCAUCAAUGGUCCCUAUGAAGACAUCAUCGAAGAGACUAGAGAUUCCUUCUAAUGCAUCUUCAAGGUUUUCCGUCUCAGGGGAUGUCGGAUCAUCCAUGCCACCCCAUCCAUCUGGGACAAUGUCGCGGGGAUCAAUGUAGAAACUGGGAGGAGCCGAAUACUUCACCAGAUAGUCGAAUUUUCCGCUUGGCUGCCCCAUGGUGUCUAUUAUUUCUGCUUCAUCCUGUAUCAUUAUGGGAGGACCAGGGAAUGUCUCACGAAUGUUUGGGGGUAAUGGGUUUUGCCUUCGUUGCCCGUGGUCAGGUGGCGGGUUUCGCCUUCCUGUCUUCGUCCUCCAGAACUUUCCCCACCUCUUCCAUGGUACCUUAAUCCAGCAGCACGGGACCUCUGAGGGGCUUUAAUGGGGUUUCGAAUCCCUUGACCAUUUCUUCCAAGGCCACUACCAGGAAUAAAACCAUUCCCGACCAUCAUCCUUCCCACCAUGAGAGUAGCAUUUGAAACUUCAGGAGUUGGUGGUGGUGAGUCUUGAGAAGCAUGAAUAGUGGAUACCAACUCAAAUGAGUGGUAGCUCGAUUCAAACUCAAAGUCUGGCUCUACAUAGGGAAUAGCUGUCUCAUGAUAAAUUCGGUGAUCUUCUUCGCCAUAGACAGUGACUAGCUUCCCUUUGAUUACGAAUUUCACAGCUUGAUGUAGACUUGAUGGUACCGCCCUAGCAGUAUGAAUCCAGAGACGACCCAGCAGGAAAUUAAAGGCAGUAGGAUAUCCAUUACCUGCAAGGGAACAUUGAAAACCACCAGCCCUAUUUGCACAUCAAGGUGAAUCUCCCCAAGCAUCUCCUUCUUCGUACCAUCAAAAGCUCGAACAGAAGUCUUUGCAGCAUGUAUCUUGGACAGGUCCACCUUGAGGCGAUGAAGAGUGGCCAGUGGACAUAUGUUUAGGGCGGACCCAUUAUCAAUGAGUACUCGAGACACAUGAGAAGCCUUAUGCUUGACAGAUACAUAGAGUCUCUUGUUAUGCCCCCUACCCUCGAGAGGGAAUUCCUCAUCAGAAAAGGCAAUCAUGUCCUUAAGAAGGAUCGAUCCCACAAAAUCUUCCAACUUGUCUGACUCGACCGUUUCAGGUAAGCAGGAGUUCAAGCAAAGAAAUCUGGGCGGGCAUCUUUCGUAACUGUUCGACCACCUUAUACUCGCGUGCUUUGAUCACGGCCAUAAACUCCUUAGCCUCUUCAUCGGUGACAGGUUUUGCAGGUUGAGCAUUGGUUUGAGAAUAAGUCCGACCAGACCUUGUAACGAGGUCAACAUCUAGAUCAUAGGACCUAGGGACCGCCUUAUUGUUGACAUGUUCAUACGGUUGAGGCAUUUCAAUCACUAUCUCAUCAUCGGAUGCAUCUUCAAGUAGGGGCAUGUCCACGAGUGAAGGAUAAACUUCCUCCUUAUUAGCAUUGAGCGCCGCUUGCUCCUCCUCCCAAUCAAUAAUGAUGGGAGAAAUAGUGGAAACUAUACAAUUAUGGUCAGCAUAAACGAUGAUUCCGUCAUCCACCAUCCUGGUGACUCUUUCCUUCAUCAGUGAUAAAGGAACAUCCUCCUGAUCUGGAUAAUAUCCAGCUCUUACCAGCCCGUUGUAAGCAUCUGCUACGUGUACCUUUGAGUUCUUGAUCCGACUGACUUUAGGCUCCAAGAUAGCAUUGACCGUACCUUCAUGCUCUGGUAGCAGAUUCUUUUGGACAUUCGGUCGAGCAGUUUGAAAUGAGAAGGCUUUUGUGUCUAAGAGAUUUUAGAUCUUAUGCUUCAAGGUGAAACAUUCAUCAGUUGAAUGUCCCAAUUCAUCGCUAUGAUAGUUGCACUUCUUCGUCAAGUCGUAACCACGAAUGUUUUUGCGGUUAGGGCGCUUCGGUUCGCUAGUAAGCAAUCCUUUCUUUCUUAGGAUUGCCAACACUUGGGAUGGAGAUCCAGGGAGAGGAGAGAACUGCCUUCUUGCUUGGGCAAAUGAUUGACGGCCGGUAGCUUGCUGUUGCCUUGGAUUCAUCUGGAUAGUUGAGGUGCGAUUGGCACUUUCCUGGCUAUAAGCCACAUUUACGUCGACAGCAACCUCCUUCUCUUUCUUGGCAGAGAAUCUUCUACUCGAUGGUUCAGUAAACCAUCCUUCCCUUAUCCCCAUCUCGAUUUGUUCCCCCACAGGAAUAAGCUGAUUGAAGUUUUCAACGUACGUGCUGGCCAUCCGGAUACGGAACUCAGAGGGGAGAGUUUUGAUAAAUAACUUCAUCAGCUCCUUGUUAAUAGGCUCGAGGGUGAUUUGAGCUGCCAGAUUUCGCCAUCUUACGGCAUACUCUUUGAAUGGCUCACUCUUCUUUUUCUCCAUCCUCUCGGGAAGGUGCAAUAUCCAUGUUGAACUUGUAUUGCUUGAGAAAUGCGUCAGCCACUUCAUUCCAGGUGUUGAGAAGGUUCACAUUCUUCAUGACAUAUCAAUUCAGUGCAGGCCCAGUCAAACUUGCAUGGAAUGAUUGGAUCAUGAGAGGCUCGUUCUUGACAUAUUGGGCCAUGCGCACAUGGUACAUCUGCAAAUGAGCUUUUGGGCAGGAAGUACCAUCGUAUUUUUCAAAAUCCGGCAUUUUGAAUUUCUUUGGCAUCUUGACUUUCUCGUACACGGACAAUUCGAACAGGAGUGAACUCUGUGACUCUUGCUAUUGUUUCAACUUUUCUUCCAAUUUCGCAAAGCGUUCAUCCUGCUCCAUCUUAGGGAUGUUGACAAGCUUAGCCUUUUCCACAUUGAUCGGGAAUGGAUCAUCUUCCAGCCCGGGCAUGUCAUCCUCACCCAUUUGAGCCUUGUUUGCCGACUUCGGGACAACUAUCUCAAGGAGAGUGGGUGCAGGAGCCGGAUUCACUUGGAGGGAUUGGAUUUGAGUUGUUAUAAGCUCCAUAGAGGCAGCUAACUAUUGGAGUUGGCCUUCCAUAGCGGAGACACGAUCACGCAUUUCGGUUUGUUCGGUCAUUCUAGCUCUUAAUCGCGUGAUAAUGGGCGAACGUGACGGAUCCAUUAUAACCUAAUAUUGAAGAAAUGAACAAAAAUAAGUAUCUCAUAUGAAAUAUGCCAGUCCUUGGCAAUGAUCUAGAACUUUUAUUCAUCAAUGGAGCUUUUGACAAGCCUAUCAAAAUAGAAAUUUGAAAUGUCCUAAACAAAUGAACUAGGAAAGUAAAUGACUCAACUUCCUAAACAUUAAUCUAAAAAUAAAAAUAGCAUUUCAUUUGGCUUGAUCAAUAUACACUCAGGACACCAUUCGGCGCAAUCGUUUAUUCUCUUCUUGAGCUCUUUCGACAACUCUUUUGAGGCGUUUAUUCUCAGCACGAUUGGUGAUCCUCAACGGCACCUCUGGUAUCUUCGGAAGCAGUUCCUCAGGAAUCUUGUGUUGUUGAAUGUACUUAAUCGAGGCAUAAUACUUCCUUUCUUUACCCUUCAACUCCUCCUCGGGCCAUUUAAGCUUUUGUGGAUGGCACAUGUUCCACAUCGAUUUGAUAGUGAGAAUGGAAUCUUCAUGGCCUCGGCUUCCAUCAACAAAACUGACUUGGAGUGGCUCUACUUGUAACGCCGGGGGAAGCUCUUGCACGACUUGAUACUGACGAGUCACUCUAGUCGGAUAGUACUCCAAUGCUCUAGUGAAUCCCAAUAGGGGGAUUGGGCCAACUCCUCCACACGAGAGUCUCGCUACCCGAACUUGGAACCAUUUAGUAUGCCAUAGGAAACCCUUGGAAGUUGAUUUUUUCAUGAAAGCUAGCCACCUAGAAUAAUGAUAAUCCGGUGCAUGUUUUUGGUUGUUCUCAAAUCUCAUAAUAGGGUGAUUGGAAUUACUAACCUCAUGUAUAGUCAUUAGACCACGAAACCCUUUUAUAUGUGAAAGAAACCAAAUUUGCAAAAGUUCAGGAGAGGAAUGGAAAGUCUUAUCACCGCCUCCUUUAAACCGAGUGAGGGAAAUGAAAGUUUCAGUUAGAACAAUGUUUACAAAAUUCUUUCCUUCCAACACUUGUUUAACUAAUUGAGCGAUCAAAGGGUUAAUAGCAUUCUUGCAGUAAGGAAAAACUAUAAACCCAAAGAAAGCUAAAAUGAAAGCCCUUCGCAUUUGAGAUGAAGUGCAUUUCUCAAAACAUUAUUUCAGAAAAGAUAAAGGACAUGCAUUACGGUUAGCCUUUAAAACCUUUCUUAUAUCGUCUUCCUUAAUUCUCAGAAAAUCGGAUAAGGCCAUAACAGGAUCUAUCCCGAUAGGCGGGCUAAUCAAUUCAGCUUUCAAGGACUUUCCUAUGGCAAUGCUAUACUCUUCCAAGGUGGGAGUGAGCUCGUGCUUACCGCCGAAGAUAAAGGUAGAGGUCUCGGGACACCAACAAUGGGCGAGUGCUUGGACGAGGUCGCCAUGGAUGUUGAUACGCAUCAAUGGAAGCAGUCGACCAAUAUGUGACCCUACGAAAUGACGGCUAUCUUGAUCUAACUUGUCCCACCAAUCGCUAAGCUCUUCCUUUGGAGGGAGAAUAAUUCAAAUGUCCGGUGUCCCCAUUGUAUAUUGAUCAAGACUCAGGACAAUCCUAAUGCCAUGGACCGACAAAAUAAUGCGAUAAAAUAAGUAAAUUGCAAAGGCCAAAAAUUUAGAGAACUUACUUUACCAAUGAUGGGCAAUCACAUAGACAUGCGCAUUGUAAGUGGCUCGAUCUCUAAUCUAUAAGGCUUAUCAAGGUGGAGCCACAAGGAUGAUCAGACUAGCCACGGGCUUGUGGACUAUGUCGGGUCCUCAUGACUCCGGCUUGGUCAAAGAGCCAACCUGGGUCGCGGGCAUGCGGACCGAGGUGGGUACUCUUGACACCAUGAAAGAAACUUCGGGAUUGGGAUGGGCGACUCGUACCGCGAGCAUGCGGUCGGAGUGGUAUCCAUCUCAACACCAUCCUAAAUGAUCCUAUGCGGCCUAGGUCCGGCGGCGGGUUGUGUGUGCAAUAGUGUAGUGCAAAUGCAAGGCAUGCACAACAGUUCGUAUCAAGCAACACUUUGUAUUUGAAAAUAAACCAUACAUUUCUACACCUCCCUGCAAAACAAAGGUCAACAAACACUUCCCCUUAUACCUCCCAUCAUGCAAGAACAUUUAACACCUUAAAUGUUAGGGGCGUACCUGGAAUCCUUGUUGCCAAACAAAAACAUUUUUCAAAAAGAAAAGAAAAAUUGGCCUAAGUCCACUAAGAGUUUUAACUCAAGUCCCCAGCGGAGUCGCCAAGCUGUCGCGACCAAAUUUUCAGGUGUGAACCACCUAGGGUUUGGCUAAUGAAUUGUUAAGCCUAGACUUAACUUAGGCUCUCCCAAGCCCAUACCAAUUCGCGACUUUAGGUUCAAGUUCUUAACAUGCAAUUGAUUUUCAAUUAGGAGUCGCCACUAAUCUAUUUUUGGUGGGUCGAUUAGAAACCCAAAUAAAGUAAUGGGAGAUUUACUUUACUCCUAUGAACCAGAGAUUAUGGGUACGGGGACUUGAUUACACUAGAUUUCUCUAAUGCCCUUUCGAUACUAUUCUUUUAAUUUCAAAAAUGUUUUUUGCAAGCAGUUUGGAUUGAUUUUAAGUCUAUUUUCCUAACAUGUAAGGUGAUCAUGCGGGUACACAAACCACCAAUUUAACACCCAGAUAAAUAAUAAAUAAAUUACAAAAACUUACCUCAAAGCAACGAAAGCAUCUGCAAUGUUAAAUUAAAAUCCACAUCAACAACCCUAGAUAUGGUUUCUAAUUAACACACAAUUUUUAUUUUGUUUUCGCUUAAUUAAUGAAAAUCAUGCAAUAUGUAAUGCAAUGUUAAUUGAAUGACCUAAUUCUAAUGACAUGUAAUUUUUAAUUAAAUGGGCCUAGCAAAAAUACUAAAUGACAUGCAUCUCAAUGAAUCUAACCCUAAUGACGUGCAUAUGACAAUUUUUUUCUAAAAGAAUGCAUUUUAUCCUAAAUAAUAAAAACUAAUUUAACCUAUGACAUUUUUUGUAUUUUUCAAGAAAUUCGAAAUUAGGUGAAAUGUGAAAAUUACCUAAUUAGAUUAAGAUCCUAUUUAAUUUAUAUUAGGAAUUAGGUUGAGCCAAAUCCUAAUUUAAACAAAAAUAUUAUCUUAACCUAGAUAAUCCUAAAAUGCAAUCUAUUUAGUAAAAUACCUAAACCCAUAGUAAAUUAAGAAAAACAUCAUCUAAAAUUAAACUAAAUGCAAUUUUACCCUAAUAUGCUAUGACGUGCAAAAGAUGCCCUAAUUUUACAUGACAUAUGCAUAAUGACUUUUUUUUUUGUGUUUUUCCUUUUUUCCUUUUUUUUAAAAUUUCGAAAUUAAUAAUUGCCAAAUAAUUAAACAUGCAAUCCAAGUUUUAAAAAAAAAACUAGCAACCUAAAUUAAUUGUUUUGAUUUUUUUUAUUUAUGAAAAUUCGAAAUAAAAUACCUAUUAUGAACAUGCAAACCCUAAAACUACAUUCUUUUUUUUUUUUUUUAAAGAUAACUAAUUUAAGUAACACCAAGGCAAAUCAAGCCAUAUUGAUACCCAAAUUAACGAACCAUAUCUCGCGCAUGAGAUCGGGUUGGCCAAUUUCACAUAAAUCACGAAUCGAAUCUCGGGCGGGAGAUCGAAUUGGCAAUUUUUUAAGUAAUUGCGAGUCGGAUUUCAGGCGCGAAAAUCAGACUGACAAUCACUAAUUUCAAGGCAAUUUCAUAUCAUGGAAUUUCAAUUUCACAUUAAAGGAAUAAUUACACUAAAAAGAUAAAAUAAAAUAGCAAAAAUAAUAAAACAAAAAUAAGAUAAAGAAAAUACCUAAAUUUUCUUUUGCUUUUCUCUUUUUUCUUUUCUUUUUUUCUAAAAAAGAAAAAGAAAAAUAAAGCUGGUGGCCGAUCCGGCGAGGGGAGAUCGCCGGCUAGGGUUCUGGCGAGGCUCCGGAGGAUGGCGUGACGGCGGCGCGGCACCAGGGGGCUUCGGAAUCAGCACGAGGCGACGCAGGCGGCACGACGAAACCGGUGGGCAGCGUCGCGGGUAGAGCAGGGGCUUCGAGUCUCCUGGCACAAGCUGUGAAGAUCGGAUCGUGGCUACCGCGGGGACCUCGGAUCUGCAGGCGUGGUGGUCUUCGGCUGAGGCGGAACGCGGCGAGACCAGAGGGAGCGGCGGCAGCGUCGGGGAAGGGCAGCGGCGUCGUGGACCGGCGCUGGGUCGCGGCUUCACGAGGGGAAGGCAGCUGGGCAUCAAGGCGUUCCGUCGGGGUCUGAACUGGCUUCAGCCGGCGGGGCGCUACAGGGAUGGCGGGAGGCCUCGGACGGCUGCGAUGAGGAGCUCCGGCGUCUGGAUCGGGCUGUUGGGUGCGGCGUCCGGCGAGUGAAUCGGAUCGGGGCACGGGCGUGAUCGACGGGAGGCGUCUGCUCCUGGAUCUGGAGGAGGAAGGGCGUCGGCUUCGGGUCGCGAGGCUGCAGACGCGACGGGGAGACGCGGUGGCGCGUCGGGGCAACGCGCGGGUCGUCGGGGCUCGCGGACGGAGGCGACGUCGAGACAGCGACGAUGCGGGCAGAUGGCGCCGGCACCGGCAGAGACCCCCUCCCCCCACAAGGAAGAUGAACAGUCGCGGGGGGGGACUGUUUUACCUUUUCUUUUACUUUUUUUUUUUUUUUACUUUUCCUCUCUCUUCACUCACUUUUUUCACUUUUUGCUCUUUUUGGUAUAUUUCAUUGCCAAUUUUGCUCGUGCAAAAUACCAUUGAAUAUAUCAUCCCACCAUGCGUAAUAUUUUUUGUGUUUUUUCCAAUAUUUCAUUCGAGAAUUUCCUUUCCGUCAAAAAUACAUCCCUCGGUGUAUAUUGCCUAAAUAUAUGAAAAUCCCAACGGAAUAUGUGAAAAAUUUUGCACUCGCCGUCGGUCCAACAAAAAUGUUCCUAAACUAUAUGCCAUGUGAUUUUUUUUUUUGGUAAAAAUUAACCCUAAAAAUUAUGCAAAAAUUUAGGUGUCAACAAUGCCUAACUAUUAAAAAAAAAAAAAAAGACAAUGCCACCACCGACCGCGGUGGCUCCACUGGCUAAGACUCUACUGAUCCUCAACGAAGAGGUGAAGGGUUCAAAACCCAGGGGAGGCACUAGGUGUAUUAAGUGUGACUCAGGGGUGGGUUUUUUCCAUCCAUUUAUUUUUCUGAAUCAUGUAAGCGAUCAUUUUUUGAAAAAUAUUUUACGAAUCACUCAUUUUCCUUGAGAUGAACGCACCUUAAGUUUGGAAAAAAUUCAUUAUGAACUCUCAAUGGUAAAUUGAUUAAUAUUCUGUCUUGUAAUACGAGAAACAACCUAAGUUUUUUAUGACAUGUUCAUGUAUCCCCUAUCUCUUGUUUAUGGAAUUCGUAUACUCUUUAUAUACAUAUGGUCUUUAUCCACCUAUUGGCUUAGUCUUCUGAAUUGAUAUGAUAGUAGAGUUGAUAUUAUACCAAAGUUAAGUUCUGCUCUAGUGUAUUUCACUUGUGCAACCCACUUUAUCAAAUUCUACAUGUUUCUUUUUUUCUUUUUUUAAUGUUAUAUGGAAAAAAGGUUUAGAGUAGGCAAGGAUUUGCACAAAAGUGUGAAGAGCGAGAUGCUCCUUUAAAAACAUCAUCUGAGACACUUAUUAGUUGAGAUCCAAGAGAUGUCAAUAUUUUGUUAAUUAUCCUAGUCAUUGAAGAGGCUUCACCGAACUUUUGCGAGUCAUUGAAGAGGAAUCCGAGUUUGAUUGGUGAGGAUAAAUCGGAGUCCCGUGCUUGUUUGGAUGAUGCAGAAGGUCGAAGAACAUAUGUUUGGAAGUGGAAGUACAAAAUGGAAGUUGCUCGAUGUAUAUGCAGUACCGAGGCUUAUUUCGAAAAGUCUCGUCCAUCAACAUUUGUUAUACUUGCACAAGAGCACGUUUCCAGUGAAACCAUUGAAAGCUUGAAAACUAUAUCAAAAUUUGAAUAUAAAUUAUAAUCUCAACCAAGAGGCAAUUUUAUUGGUCAGUGGAAAUAGAACUGGGAGAUGGAAGUUAAAUGAAAACUCCAUUACUCAUAAAGAAAGUCGGGGUAGCCUUUGUUACGUUUCAAAAUAUAAUGUUUAAGGAAAUACAUUCCUAAAACUUAUAUUAAAUUUACUAUAGUUAUAAAAUCAGAUUUGAUUAAUAAUUAAAGUUGGAAUUUGAAAUUCGCAUCGGUGGAAUUCGGAUGCUAUAGAAAAACUCAAAUUAAAAUAAUCUCUGUUAGAAAUGGUGAGCAAAGUAUAAAAUGUGUUAAGAUAAAGUAAAACGAUAGUCUAAUUUGAAAAUUAGAAGUUUGUCCUCAAACUAGUAAUGGACAAUCUUUUAGAGAAUUUAUGUCAAUAAGAGAAAGCAAAGGUCCAUACGUCUUCAAUGACUUACAUUUUGUGCUUUUGUUCAAAACUAUAUAUAUAUACAAUUUAAUUUUCUCUAUAAGCAAUUGAAUAAAUAGUCAACAUCAAAUAAGAUAAAAAGGAGGAUAUUUGAUAUAGCUUAUUUCAGUAACUACACUAGCAAUUAAAUCAGCAUAAUCAGAUCUAUAUAUUUGAAUGAUCAUAGUUAAAGUAGAUAAAACAGUUACAACGAGGCAUGCCAUUGUGUUUUUGUGCAUGGGUUUGCUUGGUGUAGCGAGAGUGUGGACUGUCCACUUGAAUGUAUCUUGCAUUUUUUAUAAUUAGGAUUUUAAUGCAAUGUGAACAAAUGUUUGAGAAAAAUGCCAAACAAUGUUGAUCAAGGACUGUUCUAAUAUUUUGAUUAAUGACAUGGGGGCUCUCAACACCACGAUUAGGAUAACAAAAGAAAAUAGGGAAGCAUCUUGAAAUCGAUUGAUGAACCUUAUUUUAAGCUGUUGAGAAACUUGGAAGAGUACCUCCAUAUUAUUUCACUAAACCUAUUUUAUGCAUUACGCAUUAAAAAGCAACUACAACAAGUAACAUGGAAAUCAAUCAAAAUUUAUGCCAUAAAUUACAUGUUCAACCGAGUUACCGUUAAAAAGAAGAAUUAGCUUCUGGCCACGAGGGCAUUGGAGUAAUUUGGCAGCAGCAAAAUACGCAUCCAGACGAUCAACGGAUUCCAGAAAAUAACGCGGUUUUGGCCAUUUAAGGUGCGCGGAUCAGGCAGAGGAACAACUCAUACGACCCGACGGGAGGCUGUUUUCCCUAAAAUAGCCCUGACUCGACACCCAAACCCCAAAAGCGACGCUACAAUUAUGUACGACCAAGGACGCGUUGCGGGCAAGUGCGUGGGCCACUCAUCGCGACGCAAUCGUGGUCAGAAACUCCACAAAGACAAGGAUUAUUAAAAUUCAAAAGAAUAAUAACCAAAAGCACUCUGAUUGCUCCCAUCUUUUUAAUAUUUUAUUUUAGCCACCGAACGCACCCGAUUGCUCCCAUCUUUUUAGAAUUCCACUAGUUUAUCUACCCCGCUGCUGUAUCUUUCCUUUUUCAAUUGCGUUACGACGGUAGAUAAAAGGGAAGAAUUGAGUUGGGAGGGGCCACUUUGGUCUUAAAAAUCCCUGCACUCGUCAACUUUGACGGGCUUGAAUGAAUCCUUCUUACUGACCAAUCCUGGCCAACUGGCCCUCGACUCUCUGCAUAUAUAGCCAAUCCUAUCUUCUAUGUUAAAUGACCCACAGAUAUCUCCAUUAGUAAUUUUAACUCCUAAAAGUGAUUUAGAUUUCGCAAUGUGCUGUACUGAUUUUGCUGCUAUUCUGUUCAAUCUUGUCUUCAAGAGAAGAUCAGAAGAGAUCAAUGGAGAGGAGGCAAAUGAUGAUGCAGCUGCAAACGAUGAAACAACAAGAGGCUCUUCUUCUACUCACACUUCAACAGAAGGUCAUGAAAUGGCUACUCCAUCAGGAUAUGACUAUGAAGUAUUCUUGAGUUUCAGAGGACCGGAUACUCGAGUAGGUUUUACCGACUUCCUUUACACUAGUAUGAUAGAUAUGGGAAUCCGCGCAUAUAAGGAUGAUGAAGAUCUCCGAAAGGGAGAAGAGUUUGGCCCAACACUUCUCCAAGCAAUUGAGCAAUCGAGGAUCUCAAUACCUAUCCUUUCUAAAGGUUAUGCCUCUAGCGUAUGGUGUCUCAAGGAGCUAGUCAAGAUGGUCGAGUGCCGAAAAACAAAGGGACAAAAGAUUAUGCCCAUUUUCUAUGAUGUGGCACCUGCAGAGGUACGAUACCAAACUAGGAGUUAUAAAGAGGCCUUUGAUUCACAUAAAAACAAAAACCGACAUGAUGAAGGGACUAUGUGUGAGUGGAAGGCUGCUCUCAAAGAAGUAUCAUCUCUAGACGGAUGGAACUUGCUCGACAUGCAAAACAGGUGAUUGCUUUUAGCAUUCCAUCUCAUGUGCCUUGGAUCAUUAAAACUCAUUGCAUUUCAUAUAGUUGCUUUACUAGAUUUGUGUUAACCUUGUUGAAAUUGAAUUCUGUGUUAUUGAAGUUGUACUGCAAAAAUCAUGCUAAGUGAUGGCACAAUCCCAAUUUUGUCUCCUUUUAUUCCAAGCAACAUUUUUUUUUCCAUUUUAGUUCAUUCAUCAACUAUAAGUACCAACGCUAAUUCAUCUACAAUGGAAUAAAUCUUUUAAGAUCACGUUUCGAAUUCAAUUUGGCCUUGUCAAAACUUAGUUUAAUUCAACACAAUUUCCUAACUCAUUGUCUUUUGCCUCCAACAAACACUAGGCGAGAAGGAGAGUUCGCAAGAAAAUUUACCCAAGAGGUUUUUAAUGAGUUGAAAAGAGCUUAUUUGGUGUUAUCAAACUACUUGGUCAAUGUUGACAACCAUGUGGAUGCAAUCAUGGAAAUGAUAGGUGUUGGGACAAGUGAAACACGAAUUAUUGGAAUCCACGGGAUGGGUGGUAUUGGAAAGUCGACUAUUGCCAAAUUGAUCUACAAUAAGCUUUUACGUGACUUUAGGAAUUGUUGCUUUCUUCGCGAUAUUCGAGAAACAUCAACAAGGAAUGGUAUUCAAUGCUUGCAGAAUCAACUCAUUGGGGACAUCCUCAAAACGAAAAGCAUAUAUAUAAAGGACAUUGAUGAAGGGACUCAGACCAUUAAAGAUAGGUUGUCUAAUAAAAGAGUCCUUCUUCUUCUCGAUGAUGUGGAAAAAUAUGAUCAAAUUGAUGCACUUGUAGGUAAGCGUGAUUGGUUGGGCAGAGGGAGCAAAAUUAUUAUUACUGCAAGAAACAAAGAUAUUCUUGAGGUUCCUGAAGUGGAUUGCAGUUAUGAGCUUAGCGGCAUGGAUCCUGAUCAAUCUCUUCAACUAUUCAGCAAACAUGCCUUCAGAAAAGAUUAUCCUUUGGAUGAGUAUAUUGGCCAAUCCAAGAGGGCAAUAGGCAUUGCUAGAGGUCUUCCACUAACUCUUGAGGUCAUAGGCUCACUUUUAUGUUGCACUAAAAAGGAAAAUUGGGAUCUCAUGUUGAAGAAGUUGGAAAGUGUUCCUCAUAAGACAAUCCAGAGUAAGUUGAAAAUAAGCUAUGAUGCAUUGGAUGUUCGACAACAACAUAUAUUCCUCGAUAUAGCUUGUAUUUUCAUUGGAUGUGACAAAGCUAUUGUGGUUCGUUUCUGGGAUGAAUCUAAAUUUCCAGAAGAAGCUAUAGAAGUUCUACAGAACAUGUCUUUGAUAAAAAUUGAAGGGUACAAUAAAGUGUGGAUGCAUGACCAACUCAGAGACCUUGGAAGAGAGAUAGUUCAUCGAGAAAGUAACAUGAAAAUAGAAAAGCAAAGUAGGGUGUGGGAUUAUAAGGAAGGAUUGGAUUUAUUAAGGCGACAUAAGGUAAAAUCCCCUCAUAUAAAUUCUUAGUAUUUAUGGAUUUGCUUUUCAGAAGAUAAACCAAUUGCUUUUUGUGUUGUCUAGCACUAUUACAACUUACUCAACCAAUACUUUAUUAAAGGAAUGACAAUACUCAACUCAACCACUUAAUGCAGUGGACUUGAAUAAAUGGGUUUUCCUUCAACUCUUUUGUUUUUAAAUGUUUCCUUUGGGCAGGGACAAAAAGAAGUUGAAGCUCUUCGUCUCAAAUCUGACCAUGAGCGACGGUAUCAUUUUACCUAUGAGGACUUUAAGAGCCUAUCAAAUCUAAGGUUCCUUGAAGUUGAUGAUUCGAAGGGAAAUUUUGGUGCAGAGGAGACGCUUCUUUGGCGCUGGCAUGAAUUGCCAUCAAAUGUUCUUCCAACAAAUGUUUUCCAAGAGAAUUUAGAUCUUCUUCCCCAAUUACGGUGGCUUUCUUGGCAUAAUAUUUCCCCAAUGUUAAACAUAACAAAUUUUUCCAUGGAGGAUCUGGUUAUUCUUGAUCUAUCUAAGAGUAGAAUUAAGCAUGAUUGGAAGGGGUGGAGCUACAUGAAGGUACGUUUUAUAGUAGACAACACUUAUUAUUUCGUCUUAUUAGAUUCAAAAGUAAUAUUUGCAUGAUUCUUCUUUUAUAGAUGGCGAAGAAUUUGAAAGUUUUGAAUUUGUCCAAUUGCCAACGCUUGAAGAGAACUCCCAUCUUCUCUGCUCAUCCAAAUUUAGAACGUUUGAUCCUAAGGGAUUGUGAAUCAUUGACCGAAAUAGAUAGAUCAAUUGGUAAGUUGGAACGUCUAGUUUUCUUAGAGUUAAGCUAUUGUAGAAAUCUUCAGAGGCUGCCGAACGAACUAGGAGACCUUGCGCGCCUUGAAUACCUAUCUCUUGACAUUUGCAAUUCGUUGAAGAGCCUUCCAGAUACAAUUGGGAAUUUGGAAUCAUUGAUUGAGUUGAAUUUAAGCGGUACGACGAUCAAAGAACUACCUGAUUUUAUCGGAAAAUUGAAAAAUUUGAAAGUAGUUAGGAUGUGGAAUGGUGAAAUAAGCAAAAUACCCGAUGCCUUUUGGACUAUUGAGAAGCUUGAAGAUAUAUCAGGCCAUUGUGGCAACGCUCGUGUGAAAAUUGGCGAUUGCAUCCACAGGAAUCAAUCGCUAAGGGAAUUGCAUUUGGUGGAUGUGGUUAUACUGGCACUGCCGAGGCUUCCUGAAAGUCUUAUCUAUCUAGAUUUGACUUACUUGUGCAUGGACGCGUUUCCGGAUCUCUCAAACCUCACUAAUCUACAAAGAUUGAAGCUGGGGUUCAGCCCCGUUUGUACCGAUGGGCCUCCGGUAGAUAAUCUAAUGCCACGGUGGUUGGGGAAUUUAACCAAACUGAGGUAUCUGACUCUGCGAUUUGGUGGUCCGACCGCCUCCACAAUAGACGAGCCUAGCCUCCCUCCUCAACUCGAGUCACUUCGCCUCUGCUGGUCUGAUCUGUGUCGCCUCCCGAGGCUUCCCUCAAGUUUGUCCUCCUUAAUGUUGUGGAGUUGCUGCUCACUUUCCUUGAUAGAGGAUCUAUCGAAUUUGAACGAACUGUCAUUUCUCGGGAUUAUGGGCACUGCAAUUACAGAGAUUCAAGGCCUUGGUUGUUUGGAGAACCUACAAAGUUUGCUCCUUUCUGGACCUCGACAGGUGAAGAUACUACCCGAUCUGAGCAAUUUAAACAAACUAAGUCAUCUUGAACUAUAUGAUUGUGAUAAGCUGGUUGAGAUUCAAGGUGAACUACCAAAGUAUUUGAAUGAGUUGAGUAUUCGUUCUUGUGGUUCGUUAGAGAAGUUGCCUGAUUUGUCAGGCUUGAAGGAAUUGCAAACUAUUAAAGUGCGAAAUUGCACGAAAUUAAUUGUGGAGGCAAUUUUCAGCUUUGCACGGAGAAGUCAGGCGGAUUUGUUGGAGAACCUACGAUAUUUGGAUAUUGGUGACCUUGAACAGGUGGAGAUACUACCUGAUCUAAGUUCUUUAAGCAAACUAAGGAAUCUUGAAGUAGACUCUUGUCGUAAUCUGGCUGAGAUUCAAGGUGAACUACCACUAUCUUUGAAAAGAUUGAAGAUUUUUGCUUGUGAAUCUUUACAAAAGUUGCCUGAUUUGUCAAGCUUGAAGAAUCUGAAACAGGUUUACAUAAGACGUUGCACGACAUUAAAGGGUAAGGCAAUUCUCGGCUCUGCUCAGAGAAGUCAGGCGAAUUUAUGGGAGAACCUACUAUAUUUGGGGAUUUGUGACCUUGGACAGGUGAAAAUACUUCCUGAUCUAAGUGCUUCAAACAAACUAAGAUGUCUUCGAGUAUCAAACUGUGGCAAGCUGGUUGAGAUUCAAAGCGAACUACCACAAUCUUUAGAAAAAUUGGAGAUUUCUUCUUGUGAAUCUUUGCAAAAGUUGCCUGAUCUGUCAAGCUUGAAGGUGGAAGAAGUGGAAAUUUCUUCCUGCGGAUCUUUAAAGAAUUUGGAUGAUCUGUCAUUCUCGUUUGGGCCGCAAAUUGUUGUCAUUGUAGGUUGUCAAAAAUUAAAUGUGGAGGGAAUUCUUGGCUCUGCUCGGAAAAGUCAGGCGAACCUGUCGGAGAACCUACGAUAUUUGCAGAUUUGUGGCUUUGGACAGGUGAAGGCACUACCUGAUCUUCGUAAUUUAAACAAACUAAGAUGUCUUCAAGUAGAAAAGUGUCCUAGUCUGGUUGAGAUUCAAGGCGAACUACCACAAUCUUUAGAAGAAUUGGAGAUUUCUUCCUGUGGAUCUUUACAGAGGUUGCCUGAUCUGUCCAGCUUGAAGGGACUGGAAAAGGUGGUAAUGAAAGGUUGCAUGCAGUUAAAUGUGGAGGCAAUUUAUCGUCUUUGCUUGGAGAGGUCAGUCGAAUUUGUGGGAUAAGACGACGAAUUGGAGUGAGAAGACGAAUCUGAAUCUGAGCAAGAAGGCGACGAAUCUGAAUUUGAGCAAGAAGACGACGAAUCUGAAUCUAAGCAAGAAGACGACGAAUCUGAAUCUAAAUCUGAGGGAGAAGACAGCAAAUAUGAACAUGAAUCUGAGGGAGAAGACGAUGAAUGAGUGCACAUUGCUUUUGAAAGCUUCUUGAUCCACAACCACAAAUUGUUCCCUUGGGUCCAGACUUUAAACGAAUUGAGGUGAGUUAUUAUCUCUGAUAACCAAUGUUUUCCUUUUUUUUUGGCAAUAAAAUUCUUUCACAGAUAUGAAUGGGGAACUUUUACGUGCACUCAUUAAUGACCUUUUGUUCAUGCUUGAAAAUCUGAGGAAGUUAUUGAAAUUAUGUUACCUUCUUUCGUACAACCAGAGUGUUCUUAAUUAUUUGCAACCAUCCGUUCUCUUUUCCUGGUUUGGUUUGGCUUUUUUAGCGAUGUUCUCUUUGGAUGGUUUCUACUUGCUUUUAUGUUUCCCAGCUGGAGGUAUGCAUCUCGAUUGCAUCGUUUUUCAUUUGAUACGAACAAAUUAUUAGAGAUGCCACUCAAUUUGCUGCUUCACAUAUUUCGAAGUUGAUAACCUCGCUUCGCAUUGGAGAUAACUUUGUUAUGCAGUAAACAAUUCGAUGGAAUGUUUGUUGGAAGGUCAUAUAAUUGUGGUUCUCAUCCUGGAAAUUUACACCAUAAUCAACUCGUCGAUGCAAUCGUGAAGAAGACAGACACUCUGUAUCGAUAUGCUUAUGUUCAGUUUAUAUUCCAGGAAAGGUGUGCUUCUUACUGGGUUUUGUAAAUGUUAUGGAGAAGCUAUAAAAUGAAGAAAGACUAAUUUCACUAGGGUAGCGGCAUCAAUAGUUGGCGCAGCAAACUUCCAUUUGUGACAGGAAGGAGGACCUACUUAGCUUCUCCAAUGUAUCAUAAAUCAUCCUAUAGUCGAAGGCUAAUAUUUCAGUAUUCCUGGUGCGUAGGACAUCUUAUAAGUCUCACUGGGGUCAAAAAUCAUGUAAAUGGACUCUUGUGUGAUCUCCAUUAUUGCCUAUAUCUUCUAGAAAUGGUUAUGCCUCAGUGACUCUGUAAUAGAAGCCCUUCCAUUCAUCUCAAGCUAUACUAGAGAACUCUUUUAGGUUUUAAGUUUGACAAGAAUUGCUAAGGGAGACAUCUCAAAUGACUGGCUUUUUGCUUGUUUCUAAUGUUGCUGAGAGGUUUCAGAGUUUGAGAAACUUACAGAAAUCUUUCUGUGCAGGGAGCUGUGCCUAAUUGGGCAGCUAUACAGAUGAAGACAGAAUGGAGGAAAAUGAAGAUGACAUUCAAAGUGCAAUUUUACGUCCACUUUAUAAUUACUUUGGGAGUUGAUGCCUGGGAAUCUGAAAAAGGUAUUGAAUUUAUGUACCUCCGUACAACCAGAGUGUUCUCAAUUAUGUGUGAAAAUAUGCUUUCUUUUCUUAGUUUUGUUUGGCUUUUUUAGCUAUAUUCUCUUUGGAUGGUUUCUCCUUGCUUUCAUGUUUCCCAGCUGGAGAUAUGCAUGUCGAUUGUGUCCUUAUUUAUUUGAUUUAUGACAAUUCAUUAGAGAUCCUGGUCGAUUUGCUACUUCACAUAUUUAGAAGUUGAUACCUCACCUUUGCAUUGGAGAUAACUUUGCUAUACUGUGAACAAUUAGAUGGAAUGUGUCACGCCCCGAUCCUCGGGCAUGCACACAUCCUUCUACCUUGGUCGAUUUUAUAAUGCGAUAUCCCAGGACAACGUAUCGCCGACCCUUUCAUUUUUAAGCACAUGCGGAAGCAAUUAAAAUCCCCAGACAAUAAAACGAUGGGAUAGAAAAGCAGGGCCAUAUUUUUCAUAUUGAAAUUUAUAACCAUACUUUUAUACAAACCACAAACCCUUUCACAACUACUCACAUCAAAACGGAGAUCUCAAAAGAAGACAGAAACUUAGAUGAACUCGGCCGUACUCAAGGCCCCUCUCAUAAUUGUCUUCUUCUUCCAAAAAUCCUUUUCUUCAGAUCUCACCUCCGAGUUCUCCUUCUCGGAUUCCUCCUCCUCAGCUCUUCAGUGGGGUCCUGAAAUGGUUUUCCCCAAACUGGGAUGAGACUACGUCUCAGCGAGUUCUACCCCACUAAGCCCGAUUAGUAAACUAUUAUACUACAGGCUGCCUAAACACGCACAGGGCAGAGGACUUACCUUGGCCUCAGACUCCACCUGCAUAUUAGCACAGUUCAAUAGGCACCCAAGCAAUUACAUCACAGAUCAAUAUCUCGAUCCAUCGACCUAGUCGAUUUCAUGUCAAUUCGACCAUUCCCCAGUCGUUUCCCUUAUUCAGGUUCAAAUCGUACUCACGACUUCACAAGCAUAGACUACCAAAUAUCUUGGCAACAAAUUACAGUCCCGAAGGACACGACCUAUCUUUAGGUAGCAAAUUACGGCCUCAUCAGGCGCGACCUUUACUGGUAGCAAAUUAUGGCCUCAUCAGGCGCGACCCUUAUCGGGUGGCAAAUUACGGCCUUAACAGGCGCGACCUUUAAUAGGUGGCAAUUUACGGCCCAACGGGCGCGACCUUUAAUAGGUGGCAGAUUACGGCCUUAUCAGGCGCGACCGACUCCAAAUUCGGUGGCAAAUCUCGGCCCAACUGGCAUAGCCAUACUUCGGCGGCUUCCGAGGUUCAACUCACAACCUCUCAUAGUCAAAUUCUAAUUGAAUACCGACAUUGAUCAAUCUUGGGAUGAAUCCCCACAUACUCAUCAACCCACUCAAUUUUCACACGAUAUUAACAUAUUUGAUGGAUCUUAGCCAAUAGUAUAUUCAAAUCACUCUCACAAUUCUACUCACUUUACAACUCAACAAAGCAUUGCAAACGAUGAAUAAACAUACUUGGCCAUUUACCAAUCAAUAAUUCAAUCUCAAUCAAUUCCAAUCAAUUUAGGGUAAAUUCCCAAAAUAUCACAAUUUAUUCAAUUCCAUACAACGUAGAGCUCAAAUAAAUAAACGGGCUGCGCCACGACGAUCGGCACGAGAUUUCGGUCGUCGGCCAUCAAAAUCUUAAUUUCCGAAAAAUAAUUAAUUUAUUUAUUAAUUUCGAAAAUUAAUUAAUUAUUAUUAAAAAUUCAAUUUAGCUCAAAAUAAAGCCCAAUUACAUAAACGGACUUCACCACGGUCAUCAACACAAUAUUCCGGUCCCGAGCCAUCUCAGUUGAAUUUUCGGAAAAUAAAUAAUUAUUUAAUUUAAUUCCGAAAAUUAAUAUUUAAAUACAAAAAUAUCCACUUAGGCCCGAAAAGCCUAAUUGGAGCCCGCUAAGGGUCGGGAAAAUUCCCGAAGCACUUCCAAUAAUUAGUAGACCACGUCUACUUGCUAAUUACACAAUUAAUUUAUCUAAAUCACAUCACAAUUGACUAAUAAUUGCUAAUUUAUUCUAAUCUAACAACCUAAACAUAAUUAAUUAAAUCUAAACCAGCUUAAAGCAUAAUUAGCCACUAAUCCUGGAUUAGUGAGAUUACUCACCAAAUCGCACGCAAAUCGGAUCAAUCCGACGGCGGCGACGCGAGGAACGAUUGUUCCCAAAGCGACUCGCGGAUCCGGGGCCCGGAAACGGCCCAAAAGCGGGCCCGAAGUUGCUGAAACCCACUCCGUGGGUCUGCUGGUCGAGGCCGAACGGAGCUGCUCCGGCAGCUAGGGCGGCGAGGGGAGGCCGGCGGAGGGCGCGGGGGACGAGGGGGAGGUCCGGCGGGGUUAGGCGGUGGCCGGAGGUGGCCGGACGGUGGCUGGUCGGUGCUGGAACAGGGGCGAACGGCAGCUGGUUCGCUCGGCUUGGGCGCGCGCGGACAGCGGGACGGCUGGGCGCGGGCGGCGGUGCGGCGGUGCGACGGCGGGACGAGCGGCAACCGUGCGGCUUCUUCUUCUUCGUUUCUGGUUCGCCGAUUCCAAGAAGAAGAAAGCAGGAGAAGAAGAAAGAAGGGGGUGGGUUCGGUCACGUGGGAAAAAAGUGGGAGAGAAGAGAGAGGAGAGAGAGGGAAGAGAUAAGGGAGAGAAAAGUGAGUGGGUGGGGGCUAUUCGCACGAGGGGAAAGGGAAAGGGGAAAGGAGAGAGAGAGAGAGAAAAAGAAAAAGAAAGAAAAGAAAAGAGAGGGAGAGAGAGGAAAAAGAAAAGGAAAUGUAUAAUUCCUUAUUUAAAUUUUCCUUUUCUCUUUUCCUUUUCUUUUGGGCUUCAAAUUUUCUUCCGACAAUUUCUUUAAUGAAAUUUCGGACUCGUCAAUAAAUUGACGAGCGAUGAGACAGGAUCCUAAAAAUAAGAAUUAUGACGCGCUUAAAAUUCGAUUCCCGAAAUCGAGUUCAAUUUCGUGGUUAAAAAUCGAUCGGACGUGAUUUUAGCUCAAUCUAACCAAUUAGGUAGCUUUUAGGGAUUUUACAGCUGAUACAUCCCUUAACGGCUUCACCCAAUAGGUUAGUUAACUCGUGAGUGAUCAGCUCAGAGAAAAAGGCCAUAGGCACGCCGACGAAAUGCCCAUUUCACUUUAUCGAAACGGGGUCGAAUUUCAGGAUGUCACAGAAUGUGUCUUCAAAGGUCAUAGCACUAUGGUUCUCAUACUGGAAUUUUACAACAUAAUCAACUCAUUGUUGUAAUUGUGAAUAAGCCAAACUCUGUAUUGAUAUGCUUAUGUUCAGUUUAUUUUCCAAGCAAGGUGUGCUUCUUGGAAGGAUUUGCUAAUGUUACGGAGAAGUUAUAGAAUGAAGAAAGAACUUCACUUGGGCAGCGGCAUCAAUGUUAGUGCAGCAAAAUUUCCAUCUGUGACGAGAGAAUAGACCUAUCUAGCUUCUCCAAGGUAUAAUAAGUCGUCAUAAUGUUAGGCUAAAUUUCAGUAUUAUCAGUGCAUAUGAUAAGUCUCACUUGGGGUCUGAAAUCAUGUAAAUCGACCCUUGUGUGAUCUCCAUCACUGCCUCCACUUUCUCGAAAUGGUUAUGCCUAGGUGGCUAUCAGUAAUGGAAGCUCUUUUAUUCACCUCAAGUUUUACUAGAUGACUCUUUUUGGUUUAAGGAUCGACAAGAAGUGCUAAGGGAGACAUACGACUGGCUUUUUGCUGGUUUCUAAUGUUGAUGAGAGAUAUUGAAGUCUAAGAAACUUACAAAAAUCUUUCUAUGCAGGGAGCUGUGGCGUUUUUGGGCAGUUGUAUAGAUGGAGACCAAAGCAAAAGGCAGAUGAUGGAUGAAACUUGAAGCUGACCGUAUUCCCUCUCAUAAUCUUGGGGUGGUAAACACUGUAUUCGUCUGUUUUGGGGGGGGGGGGGGAAAAGGGCUAUUUAGGCAAAUCUGAUUGUGUUUUUUCCUUUAUUGUGGGCCCUCAAAAAUGAUUAUUACAUUUCAUCUAAUGGGUGUUAUGUUCAUUGUUAUGCCUUAAAACUUGCUUAUCAGUACCCAGAUGUUCUUCUUUGAGAAAACACUUGUAGGCCAUGUCUGGACCGGGAGAAAAGUUGUGUUCUUAGAGUGGUGCUCGAGGUAGUCUUAGUUGCUCCUGCCAAAUCCAGUUCAUGGACCUCUCGAUGUGAAAAUGGUGCUCAAGGUAGUCUUAGUCAUGAGUUGUAGGCACUCACAACACAAGAAACAUGGAUUGUUGGAAGUCAUGGAAUGGGCCAUGCUGGAGAGACGACUCUUGCCUAGCUCAUCUACAAUCAUCUUGCACAUGGUUGUGAGCACUGCUGCAUUUUUUCUAACAUCUGUGGAACUCCAGAGCUCAAGGACAUUCAGUUCUUGCGGAAUUACUCAUCUCCAAUAUCCUCAAAAGGAAGUUGACAAAAAUAAGUAAUGUUCGUGAAGGGAUCAAGACAAUUAAAUAUAGGCUUUUCAGUAAAAGAGUUCUCGUCCUUUUUGAUGUUGUUGACCAGAAGAAUCAAUUGAAUGCAGUCAUGGGUAACAUUUGUGAUAUUCGAGCAUUCUGAAUUCUUCAAUGGGGAAUAUCAAGCGCUGAAGGAUCUUGAAAUUCUCAGUGCUUUUUGUUCGUAAUAUCAGUGCUUUUUGUUGAUCAAAGGCACUGCCAUCCUUUAUGUGAGUUAAUCAGGUUGAAAUAGUUUGUAGAAAGGGAUAACAUGUGUGAGGCCUCCGAUCGUUUCCACUUGAAGAGUUUCAAAUCAUGCAAUGUCUGGCUUGCUUAAAAGAUUCAGCCAUUUCCUGAAAAAUUUAGAAGAAAAUUUCACCAGAGGAGUUCAUUUUCCAAUAAGAAUUGCAUGUGGUACUUGAAGGUCCUGCAUCCACAACUAAGUCUGCUGUCGAGGAAGAUUUGAAACUUAAUUGCUUAUUGCCCCAUGUCAUCUCAGCAGAACUUCAUUGUUGUCUUUCUUGGGAUCGUUAUCAGUUAUACAUAAAUUACAACCACACCUUGGCAAGUUGACUUGAAAUAUAUUGUUCUUGUAGGUAUAGUUAUUCGUGGCUGAUUUUGCAAUCGUUUCCUGCCUUUAAGAUGGAUCGUUGUAACCUGCCUAUGAAAUGGGACAAUGAUUUCUUCUGAUCUAUUCCGUGAGUUUGAUUUGGUUUAGAUAUAUUACUUUUUGACAUUUUUGGUUGGCUAAUUGAGUUACCAGUAAAAGAUGAUUCAAAUUGAUGCUAGUGUUACUACAUUCAAAUGCAUUAUAGUGUUAAUACAUUUUUCUUUUGAUUGGCGAUUAGAGUGUUACUACAUUCAAGUGCAGUACUUUUGUCAAUUUAUGCAUUGGUCAUUUAUGCGAGAGCCAUGGAGCUUGCUGGUUUGUACUUUAAAUUUGAACCUUGCAACCCUGUCUUGUAAAACUCAACUUUGUUAUUCCUUAAACCAUGAAGAAUAUAGUCAAAUGUAUAGGUUUUAAUAUGUGACUAAAGCUCUUUCAUUCACUUUUGGUUACCUAGGAAUGGAGCUUUAGGUUUUGGUAAGGAGAAUCAUUAAACGACAAAAGAGUCCUAUAUGACGGCUUGAGCUCUUCCUCUCGGUAAUAAGUAAGAAAGACUUAAGGGUUCUUUCUGUAAAGGCAAACUACCCCCAGCAUAGUUACUAGUAUAUUCGAUGACCGUAUAUCUUUCCUAACAUUUUGGUGCAAUACUUCGACUUUUACUGUAAUGUACAAACUCCAAUAUAUCAUGCAAUGUCAAGGACUUUACUGAUUUCUUGCACAAUGUGCUUUGAAUGGUCACAAUUGGCAAUUUAUGCUUUAAAAUGACGAAGGAAUUUUUGUUUUUUCCGAUUUCCACUAAUGUUUAGUCCGGCAUAUCAGAAAUAGAAGGUAAAAGCUUACAGCUCUCUUUCCAAAGGCCAAUCAGAUCAUUCCUACAUAUAAAUUGGUUAACAGUUGCAGUACUUGGUUGCGCCGAGAAAUCUUUUAUGUGCCAAUGAGCAAGUAGUAGAAGGUAAGGUCACUGAUUGAAAAGUGCUCUCCUUAGACAGUCUUUGUUUCACCUUACAAAACUGGUUAAUCGCAAGACCUUGCAAGUCUUACAGUUCCAGAAUUCACACACGUCUACCAAAUUUGUGAAGUUCAACACUGGUUCAACCCGCAAAAAUAGAAAAAUAUAAAUGAAGGAAAAAGGCAGCAUGAUUCAGCUCUUCAUAGAUCAGCACAGCAUCCACACAUCCCUUUAAGGUUUUAUCGAGUCCGGUAAACAAAGCCAUAGGCCUAAGAUUAAAUUGGCAGGUAAACUUGUGAGCGCAUUCAUUCAAUAGGUAUCACAGAGUUGUGUUUAUGAGGAUAUACAUUCAAUUUCAUGCUAUUAACAUUCCAAGUGAAUUUCAGUAGAAAUCCUAUUCAUCUUGUGAGGGACAUGGAAACAGAUUGAUGGAAUGCAUUACAUGAACAAACUUCAUCCGGAGCUGCCUAAUGAUCCUCAAGAAAUUAGGUGCUGACUUAGGAGCAUUUUAUGUUAAGUUACUCUUGGCAUCAGAGUCUUAACACAGCCUCAGUGCAGAAGCAGAAGGAUUCCUCAAAAGCAUAAGGUUUCCUUUGUCUUCACUUCCAUAUUCCUUCAAUCGUGGGUCCAUGACGAUUUUGCACAAUCCCCAUGUCUCCGCCAUUAAUUCCACACCAUAGUAGACUAAAUGGACCGUGAUGCUGUUACCAGUUACCAAGAUGCAGAAACACACUUUGAUUAGUCGUCCGUAGGUGUAUCUGGUAAUCAAGGACUGGCAUUCUCUUGAACAGGCUGGUCUGUCACAUGAUGACUUAUUGCACUUAGCCAUGAUAAAUCCAAAAAAUAAUUGCUUGUGACAGGUAGCUACGACUGAAACUACCUCCUUACCUGCUGCACAUUGGAUCUUCUCCAGAGUCAUCACAAACUUUCUCGACCUCAUAAACCAGACUACCAAAUCCAAUAUCAUACAGCCUUACCUACAAAAAAGAGGAUUCCAAUUACAUGUGAACACCGACAUAGAAAUUAGUAAGAUUAUCUCACAUCAAUAUGUUAUCUGUGGCUGUCAUUGAGCUAGUUGCCAAUAAUAUAGGCACUAGUAGACAUACAUAAUUUAAAUGAGUAAUACCUUAUAAUUGCACAGAGCUUAAGACUAGGUCAUCAGCCAUCAUAGAGAGAGAGAGAGAGAGAGAGAGAGAGAGAGGGAGAAGGGGGGGGGGGGGGACAGGGAGGGAGAGGGAGGGAGGGAGAGAGAAAGAGAGAGUAAUACAUAUUAUUAAAUUUUGGAAUUGGUACGGGAAACUAUGAUAGCUUUACAGGAAUGAGAAGGGUUCCUUACAUAUUGUCAAAGAGGUCAUGAGUAUGAACUGCCCUGCUUUGUAAGAAGAUAAAACAAACAAAACUAUUCAAAUUAAUGUGCUGAAUAAAGUGAGUGCAAACAUUGCUGGAAAAAAUAAGACUUCUCCAGUUAAAUAGGUUGAAAUAAAUGCAAAGCAAACAUCAAAUGCAGUCAUCGAAAAUUCCUCAUAAUUUAUCUGAUAUUCUGUCAAGAUCAAAGUUAUACCACCCUAGGGAAGUGAUGGUAUGUCUUCAGUGGGAACCGAGAAUAGUACAGAGGCAAAUGAGGCACAAUAUUGUGUCCAUUAGUUAUACGUUAUUGUAUUUGGCAUGCUGUAGUAAGACACAAACAUUGCAUUGGCAAUAUGAGGUUGUCCAAAUGUCAAGUAAAUCAAGCGAGUGCUGGUCUGGAAAAAACAGCUUCUACUUGAACGUUAAUACUUUCACGAGGGGAAAACUACUAUGCAUCAAUAACCAUAAAUUGCAUUUCACAUACGAAGGUGAAUGAAUAGAACAGCCCUUAUCUCCAUGAGGGUUGGAGUUCUAGCAUUACUCUGUCUAGAUCCCAUCCAUAAUUUUCCCAAAACCAAACCCCACAGCCACAACAAAACCAACCACCCCACCCUCACCCCCAAGUAAAUUUACAACCAAGGUGCAUUUAGAUGCUCCUCCAGGAAGCACUUGGAUGCUGGUGGGGUCAGUCACAUCCUGCUAAUGACAUAAACAUUCCAGGUUCAUGGUGAAAUUACCCCUUGAACCCCAAAACUUACAUCAUUCAUAGUGAAAGAGAAACUAAAUCCUAAAAGGGCCAAAACGCAUGGAAAGGGCCAUGACGUAAACAAAAAAUUCUAGGUUCAUGGUGAAAUUGCCCCUUGAACCCCAAAACUUAACAGUCAUUAAUAGCGAAGGAGAAACUAAAUCUUAAAAAAUGCCACAAGACAUGGGUAUGAUGGCUCAGAACAAUUUUCAGCAAGAUAUCAGCAAACAAAAAUGACAUUUUAAAUCAUCCAAGUGUUCGGACAAGAUGCUACAAUUGCUACUAAUACUUCGCGAAAAGGUUUAGUUUAAAGUUCAUGCAAUCUAUGAUCCCAUUGUAGGCCAAGGGAAUGUCUGUAUAAUCUGAGUCCAAGACAAAGUUUGACCCUCAAAAAUCACAACUUGUCAUGGAGGAGAGAAUUAACGGGACAUGACGUAGGGGUGGGUACCAAUUCUGGUCCCAGUUCUGCAACAGGUGCUUGAAAGACUCUGGACCACUCUGUCCAAUAAAGCUGAGACAAAAAGCAUAAUUUAGACAUUUUAGAAUUGGGUCCAGCCUCUAACAUAUUUGGCCCCGUAGUCCGACUGAAAAGGAGCUGCUUCUUUUGGUUAGCAAGAGACAGACAGAAACAGCGUGCAGAACACAGAUUUAGGAUCAAUAUAUUCUAGUUUAAAAUGCCUUCACACUUCAAGAUUACAUGACAUAGAAUUUGAGCUUCAAGUGCUUGCAAAUGUUAUAUGUCGAACAUAUCAAUAAUCCCAUUAAGUUUCCAGCAAGUAAACUUUGUAAUGAUUAGUUGGAAGUCUUUAUCCGCUAUAUUUAGGUAUUCGACCAACUUGAAGCUCCAUUGCUCAACAUGUAAGACUCAAUUCAAACAACUAGAUACAUAGACCAUAGGAGACUCAGGUAAAGGGUUGUUUGCAACCCAUCCUGCUUGUGUUUUGUCUAUAGGUUGAUUUGCCAAAAGAGGGGAAAAAAGAAAAGAAGAUGCUGACCAAUUGCAAAUAUAAAUAUGAAGCCAUAGAAAGUUCAAGACAUCAAUAUAUGAAAUUGACAGAAAUUGCCAGAGAACCAUUAACAGACCAAAACUGAAUAAAUGGAAGGACACAAUAGAGAAGAACCAAUAUCCGAACCUGCCAAACAAUAAUAACAACAAGCUCUAGGUUAAUGGGAAAGUCUUUAUAAGGAACACUUAAUAGCAGAUGCAUAAUCCCCCACCAUCAUCGCAAGAGUGUGAUUGUAAACAGCUUUAUGAGCCUUGGGGCUCACUCUAAGUUUUGCAUUUACCAGUAAAAAAAGUUCAGAUUGAAAAUGAACUCACAAGCUCAUUCAAUUACAAGCAGCGAAGCAACUCUCUUAUGUCUCUAGCAAGCUAUUUCAAUGAAUCAAGUUAGCGGAACACUUUAAGGAAACAUCAACUCAAAAAAAUAUUUAAGUAUAUUUAUGCCAUCCUUGUUCAUGAACUUAGAGAACUAUAUCUUCAAUGCAAUGUGAUGAAAGGGGAAUAAGUAAACAACAUAAGGCUCCCCUUUCCAUUACUCGACUGGAGAAAAUAGUCAAACAUUGUGAGAUACUCGACAAAUUUUAUCCCUGAAGUAGAGACGGCAGGGUGAAAUUUUUUUUGUUGAACAAAUAGAAGGAAUUUCGAUCGAUCUGACCCUAUUCCAGUGAUAGCAUCGAUCCAAAUACAACACAACACUCUCAAUCAUACGCUUUGAAAACAUCCAGAUCUACACCAGAGGGAUCAUUCAGCUAUAGUAUGCCCGACUCAAUCAGGCACUACAGCUCCGCAACACAGUCAAACGAUUUCCCCCAACCCUGAAAUGCCUAAUCUGCCGAAUUCACUACACAAACCUCACUUCCCCAGGCUCAAAACCGACGUACUCGAUACUAGAGCCUGUCUAUACCAACCUCAUCACGAUCCAGACUCCCGUCCGAAUCAAGUCAGAGGAUCACAACCGUAACUGAUUACAUGAACCGCGACCUAUUCCGCUCCACAUCCUGCAAGAGAAAUUCCAAUCUCCGCAACCUUUCCAUAUACGCAAAAUGAUCGCGCGCGAUCAAAUGGCGCAAUCGCCCGGUGAGACGGAGAGGUCGAUUGCGGUCUUCAUCCGUAUUGCUCGAAUUCAAAACCUCCGGCAACUUGGGGAGAAAGGAAGGAGGGGGAUGAUGGAUUUACAAAUUGUCCUUAUCUGCCCUCGGUCGCUUGCUCUGUUGGCGGCCAUAUUCGGUAAGUUCGGUGAUUUUGUGGUUUCCGUGAGGGCAACGAAGGAAGUUUCGCUAAAAUGAGACGCGCUCCAGGGCAAAUUCCCGUUCCCUCCGUCUCCCCUCUUAUGGCGCUUCGUCUAAUGUCUUUCAAUUGAAAACAGCAAAAGUCACAAAAUGUCAUUUUAAAGAUAUCAAAAAAGCGUGAAUGAUUUUUUUAAAAUCAAAUUUUAUAGAAAUCAAUAUUCAAAUCUCUUCCUUAUUGGUGACGUAAACACAUCAAUCCCUCAUUCGACUCAAGUCACAUUUUACAAGUACAAAGCAAAUUCAUAAAUCACUCUUUUUUUUUUUAUCGGGUUGAUGCACCACUCAUUCACUUUCAAAGGAGAAAAGAAUAAAAUUGAACAUGAAAAAGUUGCAGUCGCAAUCCAAGCACGAUGACCCAGUGAUGGAGGGAUCACCCCAUCUUUCACUAAUUUACGAGUUCAAAUCAUGUCGCAAGCGAACAUUUCACAAUGUUAUGUGAAAUUUUUUUCAAGCUUUUGCUAUAUUAGUUACAAUGAUGGGGUUGCAUACUUACAGAUAGAACGAGUGGUUAUGACUCAAACGAGAUAUUCCGUAACGGAUACAAUAUUUUUAUGUAAUGAUAAGAAUGCAUAAUUGUAUUGAACAUCUCCUUCGCACAUUUUUUUUUUUUCAAUUUAUCAGAGGAAAAAAAUCGCAAUCCAUCAUGGCUCGGGCGGGAAGGCUGAGUCGGACCAUCCCCAAUCCUCGUGCAUCUCAACGAUUGUUGUUUCCGCUGAGUUGACCACUUGUGCUAGUGCAAAACGAUUGACCACUUGAGGUUGCCCUAUGUGGUGACAGUUGCUAUCAUUGUUGUUUCUGCUGUUCUUUUCAAAGAUUUCUUCCAGACAAGACUAAGCAUGAGUAAGAUCACUGAAAGAGGGCAGUCCAAAUAAUGAUGCUGCUAUAAACCAUUGAGUAGCGUGAACGGUGAACUGACUGAAUAAAAUAAUGAAACCAGUAUACCUCGGUUAGUACCUCUCGGAGGACUUUCACAUGAACAAAAAAAUGUUUGCAAGAGCUACCGGUGUGAACCCCCCACCAAUUAGCCAGGGGUGCAUGAUUUUUGGGGGAAAAAGUCAUGUCGACUAACUUGCUAGACAUUGACUUCAUUCGAUUCGUAUGCUGGUUUUAGCAGACAAACAUCAACAAUCUCUAUCUCAAAGGAUAAUUCCCAGAUGGAAGGGAAAGAUUGACAUGGACUUCUGCCUUCAAAGGGAUUGCUGUAGGACCUCAAUUCAGUUCGGUCAGGUGGACCUUUCGAUGAUGAAAUGGUGCUGUUAGAUGCUAGAUUUCAGGUACACAUGAACUUUAGAAAGAUUGAUCUCCACCACCUCCCAAAGGAGCCUGGUAAAAAAUGGAACGUUUGAGAGAACCCUUGAUCGAUGGGACAUCAAUAAAGCAUAUGCCUGAAUGUCCAGGAUUGAAGAGUGCACAAAUUCUCUGUGCUUGCCAUCGUUCCUACUGACUACAAAGCCUUCAAUCAGUCACCUGACUUCCCCAUAGAGCUUUCUCUGCAUGGAGCUGGGAUCACGAGAAGCUAUCCAGCCCGAUUGGAUCCCUUGUAAGCCUUAUACACUAGUCUUCCAGAAACUGCAAGUCAAUAAAGACACUACUGGACUCAAUCUGGAAUUUGGAAUCACUUGCUGAGUUCGAUAAAUUGAACAUGGACAUAGAGAAGCUGCCUGGUUUGGCCAGGAACGUAUGUUUGCAAAUACAUACGUUUAUCUAGCCCAGUAGUCUGAAACCGAAGAGGAGCUGCUUCAUUUGAUUAGAGAGAGACAGACAGAAACAGCGCACAAAACACAAAUUUAGGAUCGAUAUAUAACCUAUCUUAUAAUGCAUUAGCACUUUAAGAUUAUGAGACAUAAAAUUUGAGUUUCAAGUGCCUAAAAAUGAUAUAUGUCCGGACCAUAAACAUAUUAACAAUCCCAUAAAAUUUCCAGCAAGUAAAUUGUGUAAUGAAAACAAGCCAAAAGAAGAGAGAGAAAACUUUGUAAUGAAUGGUUGGAUGUCUUUACCUGCUACGUUUAAGUAUUCAACCAACUCGAAGCUCCAAAGCUUAAAAUGUAUGACUCAAUUCACACAACUAGAGACUUCAAUAAUUGGUGGUCCGCAUAAAGGGCUGUUUGCACCCCAUUCUGCUUGUGUUUUGUCUAUGGGUUGAUUUACCCAAAAUGUAAGAAAACAAGAUGCUAUGCAUGACGAUUGUAAAUAUGAAUACGAGAGCCAUAGAAAGUUCAAGAUCCACAUGAAGAGUCUAGAAUCUUCAAUGUAGAGUUGGCAAAGAAUUCCAGAUAAAUGCUAACAGUCCAAAACUGAACAGUUGGAAGAACACAAUAGAAAAGAAACCAAUAAAAUUCACAAGUCCCAAGCAUAACAGUUUUUCAAUUUAUCUUACCACAAGAUCAAGUCCCCAAAAGGAUGCCGUUAGCCCCUCCCAUAGAAUGCCAUGUCACCAUGAUGUUGAUGUCUCUGUAUAAAUCCUUGGCUCUCAUAACAGCAUCCAAAAAUCUAGGUUGAAUUGUUGUAUUGUGAUAAACAUGAUAAAAUCAGUGAUGAGCCUAAGCAAAAGAUCAAUAGAGUAGGACUGUAACUCAAUCCGAAUCGGAAGUAUCCACAGGUGUAAGAGCCUUAUCAUCACUAGAACUCACCAUGGCACUAGGCAUGCCGGGGUAAUAUGUCAAGCUGUUUCCAAUAGAGAUCUUCAACCCAAUUUUGUAUGCUAUAGACAUUAAAUAGAAGUAAUCACUAAAUGAAAAGCUCAAAUGAUAAAAAGACGUGACAGAAUUUUUCACAGAACAAAAUUAGUGAAGUAUGUGAUCUCCUCAUGACUCCAUCUAAAAUUACAAGAAAGUAACUUCCUUGUCUUGGUGGAAAUGAUUGACCCCUUUUCUGUUCAUAUGGACAGCAGUCCCAUGUGCCUUGUGUAUGCAUUCAAUGAGGCUGCUCUUCUUAGCUUAAAUUUUCAUCAAAUCCUUUGCAUGUCAAUUGUAAGAGGAGGAAUCGCAAAAGGUAACAUGCAUACCUAUGUUCUUGGAAACCUCUGAAAGCAAUAACCAUAGCAUUAAGGUCCUUGGCCACCCCAACAUGUGCCUAUAUAUUAAAUAGUUUAAAAAUAGAGACAGAUAAUAAGAUGCAAUUCAAACAUAGAGGCAUCCCAAUCAUGCAAAUUGAUAGGCCACUGUAAAACGAUUCAUAUACCUGUAAGCAGUGCUAAAGGUCAUAAUCAGUUUAAUGACUUCGAACCCCUGCUUGCAUAUCAAAAAGGCAUUAAUAACCAGUUCGGAAGUUCAUAAGAUGAGGCUGCAUAUGCCCAAAAAAUCUCAUCUUAAGAAUUGGGUAUUUAGCACUAAAGAUCCAUUCUUCACACAACCUUAGCAACAAUGCUAUAUUAAAAAGGAGUCAAAUUACCUUGGUCUUUCCAUCACAUCUAGGGCAUGUCCAGCUAAAAAGUUCAGUCAAAUCUGACAUGUAAACCUGCAAUAAAGAGCUUUGCGUUAAAUUACAAUUUUAUUGUAUUGAAAUGGUGAAACCUAAUGCGUAACAACAACAAGCUCUAUGUAAAUGUGAAUUUUUUUUUAAAGAACACUUAUGGCUGAUGCAUACUCCACCAAUAUCGUGGCAAGAGUGUGAUUGUAAACAGCUUUAUGAGCCUUGGACCUCACUUUUAAUUCUGCAUUUACCAGUACAUAAAAUUUCAGAUUAAAAUGCGGUCUCAAGCUCAUUCAAUCACAAGCAAUGAAUCAAGUUUCUUAUGUCUCUAACAAGCCAUAAUGACAAAUCAAGUGAGGGGAACACUUUAAGGAAACAUCAACUCAAAACAACAUUCAGUAUAUUUUUGCAGUCCUUUGUGAACCAAAAGAAGUAUUUACACAAUCCAGUACAAUGCAGGAGGAAUAUGUAAACAACGUUAAGGCUCCACUUUCCCACAAAGUUACUCCACUAAAACCUACAGGCUACAGCCAUAACUCAACUGAACAAAAGCUGAACAGCUGUUAUUCAAUCACCGUAUGACACUCAACAAUUUUUUUCUUCAGAGUAGAAACAGCAGAGUGUGAUCUGUACCGAACAAAUAUGAGGAAAUUCGAUCAAUCUGACCAUAUUCCAAUUAUAGCAUUGAUCCAAACUCAGUAAUCUAAGGUAUUAACAGGAGCGACCAAGUACAACUUGACACUCAUCAGUUACAUGAAUUGAAAGCUGCCAAUUGUACACCAAAGGGAUCAUAUGGCUAUAGUUUGCCCCAUUCAAUCAGGUACUACAACUCCACGACAGAGUCAACAAUUCCCCCCAACCAUGAAACACCUAAUCUGCCAAAUUCACAAUACAAAUCUCAAUGUCUAACCUCAAAACCGACGUACUCGACGCUAGAGCCUGUCUAUUCGCACCUCAUCACUCUCAAAACUCCCAAUCCAAAUUGAUUACAUGAACGCGAAUAGCGAUCACCUCUCACCCCACUUGCGGCAAUCAAGCAUGUCAAAACCACUGUUGCCCUCAACCGCGACUCGUUCUGCUCCAUAUUCUUUACAAUCUUUCCCAAUUUGCCCUUGGGAUCUUCUUCCGUUGGCGGCCAUGUUCGGCGUCGCGUUCCGUGAUUUCGUCGUUUGUGAGAGGGCACUGAAGGAAGUUCCGCCGAAAUCAGGACGUUUUACGAAGACUCGCACGGCGACGUCCACAUGAAUUUAGGUACACAUUAAUUUACAAAGAUUAGCAAUAAUUUGUGAAGUUGUGGUUAUGAGUGAAUUAAGUUAGCAAGAAAGUGCAAUGUUCUUUUAUAUGGUUUGAUUUCAGUUUCUGAUUUCUAUUUCAGAAACUGAAAAGUUAAAAAUUUCAGCUUCUGAUUUCUUCAAUUUUUCUAUUUCUGGAAUAGAAAUCUGUUUCAGAAAUAAAGAAAUCAAAUUGCAUUACCAAACGGAAUCCUGUUUUAAACCUAUUCCAGGGAACAGAGAAACAGAGAAAUCAAGAAACAAAAAUUUUGUCAUGCGCGCCCUUAGCCAAGAGAACAAGACGUGCUUUUUUGGGGUUCGAUCUUCUCUCUUUUGGAGAUUUCCCUCCCUUCGACGUCUCCACAUCAGCAUUUUGACUGGGCUGGGUUCAAUUUAGUUGGUUCACACUAAAUUUUAAAGAACGUGCUAAAUUAAAGUUAAUAUUAUCUAUCAUUUUAUUUAUAACCAAGGAGAUACGCGAAAAUGCAAUUGGUCCAUUAUGGCCGCAAGCUUCUUGAGUUAAGUGUUUUCAUAUUCAUCAUCAAAUUGAUCUAGCACGCAACUUGUUCAAAUUUUAACAAAAUAUAAUUGAACUCAAGUGAUCGACAAGUUAAGCUUAAUUGUGAAUUACAGAACCCACUUGUCUUGGGGCAACUUGGUAUUGUGUAUUAAUUCUCAAAUACUAUCUCUGAAUACUUAUGUUGAACUGGAUUUUUUUAUAGAUAAAAGUACCCAUAGCUUUUUUAAAUUGAGUUAUUUUGUCUAAAAUUUUUUGGACUAUUAUGAGGCGAAUACAGUUGGAACAAGACGACCUAAAAAUCAUGGUAUUAUCAUCCAUAAUUGCUUGAUUGAAUAUAUGAGUCAUACAAUUGUCGAGAUUGACUACUUUACAAGUCAAAGAACAUGAAAUGAAAGAAAACGUCCAUAAACUUUGAGAACGAAAGUUAAUAGGAUUUUUCACCGGCCAUGUGAGAAGUAAAAAGAGCGGGUAACCUCUGAAAAUGCAAGUCACAAAUGAAUGUUUUUAAGAACGCAAAUGGUGUCAAUAAAGUUAUUUUUAUUUCGCAUUUAGCUCACAAGAAUAGCACAAAAUAAAAAUCCCAAUGCAUGGUAUGCGCCAUGUUUGGUGGCUUUGGCAAUUUAUAGUUCUAGUGGCAUAUACUAAUAAAUUAGUUCACGAAACAAACGUGAACAUGAAGAAAAGUGAAAUUUAUGAGAUAUUAUUGUGAAGAGUAAGAUGAUCAAUUUUAUAGAGAUCAAUCUUCAAAUCUUUUCAUUCAAGUUAAGUCAAAUUUUAACCACGCAUUUUUUUUUUGUAGGGUCAUGCAUUGCUCAUUUACUUUGAAAAGAAAUAAAAUUGAGCUUGAAAAAUUCUCAACCCACGCCCAAGCGUGGUAACGCAAUGGUGAAGAAAUCGCGCCAUCUUCCGGAGCAUAUAACCUCUUACAUUUUGUGGAUUUGCUACCUCAAGUAGAAAGACUAGACUUUUAGCAUAUCAAUAGGGCUACAAUGAUAUAAAUAAAUAAAAAAAGUAGGGAAAAAAAAAGGAAAAUUGAAAAAUCAAGGGUUAAUAUCCUGAAAAACCUCAAACUGGUACACUUGUGACAAAUUUACCUCAAACUAUUUUUUUGACCACCAAAAACCCCAAACUGGUGUACCUUUGACAAAUUUACCCCAAGCUGGUACACUUGUGACAAAUUUACCCUCCGUUAGUUUUCGUGAAAUUUUACUAUUAAAUUAUUAAGUUAAAUGACAUGUGACAAUUAACUAGUAUACCAAUUUGAGAUUUUAUGCUUUGUUUAUCACAGUUUACAAUUUUUGUGAUUUUUUUGUGAUAUUAAUACAAUUUAGCGGGGGAUAUAUUUGUCACAAAUUUACUAGUUUUGAGUUUUUUGUGGCCAAAUAAAUUAGUUUGAGGUAAAUUUGUCAUAAAUGUACCAAUUUAGGAUUUUUUUUUAUAGUUAGUCGGGGUAAAUUUAUCACAGGUAUACCAGUUUAGAGUUUUUUAUGGUCAAAAAAAUAGUUUGGGAUAAAUUUGUCACAGGUGUACCAGUUUGGGGUUUUUCAGGGUAUUAACCCAAAAAUGAAACUGAACUAAACCAAAUUUUCAGUUCGGGUCAUAUUCAAUUUAGGUUGCGAUUCAUUUCGGUUCGGAUUCCUUGAAAAUGCGAAUUGAACCAAACCAUCGACAUCCUAAGUUACAAUGAUAGACUCAUACACCUAGUGUUGGAUUGAGUUGAUAUGCUCAAACGGAACCUUCCGUAACUAGUGUACUCCCUUGGUGGCGACACAAGAAUGAGUAAUUGUACUUCCUAAAUUUUUUUAUUUUAUUAAAAAUAAAUUCGCAAAAAUCGUGACCGGUGCAGCGAGGCCAGGUCAGACCAAUCCUCGAGCCGUGGGUCCAUCUAAUGCACAAGUCAAUCCUGGCUUGAAUUCCCGCGGGGGGAAACGAAAGUACUUCUUCCCUACUCUUAUUUUUUUUUUUGGUCUAACAUAAAAUUUCAUUCACUCAGAAGAGCAAGGAACACAUGAUUCAAGGCAUAACACAUGGCGACCCCGAUCCAUGGAUACUUUUGUGCUAAUAUAACCUCACAGAACAUAUAUCUAUACGUAUAUACUUUUGUCUUAUCAGACUUCAUGCUGCGCAAUGCAUUAGUAGAGCGGAGGAUCGAUACAGCAAGCGCCAAUCUGCAGAACCGAAUGAAGACCGGGGGUUUUCCCCAUUUUUUUUGGACAUUUCCUUGUGAUUAAAAGCUUCAUCGAUCACCUCACAACAUAAACAAAGUGGGGAACGAUGGCGAAUAGAGCCUAUCUAUCUUGCUCUGUUUCUGUCUUCACAUACACUGACUUCUUAAGUUGGCAAGGACUUCCAUUCGUCUGGAAUGUUGUGGUUAAGAUACUUGUGGUUAAAAAAAAGAUAGGCUUUUGCUUUUGGUUUUCUAUAUUUUGAAAUUAGUGUUUUACCCAAAACCGUAAUUCAUAAGGAAAGGUUCUUGUUAAUGAAUGUCUUGGGGCAUUUGUAAGCACGCUUAAGGAGGAAAUUUUUUAUUUCCGGAGUAUUGAUUACACAUAAAAUAAGAAAAAACAAUGUACGAGAAAAUUGUAGUAUUUUUAUUAUUGAGUUACUUAACAAGUGUCCUAGGGGCACUAUUCAACAAAAUCCCUGAGAAAAAGAUUCCACGAUGCCUCACAUGCAAGCCGAUCUUUACAUAUGAAGCAAAUAAUCUAUGCGUCAAUUGGAUGCAGGAAAGGCAUUUAAACAGAGGUAGCAAGAUAGAAGAAAAAGAGGGAGCGCCAGGAUUUAAAAUCGUAACAUGCGUUAUGAUACCAAUUUUUAUAACCCAUUUUUGUCCAAAAGCCUACACCGGAAACAAACAAGUUCGUAAUGUGUGUAUUGCAUAUUGAUCUUUAAAGAUGCUCCGCUUAAUAGCGAAAAAAUAUACUUCCGAGAUAUGUCUAUCUUAAAGAUCUUAAGUUGGUCAUCUCUUAUGUAUAUGAAAUCCAAAUGCCUGAUUGUUUUUUGUGAAUGAAUUUGCAGGCUACCCAGGCAAUCUGCAAGCUUGGUGAAGUAUUGGGUGAAUCCCUGUCUCCUAGUCAUCAAGUUUUGCGCAUAUCUCUUAUGGAAGGACUUCCAGGUCGAUUAUGGGAGGUAGGAAAUGUCUUGGACUUUUUUACAGGAGAGGUGAUGUGUAGUUUGUCUUCUAAAGUACUAGCGCAAUGGCAUGGAACUAGAAUAGCAGGAAUAAAGGCUGAAUUAUGUCACAUACUAUACCAGUUAAACUUCUUUGCCUUCUUAUGACAAAAGAUAAUAAUAAUAAUAAUAAUAAUAAUAAUAAUAAAAACAACUUCCUUGCCUUCUCAGAUGUUAAUCCGUCAAUUCCUUCCUACAAUAUUGUAGGGGAAGGAGGCUCUCUUGUUUGCCUUGGGUGCUCUUUCAAAGUCUUGCCAUCAAGCCAUCUCCAAGGAAGAUCCCAACGCUGCUGGUUCUAUUCUGGAUUUGCUAUCCUCUGCAUGCACAAAAAAGGACAAGAAAUACCGGGAAGCAGUACUGUUCAGCCUUGAUCAGGUAAUUCCAGAUUAUUGUGUGUUCGCGAAUGCAAUUGUCUUCAAUUAGAAAAUGUUGGGCUUUUACGAGCUCUCACGUCAAGAAACUUUCCAGCCGUACAUUGUUCGGAAAGUGCUGUUUCAGGUUGAUUUCAUCUUUUUAAUUCCCAACUAAAAUCUGCCCCCGAUCAUCCCCCUUCCUCUCUAAUGAAGAUCUUGAAUUUUUCAUGGUUUUUCAGAUUAUAAAAGCAUUUGGCAAUCAUGAGUUUUUCAACAUGGUUUUUCCAAAAUUGUUUGACAUGUGCAGUUUAGGCACUUCUGACAAAUCUGGACAAGCACAUUCAGCAAAUGAUUCUGCUUAAUCAGGUUCAUCCAUAUUUCGGGCUUGUAACUGUCCAGCUUUCAGGAUUUUGAGUUGUCCUGCAUUGCAACCUUUGAAUUCCAUAUCAUAACUUUCUCUCGUUGUUAUGGACUGUCUACCAUCUUAACUAAGAGAUUAAUUUCGGUAUGAUGUCGUGAAUGACCCUAUAUAUAUUCUGACGUCUAAAGAAACUACGUCAGGUUCCUUCAUUGGAGGGUGACUCUUUCAUCUUUCUUUGCGUAAGAAGAUCAUUACCUCGAUCUUUCCUUACUACUUUUGAAGAUAUGCUUUUCUUUGCUGAUCAAGCACCUAUUCUCAAAAACAUGAUCAUUCGACGUGUUUAGCGUUAUUGCAUAAAGUAAGAUUUGUCAAAAAUUUUGAGGAAGUUCGACUCCUAGGUGAACAUCUACUGGUAAAAUAAUCUGAAUUUUUGAAAAUUGCGAGUGUUCUAAGAAAAAGGAUCCAAAAGUCUAAUGCUAAGCUUCUUAUUCUAAUGUAUUAGACAUUAGCAAUUCAAACCCAAUCGAGGUGAUGACGUGAAUAGCAAAGCAUUUGUUUCUUUAACAUUAUAACUUGUUGGGGCUUCAAAGCUUGCUUGGCUAAUUCAAAUGCGCUUGGAUUUUGGCUUGUUAACUCAGGUUAUAGCUGACCAAAAAAAAAAAUCAAAUUAUAGCAGUAAGAGUGAUAAAAGAAGAUAAGAAAACGAUGGAAAAUGAGGAAAAAAGAAAGUGCUAUUUCUUUCUAUGUUUAAUUACAUUAAAUUUGAAGGAAAAAAAAUUAUGUCAAAUGUUCAAGGAUAAAACGUAUGCUCGUGUGCAUGAAUGGCCAUCUAAUCAACGGAAAAUAUCACUUAACUUAUAAAUUUGAUUUAUUGAAAAUCAUCAAAAUUAAAAACCCAAGAAUAUAAACAAAAAGCACCUGGAUUAUUUCUUAGUUUCGUAUGUUGAUCUUUAUUCAUUCUAAAGUCCUUUUUUUUUUUAUUUGCAUGUUGGGGAAAAGGACUUUUGUGCAAUUAUUCAAGGCUAAACAACCAUUUGGCCAGAUGAUUCUUAAUUUGUCAUGAUAUCCUACAUUGUGUAAAAUUUUCAAUAGUUAGCAAAUUUGACAACAAUAUCAACUUUUUUUUCUGUUUGGAUUACUCGUAGCAGAUUCAAAGAAGAUUUGACAUGAAGUUGGACGCCUAUAAUGUGUGAAACUCAUGCUUUCUUUUACUGUGAAAAUGCAAUUUUACACGACAUUGCCUACAGAUUAGAGACUCUGAUGUCCCUCUAGCACUGAAAACACAAAGUACAUAGUAGGAGCAUGUUCGUCAAACUAGAAAAGUCUUUAUUUAGUUGUGUGAAUAAUAUGAAACAUAAGAAAAAGUAAAAAACAAAAAGCAGUUCAUUUUCCCAUUCGAGAGGAAAUUAAUAUGUUGGUCCAAGGGGGAAGCAAUUUUCUGAUAUCUUUCUCUCUCUUCUUUCGUCUCUCUUAUUACUACGUCCCAAAUAAAGCAAAACGAAGACCCAAUUAGAGAGUGGGGGGGUGGGCUUUUUGCAUUUGCGUUUGCAUCGGAGACGGGAUGGAUAGGCUCAUUUAAUUACAGCUUACAUAUUUACGUUUCUCUCUUUCUAAUCUAGAAUUAAGAGAAAGAUAAAAAUAAACACGCCAAUUGAAAUAGUUUGAUAUAAUUGUCCCAGUUUAUCUAGAAUAUAGUUAAGUGGAAAAAAAAAUACGAAUACUCAUGGAUAAGCGCAAGGUGCAUGAUUCCCCAUAUCUAUAGACUCUCUAACUGAGAGAGAGAGAGAUCUAUUACUUCCAAAAUUGAUUCUCCUUAGAAGUUUGUGAAAAUAAAAUGGUUUUCACUAUAUUAUAUAUAACUGAUGAUAACUCAAUUCAGACUGAGAGAUAGUAAAAUUUAUAAAUUUCGCUUAUUUGAUAUGACGUUGCUUUUCAAAUCACAUAUUAUCCCUAAUUCAUAAUACUAUCAUUAAGAAUAUUUUUGUGUUCCUUGAUGACUUCCUCUUUCCUCUUUUCAUCUUUCGUUGCGUGGCAUGGCGAGGCCACCUUGAGCGCGGCGGAAGAGAGUGACCACAUGAGAGGUCGACCGAAUAGCAGCACGGUUGUGCCAGAAGGCGGGCCAGAGACAGAGGGAAUUAUGGCUAUUUGUCAGUUUUUGGGUUCAAUAUUUUCUUAAUUAUCAUGGUCUGUAUUUUGCUUUUGGUGAAGUUGCUACAAAGCUUUUCAUGUUUGCUGGCUGGGAUAAUGGCAUCUAGUAAGCAAGGCCCAUUAAUGUGAAUUUUUGUUGACGCACAAGGCGGCCCUACUCAGAUUUGGGCAAGGCCACGAAAGGCCAGCGAGGACCUCACCCUCAUAUGGUGAUGGCCCCGCCCAGGCUCACCAUUCCAUUCUCUCUUUCUUUAGUUCCUCUCUUCUAUGCAUUGUAGAAGCACUGUAACAUCGGUCAAAGGCCCAUUUGACUUUAAAAGACUACUCUUUUCGGUUACAUAUGCCUACUCUUUUUUUUUUUUUUUUUCUCAAUUUGGCUUCACAAAUGGUGGAAGAGGAGAGCUCCAAUGAACCAAAGUUAUUGGGCCUUCAGAGUGUAGAACCAUUAGUCGCUCCGGAGACAAUAAUAUGUCUAGUUUGAUUGAACAUGCGGUCCUUAAUCUAAGUUUCUAAAUAUGCAGGCGUGGACUGUUGCCGUGAUGGAGGGGACAUUUCGCAAGAAAAAGAAAAAAGUGGCGUCUACAGUGGCAGAAGGAACAAGAGACAAUAGCAAUGCUGAUCCUGAAGAGGUACUUGAUUUGUGAAUAUGUUUGUGAGGCUGAAUAGAAAUGGUCGGGGAUGCAGAAGGGAAUGAUAAGAUCCAGAUUGGGGCGCAAGACCAUUGUGAUAGGGAUUACGUUAUGCUAGUCUUCAUGAAUUCCCGUUUCUCCAGAGAAAUGCACCAUGCCUAAGUGACUGUCAAUGGAUGAACUCAUUUCAUAAUUCAUGUCGGGUCAAUGCAAAGACUCUGCAGUCAAACAUUUGUAUUGUAACUGUAAACCAAGGCGUUCCUGGAUGAUUUUCUGGUGAAGUAGAAGCUCCUCUAGUGAAUAUUAACAGAAUCAUGUCUAUGUGAAGGAGGGAUCAUUCAAUUAUAAUUUGCCCCACUCAAUCAGGCACUACAGCACCACAACACGCUCAACGAUUCACUCCAACCCUGAAAUGCCUAACCAGCCAAAUUCACUACACAAAUCUCACUUCCCCAGGCCCAAAACCAACGUACUCGAUGCUAGAGCCGGUCUAUACGAACCUUAUCAUAAUCCAGACUCCCAAUGCGAAUCAAGUCAGAGGAUCACGACCGUAACUAAUUACAUGAACAAGAGUUGCAAUGAAGCAUUGUCAAAACCACCAUUGCCGUCAGCCACAACCUGUUCCACUCCAUAUUAUUCUGCAAGAGGGAAGGAUCGAACAGCAUCGUCGAGAAAAACACACGAUAUCGUGCAACAAAAGAAAUUCCAAUCUCCACAACCUUUCCUUCCAUAUACGCAAAACGGUCACGCGCGAUCGAAUGGCGCGAUCGCCUUGCGAGAUGGAGAGAUCGAUUGCGGUCUUUGUCCGUAUUGCUUGAAUUCAAACCUCGGAUUCUGGUCUCCCAGGUGAGUGGACUCUUAUAGUGAUUUUCGCGACGGAUGGCGAUCGAAAGCUCCAGCGACUUGGGGGCGGGGGGAAGGGGAGGAAGGACGGGGACGAUGGAUUUGCUGAUUUUCCUUAUUUGCACUCGGGCGCUUGCUCUGUUGGCGGGCGUAGUCGGUGUCACGUCCGGUGAUUUCGUCGUUUCUGUGAGGGCAAUGAAGGAAGUUUCGCUAAAAUGAGGCGUGCUCCUGGACAAAUUUCCGUUCUCUCUGUCUCUCUUCUUUUGGCGCUUCCUUUGACGUCUUUCAAAUGAGCACUUUUGACUCGGCUUGAUUUAAUUAGUGAGUUCAAACUAGAAUUACAAAAAAUGCACGAAAAUUAGAGUGAAUAUUACUUAACCAUUUAUUGAUAUUCGUCGAAGUAUACAAAGAUGCAGAUUACUCUAUUAUGAUAGCAAGCUUAUUGAGAUAAAUUUUUGCAAUCCCAAGCUCCAAUUCAUCUCAUAACUCGAAUUAUUCAAAAAUUUUCUUUUAUCGAUAUUAUUCAAACUUGAAAAGAAUGCAAUCCGACGUGCGUGAAAAGCAAGCGAAAAAUAUCAUAUUUCUAGAAAACAUUUUCUUGGAAGUCAUUUUCCUGGAAAAUGACUUUAGUUUCCAAUGUUCGGCCGAAACCUAAACUUUGAGUAUAAAAUAUUUUCUGCCGUUCGUUAGCUAAUUUAAUUGUUUGAGAAAAAUUAUCAAAAAUUGAAUUUUAAUAUUUUAAUUGACUAAAAAUUAGUUUUAUUUUUUAUAUUUUUUAAAUGAAUUUUUAAUUAUUUGUAUUAUUAAAAAAUCGAAAUUUUUAUUAUUUUUUCUUUCUUUUUCUUUUUCUUUUUUCCUUUUUCUUUUCCUUCCUUCUUCCUCCUCCUUCUUCCUUCCUCCUUCCUCCACCGCCGCAUGCCUGACGAUGGCCGGCUGCUUAGCAACCAACCAAGAUCCGAUCGCCAGAUCCGACGAGCUCAAGGCUCGGACGAUCUCCCUCGAGAUCGCUGGAGGUUCAUCGAGCUCUAGUGAGCUGCGAGCUCGCCAGAUCUGGCGGCGGAGCUCGGGCUCGCUUGGAUCGGGAGCUCAAGCUCCACCGCCAGAUCUGACAAGCUCGCGGCUCGCUAGAGCCCAACGAACCUCUAGUGAGCUUGGGCGAGGCCCGAGCCACGCCCAACUCGCUGGAUCUGGUGAGGCUAGAGCUCCGCCUCGCCCGAUCUGGCGAAGCUAGAGCUCCGCCUCGCCCGAUUUGGCGAGGCUCGAGCUUGUCGGGCUCGGGUGAGCUCGGCUUCCCCAGAUCGGGCUAGGUGGAGCCUCACCAGCUUGGAGCGAAGCCUCGCCUAGUUCGCAGCCACUCGCCGGCCUGGGUUUGAGCCUCGCCUGGCUCCCGAUUGCCGACCGGCAUCGUGGGCGCGCGACCGGCCAAGGCUAAGGAAGAAAGAUGUAAAGAAAAAAAGAAAAGAAAAAAGAAAAAGAAAGCAUAAAAAUAAAACAAAAAUGUGUUGGUGAAAAGAAAUAAGGUGGAAGAAGUUAUGGAAAAUGUUUUCCACUUUUGAAAAGUGGAAAACAUUUUCUUUGAGUAGUUAAUUUUCCGUGAAAUGAACACCGGAAAAUCCAAAAAAUGUUUUCCUGAAAGUUAUUUUCAGUAAAACGAACGGAGCCUUAAUGGAAGUGAAUUCGAUAGUUUUCUUUUUAGAUAAAUAUAUAUACAAUAGUUUGAGUUGAGUCGUUUUAUCUAGAAUUUACAAAAUAUUUAUAGCGAGAAUAUGACGAAUUGAUCACCAUAUUAUAAAAUGAUGCUAUCAUCAUCUCAUAAUUACUCGAUUGAUAAAUGAGUUGUACAAUCACGGGGAUUGAAAACUUUACUUUACGUGUAAAAGAUUUUUAAAUAAAAGAAAAAGGUCCAUAAUCUUUGAGAACAAAAGUCAUUGGACUUUUUGGGCAGGCUAAGUUUGAAGUAAAAAGAGUUGUAACCUCACGCAACAAAAGUCACAUGAUGUCAUUUUAAAAAUAUCAAAAAGAGUGAAUGAUUUUUUUUUUAAAUCGCAAUUAGCUCACACAAACAAAAUAAUAUAAGAACCACACCCCAAUGCGUAGUAUAUGUGAUGUUUGGUUGCUCUCACGGAUUUAGAUUCAUAAUCAAAUGAUUAUAAAAUCACUAGAAAAAUCAGUACACAAAAAAAAAAAAUGGAAGUUAAAGAAUAAGUGAAAUUCAAGAGAACUUAUUGGAAAGAGUAACCUAAUCAAUUUUAUAGAAACCAAUCUUCAAAUCUCUUCCUUUAUUGGUAACAUAUACGCAUAAUCCCUCAUUUGCCUUAAGUCAAAUUUUGUAAGCACAAGACAGAUUUAUAGCUCACUCCUUUUUUGGUCAAGCUCAUACACUGCUCAUUCACUUUGAAAGUAUAAAAAAACCAAAACUAAAAGUGAAAAAGUCACAUUCGCAAGCCAACCCCAAACCCAAGCACGAUGACCCAAUGGUAAAGGGAUCAUGCCAUCUUCCAUUAAUUCACUAGUUCGAAUCAUGUCACAAGUGAACUUUUCACUAGUUAGUAUUUCAGCAUUCACAACACUGAGUGGUUAUGGCUCAAAUGAGAUAUUUUGAGACAAACAUAACACUUUAUGUAAUGACAAGAAUGAAUAAUCAUUUUUGAUCAUCUCUUUCCACAUUUUUUAACUUAUCAAAAGUUCUCAUAAGCAACUGAAUAUGUUCUCCAAGCAUGAUAGGCUUGAGGUAAAAAGAUCAGGGAAAAUUUUAAAAAAGGACCGAAGUGCCCUCAUUUCUCAAAUAAGGAUCUGAAGUGGACUCUGUUUUAAAUAAAAACCCGAAGUGGCAUUGGUUGUUUCAAAUAAAGGCCUGACUUUAUCGAUCACCGGCUGGCUAAAUUUUUCGAUUGGUCAAGAGUGUUUUUGUCCAAAUUUUCUUCUCUUUUUUUCUCUUUUCUUCUUUUUUCUUUUUUAGCGUCGACUGACAAUUGCUAGCAAAGGCUAGCGAAGGCUUGACGACUAUCGCGGGCCAUUGGGAAGGGCUGGCGAGGGCCUGUAAGCACUCAUCGGCAGUGGGUGAGGACCUAAAAGCCCUCACGAAUGGCCACGGGGGGCAGCCUCUACUCGGGUGAGGCAUGUGAGGCCAUCCCUCGCUUGUGGCCGGCAUGGGUGGUCCUCGCCCAGUCCUCUGUGGGCAUCACUAGUGGCCGACUGGCCACCAUCGAAGAGGAAGAAGAAGAACCGGGAAAAAAAAAGGAAAGAAAAACAAAAAAGGAAGAAAAAAAAAUAUUAUACCUUGACUACUGGAAAGUCAAGCCCUUAUUUGAAACGGACAUAGCCACUUCAAACCUUAUGUGAAAGGGACACAAUCACUUAAUGCCCUUAUUUGAAAAAAUUAUGACACUUCACGUCCUUAUUUGAAACAAGAUCCACUUUGAGAUCUUAUUUAAGAAAAUGAGAGCACUUCGGGUCCAUUUUUGGAAUUUUUCCAAAAGAUCAUUUGAGAACCAAAACAUACAACAAAAUGAUUGUGUAAAUGAAAAGGUAAGUAGCAACAAUUGAAUGCAGAAGAAGAAUCAGAUGACCAUAUUAGCAAGAUAUAAAAUUUUGAACUUAGCACACAACUUGUGUAGAUAAAGCUCGCCAAAAUCAAGAGCCCUUGCACGCACACCUGCUUUUGUAACUUCCGGACAAAGGUCGCAGUUAAAAUUCUCAUGAAUUCGAAGAUUUGACAAUUUCUGUGAUGAAAGAAAAAACCAAGUUAAUUUAUCGACUACUCAAAAAUGAAAACUAUACUUCUCAAAUGGAGCCAGAGGUCAACUGACAAAUCUGCGUAAGUUCUGCAAGACAUCAGAGAGAAGCUUAAUAUCCUCUCUGUUCUUGCAAUUUUCAAUCAUUGACCACGUCCAUGCGUUUGGAGCCACUCUUUUUUUUUUCUUCAUAUUAAUGGAUUCAAGAAUUUUAUCAUACAUCUCCUUCACGGUCUCUGCACAAUAUGACAAGAACCAAAUAUCAGAGAAAGAACUACACAAUUUGUCAAGAAACAAAUUAGAUGGGGAAAAGGAAAAAACCUGUGGGUUCCUCCUUUUCAGCACUUGCUUCAGAAGAAUACUGUAAACUCGAAAUUAUCGAAUACAAGGCUGCAGGCAAUCUAUUGCCAUGAACCGGCCCUGGGAAUUCCAACAACAAUCACAUCAAAACCUUUCACUGCCAAGAGAAAUGCAGCUCCGUUUUGUAUCAACAAAUUAAUUCGACCUGGAACCAACAUUUAAGAACAUGAAGCAACUCAACUUGAAGAAACAGUUCGACGUGAUCAAUCCUAUUACAGAAUCACGUCUCCAACAUCAAAUACACAAAGCAAACACGAUGAACACAAUAAAAAUACGACAUCUCAAUUAAACAAGCACAAUCUCGACAGCAUAAUCAUCCCUCCACUUCAACUUGACUAAACCAGGUGCACAUUCCUCGUAUGAGUUACUCAUAAUUCUUCAUCAAUCAUCAAACGCCCCCCCACCCACCAUAUCCAGACAUCAAAAUCGACCUAAAAAAAGGCCCCGCUAACAAAGAACCAUCGCUCCGGCAUCUACAAUCCACGUCGAGAUCCCUCGGCAGCAAUAAACAAAAAAAUCCGACGGACGAGAAGCGCGGUACCUGCGAAACCGAGGGACUGAGCAGUAGAGGAGAAGGAGGAGCUGCGAUCUCGACAUGCUUGCACCCGAAUCCGAGCGCAUUCCGCGACUCGGCGGUCAUUCGGAGAGACGAAUCCAGCCGAGCUGACAUGAACCGGAGGCUUGAGAAUGCGAAAGAGCCUACGAGCUCUCGCGGCGGCGUGCAUAGCUCCGGCGCGAUCGAAGAAUCAACGAGCCGACGAGUUCCUCGCGCCGGAAGGUCCGUGCUGUUGCCGAGCGAGGUUUUUCGGCUGCUCAGGGUUUUGCGAGGAGGAAGAAGAAAUGAGGUAAUGUUCGCCUGCGGCGGCGUCUAUGGCCACUGACGGUGUGGAACAUUCAGAAAGCUUUUGCAAACGGCACUCUCAAAUGGAAAUGGACAAAUGUUUAGAAAUGCUUAUUAUUUAGCCUAAAAAUAAAUAAAUUAUGGCAAGUUGAGAGAAAUUUGAAUUCCGUUUGGGAAGCAAAGUCUUUGUGGGGUUAAUUGACAACAUCUGAUUAUCCAUUUUACUAACAUUAUUAUAAUUCAUCUUCACAAAAAAAAAAAAAAAACGAUAUCUAGCUUUCUAAGUUGAUAUUUUGGGAUUAAUUGGCUCAUUUUGAUUUAGUGGUUCAGGAGAGAAUUUGUACGUGUAUUUGGAAUAUCGUAUAAGUUGAAUUUUCUACAUGAUUAAGUGCAAACAAUUUCAUAUUUGGCGACCAUAUGAAUUCUAUGGCUUAUAAGGUAGAUGAUAUUGGGCAAAUAUAAAAAACGUGUCUCAUUUUUUACCCAAUGACUUAUUAGGUACCUCCAAGUUUAAAUAUAUCAAAUACAUACGAGUUUUACCUUUGGAGACCCUUUCCACUUCUGCAUCAAUUUGCCUUGCAUUCUUGGUUUCUUCUCAAAAAAAAUGUCUAUCACCAUCCUAAAUUCUUAUAUAAAAAAAAAAGCACUCCAAGCCACCUGAAAAUUAAACCACUCAAACGUGGAGCAAAAAACUAAAAAAAGUUUACAAGAAGGGACGGUUUAAUCUUUCAAUAUAUUAACCAUUGGGAGUUCGCUCCAGUGGCCACUCUUUCAACUUGAAAGGGGGAGGUUGUGGGUUCAAAUCCCCAUUUUCUCAGGGGGGAUUUGGGUGGGGAUGAUUUCAUUUCAAUAGUAGGUUUUGACUCCCAUGCCCUGCAAUGAGGUAAGGGCAAAAGUCUGAGAGUGAGUGUUAGAAUAGGAUUAGAGUAUGACUGACCAAAAAAAAAAAAUCUUUCAAUAUUGGAUUUUACUCAGAUGCAUGGGAAAGUUAAUUGUAAACAAGGUUUUUCAUUGAACUACCCACAGUAAGGUUGGGUUGAAAGCAAAAAAAAAAAAAACCACCGAUAAUAAGAAACGAGCUGUCGUUUUCUAGAUUCGAGGGAAAUACUCCUCUUUUUAACUUGAGCUGCAACUGUCUCCCCUCCACCCUCUGUACACAACAGAAAAAACUCCUUCCUUUUGUCAGCCACGGAAACGGACCGCUUAAGCAAAUCAAAACUCCAACAGACACAGAGGAAAAAACCCAAAACUUCAUUACGAUCUGAUGCAUAAAGGGAGAGGGGAUCAAUCCUCCAAUCUUAAUUCCUUUCGAUUGACAUUCUUUUUCACAAAAAUGGGUUGUGGGGAGUCGAAGCAUGCUGUUGCCACCGGAAACACCAUAACCAAAAGCAGGAGUUCAAGCGCCCAUCCAGAGAAGAACAAACAAGUGGAACAAAACGUUCCUCAGAUGGAAUCAAUUGGGAAUGGCGCGGCAUUACUUGUGCAACAAGAAAUCAAUAAUGCGGUGAGCCAGGAUACUGAACAUCCCGGGCCCAAACAAGAAGAAGAGAACAAAGGAGAAGAGACAAAGGCCGAUGAUGAAGACAAAGAGGAAGAGAAGCAUGUCGAGGAAGAGAAGGAGAUCGAGCCGGAGCAAGAGUUAGAGCCAGAGAUGAAACCGGUAGUAGAAGAGGAAGAGGCAGAGCCUGGGAGAUUAGUAUCCCGCGACUGGCCGGAUCAUUACUUCUCUCCAAGAAGAGAUGAGGAAGCGCUGGAAGGGAACGUGUCUGAGGGGCUCUCCUCCGAGUACAACUCACUCUGGCAUGAACCGGUGAAGGAGGGCGAGUACGGUAAAGUGGUUGUGGAAGAGAAGAAUCCAACUGGACUGGAAAAGGCAGAGGAAUGGAAGAAGGAAAUUGACUCCGCUCCUGAUGAGGUAAUUGAAUGAGUCUUGUGAGAUUUAAUGGCUGAGUUCUAAUUAUAGAGACAUGUAUUCAGGAUCAAAAGGUCACGGUUGCAGGUUCGCAGACAUAUGUCUUAACGUGGAUUAUGUUUAUGCUAAUCUACACAACCCGUUUUUUUCCCUUGAUUUUGAUACAUUUACUGUGCAUUUGGACGUUGACGCGAAGGCCAAGAAGUACAAACAUCUCAGACUUGACUGUCUGAGCUGGUUUUCUGAUCGAGAUGGUUGGCUCUAGAAAAAGUUUACGGAACCAUGUUUCUGUGCAGGAAGUCGUGGCUGAUUUAGCAAGUGGAGAAGUAGCGAAGAGCAACUGAAUCGAAGAAGCAGCAUUGUGAGAACAAUUUCCAUAACUAAUCUCAAGCAGCCUUUUAUGUGUUAGUUACUUAGAAUAACAGUCAUGUAGUUUGGUUCUAGAUGCUGAAAAUUAUCAAAACAGAGAACAGACUUGAGGUUGGAGCCUGGAAUGCAAUUUAUAUCAUUUGAUAUGCGUGCAUUGGGGCUGGAGAGAUGAUCCUAAUUUCUGUGUAAAAGAAACUCCCAAGGGAUGCUGUCACCUUGCGGUGUUACACUCUCAGAAGACAGUUGAAAUCAAAAGGAUCCUUCAAUCACAUAAGGUGAUCAAAUCAUAAUCAAAGAGUCAUGGAGGCUAGAUUUAAAGUACUUAAAACAAGUACACUAGCUCAAAUGCAAUUUGAACAUCUAGCUAUAUCUGAAAUAAUGACUACGACUUUGGCACUUCAUUUUAAGACAUCAAGUGAAUAGCGGCAGUGUAUCAAAAUUUUAUUCUAAACUUGGAAUACCUAAAACUAAUGUUCUCACAAUAUCUGAAUGCAAGUCCUUGGCGGAGAAAAUUUCGUGACUGGUAGUUUGGAAAGUGGAGGGACACAUCUCCAGAACCACAUCAGAAAGAUCCAAUUUUCAUGCUUAGAUAUAAGUAGAGCAAUUUUUUUCCUAAUUGUAGUCUGUGAGCUCGGAGCCUAGUAUGAUCACAUUUUCAAUGAUCACUCAACGUGGACAUCUUUAUUUCUGAGAUGCCUAACAAUGUGGGAAUGUGCCUGUCCUAAUUUUGAUGGAUUAGUUAUAACAGAAGCUGAGGUUCGGUAUCAAUUCUUCCCCAGAUAGAGGGGAUUCUCGAUCAUCCUGACUAGAUUGUUGAAAAAAGAUAUAUCUAUAUCAAAAUCAUCCACGAAAUUGUUGAUGACCCUUACACUGUGCAUUAGAAGAUGAAAAACACGAAACCACACUGCUCUUUGGCUGUAUAUCGGAAAAAAAAAUAGAGUUACUGAGAAUUGUUGAUUUUGUCACUAUCAAAUUACGUUGCGAUAUCCAAUCGAAACAGGAUAACCGUGUCUAGCAAAUCAGCUUAUAAUUAAUUAUCCCCGGAGAUUGUCUUCUCUGUCAUUUAUUUCAAGGAUUUCUUCAAAAGAAGACUUUAAGUAGGCAUUACUGGAGAUGGUGCUACAAAAAAAAAAAAAAAAUGAAGCAGCUGUAACAAUGGAAUGGUAGACCCGUCUACUUGCAUAUACGCUCGAAAAAAAAUACAGGAAAUGAAGGUUUGAUCAGGAUUUGAUUACAAGGGUUUGUUGAGCUUUAUGGGAUUAUAUACUUGAGCAGGUAUAACCGACUUCCUUUAUAUCGGCUUGAUCGAUGCAGGAAUCCAUGCUUAUAGAGAUGAUGAAGAACCGUGCAUUGGGGGUAGAGAUUGGCAUUAAGCUUCUCCGAGCAAUCAAACGGUCAAGAAUGUCCAUAUCGAUUUUGUCAAAACAUUAUGCCUUUAUUGAAUGGUGUCUCAAGGAGUUGGUUCAGAUGCUGGAGUGCAAGAAAACCAAGAGACAGAACAUCAUGCUAGUUUUCUUGGAUGUGGAACAUUCUGAGGUUCGGUAGCAAGAAACAAGAGGUGAUACAGUGAUGGAACUAUUAGCGAACGGAAGGCCACUCCAUGGAAGUUCGAGCACUAAAGGGAGGGGACGUAUAAAGCAUGCCCGACAGAUCAUUCAGAAAUCAUGCCAAAAAUGGCAUUGUUCACCGGGGUUUGACUUUUUCUUAGCUUAAGUAUAUGUUGUAAGUCCAUUUUGUGACAUCCCAAAUUUCUGAUUCUGUUUUCAAUUAAAUGAAACGGACUUUUCAUCGACGCGCUUAUAGUUCAAUUCUCCGAGCUGAUCACUCACGAGAUAACUAGUCUAUCAUGGGAAGCCGUUAAGGAAUUUAAAUGAAUUAGGCUUGAGAAUCUGACCAUGAACCGACUGCUCGACCGUAUAAAUCUGCAAGGAUCAUUACGACACUGUCAGAAUCGAACAGAGAUCAGUAAUAGGUCGAUUCGACUGAGAUAUGUAAUUAGAGUGUGGGUGAUUCCACCUGAUUUCAAUAUCCUCGUCGACCGGCACUGAACUGAUUAUUCUGUCGUUUUAGGUACCCUGUGUCCGUAUUUGAAACCUUGAGAUUUUCACGACAAUCGGGAGUCGCUAAUGUGUCGAAGAUUUAUGUCGUGGCUUGAAAAUAAUCAACCACGGUCAAUUGCACUGAAAAUUUCCUAAAAGCUACCCGGUAGAUUAGGACGCGCUCAAAUCGCGCCAGAUUGAAAUUAACCGUGAUUUUAAACCCGGAUUCAGAAAUUGAAGGUUCUGGCUGUCACAAUUCAUUUUAGGAACGUCGACUCAUAUUCAGAAGAUUUUUCUACAAACCGAGAUUUUUGGCGGAAAAGCAAAGUAAGGCCGUUUUUAUUCAGGAUUGUCAGAGGGCCAUUUUGAAUCGAAUAUUCGAGAUGCAAGUUGGAUCAUUUGGCGGGGAAAUGUCAUGAGAAGGCCGAGGACGCAUGGACCAAUUUAUUUGAACUUCAAUUGAGCUUCAAUUGAUUGGAAUUAAGAGAGAAUUGAAUGGAUUGAAUGGGGGAAUGUCCAAAAUUCGUAGCUCCCAUGGCACACCACAUUUUUGCACCUAUUGCCAAGCUUGUAGAGGAAGAUUGGAGGAGAGCGAGUGGCUGAGGUCAUGUGGUGUCAUGGUGGGGGCAAAGCCAAUGAGAAGAUGGCAAGUGUUGAGCUCUAGAGAGCCCAAGGAGACCCCCCACUCUUCAGCAGCUUCUUCUCCCUUAAUCCAAGGCUUUCUCCAUUGUUGUUGUCCAUCUUGAACUUCAAAGAACUAGAGGAGAUCAGCCCUCAGCCGCCCAAGACCGUCGCUUGCCCGCCGGACCUCUUUUUCCCCUUGUUUUCCCCUCGUUCCAGUUUCUGCUCCAGCCGACCUUUCGCCAAAGAUCCGAGUAAAAAGUUAACUUCCCGGUUGAAUCAGCGAACGAGCCACCCAUCGCCGCGAAGAAGACAUCCAGCCCGUUGCGGAGCACCUCACCGCUCGCCGGAAAGAUUCUCCGGCUGUCCCGUACGGCCGCCCGAAGCGGACGCUCGCCGAACCGUCUGGACUCGCCUGGUUCCGCCUGUUUCUCCCAUUUCGCGGUUUUCAGCCAUUUUCUCCCCAUUUCUACCCUACCUCCACCCAUACCAACCUCCAGCAAGAUCCCCUUGACCCCCGAGAGCCGCCGGUUGCCAACCACCCGCUCGCCGGAGCUCCGAUCAGCCCGUUUUCGCCGUUGAAGUUGCUGGUUUCUUCUCUGCUGUUCAGUCCAGAUCAGAAGCAGAAGACAGCAAGGUUUUGGAGACUUCGUGGCCCGCUUUCAAGCCCUUCCCGGCCUCCGUUAGUGUGGCCGCUUUGGGGUUUAUCGACCGCCUUGGUGUCGUGGUCGCUGUGAACUCACUGGCGCGCAAAACCAGUGAGUUUAUCUUCUAAUUCUUGCUUAGUGAGUUAAUGACGCUUAAGGGGUGUUUAGAUUAGUCUAAUUAGGUUUAGGUGAUUAGAUUAGAUUAUUUUAAUGUAAAUUAGAUUAUUUGUAUGAUUAGUUUAAUGGAUGUUUAAUUAUGGCUAAUUGUAUGAUUAAUUUAGUGUAAUCUUGUUUAAGCCCUAAUUAAUUAUUUUUAAUUAAUUAAUUAUUUCGAAUUUAUAAAUAUUAUUUUAUUAAAUUAUAUUAUUAUAAUAUAAUAUUUAAUUAUCAAUUUUCGGAAUUAAAUUUAAUUAUUUAAUAAUUUCGAAAAUUAUGCCGGGAUGGCCGGUCGUUAGAAUUUCGCGCUGAUCACAGCAGUGCGAUCGGUUUGUGUUAAUUGUAAGCUUAAAUCAAGAAAUUGAGUGAUUGAUGGUUAUGGUUAAUUAUUCCAAAAGUGUAGAAUUGAGUGAUAUUGAUGAAGUUUUGGUAUUUAACUUGAAAAUACCCGGUGUUGGCUUUUGGCACCGUAAUUGGUUGGUAGGUCCAGUUUGUAUCGAUUGAUUGAAUGUAUGUUUAUGUGGGGAUUUAUCCCAAAGUUGAUUAGUGUUGGUUUUUGAUGGGAAAAUGACCGUGAGAGGUUGUGAGUUGAACCUAGAAAGCCGUCAAAUCUAAAUUAUGCCGAGUGGGGCCGUAAUGCCACUACAUAUAGACUUGCCUGUAAGGCCGUGAUUGAGAGUCGAGAAUGAAUAGUCAGAAUGACCGUGUGAUGAUUUCGAUGACAUAUAAUCGACUAAGUCGAUUGAUCGCUGAAUCGAUCCGAGUAAUUGAAUUGUUUGAAUGAUGUGGUUGUCAAUAAUUAUUGAUUAAACUAACGUGCAGGAAGGAAUUGAGGCGAGGUAAGUCCUCUAUUCUAUUUGUGUGGCUAGAGCGCCCUGAGGCGUAUUUUCUUCCUAAUUGAGUGUUAGAGGGUAGGACUCGCUGAGACGUAGUCUCAUCCCGGUUGUGGGAUAAUAUUUCAGGUCCUUAGAUGACGGUUGAGGAGGACCGGAAGUCCUGGAAUUCGGAAGGUGGAGGCUGAAGAAGCGGCGAACGUGUGUGACAAGUUGGUCAUAGGACAGUUCCCUAGUUGUUGAGCCUGUCUAUUUUGUAGACAAUCCAGUGUUGUAUAUAAACCUAUGUGUUUAUAGAAAGCUCGUUUGGUUGUGAUUGAUUGCCUGCUUUUCUAUCCCAAGUUAAAUGUUGUCAGGGGAUUUGUUUCGCUUCCGCAUGUGCAAUAUAAAAAUGAAUGGGUCGGCGACGUGUCCUGGGAAGUCGCAUUUGUAUCGACCAGAGUGGGAUGUUUGCGCACUCGGAGGAUCGGGGCGUGACACAUUUUCAUUCUUUCACUUGGCGAAUAAUUUCAACAAGGAUUCUGUCCAAACGAGGUCUUAAAUUUUUCUAAUUUGGUUUUGCCUGACAAUCCGUUGGUCAACCCAAAUUUCCAAUUCCAAGUGUUCUUCUACUCCCCAAGUAUCAGCCUCAAAAGUGACUUAGAGAAAACAUUCAUCAAGAUGGUUUUUAGCGAGUUGAAAAAGGGUUAUUCAGUAUUAUCGGAUUGCUUGGUUAAAGUAGAUAACUGCGUGAGUGAAAUCAUGAGAAUGAUUGGCCCUUGUAUAGAUGAAACACUUAUUGCUGGUACCAUGGAGUGGGCGGUACUAGAAAGACCACUCUUGUCAUAAUCAUCUACAAUAAACUUUCACCUAAUUUUGAAGAUUGUUGUUACCUUUCUAACAUUUUAGAAACUUCGAAGGUGAAGGGUGGUGAGUAAUUGCAGAAUUAGCUCAUCUCUGACAUCCUCAAAAGGAAAUGGACAAAUAUAAGAAACCGUGAUGAAGGGAUUAAGAUGAUUAAAGAUAGGUUUUGUUUUGAAAGGCUUCUUCUCAUCAGUGAUGUCGAAAUAAAGAAUCAAUUGAAUGCAUUGAUGGGCAAGGGUGAUUGAUUUUAUGAAGGAAGUAAGCUUAUCAUCUCUAGAGAAACAAAUAGGUUCUCAAUGUUCUGAAGUGGAUUGGACCUAUGAAAUUAAAUGCAUGGAUUUUGACAAAUCUCUUCAAUCUUUCGGCAGACAUGCCUUUAGAAGAGAUUGUCUUUUGGAUGAUUAUCUUGCCCACACCAGAAAUGCAGUAUGCACUACUGGAGGUUCCUCUAACUCUCGAGAUUGUUCUUUCUUGAUUAAAGGAACGAUAGUACUCCAACCCCUUAAAAUAUUGAAUUUGAAUAAAUGCAUUUUGCUUAAACUCUUUUGUUUUUAAAAUUUUCCAUUGGGCAGGGAAAAACAAAAGUUGAAGCUCUUCGUCUCCACUUUGACCAUGAGCAGCAGUACUAUUUUACCUAUAAGGACUUUGAGAAAAUAUCUAAUCGAAGGUUUCUUCAAGUUGACGAUUAGAAGGAAUACUUUCGUGCAGAAGAAGCUUCUUUGGCAUGAAUCGCUAUCAAAUGUUCUUCCAAUUGAUAAUUUCCAGGAGAAUUCAAAUCUCCUUCCACAAUUACGAUGGAUUUCUUGGCCUAAAAUUCCCCCAACAUUUAAGAUUACAAAUUUCUCCAUGAAGAAUGUGGUUAUUCUUGAUCUAUCAAAGAGUAAAAUUACGCACAAUUGGAAGGGAUGGAGCCAUACUUCGUAUGUUAUAUGCUAGACAACACUUAUCAUUUCGUCUUAUUAGAUUAUAAGUAAUCUUUGCAUAAUUUUUCUUUUUCAUAGGUGAUGAAAAAUUUGAAAGUUAUGAAUCUGACCAAAUGCGUUUGCUUGGAGAGAACUCCGACUUCUCUGCUCAUUCAAAAUUAGAACGUUUGAUUUUAAGGGACUGUCACAAAUUAGUUGAAAUUGACAAGUCGAUUUGUCAAUUGAAAAUCUUAAUUUUUUUAGAUGUAACAUCUUGUGUGAAUCUUCAAAGGUUGCCGGACAAGAUGGGUAGAGAUCUUGCAAGUCUCAAAUACCUAUAUAUGAGCGAUUGUGAGUCGUUGGAGGGGCUUCCGAAUACAAUUGAAAAUUUGGAAUUAUUGAAUGAGUUGAAUAUAAGUGAAACGGGGAUUAAGGAACUCCCUAAUACGCUAUGGACAUUAGAGAAGCUCGAAGUAAUAGAAGACAAAAUGAUGCAUCAUUUUCAUAUGAAAAUCGGCAAUUGCAUAUAUAGAAAUCGAUCUCUGAGGAUCUUGAUAUUGUAUGGUACAACAAUACACGUGGUAUCGAGGCUUCCCGAAAGUCUUACAAUUCUAAAGUUGUCUACAUUUUACACAGAUGAGCCGCUAGAUCUCUCAAACUUGCCUAAUUUAAAAGAAUUAUGGCUGGACUUCAGGCCAUCUUCUAAUGAAUUAUGGCUGAACUUCAGGGCAUGUGAUUCUGAUGGGGAAUCUGAUGGGCCUGUGGAAGAGGCUCUUCUGAUGCCAUUGCAGACCGAGAAUUUAAGCAAACUAGAAUCCCUAUCCCUGAGCUCUCGGUACACGAACACCAUACAAAUAGAUAUGAGAAGUCUCCUCCCCCAACUCCAGGAUCUCUCACUCUCGAGGUGCCCUAAUUUGCGUUGCCUCCCGAGCCUUCCCUUCACUUGAUCAUCCUUAGAAUUGGAAUCUGAAUGCUUGACCACCUUACCCAUGGAUAUAAGUAGUCUCCUUCCUUGACUCCAAUCACUUUCACUCAAGUGCCCUAAUCUGCAUUGCCUCCCGAGCCUUCCCUGCAGUUUAUUAGAGUUACAUUUGUGCGCAUUCAAGUCGGGUUGUUCCAUGGAGGAUCUAUCGAAUUUGAAGACACUAUCAACUCUUCGCAUCAUUGAUUGUGAUGUCUCAGAGAUUCGAGGCCUUGAUCGUUUGGAGAACCUACAAUAUUUGGGGCUUUUGCAUUUUCAACAGGUGGAGAUAUUACUCGAUCUAAGUAAUCUCAAUAAAUUAGGGUCGCUUGUAGUAUUCCACUAUGGAAAUCUGGUUGAGAUUCAAAGCGAACUCCCACCAUCUUUGAAAAAAUUGGAGAUUAAUCAAUGUGGAUCUUUACAAAAGUUGCCUGAUUUGUCAAGCUUGAAGAGACUGCAACAAGUUAAAAUAUGGGGUUUCAGGAAAUUAGAUGUGGAGGAUCUAUCGAAUUUGAAGACACUAUCAAUUCUUUCCAUUUGUUACUGUGCUAUCUCAAAGAUUCGAGGCCGUGAUCGUUUGGAGAACCUAUGAGUAUUGUCGCUUUUGGAACUUCAACAGGUGGAGAUAUUACCCAAUCUAAGUAAUCUCAAUAAACUACAGACUCUUCAAGUAUUUGUUUGUUGUGAUCCAGUUGAGAUUCAAGGCAAACUCCCACCAUCUUUGGAAGAAUUGGUUAUUCGUGAAUGUGGAUCUUUACAAAAGUUUCCUGAUUUUGUCAAGCUUGAAGAGACUGCAAAAAGUUAAAAUAAUGAAGCAAAUUGUAGCUGCCAACUUCUUUCUUCUUCAUUAAGUAUACUUAAUUCAUAAGCAAGUGUAGUCUAGUAAUCUAGAAUUUUCCAAAAAUGGAUCAUAUUUUAACAAUUUGCAAUAAGUCUGGGAAAAGAUCGCAUUGUCUAAUGAAUAUCGCGUUGAUGUAAAUAUCAAGUUGCUAUAACUUUGCCCAGAACGUGUAAUUUUUUCUCCGGGAUAUUCUAUCAAACAAGUUGACUGCAUGGACUAACUUGAAUUAAAAACACACAAAGUCAACUCUUCUCUCUACCGUAUGAUUCGACGAGCGAUACCCCGAGAAUCUUGAGCAAAAGGCACACAAAAUUCACUUUCUCAGAAGACAGACAUGGGGAAGUGCAGUUUUCUGAUUCGAUCAAUCUACUGGGAAGGGAGCAGGGCAUCGGCGAGCGGGAGGAAGCUGAAGACGCCGUCAGAGGCAUGAGUGCGCCCGUGGAGGGCAAGGAAGUAUUGUCGACGAAGGGCCAGCGUACAAGCUAGGCCCGGUGGCUAAUGAGAGACGGCCAUUUGAGGGCAUGUGCAAGAUCACGAUGUCGAACAAAAUCAAGGUGUUCUUUCGCAACCCAAACACUUUUGAGUUGCUCAAGAUCUGCGCUUCUCCGUGUGUAUAUUUUGUCUUCACCUACAUUUAGAGACGAUGGAGGCCACGACCGCAAAGAUCUGCGCUUUCCCCGUGAGGAACGCAUGACCCACGGCGGUGGCUAGGCGCCACCACCGUCACCACCGCAAUCUUGCCCGUUCGCAUGCUCUCCGUGCGUGAAUAUAUAUAUAUAUAUAUAUAUAUAUAUAUAUAUAUAUAUAUAUAUAUAUAUAAGACUGUCGAUGAUAUUAGCUCACGUAUAAUGACGUGGCAGUCUACGUGUUUAAAAGGAGGAAAGGGAAAAAAAUCAGAAAAAUCAUAAGAAACCAAACGUCCUCUUUGUCCGCCUUAAAUUGUCGACCGUACCACAUAAGACUGUCGAUGAUAAUUGAAUCAUCACGUCACCGAUUUUCAUAGAAAAUCAGUUAAAGGAAUUAUGUUUGAAUUAUCAAAAUGUUUAAGAUUAAAUUGAUAAAGUUGAAAAUUUUAAAAUUAAAUUCCAUACAAUAAGUUAAAGAUUGAUUUAGUAAUUUCUCAAAUCACACUCUAACAGGACACGCUAACCCAACCCCCGAGGAUUAGAAAGUAGGAAGGACGAAUAAAAAUUCUGAUCGUUAUCUUCGAAUUACUUCAAAUAUUUCUCCUUUUAUUGUAUAGAGUUCGACUCUGAAAGAUCAAAUAUUGUUUAAUUAUCCAAUUCCACUACAGAAAAAUUGUUCAUGGAUCCCAAUAUAAUUAAAAGUGACAUGAACUCAAGAGAGAAUGACAAGUUGACAACGGAAGAUAGGAUUGAAUAUUACGUACUUAUACAUUAAAUAGGUUACUAGUAAUUCUGCCCUAACUUGGUAGCACUCUUUGUAAAUUUUUUGUGACGAUGGUCAAUUUUUCUAAAAUCUUAAGCCUAUUUAUCGAAGGCAUAGUCAAUAUUUAAAUACUCUAAUGCUACCCUCAUGCAUAAGCUAAAUAUUGGUCUAAGACUAAAGUGUAGAAAUAUGUAAUUGAAGAGGCAAAUAGAGACUUGAUAAGACUUGAAUGCGGGAACUCCUGCUUAGGCAUUGUUUAAAAUCUAAGUACUCCAACACUCUUCACGCAUUAGAUUUUGGCUAAUAUACUCAAUGUAGAGUAUAGAAUUUGUGCUUAUAUAUAUGUCGCGACCUAAAUUUUCGGGUGCACUACUUAAAACUAGGUUAAUGGACUACUAAGUUUUUACACUUAGCUCGGGCUCUCCCAAGCCCAUACCAAAUCGCGACUUAAGGUUCAAACAUUUAACAUGCAAAAAUUUAUUAAUUAGGAGUCGCCACUAAUCGGUUUAUGGUAGGUCGAUUAGACACCUAAGUAAAAUAAGAGGGAGAUUUAUUUUACUCCUACGAACCAGAGACUAAGGGUAUGGGGAUUUGGUUAUACUAGAAUUUUCUAAUGCCCUUUCGAUACCAUUUCUUUUUAAUUUUUCAAAAUGUUUUUGCAAGCAGCUGAUUUAUUUUAACCUAAAUUACUAUCAUGCAAAUGUGGUGACCACACGGGUGCUCAUCCAUUAUUUAAAACAUUCAAAUAAAUAAAUUGCAUCACAUAAAGCAAGCAAUCAUUUUUUUUUUUUGGAUUUUCUUAAAAAGUGGAGUUCUUUUAUAAAAAUGCAUUUUAAAACUAAAUGACUUAAUCCUAUUAAUAUGCAAAUUCUAAUUAAAUGGGUCUAUUAUGCAAAUUAAUUAACAUGCACCUCAUGACCUAAUUUUACUAAUGAACAAAUUCUGAUUAAAUGCCUCUAUUAUGCGAACUAGUUAACAUGCGCCUAGUAUUUUUGCAAUUUUUUUUAUUGGAAUUCAGAAUUUAUGAAAACCCUAAUUAAUCUAUCUAAAAAGGGAUAAUUUUCUAAUUUAUUCUAGGGAUUAAUUUGACUUAAACCCUAUCCUACCUUAGAAAAAUAUUUUUUAUUUUUAAAAAAAAGAGGAUGAGAAUAUGAAAAUGUGCCAAUUAUAUCUAAAACCCUAAAAUGGCCAUUUAAGUCUAAUCCUAACUUAUUUAAAAAAAAAAAAUCUAAAAAUGUAGUCCUAAAAAUAUUAUCUAAAAAUGCAAUACUAGAAGUAUAAUCCUAAAAAUUUGAUUAAUUAAACCUACGUGUCUAUUAUAUUAAACCCUAAUGUCCUAUAUGCUCAUGCAAUUUUUUUUUGAAUAUUUUGAUUUUUUGGAGUUUCUUUUUAGUUUCUUUUUAGUUUCUUUUAAGCUGAAUAAUUGUUAAAUUAGGGUUAAAUCUAACAAUUAAUAUAAUCGCUAAAUAAAGGAUCAAAAUAAUUGAAAAAUAACAUGUCGUCUCACAGGUUAAAUUAACAAUUAUUUUAACCCUAAUCAUCACAACAACUCAAAAUAAUUAAAAAAUCUAGUCCAAAGUCUUACGGACCAAAUUAAAUAAUUAUUAUGAUUUAACAAUUGAGAUUCUAUCAAAAAGCCCAAAAAUUAAAAAUAAUUAAAAAAAAUGAUCCGAUGUCUCUCGGAUCAAAUUAAUAAUUAUAUUAAUUUCGGACAAAAUCCCUACGGAUAAUGCAUACUAAAUUCACAAAUAUUAACAUCCACCAUUACAAAUUAAAUACCUAAACUAAAAAUGCUAUCAAAUGAAAUAAGCAAAAAUAACAUAACAAAUAAAAUAAGCUAAACUAUAAAAGUGAAACAAAAUAAAACAAAAAGAACAAAAACUACCUAAGGGGGGGGGGGGGGGGGGACAGUGGACGGCACUGGUCUGUCGUCGGGGCUUUGGCGGGGAGCGGCUGAACAGCAGUGUCGGGUAGCGGAUCCGCUGGACGUCGGGGCAGAGGAGGGUUGCGGCGACGGGGCGCGGGCUGAGGCGCGGCGGCGGAGCUGCGGACGUCAUAGGCGCGGGCGAGGCGCGGCGUGGCGGAGGCGAGCAAACCAGCGAGGUGGCGGUGCGGAGGCGCGGCGGAGCUCGGAGAUCGACGGGCGGCGUCGCGGGCGGAGCGGGGGUGUUGCAGCGGCGCGGUGUCGGCGAGGGCGGGAGCGCGGUCGUCGGGGCGCCUGGCUUCCGGUGCUGCUGGUGCGGUGAGAUCGGGAGCGGCAGGCUUCGGAACUCCGGUGUCGGCUGGGCAGCGGCAGGUCGCGGGUGCAGAGGCGUGGAGGUGGACGUCGGAGGCGCGCGGCAGCGGCGUCGAGGGGUUGUUGCGUCGGCGACGGUACUUGCGGUGGCGCGGCGGCGAGCGGGCUUCGGUGGCGUCAUCGAUGGUGCUGGUGCAAUGCACAUGGACGGAGGAGGUGCGACGCAAGCGCGGGCAGGGGCUUCCACGCGAAGAAGACAAACAGUAGCUCCUGCUACUUUUUCCCUUUUUUUUUUUUCUUUCUGUUCACACGUCACUUCUCUUCACUUUUUCUCUUUCUUUUGCUGACCUUUUCCUUUCUUUUUUUCUGCAGGUUGUCAGAAUGGGAAAGAAAAUGACCUUUGGACGAGAAAAUGGAAUUUUCUCUAUCUCUUUUUUUUUUACUUUCACGAAUCUUCUCAACUCUUUUCACUAAAUUUUUUUUGAGUGAAUUCUCCCCCCUCGUCACGAAAAAUGUGGCUCUCUUUUAUAGUGAUUCCAAACAGCCACUUUGUAUGGUAUUUUCCGAGUUUCCAUCUUCCGUCGCAUUAAAUCAAGGCUGCAAAUCAAAGCGAGAUUUCACAAUCAACUCGAUUUUUGCUCCGAUUUAUUCCGUUUUAUAAAAAUUCUUGCCUUUUGUUCACCUGAUUUUUAAUUAUUUCUGCAUUUAUCGAAAUCUGAAUGCUCAUCAGAAUUUCAAAUUUCCUUGCAUACUUCAAUCAAAUCAAUUUCCCCCAAUUUCAUUUUUUUUCUUUUUAUUUGUCCAAAAAUGUAAUUUUUAUUUGUCAACAAUAUAUAUAUAUCAAUGGAAUACUUAUAGAAUUGGAUAUUCAUACAUUACUCAAGUAAGUAUAAAAACCAUUAUGAUAAAACAUAAGUGGUAAACUAGAAUAGAAAUGACGACUAAUGAUCAAGGUUUUUACCCUUUUAUCAAUUGAUGAUUGUAACUCAAAUAGAACCAAGUGUGAUUAAUUUAACUAUAUUUAGUAUUAUACACGCAAUGGUGACAGGCUGGAUCGUCAGUAGAGAUGACAUUCACAAUGCUAAAGAGAUCUCACUGUAAUUAUCAUGUAUUUAUUUAAAUUGUGAGCCAUUUCCACUUUAUAAAAGAGAAAUCAAUUGAAGACGAGCUGAUGAUACUUGGUCACCUAGGAGAAACAUCUGAAAGGGUCACUUCAUUAACAAUGGAAGUUUUGUGAAUUAGACCGAUAGGAUUGAGUGUUCUCACAUUUCUCCCAACUGAGAAUGCAGGCAAAGAUGGUCGGGUAAGUGGGAUAGUAUCGGCUCCUAGCAUAUGAACCACGGGCGACAUGGUUGGUCGAUCUAUUGGGUCUUCUUGAACGCACAAUAGAUCGAUGUGUAUGCACUUUACCACUUGAAUUGCAUCACAUGAUUCUUUGAUUGAUGGAUCGGUAAGUUCCAAACUUCGACCUUCGGACCACAACUUCCACGCCUGUCAUUUUGGAAGGAAAGUAAGCAAGGACAAUUGCACAUAAUUCUGAGGUUUCAUAUUAAAAAAGUGUGGUGACUAGGAACAUACAAGGGUGAGAAGGCUUUCACGGUGCUCUUGGAGAUGAAAACCGUUAUUCUUUCACCCACUUAUCAUCUCUAGCAAGAGAACUCCAAAACUAAAGACAUCUAAUUUAACAGAAAAUAGUCCUUGCAUCGCAUAUUCUAGUGCCAUGUAUCCACUGACCGAAAUUAUGCGAUGAAGUGCAAUUACUUGGAAGUAAGAAACAAUUGUUGAGAAAUAUUGUGAGUAAUAAGGGUAAAAUAGUAACUUAGUUAUGAUUAGGGUUAAACACAUAUGAGCAUAUAUAUAUAUAUAUAUAUAUAUAUAUUUGUAACCAUUUUUCACUUUUUAAUAUAUAUAGAAAAUAAUUAUCUCUUUCACAUGGUAUCAGAGCAAGGUUGGCCGGAACACUAGACGACGGAGUAGCCACUCGCCACCGCGACUCGCCGGAAUAGUUGGCUGUCGUUGCCGCUCAUCGUCGAAACCUCUUGCCACUCGAGUGUCCCUCUUCCUUUCUCUCGCUUCUUCGUGCGGCUCGCGCGGUUCGUGUGCGCUGCUUGUGUGGCUCGCGUGCGUUGCUUGCGUUGCUUGAUCGCGCUCGUGGCUCACACGGCUUGAUCAUGCUUGCGGUUUACACUGCUUGCGUGACUCUUGCGCUCUACUCACCUAGGAGAAACAUCUGAAAGGGUCACUUCAUUAACAGUGGAAGUUUUGUGAAUUAGACCGAUAGGAUUGAGUGUUCUCACAUUUCUCCCAACUGAGAAUGUAGGCAAAGAUGGUCGGGUAAGUGGGAUAGUAUCGGCUCCUAGCAUAUAAACCACGGGCGACAUGGUUGGUCGAUCUAUUGGGUCUUCUUGAACGCACAAUAGAUCGAUGUGUAUGCACUUUACCACUUGAACUGCAUCACACUCUUUGAUUGAUGGAUCGGUAAGUUCCAAACUUCAACCUUCAGACCACAACUUCCAUGCCUGUCAUUUUGGAAGGCAAGUAAGCAAGGACAAUUGCACAUAAUUCUGAGGUUUCAUAUUAAAAAAGUGUGGUGACUAGGAACAUACAAGGGUGAGAAGGCUUUCACCGUGCUCUUGGAGAUGAAAACCGUUAUUCUUUCACCCACUUAUCAUCUCUAGCAAGAGAACUCCAAAACUAAAGACAUCUAAUUUAACAGAAAAUAGUCCUUGCAUCGCAUAUUCCGGUGCCAUGUAUUUACUGACCGAAAUUAUGCGAUGAAGUGCAAUUACUUGGAAGUAAGAAACAAUUGUUGAGAAAUAUUGUGAGUAAUAAGGGUAAAAUAGUAACUUAGUUAUGAUUAGGGUUAAGCACAUAUGAGCAUAUAUAUUUGUAACCAUUUUUCACUUUUUAAUAUAUAUAGAAAAUAAUUAUAUCUUUCACAUGGUAUUAGAGCAAGGUUGGCCGAAACCCUAGACAAUGGAGUAGCCACUCACCGCCACGACUCGCUGGAAUAGUUGGCUGUCGCUGCCGCUCAUCGUCGAAACCUCCUGCCACUCGAGCGUCCCUCUUCAUUUCUCUCGCUUCUUUGUGCAGCUCGCGCGGUUUGCACGCACUGCUCGUGCGGCUUGCGUGCGCAGCUCGCGCGGUUCGCGCGCGCUGCUCGUGCGGCUCGUGUGCGUUGCUCAUGCAGCUUGCGCGCGCUACUCGCGUGGCUUGAUCGUGCUCGUGGCUCACACGGCUUGAUCACGCUUGCGGUUUGCGCUGUUUGCACGACUCAUGCGCGCUACUCACCUAGGAGAAACAUCUAAAAGGGUCACUUCAUUAACAAUGGAAGUUUUGUGAAUUAGACCGAUAGGAUUGAGUGUUCUCACAUUUCUCCCAACUGAGAAUGUAGACAAAGAUGGUCGGGUAAGUGGGAUAGUAUCGGCUCCUAGCAUAUAAACCACGAGCGACAAGGUUGGUCGAUCUAUUGGGUCUUCUUGAACGCACAAUAGAUCGAUGUAUAUGCACUUUACCACUUGAACUGCAUCACAUGACUCUUUGAUUGAUGGAUCGGUAAGUUCCAAACUUCGAACUUCGGACCACAACUUCCAUGCCUGUCAUUUUGGAAGGGAAGUAAGCAAGGACAAUUGCACAUAAUUCUGAGGUUUCAUAUUUAAAAAGUGUAGUGACUAGGAACAUACAAGGGUGAGAAGGCUUUCACCGUGCUCUUAGAGAUGAAAAUCAUUAUUCUUUCACCCACUUAUCAUCUCUAGCAAGAGAACUCCAGAACUAAAGACAUCUGAUUUAAUAGAAAAUAGUCAUUGCAUCGCAUGUUCUGGUGCCAUGUAUCCACUAACCGAAAUUAUGCGAUGAAGUGCAAUUACUUGAAAGUAAGAAACAAUGAAAAGCUAUUUUCUAUAUUUAAACUUCUGUGAUAGGUAUAUGCUCAUUUUGGUGUUGUUGAGCUGAUCAUCAGAGUUCUUUAUUGGCCUAGCGAAUCAUUCAAACAUAUGACAGAUGCAAAACGACAUUAAAGAACUUACUAUGUUCCAACAACCCUAUUCGUGUUGGCCUCAUCUUGAUUUACACCAAAGAUCAUUGCCAUUCCGAAAUCAGAUAUCUUUGGAUUCAUCCCGCCAUCUAGUAAAAUAUUACUAGCUUUCAGAUCCCUAUGGAUAAUUCUUAGGCAAGAAUCCUCAUGUAGAUAUAGAAGCCCCUGAGCUAUUCCAAAGGUGAUGUUCAUGCACAUCUUCCAGUCUAAAGAUUGCCCCAUAGUUGAACCUGUCGAUCAUGAGAGACUCAGAUGAACAUCAACUAUAUAAAACUAAAAUUAACUAGCUAAAAUAUUCAUUGCAUCUGCUAAAGCUCAAACCAAAAAGGAAGACAUCCAGGCUUUUGUUGGGCAUGUAUUCAUAUAUCAAGAGUUUUUCUUGCUCUUACAAGCGGCAUCCCAAUAAUCGAACAAGGUUCCUAUGUUGUAGUCUAGCAAUCGAGAUCACUUCGUUCUUAAACUCGAUAAGUCCUUGGCCUGAGGUUCUUGAAAACCUUUUAAUUGCAAUUUCUUUUCCAUUUGCCAAUGUGCCCUAAAACAGGGUAAUGUCCGUAGUGAAAUCCCUAUAUGAGAAUUAGCAAUGAUAACCAAAUUUGAAUCAGUUCAUGUUCGGAUAGUAACCACCGGUUUUUCCAAUUUUCCCAUAAACAGGUGUUAAGUCGCUUCAAUGCUUACCUUGUACACGGGGCCAAACCCACCUUCCCCAAGUUUACAUUCAUUGGAGAAGUUUUGUGUGGCCGCACGUAUAAUGUCUAAUUGUAUCACAGAUAGUGCCUCGCACGCGCCAUCGACAGUCCUCACGCACAUGCGGCACUCGUGCAGCUGACGUCAUGGUGACGUCAGCUGGCGCGUGCCUCACACGUGCCAUCGAUGGCCCCGGCGCACGUGCGGCACGCGUGCAGCUGACGUCAUGAUGACGUCAGUUAGCUCGUGCCUCGCACACGCCAUCAACGGCCCGCGCACCUGCGUUGCACGUGCAGCUGACGUCACAAUGACGUCAGCUGGCGCGUGCCUUACACGCGCCAUCAACAGCCCCCACGCACGUGCGUCGUACGUGUGUGCGUCAGCCGCGCAUGCGCGUGUGACGCAUGCGCCUGCAUCUUCAAAUCAAUGCGUGCAAGCCGUUUCGCUCCGAUUGCGUGUGGGGGCGCGUUCGAUGGCCUUUGGCGGCGUUCCGCCACUCGUCGUGCUUGUCUCGACGAGACCCUCGACCCUACACCAUCAGAAACUGAUUUCGACUUACAGAAAAUCGAAAAAAUGGAUGAACAGUGCUCGGGUGUCAGAUUUUUCCACCCCCGAUCGGUGUUGGCCGAUUUUCAACGAAAAUUCAAUAAAAAAAUCAUUCCUAAACAUGAAAGGGGUCGGGAAAAACAUGAAUAAGGAUCAGGAAACAUGAACUCUUGCUCUGAUAUCAACGUCGGGAAUAUCGAAUUCCCAAAAAUCGGAUUUGACACUAAAUCGAACCCUUAAAACAAGUGCGGAAGACGAGCCCAUGAAAAAGACAUGUAUCACCGAUCCUAAGACACAUCACAGAAUCGAACGUACCUUGUUAGCCACAGAUUAAAUACCGACACUGAUAUGAGGAAGAAGAAUUAAUCAUGUUCGAUCCGAUGACGCCAAUUCGCCUUGAAGGGAAGAGAGUUCCGACUCCUUUUGUUACUGUUCUUCUUUUGGAGUGUUUGGAGGGAGAGAGGGAGGAGGAACGUACUGUGGCACCCCGAAACACCUAAGGUCGCCACAGGUACCUAUCGCUCCACUUAAUGAACACUAAUUACAUCUCUUAGUAGAAGCAUCAUAGUUCAUAGGCAUUUUUUUUUUUAAACGGUCCCAGUGCAACUUAUUAGUGGAAGCACAAACAAGUCUCACCAUUUCUCCCUCCAACAAUCAUGAUACAAUGCACACCACUAAGCACCAUAAGAAAAGAUAAAGCCAAUACACUUUUAUUUAUAUAUUUUCAUGAUGGAUUUCUUCGGACAGUACAACAAAAAAGAAAGGCCAAGACUUUUAACUACACUUGGCCACAACCCAAAAGAUACCUCGACCCCUAUAAUGAUCACGUGUCAUCCUCCAUCUAUCAGUGUCGGCUGUCUCCAAAAAGAAACAUCAGCUCUCUACUCCUCAAGCGGCCAUCACACCGGACUUAGGCCCAUCACAUUAAUUAUUUAAAACCAUCAGUCUGUGCACCGACAGGAGUGCCUUGGAUGCAGAGGAUCGGACAUGAAAUCUAGAAAGCAAAGGAAAUAUUUCUUGGUGCAUCGAGAAUCUUUUUUUCUUGAACUUGGAAAGAAUGCGAGCAUAGUAAGAGUAAUUCAAAGACGACCAUGGACUUUCUUUUAACUCAAGAGGAGUAGGACAAUAAGCGACUUCUGGAGGAUGAGGUGAAGAAAUUGAUCAAGAACCAAGUUUUGCAGCUGCUCUCCUUGAUUCCGGGGUUGGUAAAGACGAAUUAGUCCAAUUUCCACGUUCUGUUGUCAACAGGGACAAGCACCCGAUUGGCUCUUUUUUUUUUUUUUCCAAAAGAAAUGAGGGCGAACUUUCCUGCCUUGCCCUACCAACGAAAAUACCUGGUGGAGCCCAAAAAGAUCUUCCCAAGUAGCCUCCCGGAGCUCACCCCACAGGUUGCCCAACUCCAGCCUGUGUAGACAGAGACCUGCAGUCAUACCUUACCAAAGAAGAUGGACUUCUCGACGAGUUUGUCGAGGUCGAACUUGCUAAGGUGGAAGGUGGGCCGCUGCCACCCCGUCCCCCAGGAGGGGAGGCAACGCUAUCGAGGGAGGGAGGGUGGGUGCAUUAGGCGGGAGGUAGGGGACGAAGGCGGCCUAGAGGGGGAAGCUCUUGAGCUUGAUCUUGCAGAAGCAAGGGGAGAAGGAGGGGUGGACGGUAGAGCCCUCGGACUUAGCGGCGAUGGGGACCUUGAAAGCGAGGCUGUCACGCCCCGAACCUCGAGCGCGCGCACAUCCCACUACGGUCGAUCAAAUAUGCGACAUUCCAGGAUAAGUCGCCAACCCAUUCAUUUCAUUACGCAUGCGGAAGCGAAACAAAUCCCCUGACAACAUUUAACUUGGAAUAGAAAAGCAGGCAAUCAAUCACAAUACCAAACACUCAUUUCCAAACACAUAGGUUUAAAUACAACUCUGGACUGUCUACAAAAUAGACCGGCUCGACAAAAAAGGGAACCAUCAUAAAACCAACUAGUAGGACACGUUCACCGAUACUUUAGUCUCCACCUUUCCAAACUUAAGGCUUCGGGUCCUCCACAACUGCCAUCUAGGGACCUGAAAUUUUAAUCCCACAACCGGGAUGAGACGAUGUCUCAGCAAGUUCAACCCCCUAAACCCCUAUUAGAAAGAAAAUACACUCCGGGUGGCCUAGCCACAUUACACAAAAGACUUACCUCGCCUCAAUUCCUUCCUGCAGGUUAACGCAAUUCAAAUCACUCAAUCACGGAUAGUAAUAGGAACUCAAACGAUUGGAACGCCAUCACUUUCAUAUAAAUCACAAUCACACUUAGCACGCAUUCCAAUUAUUAUUCACUACCACACAAGGGCAUAGCCUACUCACAGUUCGACUAUCUACUGGCAUAUAGCCAGGCAUCACCUCCCCACCUUGGAGCGCGGCUUCGUCAGUACAUCGACGGCGUUCCCGAAGGAGCAUGGCCCAGAAUCAACUGCGACCCGCAUCCACCGCGUGGGCAUCCCAUGUAGGGGCAAAUCCGGCUCAACAGCCCAUGACGAUUCCUCUUAGUUAUCACACAGCCAAAGCAUACUCGGCCCCAGGAUACUUUAUAUUACAAUCAAUGCUUCCACUUAAAUUAGUGAUCCCGGCCAUUUUUCUACAUAUUAAAAAUACUCCAUAAAUUACUCACGUGUGUGGGGGCACGCUAAUUUCGAACUAGAAAGCCAAUAUCUUACUUUUUCAAACCCCACUAUUUAAUAUAAUUAUUAAAAUCCAAUUUUUGCAUCAAAACCCGACACUUGGGUUUUUAUUAAUAAAAUCUCUAUUUACCACCAUCAGCACUCAAUUUGCCACAUACAUUCAUCAAAUUCAAAUUCUAAAUGCACAGUAGCGAUCAGCAUGAAAUUUUGAGAAUUUAGGGUCCCAAAAUAAUUUUUCGGAAUUUAUUAAAUAAUUAAAUUUAUUCCGAAAAUUAAUAUAAUAAUAAUAUCCAUAUUUUUCACGAUCCACGCUCAAUUUAUAAUAUCCAAUCAUCAAUUUCAAAAUCCGACUACACAGCAGCGAUCGGCACGAAAUUCUGAGCAACCAGGGUCAAAAAUAAUUUUUCCGUUUUUUUUUAAGUAAUAAUAUUUUAAUAAUUUCGGAAUAUAAUAUAAUAUUAUAAAUUCCAGAAUUCGAAAUCAUUAAAUAAUUCAAAAAUAAAACCCUAUUAUGUCACAUCAAGGAUUUUUAUUAAAAAUAAACAUACUUAAUUUUAAACUAAACACACUUUAACUUAAUUAAAUACCAUAAUCUAAUCAUCAACCAAAUAAACUAAUCUAACCACCUAAACUUACUUAACUUAGACUAAGCACACUUAGGGCAUCAUUAACCCUCUAAUCAAGAUUUAGUGAGCUUAAACUCACCGGGUUAGCAAGCCGAGCGGACCAAAACGACGGGGACGACGCGAGGAUCGACUUUCCUCAAGGCGGGCCGAGCAUCUGGGCUCGGGAAGGCAGCCGAAACAGGCCAAAACGGGGCUGCCAUACCCAUUUUUUGUAGCUGCUGUCCAUUGUGGUUUGAGGCCGAGGAAGGGUAGAUCCAACGCUGGUUCAGGCGGAGGAGACCGGCGAGGGCUUGGACAGGCUGAAGGGGAGGUCGAUGGCGGCGGAGGGAGCUCCGGCGAAGGCCUGAGCUACUCGGACAAGCGGCUGGAACGCGGCCUGGCGCGGACGAGGGCGACGAGCAGGUGAGCUGACCAGUGGAGCGGCGUGCGGGCAGCGCAGAGCGACGGCGGCGACAACAUGCGAGCGGGUCGGACGGCCAUGGCUGCGGCUUCUUCUUCUUUGCAUUUUUCUGGUCUUCGCAACAUGGAAAUGGAGAAGAGAGGCAAUGGGAAAGAGAGAGGGAGGAGAGAGAAGGAGGGGGCCCUUUUUAUUUUCUUUUUCUCUUUCUUUCAUCCAACAAAAAUGGCCCACCACCAUGACAUCACAUGGUGUCAUGGUCCACUAUCUCUAAACCUCCCACAACAAUCUUCAAUGGGUCCAAUUUCAUUUUCCGCUGGGGCCUAAAAUCUUGUACACUAACUUCUUCAAUUCCACUUGAUUCUCUUCCAAUUGAAUCCAAUUGAAGUCCAUAAAAUUAAUCCAAUGCCACCACACUUCAAUUCACAUCUUCACUUGUCCGUAGAACCAACUUAAGUCCCAAAAGCACGACCAAAGGCAAACCUACUAAUUUCUUGAGUCAAAUUAACAAUUUUCUGAUUUAAUUGCUGAAAAACUCCGAUUGCAUGAAAAAUCUUCCAAAGAUGAGUCAACGAUCCUAAAAUGAUUUGUGACACACCAUGACUUCCAAUUUCUGAAUUCGAUCUCAAAUCUACAGUUAAUUUCACUUUGGCACGAUACUAGCGCGGUCCGACCUACCGGGUAACAUUUAGAAAUUUUCAUGCAUUUGACCUGUUGUUGAUUAUCUCAAGCCACAAUGUACAUCUUUGAAACAUUGGCGACUUUCGGUUGUCGAGGUAAUCUCAAGAUUUCAAAUACGAACAUAGGGUACUCAAUCGAUAGAAAAGUCGGUCCAGUGCCGAUCGACAAGAUAUGUGCGAUCUGAUGGAAUCACCCACACUCGAUCACAUGCCCCUGUCGAGUCAACUUAUCUCCGAUCUCUAAUCGAUUUUUAUUUGUGCCGUAAUGACCCUUGCAGAUUAGCUCGGUCGAAAGGUCGCUUCCUUGUCAAAUUCUCGAGUCCGAUGCAUUAGAAACUCUUAACGGCUUCACCCGAUAGACUAGUUUUCACAUGAGUGGCCGACUCAAGGAACAGAACUAUAUACGUGCCAACAAAAUGCACGUCUCAAUUUAUUGAAAUAGGAUCGGAAAAUCGGGAUGUCGCAACUCUUUCCCUCUUAUAAAAAUUUUUUCCUCGAAAUUUAAACCUUUACCAAUUCUUAAACAUAAAAUGUGGGGUACAAUUGUCUCAUCGAAUCUUCGGUUUCCCAUAUUGCUCAUUCAGUACCAAUACUGCCAGAUCACUGCUAUCUUGCCCAAACCACUUCGGGUUCCAAAAUACUAAACGCUUGCCCACUUAAAAUUCCAAAGGUCUUCAACACAAAAUCUGCGAAACUAAACUAGUGAUUCUGAGCAAUCUCUAAACCGUCUUUGAUAACUGUGACUGAAUCACUGAUUUCUAAGCCAACUCUGGACCUGCGAUUUUCUGAUCUCUGAUCUCAUCUCAACCAACUGAAAUCCUGAAUACUCUGCUCUGCACUAAUUAAAAAGAAACUAUAUGACUAAUCUGCUGAAACUGGGAACCUCUGGUCAAGAUCUGAUAUAACUCUUACACUUAUCUCGACAACUGCAAUCACUGACCACUGUACUAACCUUGGCAUGUGAUCUUUCUUUCCUUGACUUCAUCUCAGCAAUUGAAAUUCUGCAUUAUUUGCUUUGCACUGCUUAAGAAAGAACCACCUGAAAGCUCUGCAAUUUGGAACAUCUGAUCUAGAUUUGAAAUACAAUUCAUCCCCGGCACUCCAUGCAGAUGAUUUAUAUGAUAUACACACACUUCGGUGUACCCACUUUGUGACAAGACAGAAUCUCCAAUUUCUGAAAUCGAACUUAGAUUUGCGGUUAAUUUCACUCUGACACGCUUUUAGUGUGACAUAGGCUACUAGGCAGUUUUCGGAGCUUUUUAGGACAAAUGACCCGUGGUCGAUUUUCUUCGAGCCACGAUGAACCCACUUGACACAUUGGCGACUCUCGAGGGUCGUGAAAAUCUCGAUGAUUCAAAUACGGACACAAGGUACCAAAACGACAGUAAAAUCAAAUUAGUAUCAUUCGACGAGAGUUUUCCAAUUUAGUGGAGUCACCCACGAUCGGUCAUUCAUCUCAGUCGAAAUGACCUAUUUCUGAUCUUAAUUUGAUUUUUAACUGUGCCGUAAUGAUCUCUAAAGAUGAGCACGGUCGAGAAGUCGAUUCCUGGUCGAAUUCUCAAGUCUAUUUGCCUUAAAGUCCUUAAUAACUCACACAACUAGUCUAGUUAUCUCGUAAGUGGCCAACUCAGAGAAAAACACUGUAAUCGCGUCGAUGAAAUGCCCAAUUUAAUCAAUCGAAAUCAGAGUCUGAAAAUCAUGAUGUCACACACUCAAAACAAGGUCUAUUCAUACUAUCUGGACAACGCUGAAAUUACUAUGAUUAGCUUCCCAUAAGAUAUCUUCUUUAAUCUCUACAUCAUCAAUUACACACAAUCAUCCUUAGAACCUUAGCGUUUUGUCUUCAGAAAUCUGAAAAUCAACCUCUCUCUCAUCUGCAUACUCUUAUAGAGUCUCUUGAAUUUUUGAAUCUAUCCGCUGAAGCAUUUUGAUUAUGAUAUGAACUUUCAGUUCAAUUCUGAGGGUGGUCAUAUGAUUCAAAAGGUAGCCUACCUUAGAUUUGAAAACCGAAAUUCGAACUUUCUCAAAUAAGAUCCAACCCUUGAGUACCAACUGUGCAACUAAGGACUCUUGACUUAGUGCAUCUGCGACUUUGCUCACCUUUCCAGAGUGAUACAAAAUAUCAUAGUCAUAAUCCUUAAGGAGUUCCAUCCAGCGAUGCUGUCUCAUAUUCAACUCCUUUUGAGAGAAUACAUACUUGAGACUUUGAUAGCCAAAGAAGAUAUAGAAUAUUUCUCUAUACUGAUAGUGCAUCUAAAUUUCCAGAAUGAACAUAACUAUUGCAAAAUCUACAACGUGCAUCAGGUAAUUCAACUCACAAGAUCUCAACCGACGGGACGCGUAUGCAAUAACCUUAUCAUGCUGCAUCAUCAAGCAACCCAAUCCUUUAAAUAACGUAUCACUGUAGAUCUCAUAACUUCCAGGACCAGAUGGAAUAGUCAGCACAUGUGCAGUAGUCAGCUUCUACUUAAGCUCUUGAACACUACUCUCGCACUUAUCUGACCAUAGAAACUUUUCUUCCUUCUUCAGCAGUUUCGUCAUCGGCGAUGCUAACACUGAAAAACCUGCAUACGAACUGUCUGUAAUACUUUGUUAAACCCAUAAACUUCUAAUCUCUGUCACUGUUGUCAAUCUCGGCCAACUGUUCAUUACUCCAAUCUUGGACGAGGUCUAUGAAGAUUCCUUCGCUUGAAAUCACGUGACCUAGGAACGCAAUACGAGUCAUCCAAAACUCGCAUCUGCUAAGUUUAUUGUAAAAUCCAAGAGCACUCAAGGUUUGAAGUACCAUCCCCAAAUGUCUCUCGUGCUCCUCAGCACUCUUUGAAUACACCAGGAUAACUUCCAUGAACAUGAUCACAACUUAUUUAAAUACCCUUAAAUAUUAUGCUCAGUAGACCCAACCAAAUAGUUAUGGUGUCCAUCAAACCACAUGGCAUUACAGUGAACUCAUAACUGCCGUAUUAAGUGCGAGAUGCUAACUUCAGUAUGUCUUUCUUCCUGAUUCUCAAUUGAUGAUACCCUGACCUCCAGUCGGUCUUGAAGAAUAUCAAUGUACAAACAUAACGGACCAACUUUCUUCUUCACGAAUAGAACGGGUGCUCCCUAAGGUGAUGCACUAGAACGUAUGAAUCCCUUAUCCAACAAUUCAUGCAUCUGCACCUUCAGUUCUUUCAGCUCUGAUGAUGCCAUCCGGUAAGGAGCCUUAGGGACUGGCUCUAUUCCGGGUACCAAUUUAAUCACGAAUUCUAUUUCUCUUUCUGAUUGCAAACCUGACAAUUCUCUAGAAAAUACCUUAGAAAACUCCUGUACCACGAUUAUGAUUUCCAUAUCCGGCCCCUCAUCUAACGCAUCCACUUUAGUUACCAUGUAGAUUCGGUAACCAACAACCAUAACCAGGUCAUCUUCAAUGACGAAUAACAAGGAUUGAAGUUCCCCUCGACUUUUAGCGAUUCAAAACUUUCGCACGCUAACUGAACAAACUGAAUUACAUCACUAACAUGAUUCAAAACAACAGAAAAUUCCUUGAGCCAAACCUUUUUAUAAAUGACUUCCAAGUCAUACUUAAGCAAACCCUUCGAGUAUAACUAUAGUCAGAGAUUCACAUUUCUAUUACCUUAUUACCACAACGAAAACCCUACAACCUUCACUGAAAAUUCUCUUGUACUACUCUGAUAAAAACAUCUCAAAAACAUUCUCAUUCUGAUUGAUGCAUAGUCGAUCCCUUCAUGCUCUUCUAGCCAUCCUAGUGGCGUCCUAUCUGUAGUAGCGGUACUUAUGCUCUCAUGGACUUACGCGGACAAUUCCUAACCCAAUGACCGUGCUGGCCAUAUUCAAAUCGUGCUCCAUUUUUACUCUGACACUAAGCUGACCCAUGCCUCCUUUCCACAAACUCGGCACACAAUCGGUGAAUUCUCUAUCUCCUAUCAAGGAACAUCAUGCACCCUUCCUUGCACUGGGAUCCAUUCCAAGUACCCCAUUGAACAUCCUGAAGCAUGCUUCCUCUGUUCUGUCUUAUCAAAGGCGGUGACAGAGACAGCUGUGGUUCCAUCUGCCUAUACGGGUAAUCUUUGAUUAAAUGACUUUACUGGCGACACCUGGAACAAGUUCUUUCCCUUUUACAGCACGGGACAGACCCAUGUCCUUUCUUAUAGACACGACACCCAUCAAUCAAGUUGAGCACUGACUUUUCAAUUCUACUAUUCUGGUUGGGUGAAACAGGGCACAUUUCUUCUAACAUCGGCCUUUCUCCCCAAUUGAUUUAUACCUUUGUCUAAACUGAACUUUGACUCAGAUACAGAGACUUGAUCCUCGAUCACAACUCCAGAUUGGGCCUCAACAGGCGUGGCAACAACAACAGUCACGACACUGGCAGCGGUAGAAACAACGGCAACAGCGGCGGCUCGAUCCUGAGCUUACUAACCCAACGAGCUUCCAAGGAACACUAGCGCUUGAACAAUCCCGACAAACCUAGGAUCAUUCGGUGCUGCAACACUCUCAAUACCGACUUGCAGCGGUACUCUCACACUCGCGCUGGUCUAAGCCUAUGCUCUACCUCGGGUACCGACUCUUGUCAGCAUCCUACCCCGAGAUACAAGUCAUAUCGACCUCCUCCAAGGAGUUCUCCACUCCUGGUCACUCAUCCUACAGGCUCUUUAUAGACACUGUCUUCCAAUUCCAACAUUAGGUUGAAAUUUGAGUGACCCCACAAACAAGCUACCAAUUAGCUAUCACUCACAUGCAUCAACAUAUUAAAAGUCUUUCCUACUAACUAUCCCAUGACUCAUCGCACCUUAUCACUCCAUACACAGACUAUGCUCUGAUACCACUUAAACGAGGAUGUCACGCCCCGAACCUCGAGCGCGCGCACAUCCCACUGCGGUCGAUCAAAUAUGCGACAUCCCAGGAUACAUCGCCGACCCAUUCAUUUCAUUACGCAUGCGGAAGCGAAACAAAUCCCCUGACAACAUUUAACUUGGAAUAGAAAAGCAGGCAAUCAAUCACAAUACCAAAUACUCAUUUCCAAACAAAUAGGUUUAAAUACAACUCUAGACUGUCUACAAAAUAGACCGGCUCGACAAAAAGUGAACCAUCCUAAAACCAACUAGCAGGACACGUUCACCGAUACUUCAAACUCCACAUUUCCAAACUUAGGGCUUCAGGUCCUCCACGACCGCCAUCUAAGGACCUGAAAUUUAAUCCCACAACCGGGAUGAGACGAUGUCUCAGCAAGUUCAACUCCCUAAACCCCUAUUAGAAAGAAAAUACACCCCGGGUGGCCUAGCCACAUCACACAAAAGACUUACCUCGCCUCAGUUCCUUCCUGCAGGUUAGCGUAAUUCAAAUCACUCAAUCACAGAUAGUAAUAAGAACUCAAACGAUUGGAACGCCAUCACUUUCAUAUAAAUCACAAUCACACUUAGCACGCAUUCCAAUUAUUAUUCACUGCCACACAAGGGCAUAGCCUACUCACAGUUCGACUAUCUACUGGCAUAUAGCCAGGCAUCGCCUCCCCACCUUGGAGCGCGGCUUCAUCAGUACAUCGAUGGCGUUCCCGAAGGAGCAUGGGCCCAGAAUCAACUGCGACCCGCAUCCACCGCGUGGGCAUCCCAUAUAGGGGCAAAUCCGGCUCAACAGCCCAGGAUGAUUCCUCUUAGUUAUCACACAGCCAAAGCAUACUCGGCCCCAGGAUACUUUAUAUUACAAUCAAUGCUUCCACUUAAAUUAGUGAUCUCGGCCAUUUUUCUACAUAUUAAAAAUACUCCAGAAAUUACUCACGUGUGUGGGGGCACGCUAAUUUCGAACCAGAAAGCCAAUAUCUUACUUUUUCAAACCCCACUAUUUAAUAUAAUUAUUAAAAUCCCAUUUUUGCAUCAAAACCCGACACUUGGGUUUUUAUUAAUAAAAUCUCUAUUUACCACCAUCAGCACUCAAUUUGCCACAUACAUUCAUCAAAUUCAAAUUCUAAAUGCACAGCAACAAUCAGCAUGAAAUUCUGAGAAUUUAGGGUCCAAAAAUAAUUUUUCGGAAUAUAUUAAAUAAUUAAAUUUAUUCCGAAAAUUAAUAUAAUAAUAAUAUCCAUAUUUUUCACGAUCCACGCUCAAUUUAUAAUAUCCAAUCAUUAAUUUCAAAAUCCAACUACACAGCAGCGAUCGGCACGAAAUUCUGAGCAACCGGGGUCAAAAAUAAUUUUUAUGUUUUUUUUUAAGUAAUAAUAUUUUGAUAAUUUCGGAAUAUAAUAUAAUAUUAUAAAUUCCAGAAUUCAAAAUCAUUAAAUAAUUCAAAAAUAAAACCCUAUUAUGUCACAUCAAGGCUUUUUAUUAAAAAUAAACAUACUUAACUUUAAACUAAACACACUUUAACUUAAUUAAAUACCAUAAUCUAAUCAUCAACCAAAUAAACUAAUCUAACCACCUAAACUUACUUAACUUAGACUAAGCACACUUAGGGCAUCAUUAACCCUCUAAUCAAGAUUUAGUGAGCUAAACUCACCGGGUUAGCGAGCCGAGCGGACCAAAACGACGGGGACGAUGCGAGGAUCGACUUUCCUCAAGGCAGGCCGAGCAUCUGGGCUCGGGAAGGCAGCCGAAACGGGCCAAAACGGGGCUGCCAUACCCAUUUUCUGUAGCUGCUGUCCAUUAUGGUUUGAGGCUGAGGAAGGGUAGAUCCGGCGCUGGUUCAGGCGGAGGAACGGCGGAGGAGACUGGCGAGGGCUUGGACGGGCUGAAAGGGAGGUCGACGGCGGCGGAGGGAGCUCCGGCGAAGGCCCGAGCUGCUCAGACAAGCGGCUGGAACGCGGCCUGGCACGGACGAGGGUGACGAGCAGGUGAGCUGACCGGCGGAGCGGCGUGCGGGCAGCGCGGAGCGACGGCGGCGACGGCGUGCGAGCCGGAGCGGACGACCAUGGCUGCGGCUUCCUCUGCUCUGCAUUUUUUUGGUCUUCACACCAUGGAAAUGGAGAAGAGAGGCAACGGGAGAGAGAGAAGGAGGGGGCCCUUUUUAUUUUCUUUUUCUCUUUCUUUCAUCCAACAAAAAUGGCCCACCACCAUGACAUCACAUGGUGUCAUGGUCCACUAUCUCCAAACCUCCCACAAUAAUCUUCAAUGGGUCCAAUUUCAUUUUCCGCUGGGGCCUAAAAUCUUGUACACUAACUUCUUCAAUUCCACUUGAUUCUCUUCCAAUUGAAUCCAAUUGAAGUCCAUAAAAUUAAUCCAAUGUCACCACACUUCAAUUCACAUCUUCACUUGUCCGUAGAACCAACUUAAGUCCUAAAAGCGCGACCAAAGGCGAGCCUACUAAUUUCUCGAGUCAAAUUAAUAAUUUUCUGAUUUAAUUGCUGAAAAACUCCGAUUGCAUGAAAAAUCUUCCAAAGAUGAGUCAAUGAUCCUAAAAUGAUUUGUGACACACCAUGACUUCCAAUUUCUGAAUUCGAUCUCAAUUCUACGGUUAAUUUCACUUUGGCACGAUACUAGCGCGGUCCAACCUACCGGGUAGCAUUUAGAAAUUUUCAUGCAUUUGACAUGUUGUUGAUUAUCUCAAGCCACAAUGUACAUUUUUGAAACACUGGCGACUUUCGGUUGUUGGGGUAAUCUCAAGAUUUCAAAUACGAACACAGGGUACCCAAUCGAUAGAAAAGUCGGUCCAGUGCCGAUCGAUAAGAAUUGUGCGAUCUGGUGGAAUCACCCACACUCGAUCACAUGCCUCUGUCGAGUCAAUCUAUCUCCGGUCUCUAAUCGAUUUUUAUUUGUGCCGUAAUGACCUUUGUGGAUUAGAUCGGUCGAAAGAUCGCUUCCUGGUCAAAUUCUCGAGUCUGAUGCAUUAGAAACUCUUAACGGCUUCACCCAAUAGACUAGUUUUCACAUGAGUGGCCGACUCAAGGAACAAAACUAUAUACGUGCCAACGAAAUGCCCGUCUCAAUUUAUUGAAAUAGGAUCAGAAAAUCGGGAUGUCACAGAGGCUCCCUACUGUGAGCAGAGAGAAGAAGAAGAAAUAAAGGAAAAAAAGAAGAAGGAAACUCAUAUUUAAGGGAAAAUGCCAUGAAAAACCUUGAAUUUUGCCCCAAGUGACACAUUUAUUCCAAACUUUUUUUUUGCGCCAUGAAAAACCCAAACUUUCAAAACCGUGACACAUUUACCCCAAACUUUUUUUUGUGACACCAAAAACCCUAAACUUUUGUCAUGUGACACAUUUAUCCCAAAAUUAUAGGGUAUUUUGGUAUUUUCAUUUUUUAAGGUUUUUUUUUUCUUCUCUCUUCCCUCCGAUGAUUUGGAUUUAGCCUUUCUUUGCACUGUGAUUCCAACCCAAAGAACUCUACCACUAGAUUUGAAGUCAAGAUGUUUAAAAUAUUUCUAUAUAAGCAUGUACUGAGUUUUUGUGAUUGAGUAUAUAAGCUCUAUCAUUAAUGAUCAUAGUCAACUAUGCCGAAUCUACGACAAUUUUAGCUUGUGGUAGAUCUGAUCAACACCAUCCAUCUUUUCUUUUAUUUUCUCUUUUUUUUUCUUUUCUCUUUUUUUUCUUUUUUUUUCUUUUUCUUUUUUUCUUUUUUCUUCCUUCCCGGUCAUAGCAAUAUGUGAACUUAUGAAGCCAACAAUUCAUCAUCAAAUUGGAGCCAGCAUUUAAUGGUAAAGUGAACAUUUUCUCAUUGGAAUGCCAUCUUAAGGUUUGAAGGACCUAAAUUGACUGUCCUCUUCUUCAACACAAGGAUUCAACCUCAUUAUUUAACCGCAAGGCUUAACUAGAGUCGAGAGAUUCUUGAUAAUACACCUAAUAAUAAUGACAUUUUUAAUUCCAUAAUUGCCCUUUAAAUACAGGCAGUCAAAUGAAGUACUCAAAGCCAGAGUCGAUGCACUGGACAACGAGAAGAUGACGUACAGCUACACAAGGGUGGAGGGAGGCGAAUUGGCUGACAAGAUCGAGUCGAUCUCUUAUGAAAUAUCAAGAUGGAGGCAUCUCUCGAUGGGGGCUGUGAGGGCACGAACAGGAGCAACUACCACCCAAAACAAUGCAUCGUGAUCAGUGAGGAUGAGAUCAAAGCCGGGAAAGAGAAGGCCAUGGCCGUCUUCAGGUCCGCGGAGGGCCAUCUCUUGGCCAACCCCGAGGCCUCUGCCUAAAAGCUUUUGUUAGUAUUAUUGUCUCUGUUUGAAGUAAAUUCUGCAUCUCUCUUUGUGGACCAAUUAAGUUCUGCUAAUUAUAAUGUGGUCUUCUCUAUGUGAAAUCCUUGAUUGAGAGUGCUAAUGUUGUUGCUAUUACAAUAAGGUUCUCCAAUUCUACUAUAGUACGUUGCCUUGUUAAAAAGUGCCUUGGAGCACAGUUAAGAGGUAUAAUAAUGUUGCGGCGAUGCAUAUAUCAAAUUCACGCUGUAAAUUAGUAAAUGAAGUUAUUUUCAUGCGUUUGAAGAAAUUUGGAUGCACUUCUUCAAGGGUAGCAUUUUUCCCUCAGUUUGUUGCUUCCAUUGAUUGCAUCUGAUGCUUCGAGACGUUAAAUCUUAGAGAAUUCCAUCUAUUUAAAAUUGAUGUGUAAUGGAUAUUGUUGUGAUUCAAAAGAAAGGUUGAUUAGGAUUAGGCCUUUCUUUGCAUUGUAAUCAUAACCCAAAUAGUUCUAUCACUAGAUUAGAGGUGAAGAUAUUUAAAACAUUUAUAUUUAAACGUGCAACAAGUUUAUGCCAUUGAGUAUAUAUGCCCUAUCAUUAAUGAUCAUAGUCAACUAUGCUGAAUUUACAAUGAUUCUAGUUCAUGGUAGAUCUAAUUGACGCCAUCCAUCUUUUAUUUUCUUUUCUUUCUUGCUGGUUAUAGCAAUAUAUGAACUUAUGAAGCCAACUGUUCAUCUUCAAAUUGGAGCCAGCAUUUAAUGGGAAAACAAUGAAGCACGGAAUAUAUUCUUACCAUCCUCUUGAUCAAGAAAUGACAACACCUUGACAACGACUCGCACGCAAACACUUUGAAUAUUUGUGGUUGGAUACAUUAAUUGACCCGGUAUAAUUAAUCACAGCACCAUCAAAAGGCAUAAGAGAUUAUCCUUGAAAACACAUGACCAAGUGGCCAAUUAAUCGUAACUUGAGUGAACUAUUGGGGUUUGCUCAAGUGGCCACCAUUCCAACAUGGAAGAGGGAUGUGAGAGGUUCGAAUCCCCACCUUCUCAUGGGAAAUUGGGGUGGGGAUGAGAAAGUUUUAGAAGUGGGUUUCGACUCUCAGUCCUGCAAGAGGCAUGACAAAAGUCUGAGAGUGAGUAUUAGAGUAGGAUAAGAGUAUGACUGACCAAAAAAAAAAAAUUGUAACUUGAGUCGAGACCUUUUAGUUCUCAUCCAACUUCAGCAUUGAAUUAUAUUCUUUGUAAGGUUAUACGAUAGCCCUUUACUCUUUACAGCCUUGGGAACCGGCUGAUCCAUCUUAGCAAGCUAAUUCGUCAAUGCAAGUGGGGUUGAGGAGUGCAUUCACUUUGUUUGUCAAGCCCUUCGGUUCGAUUAUUAUGGUACAUCGGCGAGGUUAACAUUUAGUGUGGGGGACACGAAGUUGCCGUUGUGGCACGAGGAAAUAAUCAGUUUAAGAAUCCUCUCGGAUUAAGUUGACUUCUCGAGAAAGUGUGCAUUAUAUGACGAUGAGAUGCAACACGAAUCGCAUGGCCGCAAGUUUUUCCAUUCACUACACCACACUCUAACCAUCAUGUAUCAUCCACAGCCCCGCUUUUAGAAUCACGUCCUAUCCCGAUCAACUCUUCUCUCCCACUUCGCACCUCAGAACGUACCCUUAUUAGUUAUUAUAGCGAGAAUUAUUAACUUUCCUCUGAAUCUCGACGAAGAAAGAUAUCUUUGGAGCUUUGGAGCCAAUAAAAAAUACACCGAUUCAACGAGGGCUACCUCCUCUCGGACCUAUAAAUAGUGCGGUCCCUUGCCGUUCUCUUCACACUAAGCUCAAGCAAAGUUGAUUUCAUCGUUCGUAUAAUUUCAGUAGCGAGUCCCUAGAGAUCGAUCAUGGUUGUGUUCAAAUUGAGUGACGAGUACAAUUCCCCAUUCCUGCGGCGAGAUUCUUUAGGGCCUUGAUUGGGGACUUCCACAACCUUAUCCCCAAGCUCAUGCCUGAAGCUAUCGAGAGCAUUGACAUCGUCCAAGGCGACGGAGGAGCCGGAACCAUUAUGCAAAUCAAUUUCACUGAAGGUAAAGUUUCCUCGAGGGUUUUUAAGUAUUGACUCUCCCAAUCUUGUGUAAUGGAAUAGCACGUUUUCGUAAGUAAUGACGUAGCAAUAAGAUGGCCCACCAAAAAGAAAAACACGAUGAUUGUUAAGAUGCUAUAUUGUUUGAUCAGGCAAAUUUUCCUAAAGAUAUUUGUCUUCUGUGAUUAGUUCAAAUCUAAUUAGUACGUAUCUCCCAUUUCAUACGCAGGUGGGGAACUCAGUUUCAUUAAGAGCCGAGUAGAUGUGCUAGAUGAAGAGACAUUAACGUGUGUGUACAGACUGAUUGAAGGCAGUCAAUUGAUGGAGAAGUUUGAAUCCAUUGCUUACGAAGUUAAUUUCGAGCCGACACCAGACGGUGGGAGCAAGAGCAGGAUAGCCAGCACAUACUACACCAAGGGCGAUUUUCAGCUCAACGAAGAAGAAAUCAAAGCUGGCAGAGAGAGAGGCUUAGGAAUAUACAUAGCCGUCGAAGCAUACCUCCUCCAAAACCCGGAUGCCUAUGCUUGAUUCCGGAAGUUCUUCUCUCAAAUAAAUCUGGAAUUACUCGUGGUACUCUGUGUCUUCUGCAGUGAGUGUUCGGCUUGUCUUUUGGCGAUGGACUUGACCGUCCUUUUGAGUGCGGAUGGCAAUAAGGAUACAUACUUUGUACCUCAUUUAAAGCGGUAGAUCAUUAGUGAUUCAUCCUAUAAAAGCAUUCUAGCAUUUUCCUGAAUACCACUUCAAUUUCCCAUUAAUUUCGUAAGAAAUCUCAUCUAAUUUUUUUCUCGUGACAUGCUUAUUUUGAUAUUUCCUUUUAAACAUUUUUGCCAAAUGGUGUUACGUCUCUAAUCAAAGUAAAAAUUAGAUAGUUGUUUAUUUUGGAAAUAUACACGUGUCUUCCUAAUAAGGCCUCUCAGAAUAUUGAAAGACUAGCUAAAAUGGAUCAAGAUACUAUAUAAGCCAAAAUCAAACAAUAGACUUCAAGUCUCAAAAACUGGUUAAGUCCUAACUUAUGACUAUGUAGGUAGCCAAGACCUACGGUAUCCUGUUUGAGAACAACUAGCAGAAGUGAAGAACAAGGGAUGAUUCAAGAGUGUGAAUGGUGUAAUAAGAACUUUUUGUAGAGAACAAUCCCCAAUUCUCCACAUUUAUGGGUAGGGUUGAUUAAUCAAUUGCUCAUCAAACAUAGGUGCUAAUAUGCACGAGACAGAUUUAUAUACCACACAUGCCUUUAUCAAAUUCAUACACGACUCCUUCACGUGGAAGGAGUUGAAAAAGAAAGAGGAAUGAAUGUGAAAAAAUUGUAGCCCAACCCCAAACGCGACAACUUAAUCAUAAGCGGGUCACACUAUUUUUCAUGAGUUAACAAAUUUGAUUCGCAUUGUGAGCGGAUUCUUGGUGAGCUUGUAUCCUACAUAUAUUGCUACCUCAUGCGUAGAUAUUUCCUGAUUUCCAGCACGCCGGUAAGAUAGCAACGACAGGCCUAUAUACGUAUCCAAACUGAAUAGUUUUGGUUCAAACUGAACCCUCCACGGUGAACGUGAGACCGUAACGUCAGAGGGGGAAUCACGUUUGAUUUUUCCUCUCUACCCUCUUGAUAUACGAAGGCAAAAAUCGCAGCCCAUCAAGAGUCGGUUGCGUCGGGCAGCAAGGCCAGGUCGGACCACCUCUAAUCCUCAAGCCGCAGGUCGCAUCUCGCGCGGGAGCCGACGCUGCCUUCAAUUCGGCGGCAGGGAAAACGAGAAUACAAUUUUGCCCCCUCUCUCUGACUGGCGGGGAAUGUUCGCGCCACUCGCAUGCAGCGAAAAAUGAAAAGAACAACCGAAAGGAAAAAACCACACCCCAAAAGAUAAAAAGGAAAAGCAAGAAAAAAAAUUAAAACAAAAAUGCAAAAAGACGCAAAAAACCCUCCUCUGUUUCCUUCGGUUUCCGACUCCGAAUAUCCCACCAUCCCCCUCCGACUCUCUCCUCCUCCCAUUUUUAUUUCAGAUAGUCACUUCGGAUUCUCUCUCUCUCUCUCUCUCUCUAGAACGAGCAGCGACAACCUCGAUUGGUUGAUCUCUGCGGCCAAGCCCUCGAACCAACAGGUGUCGUCCGAUGCCUCCGAGGAGGAGGAGGAGGAGGAGGUGGUGGAGGAGGAGGAGGAGGAGCAGCAGCAGCAGCAGCUCAACGAUUGUUGUUUCUGCGGAGGUGGACCACUUGAGCUAGUGCAAAACGAUUGACGCACUUGCGUUUGCCCUGUGUGUGGUGACGGUUGCUACCGUCGUUGUUUCUGCUAUUCCGUUCAAAGAUUUCUUCCAAAGGAGUCUAAUAAUCACAAGAUCACUGGGGAUGGGCAGUCCAAUAAUGAUGCUGCUAUAUAAACCAUGGAGCAGCGUGUACGGUGAAAUGAUUUGUGAUUAUUAGUUCGAUGACCUUGAACACCUGAUUUCAUAUCCAAAGGCAUUAAUAACCGAUCAGAAGCUAAUGAGAGAAGGCAGCAUAUGCCCACAAAAUCUCACCUGAAGAAAUUGGCCAUUUAAUACUGAGGACCUAUUCUUUAAGCAGCAUUAGCAAUAGUGUCAUAUUAAAAUGUAAUGCUCCUCUUUCCCAUAAAGCUACUUCACUGAAACCUACAAGCUACAGUUCAUUACUCGACUGAAAAAAAGCUGAAUAUGUGAUAGUCAAUUACUGGGAGAUACUAGACGAAUUUAAUCCCCAAAGUAGAAACAAUAGGUUGAAAUUCUUGUGUCAAACAAAUGUAAGGAAAUUUGAUUUAUCUGACCCUAUUCCAGUGGUAGCAUCGAUCCAAACUCGCUAAUCCAAGACCUUAACAAAAUCAACCAAAUACAACACAACGCUGUCAGUCAUAUGCUUUGAAAACAUCCAAAUCUACACCUAAGGGAUCAUUUAGCUAUAGUUUGCCCCCAUUCGAUCAAGCACUAUAGCUCCACCACACGGUCAAUGAUUUCCCCCAACCCCGAAAUGCCUAAUUAGCCAAAUUCACUACACAGAUCUCACUUCCCCAGGCUCAAAACUGACGUACUCGAUACUAGAGGCUAUCCACACGAACCUUUUCAUGAUCCAGACUCUCAAUCCGAAUCAAGUCAAGGAUCGCAACCAUAACUGAUUACAUGAACACGAGAUGCAAUGAAGCAUUGUUAGACCAACCAUCACCCUCAACCAAAGACUUGUUCUGCUCCUCAUUAUUUUGCACGAGAGAUAGAUCGAACAGCGUCGUCAAGGAAAAUAAAAAUGACAUUACACAACAAAGAAAUUUCAAUCUCUGUACCUUUCCAUAUACGCAAAACAAUCACACUCGAUCAAAUGGCGCGAUCGCCUAGCGAGAUGGAGAGGUCGAUUGCAGUCUUUGGUCUCGUAAGUUUGUAGAUUCUACAGUGAUUUACGCGAUGGAUAGCAAUCGAAAGCUCUGGCAACUUGGGGGGAAAGGAAGGUGGGGGACAAUGGAUUUGCUGAUUUUUCUAUUUUGCCCUCGGGCGCUUGCUCUGUCAGCGGGCAUAUUUGGUGUCACGUUCAGUGAUUUUGUUGUUUCCGCCAGGGCAAUGAAGGAAGUUUAGCUAAAAUGAGACGUGCUCCCGGACAAGUUUGCGUUCUCCCUGUCUCUCCUCCUUUGGCGCUUCCUUUGGUGUCUUUCAAAUGGGCACUUCGACACGGCUUGGUUCAAUUAAGUCGAUAUUAAUUAUCUAUUCAUGGAUAUUGGUGAAGGUGUAUAAAAAUGCGAGUACUCUAUUAUGAUUGUAAGCUUCUUGAGUUAAAUAUUUUUGAUUCCAAGCUCAGAUCAAUCUCAAACCGGAAUUAUGCAAAACUUUUCUUUGAAUUUGAAAAGAAUAUGAUUCAACAUAUGUGGUAACCGAGCAGAGCUUAAUUAUGGAUUAUGGAAGCCCUCUCUUUCGAGCUAAGAGAGAGUUUGAAAACGCUACUUGCCAUGAUGCAUCAAUUCUUGAAUAUUCGUUGAAGUUUAUAUGGAAGUGGAUUCAAUAAUUUUUUACUUUUUUAUAGAUAAAAUGUAUAUACAAUAGUUUGAGUGGACUCGUACACUUACCAAUGGAUCGAGUGGUUAUGACUCAAAUAAGAUAUUUUGUAACAGAUAUAACAUUUUAUAUAACAACAAUAAUGGAUAAAUCGUAUUGAUCAUCUCUUAUGACAUCUUUUCUUUUUUUUCUUUUUUUUAAGGAAAAAAGAAAAUCGCAACCCAUUGUGACUUAGGCAGGGAGGCCGAGUCGGAUCACCCCCAAUCCUCAUGCAGCUCAACGAAUGUUGUUUCUGCUGAGGUUGACCACUCGUACUAGCGCAAAACGAUUGACGCCCUUGAGGUUGCCCUGUGUGUGGUGACGGUUGCUACCAUCGUUGUUUUUGCCGUUCUGUUCCAAGAUCUCUUCCAGAGAAUAGUGAAAGCAGCAAGUAAUAUCACCGGAGAGGGCAAUCCAAAUAACGAUCCUACCAUAAAAUCAUGGAGCAGCGUGAACGGAAAAAGGAUUUUGAAUCGAAUGACGAAACAAGGACAAGAUGUCCCUCAAAAGUGUUCUUACUGGUAGAUGAAUCUAACGCUGGAUAACUCGGUUAGUACCUCCUCUCGGAGGACUGAAGUAUUGUAAGAGCAACUGGUGUGAACCCCAAACUAAUUGGCAAAGGGGUGCAUGAUUUUUGGGGGAAGUUAGGUCGACUAACUUGCUAGACGUUGACUUUGUUUGAUUCUCAUGCUGGUUUUAACGGACAAACAUCAACAGUCCCUAUCUUAGAGGGAAAAUAAAUCUACAAGCUACCGAGAUGGAAGGGAAAGUCAGACCUGGAUUUCUGCCUACAAAGGGAUUGCUGCAUGACCUUAAUAAAGCAUAUGCUUGAAUGUCAAGGAUUGAAGAAUCUACAAAUUCUCUGUGCUUGACAUGGACCCUUGCCUUAAUUGAGUAUUCUGCAGUCCCAGAAAUUCCAGGCCUUGAGAGUCUAGAAAGUCUUAGAACUUUGGAGCUGAACAAACUCAACCAACUAGGCAAAUCGGAUUAUCUGAGUGACUUGAAGAAACUAACGGCUUUUCAUUUACAUCAUCGUGGUAAUCCGGUUGACGGAAUUUGUUGGAAAAUUUGUGGAUCUCCACCGGCAACUCAAUCCUAAAGUUUCCUAAUGUAUCAACGUUAAAGAAAUUAAAACGGGUAGGCAUACUUCACCAUAGGUGAUUUGUAAAUUCAGCACAUUAUGGAGUUGCUUGAUCGAACCUGGCAAGUUUCUGCAAUAGAGAGAACAUUGGAUACCUGCUCUGUUGAGUACUUUUUUCUGAUAAGAAGUGCCUUCUAUUCCGUUAUAGAUAUGAAUUACUCAAGAGGUUUAUGCAAAUUUUCCCUUCAUGUGCACUUCGCAUGUUGACUUCUUAUAUGGUUUUGUAAUUCUAUAUACCCUUAUUCAGAUCUUAUUUGUUUUAAUUUGGUUUGGUUUAGAUGUUUCAGUGGCUUUGAAUUGCUAAUUAACAUAACCAGUGAGGUCGAGUCAAUUUGUAUAACUUCUAAGUGCAUUAUCAUGUCAAUUUACUAUAUGGUGAUUUAUCAGAGGAAUCCUUAUAAUUGUUGCUUCAUAUUACUAAAUCUGAAGCUGUUCGAUGCCCAUGCUUCAUGCAAGAAAACGUUAACUUCAUCACACUGUAUAGGAUAAAUAUUUGUUAUAAAAAGUGUAAAAUAUCUUAGCACUGAGGGCAUCACCUCUAUGACGAUAAUCUACUCAAAAAUGCAAUGUAACGAAGAUAAAUACUCUACAUCGAUUAACGCAUGUCCAGUUUAUUUUUCAGGUAGAACAUGGCACUUAAGUUGGAUUCACAUGAGUUGAAGAGAAGGUGUAACAAUUCUUAAUUAAAUUAAAAAAUGUUCCCGUUGCAAAUGGAUUUGUUUUGACAUAUCCAAUGUUGAGGUAAAUCUGGAAUAAUAAUGACCCAAAUCAUUUAAUUUCCAAUGAUCAAAAGUGUGGCAAAAAAAUUUACCAUGCAAUUGUCUCACGCUGACUGCAAGUUCUUAUCCUUUCGCCUCCUUUUAAAAAAAAAUAUAUAUAUAUAUAUAUAUCCCAAGCACUAAUCAAGAGAGUGAGAAGCCACACCUCUGGAAAUGUUAUUUGAAAUAGAGAACUUUCGUACUUGAGAUUGGGGGAGUCAAUAUUCUUUUUAAUCAUCAUAGUCAUUGGAGAUGCUACACUCAACUUUUGCCGAUCAUUGUUGAGGCAUCAGAGUUCAAUCGUGAAUUUGGAAAUACUAAUUGAGUUGGAUUCCAAAUGGGAUCUAAUAGAUCACGUCAAGUUUGUGAGCUUAUUCACUGCACUUUUUAGUGGCUCGAAGUUUAAAUACAACACUCACAAAUAAUAUUUGUCAUCUACAUUGACACAAGACUGUGCUUAUACAUUAGUUUUGUGUGCUCUAUCUUAAUAGUAUUUUGUAUAAUAAUCAGAACAAAGCAUGAAUUUUAGGCGUGAGGAGCAAUUUAUUGACACUAACGAGGGGUUAAGUGCGAAGGAUAGUUCACCCCGAAAUGAAAGUGAUAUUUUCUUAAUUUCAUUGAUCACCAAGGGUGUGCAUGGAAACGUUUCUUAGAAACGUUUCCGGCACACUUCUGUACGGAAAGUGUUCCCGAGAACAAAAAAGGAACAGAAACGCGUUUGGUUGCAUUUCUAUUCCUUUUUUGUUUUUUUAUUUCUGGAACGAAAUAAAAACAGAAAAAAGAAACACAAAAAAGUUGUUUUUUGCUCCAGAAACGUUUCUUGAAGAAACGUUUCUCUCUUCUCUCUCUUCUUCUUCUCUUCUUUUUUUCUUCUUUUUUUUUUCUUCUUUUUUCUUUCGCCGGUCGUCGGCCUCGGCCAUGGCCGGCGACCAGCCGUCGAGGCUCGGCCUCUCCCAGAUCCGGCGAGGCCGAGCGUCGCCGACCCCCGGCGAGGCUCGGUGUCGCCGGCGCAGGCUCGGCCGAGCCUCGCCGAUGCUAGGCGAGGCCGAGCCUCGCCAUGGCUGGGCGAGCUCGAGCUCACCCAGCCAAGGCGAGGCCGAGCCUCGCCGUGGCUGGGCGAGGCUGCCGGCCCCGUCGGUCGAUCGCCGGAGGCCGGUGACCGGCCGGAAAAAAUAAAAAAUAAAAAGAAAGGAAAAAAUAAAAUAAAAAUGUUUAAAAAUUAAAAGAAACAAAAAAAGAAUAAAAUUUACCAAACAUAUUUCUGUUCAUUUUUUAUUCCCGGACCAAACGUUACCAAACGCGUUCUUUUGUUCAAAAAUUGUUCCCCGGAACAGAAACACUUUUUUUUGUUUAUGUUCCCUGGAACAAAAAAAGAGCAAAAACGUUACCAUUCGCACCCUAAGGGAGCGCUUCAACGAAGAACAAGCCCAAUAAUUCCACUGGGCUUUAUGUUUUGAAGUCAACUCGUGUCUUACCCAAUCAGCCCAUUAAACAAGACUGGUCGUUUAUUUUUUUAUUUUUUCUUAUUGUAAGGUCAAAUUGAGAGACAAAAUCAUAAGACAACUCACACAAUCAAUUUUCUUGAAUAUGAUGAAAGAAAAAAUAAAUUAGAUACCAAAAUAUAAAUAAUUACAACCAGAAAAUAUUAUCACUUACUAAAAAGAAAUUGUUAAUGUAAUUAUAUAAAUCUAUUAAAUUCAAAAGAUGAAAAAAAAAUUAAAAUGCUUGCUCGAGGUCGCAAAUCCGAAUCAUUUUAUUUGCUUCCUCCAAUACUUGCAAAACAAAUUUAAAAUUCUCUUUGGAUUUUGAACCUCCGUGUACAAUUUGGAUAGCAUAAUUCAAUAAGUGAUCAUACCAUUUGUUUAGAUUGUCAAAAUUGAUAUGGAGUUCGAAAGGUAUAAACGCUUGGAAAUCCUUUCUCCAUCGAGACAAUAUGUAAUUGCUCAGUAUGUCAUUUACUCCAAUGUGAUGAAGAAUUGCAUAGUGUAUGUCAUCAACACAAAUACGAUUGGGACUAGAAGUGUACUUAUUUCAUUUUAAAUCCACACUUUCCCAACUUAUAUUCACAAAUAUGUGUCAAAGCUUAUUUUCAAGCAAUUUUAAAGUUGCUUGAAAACAAGUUGAUACUAUUGUAGUUUUAAUUUAGAUUUAUACCUUCCCAAGUAUAUUUUAUCUGAUAAUUAUGAAUUUCUGUUAUUACUAAAAAAGAAAAUUUUGAAGAGGAGUCAAAGACAUCAUGACACCGUAUUUUAUCACCCAUUUUUGUCCAAAAGCUUACACUGGAAACAAGCAAGUUCAUUAUAUAUAUAUUGCAUAUUGAUCUUUAUAGACACUGUUUAAUACUGAAAAAAAUCAUACAUCGGAGAUAUGUCUGGCUUAAAGAUCAUAAGUUGAUCAUCUCUUAUGUAUAUGAAAUCCAAAUGCCUGAUUUUUUUUGUGAAUGAAUUUGCAGGCUGCCCAGGCAGUCUGCGAGCUUGGAGAAGUAUUGGGUGAAUCCCUGUCUCCUUGUCAUCAAGUUUUGCACAUGUCUCUCAUGAAAGAACUUCGAGGUCAAUUAUGGAAGGUAAGAAAUGUCCGGACUUUGUCACAGGAGAGGGGAUAUGUGUAGCUUGUGUUCUAAAGUACCAACGCAAAGGCAUGAUACAAGAAUAGAAGGAAUAAAGGCUGAAUUCUAUCACAUACUAUAUACCAUUUAAACUUCCUUGCCUUCUCAGACGUUACUGUGUCAAUUUUGUUCCUAUAAUAUUGUAGGGGAAGGAGGCUCUUUUAUAUGCCUUGGGUGCUCUUUCAGAGUCUUGCCAUCAAGCCAUCUCCAAGGAAGAUCCCAACGCUGCUAGUGCUAUUCUGGAUUUGCUAUCCUCUGCAUGCACAAAAAAGGUCAAGAAAUACCGGGAAGCGGCACUUUUAAGCCUUAAUCAGGUAGUUCCAGAUUAUUGUGUGUUUCCCAAUGCAAUUGUCUCCAUUUAGAAAAAUGUAGGGCUUUUUGGAGCUCUCACAUCCAGAAACUUUUCAGCAGUACAUUGUUUGGAAAGUGCUGUUUCAGGUUGUUUUCACUUUCUUAAUGCCCAGCUGGAAUCUGCCCCUGAUCAUCCCCCUUCCUCUCUAAUGAAGAUCUUGAACUUUUCAUGGUUUUUCAGGUUAUAAAAGCAUUUGGCAAUCAUGAGCCAGGACAAGCACACUCAGCAAAUGAUUCUGCUGAAUCAGGUUCAUCCAUAUUUCUAGCUUGUGACUGUCCAGCUUUCAGGAUUUUGAGUUGUUCUGCAUCGUAUCCUUUGAAUUCCAUAUCAUAAAUUUCUCUCGUUGUUAAACUGUGCAUUUUACAUGGCAUGGUUAAUAUGUGCAGACUAUGAUGGAAAAGAAGAUUCUUCUACUAGAAAAAGUACUGGACUGUGUCACAUCUUGUAUCCGUGUGGCCUAUAUUGAUGAUAUUCUCGAAGAGAAAAAUAACUUGAAGCACCUCUGGAUUGUCUCCCUCUCACCUGAGUUGUCAUGGACUGGUAUCUUCAUAACCAAAUUUUUCUUAGGUGAUUGCUGCAUGAAAAGUGUUUCUAUUAACUGUUUCAUCAUGCAGUCAAACUAUCGGCUUUUCUAUCAAUUAAGGGACUCUGCUCAAGGAUUCAUGACAUUCUGCUUGAUUCUCAGCUACCUUCUCAACAUGCAAAUACAGCAUCUUUGUUUCAUGAGGUAAUUAGUAUCCACUUUCUAAUAAUAUUGCUGAGAAACAGGGUAACUAAGGGAUGAUAUCUCUAAUUUUGGCUAAGAAUAAUAGCUUUCUUUUAUUAUGAUGGACAUGUUGCACUUGCCGGCUUUAGAAUCAGUUGUCGUUCUGUUCUCCAAAUUGCUCGUGUGGAUUCUGAUCAUCUGUUUUUCCUUUGCAAUUGGAAGCUGUUUUCUUUGGUAUUACCCAAAGUGGCGGACUGCAUAGCCACAGUUAAGAUAGUGCAGGUAUGUCUUCACUUUCGCCUUUGUGGUGGAAAUCGCCUCUGCCUUCAUUUUCUUCAAAGCAAUCUGAUCUUGUGUGGCUUUCACCUAGAUGUAGGAUUGUACCAUUAUUAAGUCCCAUGCAUAUCUAGGUGACAUUACUACAGUAAAUGAGAGUUUCAUUAAGUUAUCCAUCGAGAGAUCUGGAGUUAAGAUAGCAUAUAUUGCCUUCGCAAUGUGAAGAAGCAGAGUUUUUCUUUUACUUAGAUCUUUCAAGUUUCGAUGGUUCUCCCAGUGUGGGCUCUGUAUUAACCAAACUGUUGCAUUCAGAUGAUGUUUUUCUUGGAUUCAAUUCCAUUCUAACUCGAUGCACUUGAGGCAAUUACCUUGUACUUGGUUUACUCCUUACUAAGUAGAUCAGCUAAGCCAGAGAUAUCAGUUGAUACCAUCCCAAGGAUUUUUAUAUUUUAGUCAACAUAGCCAUUUCUUGUAUGUGCGAGCAAGAGCAAGUUUAUAUUUGGCAUUGAUUAAUUGACGUGGUCUCAAGAGUUCUAGAUUGUCUUAGAUCCUUUCUGCAGAUGCAAUUUAGAUGUUCAUCUUGCACAGAGGAUCAAUAAUCUGUUUGAUACAUUUUCAAAUUUAGGUUCACGUCAGUGCUUCAGAGUGCCUUUCGGAGAUGAUCACCCUCUGCAGGGAGAUUCCUUCAACGUUCAGGACAGACGCAGGUUUGAAGGAUUUGCUGGCCCAUCUACAUGAGGUUGAAAAAGAUGAACAAGCCAAGUCUUUGCUUAAGAGAUGCAUCCAUUUACUAGAGGCUUCAUAGAGUAAAUGUGAAAGAAAAAUGGUUUCAAAGAAAGGUGCGAAGAGAGUUCUAGCCACUGUAGGUGAAGCAUGAUAAAUGGGUAAAAUCAGUAAAAGAGCUGGAGUGAGGAAGUAAAUUCCAAAUGUGUAAUGAUCGAUCUUGACUGUUUGUGAAUCAAGGUUGACGCUGCCUUAGUAACCUUUUAAAUAAACUAAAAUGUUUGAAUCAAGGCAGAAGCAAGAAUUAAGCAAAGCAAAAGCAGAACUUAGCUAGACAUGUUUCAGGGGGUACACACGUUGGCCCUGCCUAUCUCAAGCACGUGGUAGUUACAGAUUUAAAUAGAUAUCGCACAGGCUUGAUAUCUUUCACUGAAGGAGCCGACUACUAUGCUCCCUUUUAUUCUCAUUAAGAUCUGUACGUUCUUAUUAACAAACACCGAAUAAUUCUGAACUAACUAGCCCGAUCUUCAGUGCAUAAGAUAAUCUUCUUCUUCUUCGUCUCCUGUUUGAAAAUGAACAUGCUAUUGUUUUUGUUUUUUCCAUAGUUUUUGGUUAUUAAGGUAGAAUGAAUUCUCAGGAGCAGGAAUCCUGAUCCAUCUAAUGAUUGGUGAUCUGAUGCAGCCUGUUACGCCUCAUUACUCCGUCUAAUAUUACAAGCACAUGAUCUUCGUGUCUGUCUCGGGGUAAAUGAUUCACCCUUUUCGCUUCUUAUGGACAGUAGACCUGUGUGCCCUGUGUACGCAUUCACCGGAGGCUGCUCUUCUUAGCUUAAAUUUUCAUCAAAUCCUCUGCAUGUCGAUUAUAAGGGGAGGAACUGCAAAAGUUAACUUGCAUACCUACAUUCUUGAGUACCUUUGAAAGCUACAACCGUGGCACUUGGGUCCUUGGCCACCCCCAACAUAUGCCUACAAAUAAUAUACACACACACAUUGUUUAGAAAUAGAGACAAACUAGUAGAUGAAAUUCAAACAUAAAGCCAUCACAAGCAUCGCAAAUUGGUAGGCCACUACGACACAAAUUAUAUACCUAUAAACAGUGCUAAAUAUCAGGUAUUAAUUCAAUUACAUCAAAUCUCUUCUCUCAAGUCAAAAAAUAUUAAUAACCAGUUCAAAAGCUACUAAGUCCCCGCAUGCUUCAUAGAAAAUGUGACUUUUUUAGAAAAUGUUUUUUGGAAAGUCAUUUUUUUAGAAAAGUGACAAUAUUUUCUAGUAUUUGGCUGAGAGUUGAAAGGAAAAUAUCUUUUCUUUUUUUUCUAAGCAUUUCCCAGGUUUGGUCUCUAGCCCAGCCUCUGCAAACCCGAGUCUAUAGGCCGGGCUCGGGCCCAAGUCCAUCAAGGCCGAACAUUAGACUCCAUGCUCGUGCGCUUUUGUGCUCUGGCCGAGAUCUACUAAGCCAAGGCACAAAAUACUAUCGAAAUUAUAAAGAUGUGGGCUUACUAUAUAAAGUAUGGAUUGUUGAGUUUCAACUAUUCUAACCCCGUUCAACAGAAGAAAGUUGGUCCGUGAGUAAAUUGAUCCGUAAAGUGACACUAAAAUUUGUUCCUUCGCCUAAAUUUCUCAUAGAAGAAAAAAAGACAAGUUGAUUCAUUCUCCAUAGAGAAGGCAAACAUUAUCCAAAAAAGGAUUCUCACCCUUCUUAAUAUUGUGCCCAAAAAUCAUAAAAAAAAUCUCAAGAUUAAUAACCUAACUUGUUUUCUUCCUAUUUUUAAAUCUCAAGAUUAGUAGGCAAACAUUAUCCAGUCAUUCAUGCUUCCUUUUCAAAUCUGCAAUUCGCCAUCCUCAAGACAAUGCUUCAACAUAAACUCCCCCCUCCAGCAAGAGUUUCGACACCGGCCAAUCAAUCACAAGCUAAUCGCUAUUAAAAGGAAUAAUAGCAAAAGGCCACAAUCUGCUGCAAUUAGCUCCAAAGAUUGAUUCUGCACUCCUUUAGAGCGCUCUCCAUGUAAUUGGUGAUACCGGAGAGCCAAUCGCCGUUCUGCUUGGCGACCGUAGUGCUUGUGACGGCAUUGUUGGAGGACGAGAUGGCAGCAUCAGAGAUCGCGUGGAGCAAACCCUUGGCCCUGCUGAAGAGCUCCUUGACGAAGACCGCGAGGCGGAAGGAAGGAGGAAAUGAAGUUCUGAAGGAAAGACGCGAGAAAGAAGUCCUAAUGUGAAAAAAGAUUGGACUUUCCCUGGAAAAUUUCUUUGACCACAUUUCCACCCUCAGAACACCAGAAAUUUUGAAAAAAGUUUUCCCUAAAAAGUAUUUUUCACAAAUCAAAGGGAGCCAAGGAGGAUGCGGCAUAUAUGCCCACAAAAUCUCAUCUCAAGAAUUGAUCAUUUAGUAAUUAGGAUCUAUUCUUCACACAACCUUAGCAACAAUGUCAAGUUAAAACAUAUUGAAUUACCUUAGUCUUUCCAUGACAAUUAGAACCACAUCCAACUAAAAAGUUCUAUCUAAUGUGACAUGUAAACCUACAAAAUAAAAUGCUUUGCAUGUAUAUAAUUACAAUUUUAUUGUAUUGAAAUAGUGAAACAAGAUAGGUAAUAAUACCAAGUUUUAGGUAAAUGCGAAAAUCUUUAUAAAAAACAUUUACGACAGAUGCAUACACCACCACUAUCAUGUUGUGAGCCCUAGACCUCACUCUUAAGUUCUGCAUUUACCAGUUAAGAAAUUUUCCAAUUGAAAAUGCGUCACAAGCUCAUUCAAUUACAAGCAAUGAAGCAAGUUCUUACGUCAGAUUGCAAGCUAUUUCAACAAAUCAAGCGAGGAAAUCACUUUGAGGAAACAUCCAUCAAAACAAUAUUUCAAUAUUUUUUGCCCUCGUCUUCGUGAACUUAAAGAAUUGUAUAAAUAGUGCAAUGCAAUGAAAGAGGAAUAAGUAAACAACAUAAGGCUCCCCUUUCUCAUAAAGCUAGGCCACUAAAAACUGUGAUAGUGCACUGGAGAGAAGAUGAAUAGUUGAUAUUCAAUCACUGUGAGUUGCUUAACAAGUUUUAUCCCCAAAGUUAAAAUAGCAUAACAAGAUUUGUAUUGGACAAAUGCAAGGAAACUUGAUCAAUCUGAUAACAUUCUAGGCACAGCAAUGAUCCUAACUCAAUAAUCUAUGGUGAGAGAGAUCAUUUAGCUAAAGUUUCCCACUAGUCAAUUAGGCGCUACAACUCCACAACACAAUUUACGAUUCCCCCCAACCCCAAAAUGCCUAAUCCCCCAAAUUCACAAUAAAAAUUUCACCGUCCAACCUCAAAACUAACGAACGGAAUCCUAGAGCCUAUCUAAAUUGAGCUUAAGAGUGAAUUAUAAAAAAGGAUUCUUCUCAGGGUGAGAGAGGGUUUAGAGAAGGCGACUUGCUAUUACCUUUUCAAUUCUUGAAUAAAUUAGAAUACUUAUGUUGUACUGGAUGCAAUAGUUUUUGGUUUUUUUUUUUAAAGAUGAAUAUACUUAUAAUAUUUUGAGUUGAGUCACUUGGUCUCAAAUUUAUGAACUAUUCAUAAGUACAUUUGGAGCCAGUGAGGUCAAGUCAAAUUUUCUAACUUCCAAGUGCAUUAUUUUGUUGAUUUACAGUAUGGUGAUUUAUCAGAGAUUUUCAUAUAAAUUGCUACUUCAUAUUGCUGAAUCUGAAGCUGGUCAAUCCCAAUGCUUCAUGGAAGAGAACAUUGACUUCAUCACACCGUAUGGGAAGAACUAGUUGUUAUAAACAGUGUGAAAUAUCUCAGCACUCAUGGCAUCACCUCUACGGCAAUAAUCUUCUCAAAAUUGUAAUGUGAAGAUGACAAAUACUCUCCAUCGAUAAACACGUGCAGUUUGCUUUUUCAGGUAAAGCACAGCUCUUAAUUGGAUUGACAGGAGUUGAAGACAAGGUGUGUGCAAUUUCAAAUGGACUUAGUCUGACAUUUAUGUAUUGUUUAGGUAAAUCUAAAAUAAUGACAUAAAUUGUUUAAUUUCAAGUAAAUAGAAAUGUGGCAAAAAAAAUUCCGAUUCUAAAAAUUUAACAUGGAAUAGUCUCGUGCAGUUUGCAAGUUCUUAUCUUUUUGCAUCUUUCUUUUCUUUUGUAAUAGAUAAUAUAAAAGCAUUUACCAAGAGAGUGGAGCCACACCUCCGAAAACAUUAUUUAAAAUAAAGAACUUUCAAACUUGAGAUAGAAGGGAGACUCAAUUUUUAUUUUUAUUUUAAUCGUUAUAGUCAUUGGAGAGGCUUCACUGAAGUAAUACCAAUCAUCAGAGAAGCUUCUGAGUUCAAUCGAUGAUUUGGAAAUGUUAAUUGAAUUGGAUGGUCACAUCAGGUUCGGGAGCUUAUUUACUACACUUGUUAGUGGCUCAAAGUUUUAAUAUGACACUCAUGAAUAAAUUUUUCCAUUUAUGUUGACAUAAGACUAUAUUCACACAUUGAUUUUGUGUACUUUAUGUUAAUAGUAUUUUGUAUAAUAAUUAGCACAAAGCAUAGAUUUAUGUCUGACUACAAUGCUUGGUGAUGAACAAUUCGUAGAUAGUAACAAAGGUUAAAUGUGAAGGAUGGUUACCCCCGAAAUAAAUAUAAUCUUUUUUUAAUUCGAUCGAUCAUGAGAGGAGUGCUUUUGACGAAAAUCAAGCCUAAUAAUUCCACCAGGCUUUAUGAUUCGGUGUCAAUUCGGGCCUAGCCCUGAUCACCCAUUAAACUGGACCGAUCGGAGUUCACCUUAAUUAAGAUGGGCGGAAACAAACUUCGUUGGAAGUUUGCUGUUUGCUUUUGUUGACUUGACUUUGAAUAAAUUAUUUGGGGAGCAAAAGUAGAUUCUCAUCCCAAAAUUUCUGGUGUAGUGAUUUUUUGGAUCAAAAAACGUAAAUGAUUGUCGACUUUGACGAGCUAGAGUGAUGCUUUGAGGAAGCAUCUUUACUAACUGAUUUUGCAACAAAACUGGCCUGUGACUCUCUCUACAUAUUCGCCCAAUCCUUUGGCUUUUUAGUUCAAUGACCUCCAAAAAAAUCAUUUAAAAAAUCUUCCUUUUUAAUUCCUUAAUCAUCCUCAUGAACAAAGUUCUUGAUAGUUAAGGCCCAUAGCUAAUAUGAGAAGUUUUUCUUUUCCUCUAAAAAGAGUAGGAGUUAGGUAGUGGGAUCCCACCUAUUUUCUCUUCUUCCCCGAGCUUUAGCUAAUGGAGGAAGCUCAAUUUCAAUUCGAAUGGAAGAAGUCUAAUUUUGAAAGAAUCUACAAUGAGACUUUUGGACAUUCGUUUUACUAAAACAAAAUGUUAAUGGACUAUAAUUAAAGGUAAAGCUAUUGGAAAACAAAAUUGAUCUUCCAUUGAUCUCAAUUCGAGAAAUUUGAUACUUUCCAAGAGUCUUUUGUGACUCAUCAAGUUUUCAUGAUUAAUAACUUUAAUCUUGAACUUUCUUUUUAUCAAAUUCAAAUCUAUGUCUGGAAAGAUCUAAGAACUUAAGAAUUUCGAAAUGAAACAUUUCUACACCUCCAAAUCUAGUGAGAUUUUAUUUCUCCUCCUUGGCUCCCCGAGGUUCAUAUCAAUAAACAUUUGUACCAAUUGAAAUCCAAAGGUCUUGCUAGUAUUGGUGCAUUCACAUCACUCAUGCAAUUGCCAGCGACUUUGAGGAGGUCAUUCAAAAUGACCAUGGGCAUGGGUUUUUAGGGUUUUGGACGGAUGUGAGUAGUCUUUUGGUAUAUGAGCAUGCUUAUAACUGUAAGAUGUACUCUUUUGAUUUUUAGAUUUUGUUUUACAUUGCAGCUUUUUUGGGAUUUAUUUGCUUUGAAGCUUUAUACCUUCUUCUCAUAUUUAAUUAUGACAAAUAAAAAUAAAAUUUCCUUUCGACCAAAAAAUAAAAUAAAAUCCAAAAACUCAUGUAUAGCCAUGGAUAAGGUGGGCCCUAUGGAAAAUUCGCCCGAUCUACAUAUGCACAAGUGGGGUUUACAUGCAUCAGUGCUUAGAUAAUACCUUGAUAGAGAGAGAGAGAGUUGUGAUAUGAACAGGCAAAGAUAUGAGUGUGCCUUGUGUAGUGCCAUUCCUACAAUAUGAGGGCAAGUGUGGGCAUUUAUGCAGACAAGUCUUGUCAAAAAAUCCAAUUGAACAUAUAUUUACAAUUUACAUAAAGUAAUCCUACAAAGAGCGAAUAAGUUAAAAUUCAAUAAUACAAAAAGAACCAGAAGAUUUUCCUUUAAUAUUAUGUUUUAGACACCGAAAGCGACUCAACCGCUCCCCCAUCUCUUUAGAAUUCCACUAAUUUUUAUUUUCUUCUUUUGGAAUUUGAAUUCCACUAAUUUAUUUACCUCCCAAUCGUAGUGCUCCCCCAUCAGAACGUGAGCUUGGACAACCAAUCAAAGGCCGGGCAUCUUUUUCUAUGGGCUUUUAGCCCCAUCAAUCUGCAAAGCGUCUCAAGUACAAUGGGCCGAGGAUGAAUCAGCAAAGCCCAUAAGCUUUUCUCUUCGCUGCACCAAUGAGCGCUUCGCCGUCCCCAAAGCCACACAGCUCUUAUCAAAGCUGGGGGAGUCCAAACUCAAGUUGAAGACUGAGGGUGCGUUUGGAUGGGCAUUUAGAAAGCCCAUCCAGCCCCCAAAGCCCCUUCAGCCAAAGAGAGGCGUUUGGCAACCAGUUCCCAAGGAGCUUUCAAAUGAAAGCUGGCCCUUGGGAAUGCUGAAAGCCCAAGGCUGGUGGAGACCAGCCUUGAGCUUUCAGCAUUUUUGGGAUGCUGAAGGCUUCCAUUAAUAAAAUUUCGUGGAGUUCCAUUUUUACCCUAAAAAAAACAUCGGAAACCCAAAUUUACCCCCAUAUAAAAGAGCAAAACUAGGGGUUUCGCCUUGUAGCUCCUCCAAAAACGCUCACGCUCCCAACUCCUCACGCUCACUCUGCCGAGAGCCCCACGACGACGUCGACUUCAAGAUCAGCUUGGAUAUCGAAUCCACCUUCAGAUCUGCCAACGACACUUCUCCAGCACCUUCAGCGUGUAAGCUCGCUCGCUCGCUCACUCUCUCUCUCUCUCUCGCUUGCUCGAUUCUUCUCCUCAUUUGGGUUUGAUGAUCCCAUUUGACUCCCCUGCUCCGCCUGUUUGUAUCUCGUCUGCUUUUGCUUCCAGGUUCCUUGUUUUUUUUUUUUCCAUGCUCUCGCUAGUUGGUAAUCGAGAUCUGUGAUUGUAUAACCCAUGGCGGAGUGCAAGGGUGAAAUUCGGGGCGGUUGCUUUUUAGCGGUCGAAUGCGUGGGAAUUUGGAGUUCUCCUUAGAAAGCAAGGGGUUUGUGUUGCUUUGCGGGUUUCGCGAGCUGAGAUUCAAUCUGGGUUUUCGAGGUUGGACAGAUUUUUAGUAGUGAGCGGCAAGGGCUGUGGGUUGUGGGUUAUGGGUUGUGGGUCGUGGGUGUUUUUUUUAUGAAUUUCAAAGGACAUACAAUUGGAGUUUUCCGUUCAAUGUUUUGAAUUUCAAUGGACAAGUUCACAAAUAGAAAUACUGCAUUCGCUAUACUGUUGUUUUGUUUCUUCAUUUCUAUCAAGCAUUACCAACAGAAAACUUUUGCAUUCAUCCUUAUGUUGUAAUUUUUAUGUGCCUCUGAAACUGCCUAGUUAACCGCUGCUAACUGUAAAUUGUUUGGAGUUAUGUUCUCUCAGUCUGGUUUGGUUCCUAUUGAAUGAACUUUGGCAUCUGUGGAUUUUUUCUCUUUUAACAUUAUUUGUCCAUAAAUUUUUGUACACCAUGUUUCCUCUUUCGCUUUGCCAGACACCGAUGAAUACAUGCACGUGAUCUUAUGAUGCUUUGCCACAUGAGCAUUGAUUCUGUAAACUUUAUUGGGAGAAAGAGUUGCAUUAUGCUUUUGUAACCAUGACUAGAUAGUUGAAGAAAUGCAAUCGUGCAUGAUUUUUAAGGCUGCUUUGUUUAGCUUGGAAGAGCUGAAAUGAUUUGUUUUCUUUUCUUUUCAACCCAUUGAGCUCACUGCUCACAAACUUGAAACCCAUAAGAUAAUAAUAUUUAGACAAAAUCCAACAACAAUCAUUUCUUAAAGCUUUGUUGUUGACUAUAUAUCAUCAUUCUCUUGUAAAUACUAAUAUGGCAAAAAUGUCAGUGAUCAGCAUCUCCAUAAUGCUUGUGAAUUGUUUGAAUCCCCAAAACAUUUUUUACCGUGAAUUAUUAGUUGGACUACUGUUGGACUACUGAACAUGUUAUUCUCCAUAUUAGAUUUUGGACUAAGAGCAUGCUCCACUUGAAGACUGAGAAUGCAUCGAUAUAUUUCAUUUUCAUGUGUAGCGCAACUAAAUGUGUAAAACUUGCUCUUCCCUUCACUCUUUGAGCACCACUUUUGUUCUGGUUGUAUGAGUGGAAAUCAGCUAUGAAAAUUUGACUUCUUUCUUUAUCAGCUCUCGGAGGCUUGAAGUCAGUAGGGUGGAGUUGCUUCUUCAAGUUGGAGCAUUUUGUGUGGCAGUUGGUGCGUUGAUUGCAGGUACUUUUUCCAUACGGUAUUGGACAAUUUUUUUUUUUUUUGGUAAAGGUAAUAGAUAUAUUGACUUUAAACCAAAAGCUAUACAGCUAUACUCAAAAACAUGGCACCAAGAACUUACACUCAAGAAGACAACAAGUUAGAUCGAGCGGAAGGGUGCCAAGGAGGAGGAAACAACGCACAAAAAUCAUAAACUUGAUGACCCGCGCAGCUAAGCAGUAGCAAGAAAUCAUCUGUAGCAGACAAAGGCAACCCUCACAUACUAGAUGCAGCUCCCAACUUCAACAAUACCCACCCACCGAAGAGCAGCACAAGAAGCUAAUUAGCUAACCGAGCAGCCUACAACUCUCAAGAACCGGCGAAGGCAGCAGCAGCACCAAGAACCCGAACUUACAGGGGAAUAUCGGCAGAAUUAAAAAUGGACGGGUCCAAUCCCCAGCAAUGUUGAAUCCUCCUAUUUCUAUAAGUGUUGCAACAUUUCUGAUAUGACACGUUUACGUGAUCAAAUACUUAUGAAUUUAGGAAGUAAUUAAUGAUAUUUGUAAUUUUUAAUGAUAAUGAGCUUCUUUCCUCAAAGCAUAUGUUAUCGUGUUUUUAUUGUAAUGAAAGUAUUCUUCUUGCAAUUAAGAAAGAGAGCAUGUGAAGUUUUUCCAUUUGAUGUUUUUUAGCAAAAAAAGGAAUUUUGAUUUUAAUAAAAUUGUUUAUACAAUAUCUUUAACAUUGUUAUUAAAUAUAAAUUAAAAAAGUUGCAAAUAUUAUUUUUUUAAUUUUAAACAAAUGAAAAUUAAAAUAUUUAAGAUUAAUCACCAAAGGGGCUUUGCAAAUGUGUUUUUUACCAAACAGCAUUUCUCUUAAAGUUGCAUUUCAAAGCAGAAUUUACCAAACAGUCUUUGCAUUUCCUUCAAAGCUCUUUAGGCUAAACUGCUUUGCAUUUUCCCAAUGAGCUUUCCAAAUGCCGAACCAAACGCACCUUGAGACCGCUUCGUGUGCUGAGAAAAUCUGACGGUUUUCUACUAGAGCCUUUGCUUCCGCCGGAGCUGCUGCUGAAGUUGGGCGCCCGGAUCUCGCGAACCCGUCCGCCGAAACGCCACCUCUGUCUCGGCACGCGCGGCUGAUCGCUCCCUCCGUCGAGCCCCCGCCGAAGGAUGCCGUCGAUAGUUCUCCUCGAGAGCUCCUUGCCGCAGUCGGAGCCAGCUCUGAGGUGAGUGUCCAAGGGCCCACUUUUGGCGUUUAGAAAGAACCCUGGCAUUUUCUCAGCUUUGACAGGCUGCACUGAAUCAUUCUUAGUACAGAGAUCUCUCCAUUUCGCUAGUUCUUUGGCUUCCGAGUUUUUCCCAUCUCAGGCUGCCACUGCUCUUGCUGAUAUCCUGUUUCGACUUUUUUUGCCUUGAAGAGGAGAUCAAGCGACAUCAAUGGAGGGGAGUGCAAAUGGACGGCGCGUGUGUGGAAAUGAUGGAACAGCAAGAGGCGCUUCUGGUACUCACGCUUCAACAGAAGGUCAAGAAGUGGCUACUUCAUCGGGAUAUGACCAUGAAGUAUUCUUGAGCUUCAGAGGACCGGAUACUCGAGCAGGUUUUACCGACCACCUUUACACUAGGCUUAAUGAUGCGGGAGUCCACACUUUUAAGGACGAUGAAGAGCUCCGCAUUGGGGAAGAGUUUGCCUCCGAACUUUUCCAAGCAAUUCAGCAGUCGAAGAUCUUAAUACCUAUAUUUUUUAAAAGUUAUGCCUCUAGUCGUAUGGUGUAUGAAGGAGCUAGUCCAGAUGGUCAAGUGCCGGAGAAAUGGAAGACAAAAGAUUAUGCCCAUUUUUUAUGAUGUGGCACCUUCAGAGGUUCGACACCUAAUUGGAGGUUAUGCAGAGGCCUUUCGUUCACAUGAAAAGAAGCAGAGAAGUUUAAACGAAUUGAGGGAGAAGACGAUGGACAAGUGCACCUUGCACUUCAAAGCUUCUUGAUCCAAUACCACAAAUUGUUCACUUGUGUUCAAACUUUAAACGAAUUGAGGUAACUUAUUUCAUCGGACAGCCUAUGUUUUCCCUUUUCUACAAUUAAUUUUUUUUUUCACAGAUAUGAACGGAGAAGUUUCACAUGCACUUUUAAUCACCUUCUCACUGAAAAUCUCAUGAAGGUAUUGAAAUUAUGAUACCUCUGUACAACCAGAGGUUUCUUAAUUAUGUACAUGUCGAUUGCAUCGUUUUUAUAUGAUUGACAAAUUAUUAGAGGUCCUUGUCGAUUUGCUAUUUCACUUUUGUCAAAGUUGAUAACCUCGCUUCACUUUGGAGAAAACUUUGUUAUGCUGUAAACCACUAGAUGGAAUGGGUGUUGGAAGGUCAUAACACUAUGGUUCUCAUCCUGGAACUUUACAGCAUGAUCAACUCAUUGUUGCAACUGUGAAGUAGGCAGACCGUCCGUAUUGAUAUGCUUAAGUUCAGUUUAUUCUAGGAAAGAUGUGCUUCUUAGUGGGAUUUGCAAAUGUUACAGAGAAGUUAUAAAAUAAAACACGAAUUUCACUUGGGUAAUGGCAUCAAUAGUUGGUGCAGCAAAACUUCCAUCUAUGACCAGAGAGGAGAACCACCAAUGGCUCACUUCUCCAAGGUAUCAUAAAUCAUCUCGGACAUAUGAUAAGUCUCAUGUCAAUGGACUCUUGUGUGAUUUCAAUUAUUGCCUACAUUUUCUAGAAAUGGUUAUGCUUAGGUGAUUACCUGUCAUGGAAGCCCUUCCAUUCACCUCAAGCUAUACUAGAGGACUCUUUUAGGUUUUAAGAUUGACAAGAAGUGCUCAGGGAGACAUCUAGAACGACCAGCUUUUGGCUGGUUCCUAAUGUUGCUGAGAGGAAUUAGAGUUUGAAAAAUUUACAGAAGCCUUUCUGUGCAGGGAGUUGUAGCUAAUUGGACAGCUAUACAAAUGAAGACCAAAAAAAGGAAAAUGAAGAUGACAUUCAAAGUGAAGUUUUACGUCCACUUUAUAAUUACUUUGGGAGUUGAUGCCUGGAAAUCUGAAGAAGGUAUUGAAAUUAUGUACCUCUGUAGAACCAAAGGGUUCUUAAUUAUGUGCAAAUAUACUUUUUCUUUUCUUAGUUUGGUUUGGCUUUUUUAGCUAUAUUUUCUUUGGAUGGUUUCUCCUUGCUUUUAUGUUUCCCAGCUGGAGGUAUGCAUGUUGAUUGCAUUGUUAUUAUCUGAUUUAUGACAAUUCAAUGGAAAUCCUCAUCAGUUUGCUGCUUCACAUAUUUCGAAGUUAAUACCCUCUGCUUUGCAUUAGAGAUAACUUUUCUCUACUAUAAACAAUUAGAUGUGAUGUGUCUUGGAAGGUCAUAGCACUAUGGUUCUCAUCCUGGAAUUUCACAGCAUAAUCAACUCAUUGUUGCAACUAUGAAUGAGCCAGACUCUGUAUUGAUAUGCUUUUGUUCAGUUUAUUUAACAAGGAAGGCGUGCUUCUUAGAAGGAUUUGCAAAUGUUGUGGAGAAGUUAUAAAAUGAAGAAAGAGGAAUUUCACUUGGGUAGUGGCAUCAAUUGUUAGUGCAGCAAAGGUUCCAUCUGUGAUAGGAGAGCGGAACUAUUUAGCUUCUCCAAGGUAUUAUAAGUCAUCAUAAUGUUAGGCUAAAUUUCGGUAUUAUUAGUGCAUAUGAUGAGUCUCACUUGGGGUCUGAAAUCAUGUAAAUCGACCCUUGUGAGAUCUCCAUCACUGUCUCCAUUUUCUCGAAAUGGUUAUGCCUAGGUGGUUAUAUGUAAUAGAUGCCUUUCAUUCACCUCAAGUUAUAUUAGAUGACUUUUUUGGGUUUAAGGAUUGACAAGAAGUGCUAAGGGAGACAUCUCAAAUGACUGGCUUCUUGCCGGUUUCUAAUGUUGCUGAUAGAUAUUGAUGUUUAAGAAACUUACAAACAUUUUUAUUACGUUUUUGGGCAGUUGUAUAGAUGGAGACCGAAGAAAGGUAGAUGAUGGAUAAAACUUGAUGUUGACCGGAUUCCCACUCAUAUUCUUGGGGUGGUAUGCCCUGUAUUCAUCUGUUUUGGGGGGUAAAGGGCUAUCUAGGCAAAUCUGAUCAUGUAUUUUUCCUUUAUUUGGGCCCACAACAAUGAUUAUUACAUUUCAUCUUAAUGUGUUUUCUGUUCAUUCUUAUGCAAUAGAACUUGCUUAUCAGUAAGCAGAUGUUAUUUUACGAGAAAACACCUGAAGGGCUUGUCUGGACUGGGAGAAAAAUUGUGUUCUUAGAGUGGUGCUUGAGGUAGUCUUAGUUGCUCCUGCCAAAACCAGUUCAUGGACCUCUCGAUGUGAAAAUGGUGUUCAAGGUAAUCUUAGUCAUGAGUAUGAUAGGCACUCACAACACAAAAAUCAUGGAUUGUUGGAAUUCAUGGAAUGGACUCUGUUGGAGAGACAACUCUCGCCUAGCUUGUAUACAAUCAGCUUGCUCAUGGUUUCGAGAACUGCUGCUUCUUCUUUUUUUUUUUUUUUUUUUUUUGUUUCCUAACAUCCGUUAAACUUUGGAGCUCAAGGCCAUUCAGUUCCUGCGGAAUAACUCAUCUCCAAUAUCCUCAAAAGGAAAUUGACAGAAAUAAGUAAUGUUUAUGAAGAGAUCGAGACAAUUAAAGAUAGGCUUUUUAGUAAAAGAGUUCUUGUCCUUUUUGAUGAUGUUGACCAGAAGAAUCAAUUGAAUGCAGUCGUGGGUAACAUCUGUGAUAUUUGGGCAUUACUGAAUUCUUCAAUGCGGAAUAUCAAGCGUUGAAGGAUCUUGAAAUUCUCAGUGUUUUUUGUUUGUCAUUGAAUAUCAGUGCUUUUUGUUGAUAGAAGGUACUGCCAUCUUGAAAUACUUUGUAGAAAGGGAUGACAUGUGGGAGGCCUCUGAUCGUUUCAACUUGAAAAGGUUCAAAUUAUGCAAUGUCUGGCUUGCUUAGAAGAUUCAGUCAUUUGUCGAAAAAUUUAGGAGAUAAUGUCAGCAGAGGAGUUCACUAUCCAAUAAGAAGUGGAUGUGGUACUUGAAAGGUCCUGCUUUCCUAACCAAGUCUGUUGUCAAUAAAGAUUUAAAACUUAAAGAAAUUGCUUAUUGCCCUAUGUCAUAUCAGCAGAAAUUCAUUGUUGUCUUUCCUGGGAUCGUUAUCAGUUAUACACAAAUUAACUCCACACUUNNNNNNNNNNNNNNNNNNNNNNNNNNNNNNNNNNNNNNNNNNNNNNNNNNNNNNNNNNNNNNNNNNNNNNNNNNNNNNNNNNNNNNNNNNNNNNNNNNNNNNNNNNNNNNNNNNNNNNNNNNNNNNNNNNNNNNNNNNNNNNNNNNNNNNNNNNNNNNNNNNNNNNNNNNNNNNNNNNNNNNNNNNNNNNNNNNNNNNNNNNNNNNNNNNNNNNNNNNNNNNNNNNNNNNNNNNNNNNNNNNNNNNNNNNNNNNNNNNNNNNNNNNNNNNNNNNNNNNNNNNNNNNNNNNNNNNNNNNNNNNNNNNNNNNNNNNNNNNNNNNNNNNNNNNNNNNNNNNNNNNNNNNNNNNNNNNNNNNNNNNNNNNNNNNNNNNNNNNNNNNNNNNNNNNNNNNNNNNNNNNNNNNNNNNNNNNNNNNNNNNNNNNNNNNNNNNNNNNNNNNNNNNNNNNNNNNNNNNNNNNNNNNNNNNNNNNNNNNNNNNNNNNNNNNNNNNNNNNNNNNNNNNNNNNNNNNNNNNNNNNNNNNNNNNNNNNNNNNNNNNNNNNNNNNNNNNNNNNNNNNNNNNNNNNNNNNNNNNNNNNNNNNNNNNNNNNNNNNNNNNNNNNNNNNNNNNNNNNNNNNNNNNNNNNNNNNNNNNNNNNNNNNNNNNNNNNNNNNNNNNNNNNNNNNNNNNNNNNNNNNNNNNNNNNNNNNNNNNNNNNNNNNNNNNNNNNNNNNNNNNNNNNNNNNNNNUCAUUAUUAGGUUUUAUCGAGUCUGACAGGUAAACUAGCAAGCGCAUUCAUUCAAUAGGUAUCAGAGACUUAUAUUUACAAGGAUGAUACAUGCAACUUCCUGCUUUUUACAUUCUAAGUGAAUUUCAGUAGAGAUCCUGUGCAUCUUGUGAUGGACAUGGAAGAAGAUUGAUGGAUGCAUUACGUGAAUAAAUUUCAUCCAGAGCUACCUAAUGAUCUUCAAGAAAUUAGGUGCUUACUUAGGAGCAUUUCACAUUAAGUUACUCUUGGCAUCGGAGUCUUGACACAGCCUCAAUGCAGAAGCAGGACUCCUGGAAAGCGUAAGGUUUUCUUUGUCUUCGCUUCCAUAUUCCUUCAAUCAUGUGUUCAUGAUGAUCUUGCACAAUCCCCAUGUCUCCGCCAUUAAUUCUACACCAUAGUAGACUAAAUGGUCUGCGAGGCCGUUGCCAGUUGCCAAUCUGCAGGAACACACUCUGAUGAGUCAUCCAUAAAUAUUUCCAGUAAUGAAGAACAGACAUUCUUCAGAACAAGCUGGUCUAUCGCAUGAGCUAUUGCACCUAGCAUGAUAAAUCCACAAAAUAAUUGCUUGUAACAGGUAGCUACGACUGAAACUACCUCCUUACCUGUUGCACAUUGGAUCUUUCUCUAGAGCCAUCACAAACUUUCUCGACCUGAUAAACCAAACUACCAAAUCCUAUAUUAUACAGCCACGCCUACAAAAAAAGAAGGAUUCCAAUCACAUGUGAACAUUGACAUAGAAAAGAUUAAGAUUAUCACCAUACAAGCAGGUGGAAUCAAAUUAUUUUCACAUUAUCUCACGUCAAUAUGUUUAUCCAUGGCUGUCAUUGAGCUAAUCGACAAUAAUUAUAGGCAUUAUUAGACAUGCAUAAUUUAAAUGAGUAAUGCAUUGUAAUUGCACAGAACUUAAGACUAGCUGAUCAGCCAUCAUCAUCAUCAUCAUCAUCAUCAUCAUAGAAUGAUGAUCAUCAUAGAGAGAGAGAGAGAGAGAGAGAGAGAGAGUAAAUAGUUCACAUUAUUACGCAUAUUAAAUUUUGGAAUUGGUACGAGAAACUCAUGAUAUAGGAAUGAGAAAAGUUCCUUAAAUAUUGUUAAAAAGGUCAAGAGUACUACGAAUUGCCCUACUUUGUUAAGAAGAUAAAAUAAACAAAAUAAUUAAAAUUUAUACGCUGAAAAAGUAGGAGUACGAAUAUUGUUGGAAAAUAUAAGACUUCUCCAGUUUAGAUAGGCUGAAAUAAAUGCAAAGCAACCAUCCAAUGCAGUCAGCGACAAUUCCCCAUAAUUUACGUGAUAUUCCGUCAACAUCAAAGUCAUAGCACCCUAGGGAAGUGAUGGUAUAUCUUCCAUGGAAACCAAGAAUACUACGGAGGCAAAUGAGGCACAAUAUCAUGUCCAUUACUUAUAUUUAUUGUAUUUCACAUGCGGUAGUAAGAAAAAAACAUUGCAUUGCCAAUAUGGGGUUGUGCAGAUGUCAAAACCUGGACAAUCUGUGCUUCUUGGUUUAUCAGGAAAUUAAGCGUCCUUAGUUAAAUAAGUAAAUCAAGCGAGUGCUGGUUUGGAAAAAACCGCUUCUGCACACAUAAUUAGACAGCCAAAUUACUUGAGAAUUUCACAAGACGAAAGAGUACUAUGCAUCAAUAACCAUAUAUUGCGUUUCACAUACGAAGGUGAAGGAUGGAAUAGUCCUUUCUCUCCAUAAGGUUGGAGGUCUAGCGUUACUCUGUCUAGAUCCCAUCCAUAAUUUUCCCAAAACCAAACCCCACAGCCACAACAAAACCAACCAAGCCCCCCUCUUACAAAAAGGUGUUAAUAAUAUGGAAUGGUGGGAUUGGGGGUGAAUUCACAACCAAUGCGCAUUUAAAUGCUUCCACAAGAAGCACUUGGAUGUUGGUGAGGUGAGUCAUAUCCUGCCAAAAACAUAAACAAAAAAUUCCAGGUUCGUGGUGAAAUUGCCCCUUUAACCUCAAAACUUACAGUCAUAAAUAACAAAGGAGAAACUAAAUGUUAAGAAGGGCCAUGACGCAUGCAAAGGGCCACAACCCAUGGGCAAGAUGUCAGAAUCAGCUCCGAACAAUUUUCAGCAAGAAACCAGCAAACAAAAAUGACAUUUUAAAUCAUCCAAAUGGCCGGACAAGAUGUAAGUUAUGAUCCUAUUGUAGGCCACAUGAAUGUCUGUAUAAUCUGAGUCCAAUCCAAAGUUUGACCCUCAAAAAUCACAACUUGACAUGGAGAAGAGAAUUAAUGAGAUAUGACUUUGGGGUGGGCACCAUUUUUGGUACCAGUUCCACAACAGGUGCCUAGAAAACUCUGGACACUCUGUCCAGUAAAGCAGAGACAAAAAGCAUAACUUAGACAUUUUAGAAUUGGCUCCAGCCUACAAUAUAUCUGGCCUAUAUUCGGACUGAAAAGGAGUUGCUUCUUUUGGUUAGAAAGAGACAGAUAGAAACAACACACAGAACACAGAUUUAGGAUCAAUAUAUUCUAGUUUAAAAUGCAUUAACCCUUCAAGAUCAAGUGCUUGCAAAAGCUAUAUAGCCAGACCAUAAACAUAUCAAUAUUCCCAUAUAGUUUCCAGCAAGUAAACUUUGUAAUGAUUAGUUGGAAGUCUUUAUCCACUAUAUAUGGGUAUUCAGUCAACUUGAAGCUCCAUGGCUUAACGUGUAAAACAAUUCACACAACUAAAAACGUAGACCCUAGGUGGUUCAGGUAAAGGGAUGUUUGCAACCCAUUCUGCUUGUGUUUUGUCUCUGGUAGGGGUGUGCAACGGGAACCGCCCGAACCGGGAACCGGCCGGACCGGACCGAACCGGUCGGUUUUGGGUGGUUCCCACGGUUGGCGGUCCGGUCCCCGGUUCCUAAUCUUGGAACCUGUGGCCGGUCGGUCCGGUUCCCGGUUUCAAGGUGGGAACCGGACCGAACCGGACCGACCGGACCGAACCAAACUUUUUUAUAUAUAAUUUAUAUAUAUAGAAUUAAUAAAACAUAUAAACAUGAUAACUUAUUGCAACCAAAAUUGCAAUUUGAGGUAGCAACCUCUUAUGUGGCCAAGAGACCAUUAAAAUCCUUUUUAUUACUCUUUUAUUUAUAGAAAAAAUCUCCUUGAUAGUUUCGACGUGGGACUAAGACUUCAAGAGAUCCCGUGAAUCACACAAGUGAAGUUUGAAUAUUUUGCACGUGGAACACGUGUGAUUAGUUUUAUUGAAUUGCUCGAGAAUCGAAUUGAAUUGAUUAGUCAAAAGCGCAGUCACUCUUUAGUUCUUUAGUGCAAAAAAGUAUAGUUGAUUUUUUUGGACCGGACCGGACCGGACCGGAACCGAUGGAACCGAUGGUCCGGUCCGGUUCCCGGUCCUAGGACCAAACGGUCCGGUCCACGGUUCGCAAUUUUGGGAACCGGUGCUCCCGGUCCGGUUCCCGGUUCCAAGGUGGAACCGGACCGAACCGGGAACCAAUCACCCCUAGUCUCUGGGUCGAUUUACCAAAAAAGACAAAAGAGAGAAAAAAAAAAAAAGAUGCUGACCAAUUGUAAAUAUAAAUAUGGAGCCAUGGAAAGUUCAAGGUAUCCGGAGUUUAAACUCUUCAAUGCAGAGUCGGCAGGGAAUUCCAAGUAAUUCUUAACAGACCAAAACUGAAAAAAUGGAAGAACACAAUAGAGAAGAACCAACCACUGGCUGCGGUGGCUCCACUGGAUAAGGCUCUGCUGAUCCUCAACGAAGAGGUGAAGGGUUCAAAACCCAAGGGAGGCGCUAGGUGUAUUAAGCAGGUGGGUCCUCCUGCUUACGUGUCACCUAGAGGUUUACGGCGCGGUUGUCAGCUGCAAGCCGGUUCCUCCAGAACCAAAAAAAAAAAAAAAAAAAAAAAAAAACCAAUAUUUGAACCACAACAAUUUUUGGGAAAAUCUCAAAUAAAGACUUAAAGUAAGCCUAUUUUCUCAAAUAAGGACUCAAAGUGACUGUUGUCUCAAAUAAGGACCCGAAGUGGCUAACAAGUCUUAAAUAAGGACUUGAACUUGCUGGUUGGCCAAAAUGUUCACCGGCCGGUGAGAGUGUGACAUUUCCAGUGGCCGGAAUAUGGGCAAUUUUGUCCAAAAAAAAUAUAGACAGAAAUUAACAAAUCCUAAAAACCACCCCUCAAACUCUUCACGUUCUUUUGACCUAAAAAGAAAAACUCUUUAUGUUCUCACAUUUUUCUUCUUUUGCUCUUCAUCUUCUUCGUUCUUUGUCCUCUCUCGCUUGGAGCACGGAAAUUUUCUGUUAAUGGAACACAAAUUGAAACACAAUAAGAAACCCCUACCUUCGUUUCUUCACAUCUUCUUCUUUUGUAUUAUGUCUUCGUUUCUUUCCAAUGAAGAAGACAAAUCUUGAGUAAAGCCACCUUUUCGUUAUUCAGACACUCAUGUGUAACACAAGAGCCUUGAUUCUUCAUUAUCUUUUCCUAGGUUCGCCAUACACUUUAAUUCACACUCCUGUUCAACCGAGGUCAGUUUCGUUCAAAUUGAGAGAGGGAGGGAGGGAGGGUGGGAGGGUACGUACCUUUGGAACUCAAGGAGACAGGGAUCUUGCUCUAUCAAUAGAGAAUUUGGGUUCUCCAAACGAGAGGGGACAAAGGACGUGAAAGACAUAGAGCGGAAGAAGAAGAAUGUGAAGAGUUUGGGGUUUUUGUUUUUAGGGUUUGUUAAUUUCUAUCUAUAAUUUUUUGGAACAAAAUUGCUCAUAUUCCUGCCAUCGGAAAUGUCACAUGCUCGCCGGCCGGCCAAAGCGGCCGGUGAACAUUUUGGCCGGCCGGCGGGUACAGGUCCUUAUUUGAGAUUUGUUAGCCACUUCGGGUCUUUAUUUGAAACAAUGGUCACUUCGGGUCCUUAUUUGAGAAAGCAGGCUCACUUUAGGUCCUUAUUUGAGAUUUUCCCACAAUUUUUUAACUGUGUUACCAUAAGAUCAAAUCAACAAAAGGAUGCCAUAUCCCCUCCCAUAGAAUGCCCUAUCACCAUGAUGUUGAUGUCUCUAUAUAAAUCCUUGGCUCUUUUAACAGCAUCCAAAGUACCAGGUUGAAUUGUUGUAUUGUGAUAAGCAUAGUAAAUCCAUGAUGAACGUAAGCAAAGACAACAGAAUAAGAAUGUAAUUCAUUCCAAAUCAAAAGUAUGCACAACUUAUCAUCUCUAGAACUCACCAUGGCACCACGCAUGCCAGGGUAGUUUAUGUCAAGCUGUUUCCAAUAGAGAUCUUCAACCCAAUUCUAUAUGCUAUAGACAUAAAUAGAAGUAAUCACUAAAUGAAAAGCUCAAACAACUUUUCCAAGAACAAAAUUAGUGAAGUAUGUGGUCUCCUCAUGACAAAAUCUAAAAUUACAAGCACAUAACAUUCACGUCUUGAUGGAAAUGAUUCACUGUUUUCCCUUCUUAUGGAACAGCAGACCCAUAUAUUUUGUGUACACAUUCACUGGAGGCUACUCUUCUUAGCUUAAAUUUUCAUGAAAUCCUUCACAUGUCAAUGUAAGAGGAAUAAUUGCUAAAGUUAAAAUGCAUACCUAUGUUCUUGAGUACCUUUGAAAGCUAUAACUGCAGCGAUAAGGUCCUGGCUAUAUGUGUGUGUGUGUGUGUGUGUGUGUGUGUGUGUGUGUGAAAUAAAGACAAAAAAUUAGAUGAAAUUCAAACAUAAAGGCAUCACAAGCAUUGCAAAUUGGUCGCCAUUGCGACACGAAUUAUAUACUUGUAAGCAAUGCUGGACAUCAACUAUCAGUUCAAUGACUUUGAACCCCUAAUUUUAGAUCCAAAGGCAUUAAUAACUAGUCAGAAGCUAAUAAGAGAAGGCAGCAUAUGCCCACAUAAUCUCAUCAGAAGCUAAUAAGAGAAGGCAGCAUAUGCCCACAUAAUCUCAUCUCAAGAAUUGGCCAUUUAGUACAGAGGACCCAUUCUUUACGCAACCUUAGCAACAAUGUCAUAUUAAAAUGUAGUCAAAUUACCUUUUCUUCCCAUCACAGCUAUGGCACAUCCAACUAAAAAGUUGUGUCAUAUUGGACAUGUAAACUUGCCAAAUAUAAAGCUCUGCAUCUAAUUACAAUGUUAUUGUAUUGAAAUGGUGAAACCUUAAGGGUAAUAACAACAAGCUCUAAGUAAAUGUGAAAAUCUUUAUAAUGAACACUUAUAGCAGAUGCAUACUCCACCACCAUCGUAGCAAGAGUGUGAUUGUAAAUAGUUGUAUGAGCCUUGGACCUCACUCUAAGUUCUGCAUUUACUAGUUGAGAAAAAUUCAGAUUAAAAAUGCAGUCCCAAGCUCAUUCAAUUACAAGCAAAGAAGCAAGGCUGUCAUGUGUCUAGCAAACUAUUUCGACAAUCAAGUGGGAGGAACACUUCAAGGAAACAUCAAUUCAAAACAAUAUUUCAGUAAAUUUCUAGCCUUCCUCCUUCGUGAACUUAAAGAACUAUAUAUCAAUGCUAUGAAAGGUGAAUAAGUAAACAACAUAAGGCUCCUCUUUCCCAUAAAGCUACUCCGUUGUAAUCUACAAGCUACAAUCCAUUACUUGAUGGGAGAAAAGUUGAAUAGCCGAUAGUCGAUCACUGUGCGAUACUCGACAAAUUUUAUCCCCAGAGUAGAAACAGCAAGAUGAAAUCUGUAUCGAACAAAUAUAAGGAAAUUCAAUCGAUCUGACCAUAUUCCAGUGGUAGCAUUGAUCCAGACUCGGUAAUCCAAGAGCUUUACAAAUCCAACCAAUUACAACACAAUGCUCACUCAGUCACAUGCUUUGAAAACAUCCAAAUCUACACUAGAGGGAUCAUUCAACAAUAGUUUGCCCACAUUCAGUCAAGCACUACAGCUCUACAACACGGUCAACGAUUCCCCCAACCCUGAAAUGCCUAAUCAGCCAAAUCCACUACACAAAUCUCACUUCCCCAAACUCAAAACCGACGUACUUGAUACUAGAGCCUGUCUAUAUGAACCUUAUCGCAAUCUAGACUCUCAAUCCGAAUUAAGUCAGAGGAUCACAAUCGUAACUGAUUACAUGAACACGAGUUGCAAUGAAGCAUUAUCAGAACCACCAUCACCCUCAGCUCAAACAUGAUCAGUUCCGCUCCACAUUAUUCUGCAAGAGGGACGGAUCAACCAACGUCGUCGAAGGAAGGAAAAAUAAAAAAGAAAACGAUAUCGCGCAACAAAAGAAAUUCCAAUCUCCGCAACCUUUCCAUAUACGCAAAACGAUCACGCGUGAUCAAAUUGCGCGAUCGCCCGGUGAGAUGGAGAGGUCGAUUGUGGUCUUUGUCCGUGUUGCUCGAAUUCAAACCUCGAAUCCUGGUCUUCGUAGCGUUCGUGGACUCUCUAGCGAUUUUCGCGACAAAUGGCGAUCGAAAGCUGCGGUGACUUGGGGGGAAAGGAGGGCGGGGAUGAGGAGUUUACCGAUUUUCCUGAUUUGCUCUCGGGCGCUUGUUCUGUUGGUGGGUAUAUUCGGUGUCAUGUCUGGUGAUUUUGACGUUUCUGUGAGGGCAAUGAAGGAAGUUUCGCUAAAAUGAGACGUGCUCCUGGACAAACUUGCGUUCUCUCUGUCUCUCUUGUUUUGGCACUUCCUUUGGACCUUUGAUGUCUUCAAAUACGCACUUUGACUCAGCUUGGUUCAAUUAGUGGGUUCGAACUAGAAUUAUGAAAAAUGCACCAAAAUUGGAGUCAAUAUUACUUAUUUUUUGUUGAUAUUCAUGGAGGUAUAUAAAGAUGCGGAGUACUCUAGUAUGAUCAUAAGCUUAUUGAGAUAAAUUUUUGCAAUUCCAAGCUCAAAUCUAUCUCAUAACUCGAAUUAUUCAAAAAUUUUCUUUUGUUAAUAUUAUUCAAACUUGGAAAGAAUGCGAUUUGACAUGUGUGAAUCAAGCGGGGCUUAAUUAUGGAUUAUGGAACCACAAUUCAAGAACGCGGCUUAUGAUGACGUAUCGAUUCUUAAAUAUUUUUUGAAACUUUAUAGAAGUGGAUUGAUAGUUUUUAUUUUUUUUAGAUAGAUGUACAUACAAUAGUUUGAGCUAAGUCGUUUUAUCUAAAAUUUACAAAGUAUUUAUAGCGCGAAUAUGAUUGGAUUGAUCACCAUAUUAUAAAAUGAUGCCAUCGCCAUCUCAUAAUUGCUUGAUUGAUAAAUGAGUAGUACAAUCAUAGGGACUGAAAACUUUACUUUAUGUGUAAAAGAUUAUUAAAUAAAAGAAAAAGGUCCAUAAUCUUUGAGAACAAAAGCCAUUGGACUUUUUUCACGGGCUAUGUUUGAAGUAAAAAGAGUUGUGACCUCACACAACAAAAGUCACGUAAUGUCAUUUUAAAAAUAUCAAAGAGUGUUAAAAUAUGUCUCGAGUUUAAGUCCAAUGUGAAAUUUCGAAUAUUCUCAAUUGAAUAUGUUACAGAUGUUCGAAGUUGAGCAAAGAAGAUCCGAAGAUCAACUUCCCAAAGUUUGAAUCUGCGUUGGAGAAUUGAGCCGCUGAAAUAGGAAAGUUCAACUUUGACUUGGAUUUGGAUUUUGUUUAAAAUAUAUAGAGAUAUGUUUUGGAUAAAAUCAUUUUAGAUAGAAAACAGAAUUCUAUGAGAAGUUGGCAAAAGAAUAAAGAUUUUACUUAUAUAUAGACUUGUAACCGUGGGUGGUAAAGGUGGAUCACAAAUUGUCUUGAAGCGCCGCGUGAGUACGUGGUGUUCCGCCGUUGAUCAUGAAGAAAAGUUCUUGAAGCGCUGUCUUGUCGUCGAGUGCUUGGGAGGGAUUUUCUUUGUCAUGAAUUACAUCCAAGGAAGUUUAGUGUUGAAACCAAUUAAAUCUUGCAAUAAGAUUUGCGUGUAAUUCAUUCGUGAGAUUGAGAGAUUAUUUCUUGAGGAAUUUCGGGACUAAACACUAUGUGUGUUAUUGGGUGUAAUUGGGGCUUGGAAAACACCGAAAGAGUGUUUGAGUGACUUGAGUGUGUAAUCUCCUUGUAUUGCUUGAUCUAUAGUGAAAUUCGCUGCCGCUUUCCCCGUGGACACAGGUUUUUACGACUGAAUCACGUAAAUCUUAUGUUCGAUUUAUUUUCUUCUUCAAUCUAUAUUAUUGUUCGAUCGCUCGCCUUUUCGCAAAAAAUAGUGUGAAUGAUUUUUAUUUUUAAAUCACAUUUAGCUCACACAAACAAAAUACUAUAAGAACCCCACCCCAAUGCAUGGUAUACCCGAUGUUUGGUGGCUCCCACAUAUUUAUAUUCACUGUCAAACGUUUAUAAAAUUACAGAAAAAUCAGUACACCAAAAAAAAUUGGAAGUUAAAGAAUAAGUGAAAUUCAAGAGAAAUUACUGGGAAGAGUAAAUUAAUCAAUUUUAUAGAAACCAAUCUUCAAAUCUCUUCCUUUAAUGGUAACAUGUACGCAUCAAUCCCUCAUUCUCCUUAAGUCAAAUUUUAUAAGCACAAAACAAAUUUAAAAAUCACUCCUUUUUUGAUUAGGCUCAUACACCACUCAUUCACUUUGAAAAUAUAAAAAAUUAAAUAAAAAAACCAAAAUUGAACGUGAAAAAGCCGUAAUCACAAUCCAAACCCCAAGCAUGGCAACCCAAUGAUGAAGGGAUCAUGCCAUUUUCCAUUAAUUCGCAAGUUCAAAUAAUGUCGCAAGUGAACUUUUAACCGGUUAGUAUUUCAAGUAUUCAUAACAUUCUAUGGAAAGAUUUUUAAACUUUUGGCAUAUUAGUUACGAUGAUAGACUCGCACACCUAAUGAUGGAUUGAGUGAUUAUGGCUAAGACAAGAUAUUCUAUGGUGAACAUAACAUUUUAUGUAACGAUGAGAAUGGAUAAUCAUAUUGAUCAUCUUUUCCCACAUUUUUUAACUUAUCAAGAAAAAAACAAUUGCAGUCCAUCGGGACUCGGGCGGGGAGGCCAAGUCGGACCUCCCCCAAUCCUUGUGCCGGUGGGUCCAUCCUGCUCGUAAGUCCACAUUAGCUUCAAUUUCCACGGCGGAAAACGAAAGUUCAUUUCCCUCCACCGGCUGGCGGGAAGUUUUCACAUCACCCGCAUAAAAUGAAAACGAAAAAAAAAAACCCGCAAUAAAAAAACUAACACAAAAAUAAUAAUAAUAAUAAAAGUGAAAAACUAUUUAAAACAAAAUUACGAAAAAACGCAAACCCUCCUCUUCGCUUCCUCCAUUUGCGGACACCGACUCUGAUCGAACGACCCACUCCUCCUCUCUCCUCCUCAUCCUCCUCCACUUGUUCAAAUCUUCUUUGUUUAAUUUUUGUUUGUUUAGAUGUUUAGGGGCUUUGAAUUGCUAAUUAACUUACCAAGUGAGGUCAAGUCAAGUUAUAUAAAUUCCAAGUCCAUUAUUUUGUCAAAUUACAAUGUGGUGAUUUAUCUGAGAUAUCUCAUAAAUUGUUGUUCGUUUUACUGAAUUUGAAAUCAGUCGAUGUCCAUGCUUUCUAUAGGAGGACGUUAACUUCAUUAUAUUGUAUACAUUAAAGUGGCCAUUACAAUGUGUUCAAAAGUAUCAUACUAACAGCAAUUUGAAGACGACAAAUAAUCUACAUUGGUAAACGCAUGUCCACUUUCAUUUUUGUUUUUUUUGUUUUUUUCAGGUAAAGCACGGCUCUUUAUUGGAUUCACAAGAGUUGAAGAGAAGGUGUAGUGAUUCUUAAUUAAAUUUUAAAAAAAAAUUCUAGUUACAAAUGGACUUGGUCUGACAUUAUCUGUUGUUGAGGUAAAUCUAAUAUAAUGAUCCAAACCAUUUAGUAUCAAGUGAAUAGAAGUGUGGCAAAAAAAUUUCCAAUUCUAAAAGUAUAACAUGGAAUAAUUUUGCAAUGUUCACAAGUUCUUAUAUUUUUCGCCUCUUUCUUUUCUUUUGUAGUAGAUAAUCCAUAAGCAUUAACCAGGAGACUAAAGAGCCACUCCUCCAAAAACAUUAUUUGAAAUAAAGAACUUUCAUAUUUAAUAUUGGGGGGAGUCAAUAUUCUUUCCCAUCAAUGUUGACAUAAGACUAUGCUCACACAUUGAUUUUGUGUACCAUAUCUUAGUAGUAUUUUGUAUAAUAAUUAGCACAAAGCAUGGAUUUUGUCUAACUAGAUUGCUUUGUGACAAGCAAUUUAUUGACACUAACAAGGGAUUAAAUGCGAAGGAUAGUUUAUCAUGAAAUAAACAUGAUCCUUUCUUUAUUUGAUUGAUUGCUGGGGGGAGAGCUUUGACGUAGAUCAAGCAACAUAAUUUUACUAGGCUUGAUGUUUUGAAGUCAAUCCGGGCCUUGGCCCAAUAAGCCCUUUAAACUAGAUAGACCGGAGUUCACCUUAAUUAGGAUGGGGGAAACGAACUUAGUUGGAAGUUCCAUGUCCGCUUUUGUUGACUUUGACUUUGAAUGAAUCCACCAAUUUUUCUAAGGCCAAAAGUCGAUUCUCAUCUACACAAUUUCUGCAUCAUGUCAACCAGUGAUUUUCCACAUCAAGAAACGUAAAUAAUUGUCGACUUUGAUGGCUUGGAGUGAUGCUUUGAGGAAGCAUCCUUAUUGACAGAUUUUGCAACAAAACUGGCCCAUGACUCUUUGUACGUUCAAUCGAUCACUUGGCUUCUGAGUUCAAAUUCAUUUUUAGUACCUUUAAGAUUAUGUGGGAAAGGAGUAGAAGUCUUGAUAGUUAGGGCCCAUAUAUGCACGAAAAGUCUUUCUUUUCCUUCCAAAGAGUAUGAGUUAAGGUAGUGGUACCCCAUUUGUUUUCUCUUCUUUCUGGAGCUUUUGAGCUAUAAUGGAACUUAUUAUUCUCCAGCUUGGUAGGAUCAUCUGAGAAAUGCAGCUCGGAUACUUAGAAAUGUUACCAUUCUGACAUCUCUAAGUGUCUCUAGAUUCUGAACUAAAGAUCGGAGUGGUUUCCUACUUAAAGGCUGUCCCUGAAGAGCUUGAACGGGAGAGGUUUGCCCACAAUGGGAAGGCAUACCUGCAGGAAACUGACUCCGUCCUCCUAAUUUCAAUUCGAAUGGAAGGAGUAUGAUUUUUAAAAAAUUUGCAAUGAGACUUUUGGAAUUUCGUGAGUGAUAAUCAAAAAUGAUUUUUCAUCAGACAAACUAACCUUAACCUAAAUAAUGAAGAAAGAACAUGAGAGACAAUUUCAUCUUUUGUUUUCUUUCUUUGGGAAAAUGUUACCCUUAGGAAAAAAAUUGUACAAAUGUUUGCAAGCUAAUGUUGUUGAUGAAUCCAGACAAAAAAAAAAAAAAGACGAUAAAUGUCAGAUUUGAAUGGAUGGACCAUAUAAUUGAUGCCAAUGAAGAGAUCCAAAGUGAACAAUCAUAUUACUUUGCAUUAUUUUCUGUCUCGAAAUGGAGAAGAACAUAAGUGAAAUGCACCACCAGCCGCGGUGGCUCCACUGGAUAAGACUCUGUUGAUCCUCAACGAAGAGGUGAAGGGUUCAAAACCCAGGGGAAGCGCUAGGUGUAUUAAGUGUGACUCAGGGGUGGUGAGUCCUCCUACUUAAGUGUCACCUGGGGGUUUACGGCGUGGCUGUCGGCUACAAGCUGGCUCCUCCAAUACCAACAAAAAAAAAAAAAUAAGUGAAAUGCUAAAAAGAAGGUGGACGAAUGUAAGGUCUCAAGCACGUAGUGGAAAAUGACAAAAGAAAAGCAAGAAUAUAAUCCAAUCCAUUCCACUUCUCUUAAAAUGAGUUGAAAAACACUUAUCUAAAAGUAUCGAAUUGCUUGGUCACUAUUGAUCACCAAGAAGAUAAAAUCAUACAAAUGAUGAGUGCUCAAACAGGUAAAAUAAUGAUUAUCGAAAUUUAUGAGAUGGCUGGCAUUGGAAAGAUGAUUAUUGUCAAAAUCAUAUACAAUUAACUUUCACACGAUUUUGGAAAUUGUUGUUUUCAUCCUGAUAUCCAAGAUUUUUCGCGAACAUAACUAGGGAAAGAAAUUCCUAGUGGCCCGGAAAACGAAGAGGGCAAAAUAGGAAGGAGCACUAAUUAAUAAUUUCUUGCCACCGAAAUGCAUCCUCAUGUUUCUAUUUUUUUCCCGCACGGGUUCAAAAUAUUGCCGACAACACAAAGGCAGGCUAAUUUCAAAGCAUGGGCGGGUUUUCUUUCCCGUGUUAGCGGGACCCACUUUUUCUUUUUUCCUUUGCUUUGGUGCCUAAUUUCUUUUCAUCAUCACCUUGCUUUUUUGAUAAGAUUUUCGUUGGAUUCUCGCGGGCCGACUUCGUCGUGAAUGACGAUUGAGGUCCUCUGCGUUAGUUAUUCGAUAGUUGAUUGAUCGGCGGCCACCAUUUGAUCAAUGAUUUUUUUUUUGUCAGCGGCAUUUGAUAAAUGAUUCCAUAACACAUUCAAUAUUUUUCCUGAGAUUUAUAAUGAGAAUUUGUAAAAUAACAUGCGCUCAAAGUUGCACAUGACAGGUGUGGAUUUUCAUUUACUUUUACUUUGAAUGAAUCCACCCAUUUAUUUGGGGGCAAAAGUCCAUUCUACUCCCAAAAUUUUGCACCACAUGGUUCAGUGAUUUUCCAAGUUAAGAAACAUACAUAAUUGUCAACUUUGACGGGCUGGAGUGAUGCUUUAAGAAAUUAUCCUUCUGACCCAUGUUGCAACAAAAUUGGCCCACAACUUUGCAUAUUCACCCUAUCCUUUGGCUUCUAAGUUCAAUGACCUACCGAAAAGUCAUUCAAAAAAUAUUCCCUUUUUAGUUCCUUAAUGUUUCUGCGGCAAAGGAUCAAAAGUCUUGAUAGUUGAUGCCCACAUCUAAUACUAAUAGUCUUUCUUUUCCUUUUAAAAAGAGUAAUUGUUUAGGCAAUGGAAUCCCACCCGUUUCCUCUUCUUCCUAGAGUUUUUGAGUUAUAACGGAGGAAGCUCAAUUUCGAUUCAAAUGGAAGGAGCUUGAUUUUAUAAAAUUUGUGACAAGACUUUUGGACUUUCAUUUUACUAAAACAAGAGUUUAGUGGAGUGCAAUCAAAUUUAAAGCUAUUGGAAAACAAAUUUGAUCUUCUAUUGAUCUCAAUUCAAGGAAUUCGAUACUUCCAUGAGUCUUUUUUGACUUAUCGGCUUGACAUGAUUAAUAAAUUCAAUUUUAAUGUUUUAAAAGAUUUGAGAAUUUAUGAAUUUCGGAGUGGAAACCUUUUUACAUCUCUAAAUUUGGUGAGAUUUUAUUUUUACGCCCUAGCUCCACUACGUGCUUCCUCCAUGUUGUCCUCAUCAAAAUAUCAAUUAGUUUGUUUAAUCAAUAGCUGUACCCUAUCGAGGUCCAAAAGCCUUGUAGGUGCUGGUGCAUUCAGAUUGCUCAUGCACUGGCCCGCAACUUUGAGGAGGUCAGCUCAUCAACUAUGAGGGGCAUGGGGUUAGGUUAGGAUUUUGGAAAAUCAAGGGAUUUGGCACAAGGAAAAAAAUGUGCAGUUUUAAGCUUGUCAUUGAUCAAGCAAACCACCACUUCGGAUCUACAACAUCCGUCAUGGACCAAACUUUGACGGAACGUAUUUUUUUGGUUAUCAUACAAGUUUUGAAUUUUGAUGAUACAAAAAAUAGUUUUGAUAAUCUUUACCAAAAAAAAAAAAGUUUUAAUAAUUGGUAUUGCGAUGAAUAUAAAGGUUAGGAAUUUUUAGGGAACCACCGCUUGCUGUCGUCAAAUUUGCCGGUGACCCAUGGCCAUCACAAGCUCUCAAAUUUGCACGUCAAUCCAUUGGCGUUUUAACGCCUUGCCUGUUGAAGUCUGUCUUCUAUGCCUUCGUCUCUUUUUCUUUUCGCGUAGAGCUCAUAAUCUAUGUCCAUGGAAUUCGCAACCGACAGAAGUUGCUAGCCUCGCACAGCCAUAGAUCUAGGGUUGCUUGGCCGCCGGUGUUGGCCUUGACUUAGUGAGUUUGCUUGAUUUUCUAAACAACGGAGAGAGGCCCUCGGCUUUGUUUAUCAUUAAAAUAAAUACCCAAAAGGAAAAAGAUAAAUAAAUUCCUCAGAUAUUUGGGUCUUUUGGCAUUAGCAAAAAGACAAAAUGCAAUAGAUUUCGAGUGUAGUGAAACAAAGGAAAAGGGGUAGUGAAUGUGGAUGGACGGAGCGGGUGCCGUCAAUUGUCGGUGUUCACAUGCGGUGCUGUCAGCUUUUGUUGACUUGAUUUUGAAUAAAUUAUUUGAGGGUAAAAGUCGAUUCUCAAUCCGAAAUUUCUGCAACAUAUGGUCCGGUGGUUUUCCACGUUAAGAGACGUAAAUAAUUUGUCAACUUUGAUAGGUUGCAGUGAUGCUCCGAGGAAGUAUCCUUACUGAUCCAUUUUGCAGCAAAAUUGGCCCAUAACUCUUUGUAUAUUCACCAAAAUCUUUGGCUUCCGAGUUCAGUGACCUCUAAGCCAUUAAAAAAAAUCUUCUUAUUUUAUGUUUCUGUGGUAAAGGAACAAAUGUCUUGAUAGUUAAGACCUGUUUGUCUCUGUACAAAAAGUCUUUCUUUUCCUUUCAAAAGAAGAUGAGUUUAGGCAAUAAAUCCCACCUAUAUUCUCUUCUUCUCUGAGCAUUUGAGCUAACGGAGGAAACUCAAUUUCAAUUUGAAUGAAAGGAGUCUGAUUUUAAAAGAAUUUGCAAUGAGACUUUUGGAGUUUCGUUUUUACUAAAACAAAAGUUUAGCGGAGUAUAAUCAAAGCUAAAGUUAUUGAAAAACAAAUUUGAUACUUCUUAGGAGUAUUUUUUAACUCAUCGAGCCAUCAUGAUUAAUAACUUCAAUCUUUUUUUUUUUUUCACACUUGGAUUUAUACUUAAAAAGACUUAAGAACUUAUGAAUUUUGGAAUGGAACAAUUUUACACCUCCGGAUCUACGCAGAUUUUGCUUUUUAUCGUGAAACAUGGAAUGUAGUUACCACAAGAUCGAUUUAGAAAAUAGAAAAAUAAUUGCAAAUAAAUGCUAGCCAAUCAAUAAAAAAGUUGAUACUAUAUAAUUUAACUAAAUGGAAAUAGAAUGUGAUGCAUAUAUAUAGUCUUGUGUUGCAUCGAAAUAUGAUCUUGAGAUUAGUCAGUAUGAUCUUGAUAUGGACUCCAACAAUCUAAAACCUAAGCUCCCCGUGCCUUGUCUUAGCGUGGUAUUAGCAUUAGCUACCACUCUCAGAAAGAGAGAAAAGAGGCCUGCCUUGCAUCGAAAUAUGAUCUUGAGAUUGGUCGAUAUGAUAUUGAUAUGGACUCCAACAAUCUAAAACCUAAGCUUCUUGUGCCUUGUCUUAGCGUGGUGUUGGCAUUAGCUACCGCUCUCAAAAAGAGAGAAAAGAGUUAGACAGAACAGCGUGUGGGGGCCGUGCGACUGAAACCAAUGAUUGACCCAAGUCAAAGUCUACGGAGAAUUGGACUACCAACAGUUCAUGAUGGGCCAGCUUGCUCAAGAAGGAAUCGCACCAAUGAUUGACCCAAGUCUACGAAGACUUUGACUACCAAGGGCACACGCUAAAGCUAAAGCAUUGGCGGGACGACUUCUUUUCCACGUUAGGAUGACCCCAUCUUCUUUUUUAUUUGCCGUAUUGCUUCAUUUCUUUUCAUAAUUCGCUCUGCUUUUUAACAAGAAUUUCCUUUAGAUUCUUCAAGGUAGUUUCGCCGUGAAUGACUAUUGAGGUCCCCGGUAGGUUAAAUACUAUAAGAUUUUUGUAAAAUAACAUGCAUUCAACGUGCCACAUAAAAGAUGGCAUUUUAAUUACAACGGCUAGUAAUAUGUGGAUUUUUUUUUUAAAAGUUGUUUAAAAUAUGUGCACUUUUACUCAACAGGUACAAGCUCUUUAUCAUUUGAAGUUUAACCAAUAAAUAUAGAUUAUUUACAAGUAAUUUAAACAAGCAUACUUAAAUCGAUACAUUAAGUCAUGUGAUCAAAUCAUAAUGUGCCAAGAGUGUUUUUAGACUUAUCAAGUUAUUGUGAUUAAUAACUUCAAUCUUAAAUGUUGUUUUUGGUCACACUCGUAUCUACACCGGAAAAUACGGAAAAUACUUAAGAACCCAUGAAUUUUGGAAUGGAACAUCUUUACACCUCCAGAUCUAGUGAGAUUUUGUUUUCUAAUGUGAAACAUGGAAUGUUUAAUUACGUCAAAAUUGAUUUAGAAAGUAAAAAAAUACUUGCAAACAAACACUGUGUGCUGAAAAAUACGUUGACUUUUAAAUAGUCUAGCCAACUGUAUCAUCAAUUAAUAGAAAAGUUGAUACAAUCUAAUUUAAUUAAAUGGAAAGUAUGAAAGUGCCGCAUAUAUUUAGUUUUUGCAUUGCAUUGAUAUACAAUCACUAGAUUACGAAUUGCAUGAGAUUGGUUGAUGUGAUCUAAAAGCUAUGCUUCAUGUGCCUUGUUUUAAUGUGGCAUUAACAUUAGCUACCUUUCUUAGGAAAAAAAAAGACAGAACAGCGUACGGUUGGUGCAAGAAGACUGAAACAUCACGGGAUCAUAGGGGCAAAGUCAAAAGUCUACGAAGACUCAUGACGAACCAGCUUUGCUCUAAAAAGGAAUCACAACCAUGAUUCAUUCAUUUGGUAACUUUCUCCCUCAUAGUUAUACUUCCAUAAGCGUAGGGAUUUUAUCAAAAAGAAGGAAAAAGAUGUCACUAGAUCAUUAUGUAAAAUCCAAUGACGACUCAUCGUUCUCCCAUGCACCCGUAAAAUUUACAUGUAACAAAUCGAUCUCCAAUUCUCAUAUUCAUCGCACCAUUUCCUCUGGUCAUAUACCAUCACAUGAAAAUUAAAAAAAAAAAGAAAAUUUUUAGGGAGUCAAUCUGGCUAAGAAUUUUUUUGUCGCGGGAAAAUGCUUUUAGGAAAUUCAAUUUUAGAUAAAGGGAAUCGGAAGAAUUUGAUUACAAUGAAAACAAGUUAAAAUAAAAAAAAAAAAACUGAUUUUAUCAUAAUUGGUAAUAAGCGACUCCACUAAAUACAGCUUAUAUCGUCAAAAGUAUCAUGGAAUGACUAAUAAACUAGAAUUGAUAUUACCUUCAUUUAUUCUAAAAUCCAUCAAAAUAACAAUGAUUACAAAGAAAUUAAGAAAGAAAUUAUGAAACCAUAUUUGUAAAUUAUAGAUUUGAUCGUGCUUUGGGAAUGUAGAAAAAUUGAGCAUUAAUAAAGUAUAGUAACUUUGAAGGAUAGCAAGAAAAUAAGGGUAACGAUUCUUUUUGGCCAAGUUGUUUUUCUCUAAACUUAUUAUUUUUAGGGUUAAUAUCACAAAAAAUCCCAAACUGAUACACUCUUGCUAAAUUUAUUCUAAACUAAUUUUUUGACCACAAAAACCCAAAAUGGCAUAUUUGUGACAAAUUUAAUUUCCAUUCAUUUAUGUUAACUUGGAUUGAUAUUAUGAAAAAACGCAAAUUAGUACACAUGUGACAAAUAAAGAGUAAAACCCCAAACUGAUACAUAUAUUAAUUGUCAAAAUUUGAUGUCUACUGUUGUUCACUUUAACUUUGAAUGAAUCCACGAUUUAUUUGGAGGGCAAAAGUAGAAUGUAAUCCCAAAAUUUUUGCACCACAUAGUCCAAUGAUUUUUUGCGUUAAGAAAUGUAAACAAUUGUCAACUUUGGGAGGUUGAGCGAUGCUUCAAGGAAUCAACCUUAUUGACCAAAUUUUGCAAUAAAAUUGGCCCACGACUCUCUUUGCAUAUUUAUCCAAUCCCAUGGCUUCUAAGUUCAAUGACCCACCCAAAAGUCAUUCAAAAAAAUCUUUCCUUUUUAGUUCCUUAAUAUUUAUGUGGCGAAGGAACAAAAGUCUUUGAUAAUUAAGGCCCGCAUCCAAUAUGAAAAGUCUCUCUCUUCCUUUAAAAAGAAUAUGAGUUAGGCAAUGGAUCCCACCCAUUUUCUCUUCUUCCCUAGCUUUUGAGUUGUUGGAGGAAGCACAAUUUCAAUUCGAAUGGAAUGAGUUUGAUUUAAAAAAAUUUGCAAUGAGACAUUUGGACUUUCGUUUUACUAAAACAAAAUUUUAGGGGAUAUAAUCAAAGCUAAAACUAUCGGAGAACAAAUUUGAUCUUCCGUUAGUCUCAUUCGAUGAAUUUGAUACUUUUUUAAAGUCUUUUUUUUUUUUUUAACUCGUUGAGUUAUCGUGAUUAAUAACUUCAAUUUUGAAAUUUCUUUUUGUCAGGUUCAAAUGUAUGUUUGAAAAGACUUAAAAGCUUAUUAAUUUCGAAACAAAACAAUUUUAUACCACCAAAUCUAGUGAGAUUUUAUUUUUCCUUUUCGGCUCCUCCCCACCAUGUUGUCCUUAUCAAGUAUCAAUAGGCUCAAAUUAAUCAAUAUUUGUACCAAUUGAAAUCCAAAAGUCUUGCCGGUGCUGGUGCAUACAGAUCACUCAUGCAAUUACGAGGAACUUUGAGGAGGUCUUUUAGAAUGACCACAGCUAUGAGGUUUUGAGGUUUUGAGGGUUUUGGACAAGUGUGAGUAGAGCAGUGAUAGAUCUAAUCUUUUGAUAUAAGAACAUGCUUACAGUUGCAAACUGUAAUUUUUUUAUUUAUAGGUUUUGUCUUGUUUUGCAGUUCUUUUGGGAUUUGUUUGCUUGGAAGUUUUCUAUCUUCUUCCUAUAUUUGAUUACGACAGAUAAAAAAAAAUUCUUUCUACCAAAAAAAAAGAAAAAUCCAAACUCAUGUAUACCAAUGGAUAACGUGGGUGCACGAGUUGGGUUCACAUGUGUCGGUGCACAGACAAUACCCCCUCGAUGUAUAGAGACGGAUAGAGAGAGAGAGGGAGGGAGAGCGUGCUAUAUAAUAUGUACAGGCAAAGACGCGAGUGUAAAGUAACCCGCAGAGGCAGGACGAGUUAAAAUUCAAUAAUACAAAAAGAACGAGAGAGAAAGAGUUUCUUUUAAUAUUUUGUUUUAGUCACCGGAAGCAACUCAAUUGCUCCCCCUUCUCUUUAGAAAAUCCAGGGUUUUCUACCAGAGCCUGGGCUUCCGCCGGAGCUGCUGCUGAAGUUGUGCGCGCAGAUCUCGCGAACCCAAACGCCACCGCAGUGCAGCUGAUCGCUCCCUCCGUCGAGCCCCGGCGAAGGAACCCGUCGAUAUUUCUCCUCGAUAGCUCCUUGCCGCAAUCGGAGCCAGAUCUGAGGUGAGUCUCCAAGGUCCCCACUUUUUGGUGUUUAAAAAGAACCCUGGCAUUUUGGCAACUUUGAUUGGCCGCAAUGAAUCAUUUUUAGUUCAGAGAUCUCAUGGCUUGGAAGGAUUUACCAUAUCUGGCUGCCGCUGCUUUUGCUGCUAUCCUGUUUCGACUUUUUUCUCGAGGAGCAGAUCAAGCGAGAUCGAUGGAGAGGAGUGCAAAGAGACGGCAAGGAGAGCAAGCGAGAUCAAUGGAGCGGGGUGCAAAGAGACGGCGCACGGGUGGAAAUGAUGGAACAGCAGGAGGCGCUUCUUCUACUCACACGUCAACAGAAGGUCAAGAAGUGGCUACUUCAUCGGGAUAUGACUAUGAAGUAUUCUUGAGCUUCAGAGAACCAGAUACUGGAGCAGGUUUUACCGACCAUCUUUACACUAGAAUGAUAGAUAUGAGAAUCCGCGCAUACAAGGAUGAUGAAGAUCUCUCAAAGGGAGAAGAGUUUGGCCCAAAACUUCUCCAAGCAAUUGAGCAAUCGAAGAUUUCAAUGCCUAUCUUUUCGAAAGGUUAUGCCUCCAGCGUAUGGUGUCUCAAAGAGUUAGUCAAGAUGGUCGAGUGCCAAAAAACAAAGGGACAAAAGAUCAUGCCCAUUUUCUAUGAUGUGGCACCUUUAGAGGUUCGACACCAAACUGGGGGUUAUAGAGAAGCCUUUCGAUCACAUGAAAAAAAUAAGCGACAUGAUGAAAAGAUUGUGCAAGAGUGGAAGAAUGCUCUCAGUGCAGUUGCGGCAAUAAACGGGUGGGACCUGCACAGCCAGACCAAAAGGUGACUUCUCCUAGCAUGCCAUCUCAAGUCCAUUAUAUCAUUAGAACUCAAUGCAUUUCAUAUGGUUUCUUUUCUGGAUUUGUGUUGGCCUUGUUGAAACUGAAUUCCGUGUUAUUGAAGUUAUACUGCAUAAAUCAACUUUUUCCCAUUUUUUUACCAUUUUUUUCAAGCAACAUUUUUUUUUUCCAGUUCACUUCAUUUAAGUACCGGCGCCAUUUCAUCUACAAUGGAAUAAAUCCUUAAAGUAACACAUUUCGAAUUCAAUUUGGUCUUCUCAGAAUUAGUUUAAUGUUCACACAAUUUUCUAACCCAUUGUCUUUUGCCUCCAAAUAACUCUAGGCGAGAAGGUGAGUUUGCAAGAAAAAUUACCCAGAAGGUUUUCAAGGAGUUGAAAAAGCCUUAUCUGGCAGUAUCAGAGUGCUUGGUUAGUGUCGACAACCACGUGGAUGCAAUCAUGGAAAUGAUAGGUGCUGGGACAAGUGAAACACGAAUUGUAGGAAUCCAUGGGAUGGGUGGCAUCGGAAAGACAACUACUGCCAAAAUGAUCUACAAUAAGCUUUUAGACAACUUUGAAAAUUGUUGCUUUCUUCAAGAUAUUCAAGAAACGUCAAAAGGUAAUGGCAUUCAAUGCUUACAGAAUCAGCUCAUCUCUGUCAUCCUCAAAAUAAAAUGCAUGGAUAUAAAAGACAUUCAUGAAGGAACUCAGAUGAUUAAAGACAGGUUGUCUAAUAAAAAAGUCCUCCUUCUUCUUGAUGAUGUGGAAGAAGAGAAUCAUAUUAAUGCACUUGUAGGUAAACGUGAUUGGUUAGGCAGAGGGAGCAAAAUUAUUAUUACUACAAGAAACAAAGAUAUUCUUGAGGUUCCUGAAGUGGACUGUAGUUAUGAGCUUAGCGGCAUGGAUCUUGAUCAAUCUCUUCAACUAUUUAGUAGACAUGCCUUCAGAAAAGAUUAUCCUUUGGAUGAGUAUAUCGACCAAUCCAAGAGGGCAAUAGGCAUUGCUAGAGGUCUUCCACUAGCUCUUGAGGUCAUAGGCUCACGUUUAUGUCGCACUAAAAAGGAAAAGUGGGAUCUCACAUUGAAGAAGUUGGAAAAUGUUCCUCAUGCAGCAGUUCAGAGUAAGUUGAAAAAAAGCUAUGAUGCAUUAGAUGUUUGACAACAAGAUGUAGCUUGUCUUUUCAUCGGAUAUAACAAAGACAUUGUCGUUUAUUUUUGGGAUGAAUCUAAAUUUCCGGAAGAAGCCAUUGAAGUUUUGCAAAACAUGUCUUUGAUAAAUAUUAUAGAGUAUAAUAAAGUGUGGAUGCAUGACCAACUCAGAGACCUUGGAAGAAAAAUAGUUCGUCAAUAUAGUAAAAUAAAAAUAGAGAAGUAAAGGAGGGUGUGGAAUCCCAAGGAAGCAUUGGAUUUGCUAAGGAGAUAUGAGGUAAAAUCCUCCAUACAAUAAAUCUCCAAGUUACUCAUGAACAUUUUCUUUUAAAAAAGUGCAGUUACUUUAUGUAUUCUCUAGCACCAUUGUGACCCACUCAAUUAAUAUUUUUGCUCUUUUAAUAUUAGAUGAAUGGUGAUACUCAACUCAACCCCUUAAAAUGGUGAUCUUGAAGCGUUUCCCUUCAGCUUUUUUGUUCUUAAAUUUUUCUUUUAGGCAAGGAAAAAAAGAAGUUGAAGCUCUUCGUCUCAAGUUUUACCGUGAGGGGCAGUUCCAUUUUACCUAUGAGGACUUUAAGAACCUUUCAGAUCUAAGGUUUCUUCAAGUUGACGGUUGGGCAAAUUAUUUUGAUGCAGAAGAGAGGCUUUUUUGGCAUGAAUCGCCAUUAAAUGUUCUUCCAACUAAUGUUUUCUCGGAGAAUUCAAAUCUCCUUCCAUAAUUACGAUGGCUUUCUUGGCGUGAUCUUCCCCCAAAAAUUAAGAUUACAGAUUUCUCUAUGGAGGAUGUGGUUAUUCUUGAUUUGUCUCAGAGUAACAUUACGCAUGAUUGGUAGGGAUGGAGCCACAUGAAGGGUUAUCAUAUUCCAAAGUAAUCUUGGCAUCAUUUUUCUUCUCAUAGGUGAUGAAGAAUUUGAAAGUUCUGGAACUACGCCUUUGUUUUAGCUUGGAGAGAACCCACAACUUCUCUGCUCAUACAAAUUUAGAACACUUGCUCCUAUGCGACUGUUGGAAUUUAGUCGAAAUUGACAAGUCGAUUUGUCAAUUGAAACGCUUAGUUUCCUUAAAUUUAUAUGGAUGCGAAAAACUUCGAAGCCUCCCAAAAGUUGUGGGUGGAGAUCUUGCAAGCCUUGAAUACCCAUCUCCGAAACAGUGCAAUUCGUUGGAGAGGCUUCUAGAUACAAUCGGAAAUUUGGAAUCGCUGAUUGAGUUGGAUCAAAGAACUACCCAAUUCUAUCAUAAAGUGGAAAAAUUUGAAAGUAUUGAAUAUGAUGAAUAGUGCCAUAAGCAAAAUACGCGAUGCCCUCUGGAUGAUUGUGACCCUUGAAGAAAUAGAAUUUGAAACUAAGCAUGCUUUCGAUGUGGAAAUUGGCGAUUGCAUUUGUGAAAAUCAAUGCCUAAGAAUCUUGAGAUUGAUGAUUGUUAGAAUAUACAAAGUACCAACACUUCCCAAAAGUCUCGUCAAUCUGGAGUUGCAUACAUUGUACAUGAAUACGUUUCCAAAUCAUUCAAACCUGGUUAAUUUAGAGAUACUGAAGCUGGGGUUUGGCCCAUGUAAUGAUGGUGGGGGAUUUGGUGGGCCUGUGGAAGGAUAUCCAACUCCAUGGUGGAUGGAGAAUUUAAGCAAACUAGAGUUCCGGACCAUCCAAUAUUUUCUCGAGUUUCCGGACCAUCUCAAUAGUGUCCGUCCUCGACUUAAGUCACUUAAACUUGAGGGCGCUCAUCUGCAUUGCCUCCCGAGCCUUCCCUCCACUUUAUCAACCUUGAUGUUUUACUCUAAAUUUGUGACCACCCUACCCACAGAUAUUAUAAGUCUUCUUUCCCAACUCAAGGAUCUUUCACUCAAGUGCCCUAAUCUCGGUUGCCUCCCAAGCCUUCCUUCCAAUUUAUCAGCCUUGGAUUUGGAGUCUAGAUACAUUACCACCUUACCCAAGGAUAAGAGUAAUCUGCGUUGCCUCCCGAGCCUUCCCUCUAGUUUAUCAGAGUUGCGGUUGACCGGUUGCAAGUCAUUAUCUUCCCUGGGGGAUCUAUCGAAUUUGAAGGGACUUUCAUAUCUUUUCAUCGAUGAUUGUGCUAUCUCAGACAUUCGAUGCCGUGAUCCUUUGGAGAACCUAAAACAAUUGGAGCUUUGGAAUCUCAACAGGUUGAGACUUUACCUUCUCUACGUAAUUUCAACAAACUAGGUUUUCUUCAUGUAUUAGAAUGUGGUAAUCUGGUUGAGAUUCAAGGCGAACUACCACAAUCUUUGGAAGAAUUGAAGAUUUGUGGAUGUGGAUCUUUAAAGGAGUUGCUGAUCUGUCACGCUUGAAGGGACUGAAAAAGGUUAAAAUAAAGUGUUGCGGGAAUUUAAACAUGGAGGCAAUUUCUUCGCUUUGCUUGGAGAAGUCAGUUGAAUUUGGGGAAGAAGACAGUGAUGACGAAUCCGAAUCUGAGCAAGAAGAUGACGAAUUUGAAUCUGAAUCUGAGGGAGAAGGCAACGAGUACGAGGAAGAAGACAACGAAUCUCAAUAUGAGGAAGAAGAUAACGAAUGAGUGCACGAUCUUUUGAAAGCUUCUUGAUCCACGUCCACAAAUUGUUCCCUUGUGUUCAAGCUUCAAACGGAUUGAGUAAGUCAAUUCAUCUGACAGUCAAUGUUUUCCCUUUUCAGCAAUGUACUUCUUUCACGGAUAUGAAUGGUGAAGUUUCACAUGCACUUUUUAAUUAACUUUUCUCGAGUUGAUGGCUGCAAAUCUGAUAAAGGCAUUGAAGUUACGUUACCUCUGUACAACCAAAGGGUUGUUAAUUACGUACAAAUAUCCGUUCUCUUUUCCUAGUUUGGUUUUUCUUUUUAGCUAUAUUUUUUCUCGGAUGGUUUCUACUUGCUUUUAUGUUUCCCAGCUGAAGGUAUGUAUGUCGAUUGCAUCGUUUUUAUUUGAAAUGUAACAAUUUUUUAGAGAUACUUGUCAAUUUGCUGCUUCACAUAUUUCGAAGUUGAUAACCUUGCCUUGCAUUGAAGAUAACUUUGUUAUGCUGUAAACAAUCCGAUGGAAUGGGUGUUGGAAGGCCAUAUAGCUGCAGUUCUCAUCCUGGAACUUUACAGCAUAAUCAACUCAUCGAUGCAAUUGUGAAGAAGAUAGACACUCUCUAUUGAUAUGCUUAUGUUCAGUUUAUUUUCCAAGAAAGGUGUGCUUCUUAGUGGGAUUUGCAAAUGUUAUGGAGAAGUUAUAAAAUGAAGAAAGACGGAUUUCACUUGGGUAGCGGCAUCAACAGUUCGCGCAUCAAACUUCCAUCUGUGACAGGAGAGAGGAGCUACUUAGCUUCUCCGAUGUAUCAUAAAUCAUCUUAUAGUCAAAAGCUAAUAUUUCAGUAUUCCUGGUGCAUAGGACAUAUGAUGAGUCUUGCUGGGGUCAAAAAUCAUGUAAGUGGACUCUCGUAUGAUAUCCAUCAUUGCCUACAUCUUCUAGAAAUGGUUAAACCUAGGUGAUUAUCUGUAAUAGAAGCCCAUCCAUUCACAUCAAGCUAUACUAAAGGACUUUUAGGUUUUGAGUUUGACAAGAACUGUGAAGGGAGACAUCUCAAACGACCAGCUUUUUGCCGGUUUCUAAUGUUGCUGAGAGGUUUUAGAGUUUGAGAAACUUACAUAAAUCUUUGCAGGGAGCUGUGGCUAAUUAGGCAUCUAUACAAAUGAAGACUAAAUGAAGGAAAAUGAAGAUGACAUUUACUGUCGCCUGAGUUUCCUUUCACAAUCUUGGGGGCGGCAAACUGUGCAUCCAUUUGUCGAGAGACAGAAACUUGAAGAUUAGGGAGGAAAGUCGUUGCCUAAUGAUGAAAUUGUCAAAUAUGUUGAACUCGAUGUUAAGUUUCAGUUGAAUUUUUGGCACUUUUUUUCUAGAGCAGGGCAGGGGGGAUUCAUUGUGCAAUUCGUGGCAUCGUACAUAAUGUUUUUGGGGGGUAAAAGGGCUAUUUAAGCAAACCCGAUAAUUUAUUAAUCUUUUUUUGUGGGGCCAGAGAAUGAAUAUUGCACUUCAUCUGCAUGUGUGUUCUCUUCAUUGACAUGCAAUAGAACUUGCUUAUCAGUACACAUAUAUUCCUUUGCGAGGAAACACUUGAAGGGCUUGUCUGGACAGGGUGAAAAAUUGUGUGUGCUUAAAGAAGUGUUCACGGUAUUGCCUGCCAAAAUCAGUUCAUGGACUUCUUGAUGUGAAAAUGGUGCUCAAGGUAGUUUUCCUCGUGAGUAUGAUGGGCACUCACAGCACAAGAAACAGGAAUUGUUGGAAUUCAUGAAAUGGACAGUGGAUGUCAGUUGAGUCUCACCAAAAUGAUCUACAAUAGUCUUCGCAUGGUUUUGAGUACUGUUGCUUUCUUUCUAACAAUCGUGAUACUUCAGAGCUCAAGGGUAUUCAGUACUUAAAGAAUCAACUCAUCUUUUGCAUCCAUAAGUGGAAAUUUACUGAAAUAAGUAAUGUUGAUGAAAGGAUCAAGACAAAUGAAAGAUAGGCUAUCUAGUAAAAGAGUUCUCUUCCUUUUUGAUGAUGUUGACAAGAAGAAACAAUUGAAUGCACUUGGGGCAAAUAUCUAUGAUAUUCAGGCAUUACUGAAUUUUUCGACGCUAAGGACGCGAAUAAUAACCAUUCUGGUUAGAAAUUUAUUUCUGGAAAAUAAAUAGAUUUUUCUAUUUCUAUUUAUAGAUGAGUUUUUAAGCAAAAAUAACUGUUUGACAACGAUAUAAAAUUUCUACUCUAAAAAUAGAAAUUCAUUUGAUAAUGACAAAAAAUUUCUUCCUUUCGGAUGGCGACGGAUUGACAGAUGGCGAUGGACUGGCGAUCAGUGGUAGGGCAGUGACUGGCGGCUGGCGGCGGUGGCGGUGAUCGACAGCCGGUGGUCAGCGGCAAUGGAUGGUGAACACAAUAAGAAGAAUUUUUAUUUCUCAUUUCUAUUCCAGAAAUAAAAAAAAUAGAAAUUUUCUAUUUCUGAUUUCUAUUCUAAACCUAUUUCUGAAACAAAAAUCUAUUUCAUAAAUAAAAAUUUGGAAUAAGUUUAUCAAACGGAUUUCUAUUUCAGAAAUGAGUUUGGAAUAGAAAAAUUGUUUCUGGAACAGAAACAGUGUCAUACACUCCCUAAGCAUCAAGUGCCGAUGGAUCUCGAGAUUUUUAGUGCUUCACGUUGUUCAUCACUGAAUAUAAUCUCUUCCAUUGGUUACUUGAUAUCUCCAUCGAGGCUAUCCUUCAAAACCACCACAAUUACACAACUUCCUAUGUCGAUUCAAGCUCUUACAAGCCUUAAAUACUUGUCUUUGAAAGAAUGUAGAUGUAUACAGAGGCUUCCAAACUCGAGUGGCAAUCUACAAUGGCUAAUUGAGUUCAAUAUCUCCUACAUGUGCAUUAAAGAGCUACCUACUCGAUGGGAAACAUGAAAAGUUUGAACGUUGUGAGGACGAAUAAUUGUUCCAUUGGAAAGAUACCUAGUGCCUUAUGGUUGCUGUAAAAGCUUCAAGAAAUAGAUGCAGCAAGGUGAAACCUUGCAACUGGAACUAUAAAUGAAAUUAGUAGAUAUUCCUCUUUGAGGAUCUUGAAAUUGACACUGAUUUAAGCAUGAUGAGUACAAGUACCAAGGCUUUCUCGUCUGUUUACACAUUGAUUCAUCAACGAUGACACAUUUUAGAUUUCUUAAACCUCACUAGUUUAAAUGAUUUGUAUUUGGGCUAUUUGACGAGAUGCUUAGCCGUUGACAGUUGUCCACUUGUGGAAGAUCCCAUGCCAUGGUGCAUUGUGAGAUUAAAUAAAGUGGGGUCUUUGACCUUCUCAUCUGCUGUUGUAAUUACUUGAUCAACAGACAUUGGUAAGCUUUCUCUACUCAAAAGACUAGAACUCCGAUGUGCUAAUUGUCUGCGCCUCUAAAGGCUUCCCUCAAGUUUGUCUUAUUUAUCUGUUGAAUCUUGUUGGUGGAGGAGAACAACGAUGGAUCUCUCAAAUAUGAAUAGACUAUCAGAACUAAGAAUGGUAAAAUCUGCAAUAACAGAGAUUUAAGCCCUUGACUAUUUGAAGAAUCAUGAAUUCCAAAACUCUUUGAUCUUGAAAAGGGAGAGUUUCCUUAAUCCGACUCAUUUGAAGAAGUUGAAGUUAGUUGCAAUAGAUUAUUGGAGCAAUGUGGAUUUUGCUCGUUGCAAAUUACCAGAAUCUCUGGAAGAAUUAUUGAUUGGAGGCCCUGCCAUACCUGAUCUAAGUUGAUCGGGUCUAAAUUUUUGGCAAAGAGGGGAUAACAAGUGUGAGGCCUGACUGUUUCAACUUGAAGAGGUUCAAAUGAUGCAAUGUCUAGCAUUGCAUAGGAGAUUCGUCCUCGAAAAAUUUAGAAGACAUGCUCUACACAGGAAUACAUUUUCCAAUAAGAAGUGCGUGUAGUUCUUGAAAGGUCAAACAUUUACAACCAAAUAAGUUGUCAAGAAAGCUCUGAAACAUAAACAAAUUGCUUAUUGGCCUAGGUCAUUUUAGCAAGCUUCAUUAUUGUUUUCCUGGAAUUGUGUUCUUUAUACUAAUUAGACUCACAAUUUGGCAAAUUCAGUUGAAACUUGCAUCCUUGUGUAGAGCAUGUCUUCCAAAUUCACUUAAAUACUGGCCUUUUUGCAACCACUUUCUAUUUUGAAGAUGGAUGGCUGCAAAAUGCUCAUGAAAUGGACCAUGGUUUCUUUUGAUCUAUUUCAUGAGUUAGAUUUGGUUUAGAGAUAUUCCCUUUCGACGAUUUUGGUUGGUGAAUAAAAUUUCUGGUAAAAUACAAGUCAAAUUGAUGCUAGUUUACUAUAGUCAAGGGCACUAAUCUUGUCAAUUUACACAUUGGUCUUUUAUGUGAGAUCCUUGAACUUGCUCAGUUGUACAAUUUGAAGCUGAUAGCCAUGCCCUGUAAAUAUUAACUUCGUUACACCUUUAACAAUGAAGGAUGUAUCCAGGGUGUAGGUUUUAAUCAGAGAUAGAAGCUGUGUCAUUCACCUUUUGGUUAUCCUUGAAAUGGAGCUUUAGGUUUCAACAUUGAUAAGGAGAACCACUGUCCCACAAAAGUCCCACAUGACAGCCUAAGCUUUUUUUCUCUUGGUAACAAGAUAAAUUUACGGGGUCUUUCUAUGCGAGUAAGCUGUGAUUAACUCAAUUAAUGCAUAGAAUUGACAAUUAUCUCACCAAGUAGAGGAAAAUAUACAUAAGAUGACAAUAUUUUUUUGCCAAUGCUGGUCUCUUGCACAAUGUGCUUUGAAUGGUCAUAAUUAGCAAUAUAUCCUUUGAAAUGAUGAAGGGAAUUUAGUUCUUCAGCUUUCCACUAAUGUUAGUUCCUGUAUAUCAAGGAAAAAAAUGCAAAAGCUUACAACUCUCGUUCCGGAGGCUGAUCAGUGUUACAUGUCAAAGCCAAGAUGACAUAAAUUGUUUACUCCUAAGAGUUAAGAUUGAGCAAAGGUUGCCAGUGGAAAUGAUGCAAGACAAGGUCAUCAUCUGCUUCCAAGAUGGAUUGAUGUAAUAAUUAAUCAGCAUAACUCCCUGCCAGACAACAGUUGAAGUACUUGCGCCAAGAAGUCUUUAGUGACAAUGUGCCUAUAGUAGAAGGUGAGGUCACAGAUGGAGAAGUGGUCUCCCAAGGCACUCUUUGCUUCACCUUAUAAAAACGGUUAAGUCUGGUAAACAAAGCCACGGGCCAAGAUAAGACUGAGAGGUCAACUAGCGAACGCAUUCAUUCAAUAGAAAUCACGGAGUUGUAUAAACAAGAAUGACACAUUCAACUUCGCACUAUUUACAUUCAGAGUAAAUUUGAGUAGAGCUCUUAUGUGUCUUGUGAUGGAUGUGGCCAACAGAUUGAUGGAAUCCAUUUCAUAACCGUCAUCACAGAGGUCCCUGAUAAUCUUUGAGAAACCAGGUGCUGACCUGGGAGCAUUUUAACUGAAGUUGCUCUUGGCAUCGGAGUCAGAAGGCAGCCUCAAUGUGGAAGCAGAAGGAUUCCCAGAAAAGAAAAGAUUUCCUUUGACGUCUUCACCUCCGUAUUCCUUCAACCGCGCGUCCAUUAUGAUUUUGCAUGAUCCCCAUGUCUCAGCCAUUAAUCCCACGCCAUAGUAGACUAAAUGGUCCGAGAUACUGUUACCAGUUACCAAUCUGCACGGAUGCACCCUCAUCAGUCAUCCAUGUACAUUCUCUAGAACAAGCUGGUUUGUCAUGACUUAUUGCGUCUAGCAUGACAAAUCCACAAACUAAUUGCUUGAACAAGUAGCCAUGACUGAAACUACCUCAUUACCUGCUACAUGAUGAGUCUUCUCCAGAGCCGUCACAAACUUUCUCGACCUGAUAAACCAGACUACCAAAUCCUAUAUUAUACAGCCAUACCUACAAAAGGGAACAUCCCAAUUACAUGUGAACAUUGACAUAGAAAAGAUUAUGAGUAGUCACCAGAGAAACAGUUGGAAUCAAAUCAUUUUCACUUUAUCUCACAUCAAUAUGUUUAUCCGUGGCUGUCUUUGAGCUAGUCGCCAAUAAUCAUAAGCAUUAGUAGACAUACAAUAAUUAAAAUGCGUAUAAUUGCACAUAAAUUAAGACUAAGUCAAGACUAGGUUAUCAGCCAUCAGGAAAAAGAGAAAGAGAAUAUAUAGCAAACGUUAUUAUGCGUCUUAAACUUUCAAAUCAGUAUGAAAAAACUCAUGAUGGCUUUUGCAGGAAUGAGAGUUACUCAAAUAUUUCUCAGAAGUCAUGAGCACCACAAACUACCCUGCUUUGCUAAGAUGAAAAACAAAAAACUUAUUUUUCUAUGCUGAAAAAAGAGAGUACAUAAAUUGUUGGAAUAAAUGAGAAUUAGAUGGGUUGGAAGAAAUGCAAAGCAAACGUCAAAGUCAAUCAGCAACAAUUCCCCACAACAUAGAUGAUAUUCCACCAAGAUCAAAGCCUUACCUCUCUAGGGAAGUGAUGGUAAGUCUUCUGUGGGAACCGAGAAUAGUAAGGAGGCAAAUGAGGCACAAUAUCAUGUCCAUUGGUAAUACGUAUUGCAUUUGGCACAGGUCACUGUAGUAAGAUGCAAACACUGCAUUGCCAAUACAAGGUUGUCCAAAUGUUAAAACCUGAACAUUCCGUGCUUCAUGAUUGACCUGGAAAUGAAGCAUCCCCAGUUAAGCAGCAGGCGAAUAACAGCUUCAGCACACAUAAUUAGACAGCCAAAUAACUUGAAUUUUAACACAUCAAUGGCCCUGUCAGGAUGGGCAAAAUAAAAAAAACAUUGUGCAUCAAAAACCAUAUAUUGCAUUUCAUAUACAAUGGUGAACAAAAGAGCAUCCCUUUCUCUCCAUGAGGUUUGAAGGUCUAGCGUUACUCUGCAAAGUUCCCAUCCACAAUUUUCCCAACACCAAACCCAACACCCACAAUAAAACCGACCCUACCCUCAGCUUCAAGAAAAGAUGUUAACAAUAUGAAAUAGUGGGAUUGGGGGUGAAUUCACAAUCGAGGUGCAUUUACAUGCUGCCACAAGAAGCAAUUGGAUGUUGGUGGCAUGAGUCACAUCCUGCUAAUGGCAUAAACAAAAAAUUCCAGGUUCACAGUGAAAAUGCCCCUUGAACUCCAAAACUUAUGUCAUAAAUAGUAAAGGAGAAACUAAAUCAAAAUAAGGGCCACAACGCAUGGGCAUGAUGUCACAGUCAGAUAAGAACAAUUUUCAAGACGAAACCAGAAAACAAGUAGUAAAAUUUUAAAAUCAUUUGUGUUAGGACAAGAUGUCAUGCUUGCUACUUGUACUUCAAGAAAAGGUAUAGUCUAAAGUGUAUGCAACCUAUGAUCCUAUCAUAGGCCACAUGAAUGUUUGACUCUCAAGAAAUCACCAUUCCUCAUGGAGAGAGAACAAUGGGACACGACUUUGCGGUGUGUACCAUUUCUGGUACCAGUCCCACAACAGGUGCCUAGAAAAGUACACUGGACCACUAUUUAACAAAGCCGAGACGAAAAGCAUAAUUUAGACAUCUUAGAAUUGGCUCCAACCUACGACAUAUCUACCCAGCAGUCCGACUGAAGAGGGGCUGCUUCAUUUGAUUAGGAAGAGACAGACAGCAACAGCACACAAAACACAAACUUGGGCUCGAUAUAUAAUGUAUCUUAAAAUUGCUUAGCUCUUUAAGAUUACAACACAUAAAAUUUGAGCUUCAAGUGCCUAAAAAAGUUAUAUGUCUGGACCAUAAACAUAUCAACAAUCCCAUAAAGUUUCCAGCAAGUGAACUUUGUAAUGAAUAGUCGGAUGUCCUUACCCACUACAUUUAAGUAUUCAACCAACUCAAAGCUCCAAAGCUUAACAUGUGCGACUCAUUCACAUAACUAGAUACUCCAAUAAUUGGUGGUUCGCGCAAAGACUGAGUGCACCCCAUUCUGCUUGUGUUUUGUCUAUGGGUUGAUCUAACAAAAACAUAAGAAAACAAGAUGCUAUUAUGACAAAUUGUAUAUAUAGCUAUGAGAGCCAUAGAAAGUUCGAGAUCCACGUAAAGAGUCUAGACACUUCAAGGUAAAGUUGGCAGAGAAUUCCAAAUAAAUCUUAACAGACCAAAACUGAACAGUUGGAAGAACACGAUAGAAAAGAAACCAAUAAAAUUCACAAGUCCCAGGCAUAACAGUUUUUCAAUUUAUCUUACCACACAAGAUCGAGUCCACAAAAGGAUGCCAUAGCCCCUCCCAUAGAAUGCCCUGUCACCAUGACGUUGAUGUCUCCAUAUAAAUCCUUGGCUCUAACAACAACAUCCAAAAUACCAACUCGAAUUGUCGUAUUGUGAUAAGCAAAAUAGAAUCCAUGAUGAACCUAAGCAACAAUCAAUAGAGUAAGACCAUAACUCAAUCUAAAUCAUAAGUAUCCGCAGGUAGCAAGAGGCUUAUCAUCUCUGGAACUCACCAUGGCACCACCGCACCAGGCAUGCCGGGGUAAUUUAUGUCAAGCUGUUUCCAAUAGAGAUCUUCAACCCAAUUUUGUAUGCUAUAGACAUAAAUAGAAGUAAUCACUAACUGGAAAGCUCAAAUGAUAAAGAGAAGUGACAGAAUUUUUCACUGAACAAAAUUAGUGAAGUAUGGGAUCUCCUCAUGACUCCAUCUGAAAUUACAGGAGAGUAACUUCCGUGUCUCGGUGGAAAUGAUUCACCUUUUUCUAUUCGUAUGGACAGCAUUCCCAUGUGCCCUAUGUGCGCAUUCACUGAGGCCGCUCUUCUUAGCUUAAAUUUUCUUCAAAUUUUUUGCAUGUCAAUUAUAAGGGGAGGAAUUGCAAAAGCUAACAUGCAUACCUAUGUUCUUGGGUACCUCUGAAAGCUAUAAUUAUAGCAUUAAGGUCCUUGGCCUCUCCAACAUAUGCCUAUAUAUAUAUAUAUAUAUAUAUAUAAAAUAGUUUAGAAAAGAGACAAAAAAUUAGAUGCAAUUCAAACAUAGAGGCAUCGCAAGCAUCCAAAUUGAUAGGCCACUGUAAAAUGAUUUAUAUACUUGUAAGCAAUGCCGAACAUCAACUAUCAGUUCAAUGACUUCGAACCCCUGCUUUCAUAUCAAAAAGGCAUUAAUAAACAGUUCAGAAGCUCAUAAGACGAGGUAGCAUAAGCCCACAAAAUGUCAUCUUAUGAACUGGGUAUUUAGUACUAAAGAUCCAUUCUUCACACAACCUUAGCAACUAAAAAGUAGUCAAAUUACCUUGGUCUUUCCAUCACAUCUAGGACAUGUCCAACUAAAAAGUUCUGUCAAAUCUGACCUGUAAACCUGCAACAAAGAGCUUUGCAUUAAAUUGCAAUUUUAUUGUAUUGAAAUGGUGAAACCUAAUGCGUAACAACAAUAAGCUCUAGGUAAAUCUGAUUUUUUUUUUUAAAGAGCACUUAUGGCCGAUGCAUACUCCACCAAUAUUGUGGCAAGAGUGUGAUUGUAAAUAGCUUUGUGAGCCUUGGACCUCACUCUGAGUUCUGCAUUUACCAGUAAAUAAAAUUCCAGAUUGAAAAGUGGUCACGAGCUCAUUCAAUCACAAGCAAAUCUCUCUAGCAAGCUAUUUUGACGAAUCAAGUGACGGGAACGCUUUGAGGAAAUAUCAACUCAAAACAACAUUCAGUAUAUUUUUGCAGUCCUUCGUGAACUGAAAGAACUAUUUACACAAUGCAAUGUGAUGAGGAGGAAUAAGUGAACAACAUAGGUUUCCACUUUUCAAUAAAGCUGCUCCAUGAAAACCUACAGGCGACAGUCCAUAACCAAACAAAAGCUGAAUAGCUGAUAUUCAAUCACUCUAAGACACUCAACAAAUUAUAUCCCCAAAGUAGAAACGGCAGAAUGAGAUUUGCAUCAAACAAAUAUAAGGAAAUUCGAUCAAUCUGACCAUAUUCCAGCCGUAGCAUCAUUCCAAACUCGGAAAUCUAAGGGCUUAACAGAACCAACCAAACACAAUUCGACGCUUGUCCUUUAAAUGCUUUGAGAACAUCUAAUUGUCCACCAGAGGGAUCAUAUAGCUAAAGUUUUGCCCCAUUCAGUCAGGUACUAAAGCUCCGCGACACAGUCAACGAUUGCCCCGUACCCUGAAAUACCCAAUCCCCCAAAUUUACAACACAAAUCUCCCUGUCAAAGCUCAAAACCGACGUACUCAAUUCGAGAGCCUUUCUAUUCGCACCUUCUCACAAUCAAAACUCCCAAUCCGAAUCGAGUCAGAGAAUGGGAGCAGUAACUGAUCACAUGAACGCGAAUUGCAAUUACCUCUCGCCCGGCUCGUGGCAACCAAGCACGUCAGAACCACCAUCGCCCUCAGCCACGACCCGUUCCGCUCCAUAUCCUGCAACAGAAAACGGAUCGAACAGCGUCGUCGAUUAUUAAUAAAAAAAAAAAAAAAAAUCUCGCCACCAAAGGAAAAAAAAAAACUCCAUCUCCGCACCUUUCAUGUACGCAAACAAUCACACGCGAUCAAAACGGCGCGGACGGCCCGGCGAGAUAGAUACAGAGAGAGAGAUCGAUCGCGAGAUCCUCGCCCGCGUCGCUCGAAUUCGAAUCUCGAUUCUGGUCCCUCGCGGCGGCGGCGUUCGUGGACUUUCAUUAUGGCGAUUGAGAGCCGCAUUGACUUGAUGGGGACGAAGGGAAGCGGAGGACGACGACGAAGUUACGUAUCUUUCCUGAUUUGCCCCCGUGAUCUUCCCCCGUCGGCGGGCAUAUUCGGUGUCCGCGUUCGGUGAUUUCGUCGCUUGCGCGAGGGCAAUGAAGGGAGUUCGUCUGAAAUCGGGGAGCUUUGAGAAUGACCGCGUGGCGAUUUCUUCUGUUUUAUUCUGAUUUUGGACAAAACUCGGGAUCCCAUCUCUUUCUUUUCGGAGCUUCCCCUUGGUUUCUCCACGUCAACACUUUGACUCGCCGCUUGUCUCAAGCUAGAAUUCCCCCCGAAAAACAAAAAACUAAAAUUAAUGCUAAUACUCGUGGAGAUAUAUGAAAAUGCAAGUACAACUUCGGACGAAUGUUUUAGAAUUCAAGCUCGAAUCCAUCUAUUAUCUCGACUCGUACGAAUUUGAAAAUAAUGUAUUACAUUUGAGUGAUUGGCGAGUGGAGCUUCAUCGCGAAUCGUGAAACCUACUUCUCUUGAUUUAAGAGAAAGUUGGAGAAGGUGACUAGCCUUAUGUAUUGAUUCUCGAUGCUCUUUGGUGUCUUAUUGACCUAGAUACAAUAGCUUUUAUUUAGAUUGAUAUCGUGAAAAACUCAAAAUUACCAUAUAUAUGACAAAUCUAUCACAAAUUAUUAUUUUUUCAUUAAAAACUUAUACCGAUACAUCUGUAACAAAUUUACUUAUUAUUAGUUAGUGUUAAAAUUUACUAUUAAAUUGUUGAGUUAGAUAACAUGUAUUGCCAAUGGAUAUACUAGUUUAAAAUUUUACAGAUCAUUAGUUUACGUUAAAUUUACUACUAAAUUGGCAGGGUUUAAAACAAUUGACAUAUGUACAAAUUUAAGGUUUUACAUUUCAUUUAUCAUAAUUGUCAUGAUAUCGAUCCAAUUAAACGGAAAUUAAUGAAAAAUAAAUUCGUCACAAAUGUACCAUAUUGAAGUUUUUUGUGGUAAGUUCGUCAAAUGUAUACUAGUUUGAGUUUUUUUAUUGUUAAAAAAUUAAUGAAGGAUAAAUUUAUCAUGAGUGCACCAAUUUUGAAUUUUUUGUGAUAUUAACUCUUUUUAUUUUUUAGAAUUUCGAGUUUAGUUGCUUUGUCUAAAAUAUACAAACUACUCAUAAUGUGAGCACAUUUAGAACUGAUCACUGCCUUAAAAAUCACAGCAUUGUUAUCUUAUAGUUGCUCGGUGGAAUGUAUGAGUCGUACGGAGAUUAAAUGUUUUACAUAUAAAAAGAACAUGAAGUACAAUGAGUUUCUAAUCUCAAACAAAAAGGUUGCAAGUGUACAUUUUAAGAGGACAAAGAUUGCGAAUGAAUUUUUAUUUUUUAUUUUGCAUUUAGCUCACACUAAUAAUAUAAAUAAGAACAUUAAUAUGAGGCACAUGCCAUAUUCGGUGCUCUCACAAAUUUAUAUUGGUAGUGGAAUUUAUAUAAAACUACAGUGAAAUUAGUACACAAAACAACAAGUGGGAGUUAAGAAAAAGGUGAUGUUCAAGAAAAAUUAUCAUGAAGAGCAAAAUGAUCAAUUUCGUAGACACCAAAUCUUUUCCUUUAUAUGUAGUAGAGAUGAAUGAAUUGGUGUGACUUAGGUCAAACUUUACAAGCACAAAACUGAUUAGUACACUGCUCAUUUUUUGUUGCUAGGCCUGUACACUCCUCAUUUGCUUUAUAAAAAGAAGGGGUAAGUACACUAUCAGUGCCAAAAGUUAUGUACGGUACUUACUUUAGUGCCAAAAGUUUAUGUUGGAUCACUUAAGUGUCAAAUCGGAGGAAAAAUGACCACUUUAGUGCCACCGGUGAGAGAUUUCGGCCAAAAUGAUUACGUCAUUUUUAUAUUUGAAAAAAAAAAUCGACAUGGGUUUUAAAUGACGUCGUUUUCCGUCAUCCUUAAGAAAACAAUGUGGUUUUGCCAUCAUAUGUGGAUGGCCUCACAAAAAUGAUGUCGCAUAGCUCAUAUGGGAUUGAAAUUAAGGUUUUUUUUGUUCGAUCCUCGCCCAACGCCAAUCUAUCGCUCGGCCACCGUUGCUUGGCCUCCGUUGUAGUUGCUCGACUAGGUGAGCAAGGAGAGGCUGGGGUUAUUUCUCGGGCAAGAAGCGACGGGAAGAAUAGGAGGCGAGGGCAGAGGAGGAGGAGGAGGAAGGGGGUCGAAGGUGGAGAGAGAGAGAGAGAAGAUGAGGUGGGCGAGGGAAACAAGGAGGGCGCAUAUGGAAAAGGUGGAUUGGGCUCUGCUCAAGAAGUGGUUGGUGCUGGUGUUGUUCUUCGGGGAAGAAGAUAACUGUCACACCCCGAUCCUUUGAGCACGUGCACAUCCCUCCUUGAUCUCUUAAUAGUGAUGUCCCGUGAUGCAUCACCGACCCAUUCAUUUUAAUAUACGCAUGUGGAAGCAGAUACAAAUCCCUAGACAAUAAAAUAAUGGGAUAGGGAAGUAGGGCCUUAAAUUUUUCAAACCAAUAUCAACCUUUUAUUAACGCACGGGUUUAUUUAAAAUAUCAAGUUGCUUACAAAAAUAUUGGCUAAAUCAAAAAGAGGCUGUCUUAUGACUAAUGAGUCAGACAGCUUUGCCGAUUCUGUUCCUUUCACUCCCCCAAACUCUGGGACUUCUGGUCCUACCAACACCAUCUGCGGACCUGAAAUAGUUAUACAAUAACUAAUGAGACAACGUCUUAGCGAGUUCUACCCUCUAAAAUUCAAUUAAGAAGAAAAUAUGUCCUAGGGGCUGCUUAAGCACAACCACGAGUCAAAGGUCUUACCUUGGCCUCAGUUCCUUCUCACAAAUCAGUUCAAUUCAUAAAUACUGACAUAUACAUUGUCCACUCAAUUCAAUUAGAUCAAAUCAUCGAUCAAUCGACUCCGUAGAUUACAUGUCAUCAAGACUAUCAUAUAGUUAUUUUGAUUAAUCACUUUCAACUCUUGAUUUUGGCCCAACAGGCACAACCUAGAUUAAGUGAUUAUCACGGCCCCAUUGGCAACUUUUCUAUAUUUGGUGAUAAUCACGGCUCCACUUGGCAAUUUUCUAGGUUCAGUGGUAAUCACGGCCCCACCUGGCAAUUUACUUAGAUUUAGUGACAUUAUGGCCCAACUCGGCAAAUUUUUUAUAUUUAGUGGCAUCACAACCCCACUAGGCUAAUUUCUUUAUUGAGUAGCAUCUCGACCCCACUCGGCUAAAUCUUCAUAAUCAUCAAUUCACUCAAUUUUCACCAACCAUGGCUCAAUUAAAUAAACAGACCGCACCACAAUAACCAGCAUAAAAUUUUUUAGGUUCAGAGUCUAACUUAGGCCCAUUAUAGCCUAAUUGGAAGCCGAGACAAGCAAGGAAAAUUCCCGAGACUUGUUCAAUAAAUACUAACACGAGUCUACUUGUUAAUGUCACUAGCUAAUCACCUAACAUGCCAUGAUAAGGCACUAAUUUAAUUGUUCUACUCUAAUCUAACUACCUAAGUAUGCUUAAUUAAAUCUAAUCAACCCCUAAACAUAAUUUGCCUACUAAGCGAAGAUUAGUGAGUGAAACUCACUUGUUAAAAGCGAAGACGGGAACACCGCGACGACGACGCGACAUUGGCCGAAAUCCAAAUUUUCAACAGCGUCGGUGGACACUCGGACCGGGCCUAGAAUGGGCCCAACAAAUCUCAGCCCAACUGAAAUUACACGAACUGGGCUUGAUGGGCCCAAUGAAAAUUGCUGGGCUGGCUUUCACGCAGAUAGGCUGAACAGGCCUUGAAUGGGCUAGUUCUGAACUGGGCUUGAAGAUGGACCCAACUAUGAGCUGCUGACUGAUUGCGGGCUUCUGUGGAUUGCUGUUUGCGCGGAUGGAAGGUUGCCAACUGGGAGACACGCGACUGAGGAGCUGCUCUGUUGACUCUGUGCUGGCAUGAGCUGCUGUGGCGUUCGCUGGCGCACAAAGAAACAAAGAUGGUAGGCGCGUGGACGUGGCUUUGGCAGCAGAGGCGUGGGGACUUUGGUCAACAAAGUGGGAAGAGUUUUGCUGCUGUUGACUGUGAGGAUGCGUUGGCAGCCAAAGAACAAACGAAGAGGAGAGUAGACAAGCGGCGAGCGGCUUUGGUGGACACAACUUCAAGAGGUCAACGAAAGAGCUUCUGUGGGCUUGCUGUUGACCAGGGAGACAUGCGGCAUUGAUUGUGGGCUGUCGGUGGCUUCGCUAGACGCACAAAGGAGCCGCGGGUCAACGAAGCCAAGAGGAGGUUGACGCUGGGGUUGUUGCGGUUGAUGAUUGACUCAGACGGAUGCUACGGUAGGUGAAGUUGCAGGAGAUAGCAGCAAGAGAGAUGGUUCAUGAAGGGAAUUUCGUUGGUGGAGGCGUGCUGGCCGAAGCUAGGGUUUGUUGAUCAAGGGAAAACAAGGAAAAAUGAAAGCAAAUCCAAAGUCGCAGAGAGGAAAAGAGUCGGCCGUAUGGGUGGUGUGCGUGAGAAUUUUGAGAGGGGGGACCCAAAAAUCAUCAAACCUAUCUCUUCCAUUGAUGGCCUUAUCCCCCUAAAGUUUACAUAAUUAUCCUCUUACGUCUCCGAUUCAUAGAAUUCCUCAAUAAUCCAAUUUUUGGUGUCAAAAUAUAGCCCAUCAACCAUAAAUCCGAAUUUCACUUAAUUUAGCUUCAAUUUCAUCCUCAAUUUCCCAAAUUCAAAGUCCAAUUUCAUCGAAGAAAAAUCCCGAACAAUUUUCUGUAAAUCUCUGACACUCAAAGGCUCGGCUUGGAAGUCCAAAUUUCCUUUAAUUUGGCCCAUUUGAAUUUCCACUAAUUUUCCACAAAGUCCGAAUCGAUUUUCCGUAAAAAUCCCGAAAUCUCUGAAAAAACUUCGGAGGAUGAGUCAAUGUUCCUAAAAUAGCUCGUGACACGACAAAACUUUCAAUUUCUGAAAUCGGGUUCAAAUUCGCAGUUAAUUUCAAUCCAGUGCGUUUUUGGCGUGACUCAAUCUACCGGUUAGUUUUCAGGAAUUUUUGUUGCAAUUGACCCGUGAUCAAUUUAUCCCAAGUCACAUUAUAUAUCGUCGACACAUUGGCGACUCUCGGUUAUCGUGAAAAUCUCGAGGUUUCAAUUAUAGGCAUCGGGUACCAAAACGACAAAAAAUCAAUUUAGUACCAAUCGAUGAGAAUUUUGCAAUCAAGUGGAAUCACCCACAUUUUGAUCACAUAUCUCAGUUGAAUCGACCUAUCUCUGAUAUCUGACGGUGCCGUAAUGACCCUUGCAUAUCAACACGGUCGAGCAGUCGAUUCUUAGUCGAAUUCUUAAGUCCAAUUGCCUUUAGAUUUUUUAAUUGCUUCCCCCAGAUAGACCGGUUAUCUCGUGAGUGAUCGGCUUAGAGAAUAGCACUAUCGACGUGUCAAUGAAAGGCCCGAUUCAUUUAAUCGAAAACGAAAUCCGAAAAUUCGGGCUAUCACAACUUUUCCCCUCUUAUAAAAAUUUCAUCCUUGAAAUUUAAACCUAUUACAAUCCAUAACCAAAUAGGUGGGGGUAUAGUCGUCUCAUCGACUCCUCCGUUUCCCAAGUUGCUUCUUCUGUGCCGUGGUGUUUCUAGACCAUUUUAACCAAUGGGAUGGUCUUGGUUCGCAGGACCUGUUCCUUGCGAUCCACAAUCUAAAUCGAGCUUUCAAUGUAUGACACUCUGUCAUUUACGUCCAAUUCCUCAAAAUUGAGCACAUGGGUCUGGUCAGGCUCAUACUUCCUUAAUAUCGACACGUGAAAGACAUCAUAUACUUGCCCCAACCUUGGCGGCAAUGCAAAACAAUACGCUAGGAUUUCGAUUAUUUCAAGAAUCUCAAAUGGACCUACGUAUCUCGGACUCAAUUUUCCUUUCUUGCCAAAGCGCGAAGUACCUCUCAUUGGUGACACUUUUAGAAAAAUGUGAUCACCAACUUAAAAUUCCAAUGGUCUCUGACGCUUAUCAGCGUAACUUUUUUGGCGGCUCUGAGUGGUCUUUAAUUUGUCCCUGAUGAUGGCAUUUGUAUCCACUGAUUGCUAAACUAACUCUAGGUUUGUAAUUUUCCGUUCCCCGACUUCAUCCCAACAUACUGGUGUUAUGCACACUCUGCCAUAUAACGCUUCAAAAUGAGCCAUUUGGAUGCUCUGUUGAUAAGUGUUGUUGUAGGCAAAUUCCAUUAGGUGAAGCUAAUCUUCCCAACUUCCCUUGAAGUCUAGUACACAAGCUCUCAGCAUGUCCCCAAGGGUCUGAAUUGUCCUCUCAGACUGGCCAUCCGUCUAAGGAUGAUAUACUGUACUGNNNNNNNNNNNNNNNNNNNNNNNNNNNNNNNNNNNNNNNNNNNNNNNNNNNNNNNNNNNNNNNNNNNNNNNNNNNNNNNNNNNNNNNNNNNNNNNNNNNNNNNNNNNNNNNNNNNNNNNNNNNNNNNNNNNNNNNNNNNNNNNNNNNNNNNNNNNNNNNNNNNNNNNNNNNNAGAGUCAUUACCUCUCUGACUCCUCGGUAAGCUUUUCACGAAAUCCAUUGUAAUAUGUUUCCAUUUCCAUUCGAGAAUCAAGAGAGGUUGUAGAAAUCCUUCCGGCUUACAAUAUUAUGCCUUCACUUGCUGACACGUCAGACAUUUGGCGAUAUGCUUGACGAUGUCCGCCUUCAUACCUGACCACCAAUAGUAUUGACGCAAAUUCCGAUACAUCUUGGUACUUCCAGAAUGAAUGCUAUAACUGCUACGACGUGCUUCUGAUAAAAUAUCCUCUCUAAACUCUAUAUCGUCAGGUACAACCAAACGUCAUUAGAACCUCAGUGUUCCAUCAUGAGAGAUCUGAAAGUCAGAUUUUCUUUUAUCGAUAUCCUCUUGCAGGAUCUUCUGAACAUCUAGAUCAGUUGGCUAAAGUGCUUUGAUUCUGAUUUGAACAUUCGGCUCAAUUCUGAGGGUAGCCAUAAGAUUUGAGAGAUAGCCUACCUCAAUUUUGAAAAUCGAAUCUCUAGCAUUUUUUUUAUCAAAGUCCAUUCCUUGAGUAACAUCUGUGCAACUGAGGACUUUUGAUUCAAUGUAUCUGCAACCUUGUUUGCUUUUCCGGGAUGAGACAAGAUAUCACAAUUAUAGUCAUUCAAGAGUUCCAUCCAGCGACGCUGUCUCAUAUUCAACUCCUUCUAAGAGAAUAGAUACUUGAGGCUUUGAUGGUUAGUGAACAUUUUGAAUCUUUCUCCGCACAAAUAAUGUCUCCAAAUCUUUAAAGCAAAAAUAAUCGCUACGAGUUCUAAGUCAUGCGUCAGGUAAUUCAGUUCAUGAGGUCUCAACUGAUGGAAGGCGUAUGCAACAACUCUGCCAUGUUGCAUCAACACGCAACACAAUCCUUUGAAUGACGCAUCACUGUAGAUCUCGUAUUCUCCAGGACCAGAUGAUACGGUCAGUACAAGUGUGGUAGUCAGCUUUUCCUUCAGCCCUUGGAAACUACGCUCGCACUUGUCUAUCCACACAAUUUUUCUUCUUUCUUUAAGAGUCUUGACAGAGGCGACACUAACGAUGAGAAUCCUUCCACUAACCGUCUGUAGUAACCUGCCAAGCCCAGAAAACCUCUAAUUUCUGUCACGGUAGUCGAUCUUGGCCAACUAAUAACUAUUUCGAUCUUGGCUGGGUCCAUGGAGAUUCCUUCUCCUGAAAUCUUGUGACCAUUCUCAGAUGACUCGUGAUUCUCAACACUCAUCGAAUACACUAGAAUAUCCUUGAUAGACACAACUACGAACUGAGCUAGAUAUUUAUUGAAUACUCAGUUCAUCAAUCCAUGAAAGUAGCUGAAGUGUUCGUCAACGGUUCAAACUGUAUUACCUUACACCAACAAUACCACAAGAUGCUCCUUGAGCCAACUCUUUUCAUAUAUGAAGUUAUACAUAAGCAACUAGUCAAGUACAACUAUAGCCAGUGAUUCUUCUUUCUACAGCUUUAUUAUAACAACUGAAAUUCUACAACCUUAACCAAACGCUACUUUGAUAAAAUCACCCCAAAAACAUUAUUCCUUUGGUCGGUGCAUGGUCGGUUCGUUCUUGUUCCCUUCGCCAUCCUAGUAGUGUUCUAUUCGCGGUGCUUUCCCUUUGUCUUGUCCUCCGGUGAUGGCGUACACUCUUCCCUGCUCUAGAGGUCUGUUUAGUCCACCCUGCAAUACGUUCUACGGCACAAAACCUCUGAUCUAACCCAUUUGUGGCUGCGGUGGUAAUUGCGGUUGUCUUUUCAGUCUUAUGGGACAGUUCCUGGCUAUGUGACCUAGCUGGCCACACUCAAAGCAAGUACCCGGCCUAGAAUUACAUGGGACCGAUCCAUGUCGCCUUCCACACAAGCGACACACACCAUUCUGGAUAGGCCCUGCUUUUCCAAUUCCAUUCUUCUGAUUGGGCGGGAUCUGGAAUCUACCUUCAGUCAUGGGCUUCUUUCCUUAACGGAUCCCUUCUCUGUGAAAGCCAAACCUCGAUCCAGACAAGGCAGCUUGCUCAUUCAAACCUCUCUCUCUCUAUCAUCUAAGCUCGACGAUAGACUUCUCGAUAAUCUAUCAAGUCCAAUGGCAACAUAGGUUGCUUUAGCUCAGCACGAAGACCAUUUUUGAAUCUUCAGGCUUUCUCUUCGAGGUCUUCAAUUAAUUUAGGGGCAUACUGAGAAAUUCCAGCGAACUUGACCCCGUAUUGAUUGACCGUCAUCGAUCCCUAACGAAGGCGUUGAAACUCCUCAAUCUUUUGUUCUCAGAUAGCACCCGAAAAAUAUUGGUCAUUGAAGGCUCUGAGGAAGGUGUCCCACACCCGGGGCACUCCUUCUAGAAACACGGCAUCCUUGGUGGCUUUCCACCAUAUGUUGGCAUUAUCUUGAAGUUGGUAUACAGCCAAUUCCACCUUCUCCUCUUCAUUGCACAUCAAGAGUACAAAUGUCUUCUCUAAGUCUUGUACCCAUUGUGAAGCAACCUCAAGGUCUCUAGUACCCCUAAAUCUUGGUGGACUAAGCUUCAGGAAAUGCUCCACCAAUUUAUGGAUUGGUCUUUCAGUGACCAAUAUCCCUGGUGGACCUUCGACAUUCACGGCGGCAAGUGUAGCUGCAGGUGUGGCAACAGGGGCGGCCUUGGCAGUGGCGACAACAGCGACGGUAGCGGCGGCUUGAAUAGUAGCGGCCUAAUUUUGUGCUUGCUGAUCCAACCUCGUUCCCGUAGCUUCCAAGAUACGCAUGAUCCCUUCUAGCCUGGGAUCAUUAGAACUGCUACUUUGGCACAUACUACAGGUGGUGCUGUACCACUCGCGCUAGCCUGUGCUGGCGCUCGACCAUGACCUCCUUGGGUACCGACCCUAGUCGGUGUCCUACCCCAAGUUACGGUACGUAUGGUCCUCUUAGAAGGAAUCCUCUGCUCCUGAUCGCUCAUGAUUCAGUUUCACCAACUAACACCUGCUUCCAAUUCCACAUAAAUUUAGAAACAGAGCAAUUCAAACAAUAAGCAAUUCUAGCACUUAGCUACCACAGACAUGCACCAGCUGUGAAUUUAAAGGCAUUUCCUACUACUAUCCCAUAGGUCAUCGCACCUUAUCACUCCAAUCUUAGACUCUGCUCUGAUACCACAAAAGGAGAUGUCACGCCCCAAUCCUCCAAGCACGUGCCCAUCCUUCCUUGUUUUCUUAAUAGCGAUGUCUUAGGACGCAUCGCCGACCAAUUCAUUUUAAUAUACACAUACGGAAGCAGAUAUAAAUCCCCAAACAAUAAAGCAAUGGGAUAGGGAAGUAGGGCCGUAAACUUUUCAAACCAACAUCAACCUUUUAUAAAUGCAUAGGUUUAUUUAAAAUAUCAAGUUGCUUACAAAAAUAUCGACUAAAUAAAAAAUGUGCUGUCCUAUGACUAACGAGUCAGACAGCUUUGCCGAUUCGGUUUCCUUCACUCCCCCAAACUCCGGGACUUCUGGUCCUGCACCAACACCAUUUACGGACCUGAAAAUGGUUAUACAAUAACCAAUGAGACAACUUCUCAGUGAGUUCUACUCCCUAAAACUCAAUUAGAAAGAAAAUAUACCCUAAGGCUGCCUAAGCACAACCAUGAGUCAGAGGUUUUACCUUGGUCUCAGUUCCUUCCUGUAAGUCAGUUCAAUUCCUAAAUACUGACGGAUACAUCGUCCACUCAAUUCAAUCGGAUCAAAUCAUCGAUCAAUCGACUCUGUCGAUUACAUGUCAUCAAGACCAUCAUACGGUCAUUUUGAUUAAUCACUUUCAACUCUUGAUUUUGGCCCAACGGGCACAACCUAAAUUAAGUGGUCAUCACGGCCCCACUGGAAACUUUUCUAUAUUUGGUUAAUCACAGCCCCACCUGGUAAUUUUCUAGAUUCAAUAGUAAUCACGGCCCCACUUGGCAAUUUACUUAGAUUUAGUGGCAUCAUGGCCCCACUCGGCAAAUUUCUUAUAUUUAGUGGCAUCACGACCCCACUCAGCUAUUCUUAGGUUUUUACCCACAUUAAUAAAUUUUCGGGGUAAAUCUUCAUAAUCACCAAUUCACUCAAUUUUCACCAACCAGGGCUCAAUUAAAUAAACAGACCGCAUCACAAUAACCAGCAUAAAAUUUAGGUCAUCGACUAUUCCAGCCUAAUUUCCAAGAAAUAAAUAAAUAAAUAAAUAAUUUUAAAAAAUACUAAAUAAAUGCAAUAAAUCUAAUUUAGGCUUGUUAUAGCCUAAUUGGAAGUCGAGACUAGCGGGGAAAAUUCCCGAGACUUGUUCAAUAAAUACUAACACGAGUCUACUUGUUAAUAUCACUGGCUAAUCAUCUAACAUGCAAUGAUAAUGCACUAAUUUAAUUGUUCUACUCUAAUCUAACCACCUAAGUAUGCUUAAUUAAAUCUAAUCAAUCCCUAUAAUUUACCUACUAAGCGAAGAUUAGUGAGUUUCACUCACUUGUUAAAAGCGAAGACAGGAACAUUGUGACGAUGAUGUGACGGCGGUCGAAAUCCAAAUUUUUGGCAGCGACGACGGACACUCGGGCUGGGCCUAGAACGAGCCCAACAAAUUUCAGUCCAACUGAGAUUUGUUUUCAACCUGGGUUGGGCUUCAAAUGGGCUACUCUUGGGGGCUUCAAUGGACUUGCUGGAAUUACAUGAAUUGGGCUUGAUGGACCCAAUGAAAAUUGCUGGGCUGGCUUUCAAGGAGAUGCGUUGAACAGGCCUUAAAUGGGUUAGAUCUGAGCUGGGCUUGAAGAUGGGUCCAACUGUGAGCUGCUGACUGAUCGCGGGCUUCGGUGGAUUGCUGUUCGCGCAGAUGGAAGGUUGCCAACUGGGAGACGUGCGACUGAGGAGUUACUUCUGUUGACUCUGUGUUGGAAUGAGCUGCUGUGGCGUUCGUUGGCGCAUGAAGAAACGAAGAUGGCGGGCGCGUGGACGUGGCUUUGGCAGCAGAGGCAUGGGGACUUCGGUCAACAAAGUGAGAAGAGUUUUGCUGCUAUUGACCGUGAGGAUGCGCUGGCAGCCAAAGAACGAACGGAGAGGAGAGCAGACAAGCGGCAAGCGACUUCAAUGGACGCGACUUCAAGGGGUCAACGAAAGAGCUUCUGUGGGCUUGCUUUUGACCAGGGAGACACGCGGCUUCGAUCGUGGGCUGUCGGUGGCUUCGCUAGACGCACGAAGGAGCCGCGGGUCAACGAAGCCAAGAGGAGGUUGACACUGGGGUUGUUGCGGUUGAUGAUUGACUCGGACGGAUGCUACGGUGGGUGAAGUUGCAGGAGAUAGCAGCAAGAGAGAUGGUCCAUGAAGGGAAUUUCGUUGGUGGAGGCGUGCUGGCCGAAGCUAGGGUUUGUUGAUCAAAGGAAAACAGGGAAAAAUGAAAGCAAAUCCGAAGCUGCAGAGAGGAAAAGAGUCGGUCGUAUGGGUGGCGUGCAUGAGAAUUUUGAGAGGAAGGGCCCAAAAAUCAUUAAACCUAUCUCUUUCAUUGAUGGCCUUGUCCCCCUAAAGUCUACAUAAAUAUCCUCUUAAGUCUCCGAUUCUUUCUUGAAAUAGAAUUCCUCAAUAAUCCAAUUUUUGGUGUCAAAAUAUAGCCCAUCAACCAUAAAUCCGAAUUUCACUUAAUUUAGCUUCAAUUUCAUCCUCAAUUUCCCAAAUUCAAAGUCCAAUUUCAUCGAAGAAAAAUUCUGAACAAUUUUCUGUAAGUCCCUAACACUCAAAGGCUCGGCUUGGAAGUCCAAAUUUCCUUUAAUUUGGCCCAUCCGAAUUUCCGCUAAUUUUCCGCAACGUCCGAACAGAUUUUCCGUAAAAAUCUCAGAAUCUCUAAAAAAUAUUCGGAGGAUGAAUCAAUGUUUCUAAAAUAGCUCGUGACAUGACAGAAUAUUCAAUUUCUGAAAUCGGGUUCAAAUUCGCAGUUAAUUUCAAUCCGGCGCACUUUUGGCGUAACCCAAUCUACCGGUUAGUUUUCAGGAAUUUUUGGUGCAAUUAACCCGUUAUCGAUUUAUCUCGAGUCACACUGUAUAUCUUCAAUACAUUGGCGACUCUCGGUUAUCGUGAAAAUCUCGAGGUUUCAAUUACGCCGGGUACCAAAACGACAGAAAAUCAAUUUAGUGCCGAUCGAUGAGAAUUUUGCAAUCAAGUAAAAUCACCCACAUUUUGAUCACAUAUCUUAGUCGAAUCAACCUAUCUCUGAUCUCUGAUCGAUCUCUGGCGGUGCCGUAAUGACCCUUGCAGAUCAACACGGUCGAGCAGUCGAUUCUUGGUCGAAUUCUCAAGUCCAAUUGUGUGACAUCCAAAAUUUUCAACCUAUUUUCUAUUGAGUUAAUCAAGCAUUUCAUUGAUGUGUCUAUAGGAUUUUUUUCAGAGCUGAUUACUCUUGAAAUAACUAGACUGCCUGAGUAAGCCAUUAAAGAAUUUUAAGGCAAUAGACUUGAGAAUUCAACCAUGAAUCGACUUAUCGACCAUGUCCAUCUUUACAGGUCAUUACGACACAGUUAAAAAUCGAAUUAAAAUCAGAAAUAGGUCAGUAUGACUGAGAGGUAUGACCGAUCGUGGGUGACUCUACUAAAUUGGAAAAUUCCUGUCGACCGACACUAAUUUGAUUUUACUGUCAUUUUGGUACCCUGUGUCCGUAUUUGGAUUCUCGAGAUUUUCACGAAAACUGAGAGUCGUCAAUGUGUCGAGUAAGUUCGUUGUGGCUGGAAGAAAAUCGAUCACGGGUCAUUCGCCCUAAAAAGUUUUGAAAACUACCAAGUAGUCUAGGUCACGCUAAAAACGCGCUGAUUGGAAAUUAACCGCCAAUUUGAAUCCAAUUUCAAAAAUUGAGGAUUCUGUUAUGUCAUAAUAAAUUAUAGGACCCAAGACUCAGUCUCAGAAAAUUUUUCUUACAACCGACACUUUUUGGGAAAAAGUCGUCACCAGACCCUUUUUGUGCAAUUGAAGCCGGGGAUUUAUUUUGAUUGUAAAUUUGAGAAGCAUGAUGGAUAUAUGGGUAAAGAAAAAUGCUAAGAGGAUCAAUGGAUAACCAAUUGAAUUUGGGAGAGUCGAUUGAGAUGAAAUAAAGAGGGAUUUGAAACCAAUUGAAGCCAUUCCUCUCAAAAUUCGUAGCCUCCCCUCAUGCCUAGCCAAAGUGGACUACUUCAAAAGUUGUGAGGGGUGUGUGUGUGGUUAAAUGAGAGCCAAGGGAUUCUACUUGGAUGAGGUUGAUUGUGGAUGAUAUUUUUAUGGAAAAUUUGACCAAGUGGAGCCCAUCUCUCAUUUCUCUCUUAUCCCCUCUCCCUACCUUCACUUGGCUGACCACCCUACUUUCUCCCCUUUCAAUUUUUUGCGAAACUAGCACAGCAAGGAGGAGAGCAGCCGCCGUCCAUGCCUAGCCGCCCGUUGCCACGCCGGUGCCGCCCUCGCCCCUGUGCGCGCGCCUGCCUCAUCGUGCACCGCCGUCCCUUUGGCCAUGUCUCUUGUCACGCCCCGAUCCUCGGGCACGCACACAUCCUUCUACCUUGGUCGAUUUUAAUAUGCGAUAUCCCAGGACAAUGUAUCGCCGACCCUUUCAUUUAUUAAGCACAUGCAGAAGCAGUUAAAAUCCCCAGACAAUAAAACGAUGGGAUAGAAAAGCAGGGCCAUAUUUUUCAUAUUGAAAUUUAUAACCAAACUUUUAUGCAAAACACAAACCACCUCAAAACUAUUCACAUCAAACGGAGAUCUCAAAAAAGACAGAAACUUAGACGAACUGGGCCGUACUCAAGGCCCCUCUCAGGAUUGCCUUCUUCCUCCAAAAAUCUUUCUCCUUAAGAUUCGCCUCUGAGUCCUCUUUCUCGGAUUCCUCCUCCUCAGCUCUUCAGCGGGAUCCUGAAAUGGUUUUCCCCAAACUGGGAUGAGACUACGUCUCAGCGAGUUCUACCCCACUAAGCCCGAUUAGAUAAACUAUUAUACUACAGGCUGCCUAAACACGCACAAGGCAGAGGACUUACCUUGGCCUCUGAUCCCACCUGCAAGUCAGUACAAUUCAUAAUAGGCACCCAAGCAAUCAUAUCACCAAUCGAAGCAUCGAUCAAAUCGACCUAGUCGAUUAUAUUCCAACGAGACCACUCACGGUCAUUUCCAUUCAGGCAAUCAAUUCACAACAUCAAAUCAAAGUAUCGACCUAGUCGAUUACAUGCCAAACAAAUCAAUCCCCACUGUGGGAUAUUUAAAAGCUAGGCCACGUGUAUUCUCCAGGAUGACCUUCCAAGUCUCCGAGUUCACGUGCCUCGAACCUUGGGCCCACGUGCAUUCUCUCAGGCGACCUUUUUGCCAAAGUGAUGCAUCAAGUCACCGAGACCACGUGCCAUUUUAGAUGCCCGGGCCCACGUGCAUUCUCUUAGGUGCAUCUCACCAAAGCGAUGCAUCAAUUCGCCGAGACCACGUGCCCUUUUAGAUGCCAUUCCGGAAUGCAAGACCCACGUGCAUUCUCUAAGGUGCAUCUCACCAAAGCGAUGCAUCAAUUCGCCGAGACCACGUGUCCUUUUAGAUGCCAAAUCCUGUCACGGAGCCACGUGCAUUCUCCAGGACGACAUACCGAGUCUCCGAGCCACGUGCAUUCUCUCAAGCGACCUUUUCGCCAAGGUGACAUAUUCAACCACUGAACUCACGUGCAUUUUCCCAGGUGACACUCCAAUUCACCGAGCCACGUGUCCUCUUUGCAGUGGUUACCAAUUCACUUUCAAUAUCGACAACCAAUGCCCAACGAUUUCUCAAUCAAAUAAUUAAAUCAACUCAACAAAACAUUAUAAAUGCUGAAUAAACAUACUUGGCCAUUCACCAAUCAAUACUCAAUCAAAUAAUUAAAUUAACUCAACAAAGCAUUAUAAAUGCUGAAUAAACAUACUUGGCCAUUCACCAAUCGAUAAUUCAUUCUCAGUCGAUUCCAAUCAAUUUAGGGUAAAUCCCUAAAAUAUCACAAUUUACUCAAUUCCAUACAACGUAGAGCUCAAAUAAAUAAACGGACUGCGCCACGACAAUCAGCACGAGAUUUCAGUCGUCGGCCAUCAAAAUCUUAAUUUCCGGAAAAUAAUUAAUUUAUUUAUUAAUUUUGAAAAUUAAAUAAUUAUUAUAAAAAAUUCAAUUUAGCUCAAAAUAAAGCCCGAUUACAUAAACAGACUUCACCAUAGUCAUCAGCACAAUAUUCCGGUUCCAGACCAUCUCAGUUGAAUUUUCGGAAAAUAAAUAAUUAUUUAAUUAAUUUCGAAUAUUAAAUAAUUAAUAUUAAAAAUCCCAUUUAGCUUAAAUUAAAGCCCGAUUACAUAAACGGACUUCACCACAGUCUUCAGCAUAAUAUUCCGGUUCCGAACCAUCUCCCUUGAAUUUUCGGAAUAUAAAUCAUUAUUUAAUUUAAUUCCGAAAAUUAAUAUUUAAAUACUAAAAAAAAUCCACUUAGGCCCGAAAAACCUAAUUGGAGCCCACUAAGGGUCGGGAAAAAUCCCGAGACACUUCCAAUAAUUAGUAGACCACGUCUACUUGUUAAUUGCACAAUCAAUUUAUCUAAAACACAUCACAAUUGACUAAUAAUUGCUAAUUUAUUUUAAUCUAACAACCUAAACAUAAUUAAUUAAAUCUAAACCAACCUUAAGCAUAAUUAGCCAACUAAUCCAAGAUUAGUGAGAUUACUCACCAAAUCGCACGCAAAUUGGAUCAAUCCGACGGCGGCGACGCGAGGAACGACAAACUCCAAAGCGGGCCUCGGGUUCGUGGCCCGGAAACGGCCCAAAACGGCCUUGAACAGUGCUGGAAACCCAUUUUUCCAGCUGCUGUUCAUGGCCAAACGAGGCUACUCCGGUGGCUGAGAAGGCGGAGCAAGGCCGGCGGAGGGCAAGGGGAACGCCGGGGAGGUCGGGCGGAGCUGGGCGGUGGCCGGAUGGUGGCUAGUCAGGGCGUAACCGAGCUGGGUCACGGCUGGAUCGCGCGGCCUGGGCGCGCACGGACGGGUGGCUGGACGGCGGCGAGCGGCGGACCCGGCGCGAGCGUGCGGGGCGGCGGCGGAACAGGCAGCGACGGGGAGCUGCGAUCGUGCGGCUCCUGCUCGAGCUUCCUCCUCUAGUUCGCUUCUUCGGAUGCGUGGGGAGGAAGAAGAAGAAAAAGAAAGAGAGAGAGAAGAGAGAGAGAAGAGAGGGAUAAGUCUUGACCAGUCAAAGAGGAAAAGAGAGAGAGAAUAGGCGGUGGGGGGAAAAAAUCGCACGGAUGGGGGAAAAAGGGAGAGGAGAGAGAAAGAAAAGAAAGAAAAAGAAAGAAAAGAAAAGAGAGGGAGAGAGAGAAAAGAAAUAAAACAAUGGCCUUAAUUUUCUUUUCUUUUCUCUUUCCCUUUCUAAUUCUUUUCGAGCUUCAAAUUUUCUUCCGAUAAUUUCUUUCUUGAAAUUUCGGACUCGUCAAUAAAUUGAUGAGCGAUGAGACAAUGUCCUUAAAAAAAAUUAUGACAUGCUUAAAAUUCGAUUCCCGAAAUCGAGUUCAAUUUCGUGGUUAAAAAUCGAUCAGACGUGAUUUUAGUCCAAUCCAACAAAUUGAGUAGCUUUUAGGGAUUUUACUGCAGAUACAUCCCUUAACGGCUUCACCCAAUAGGUCAGUUAACUUGUGAGUGAUCAGCUCAGAGAAAAAGGACCGUAAACACGUCGACGAAAUGCCCAUUUCACUUUAUCGAAAUGGGGUCGAAUUUCAGGAUGUCACAUCUCUACCUCGUCUAGCUGCUGUCCUUGGUCCAUGGAAGCCUCACCGGGGCUGGUUUUGGUUGUUUCUUCACCGGUAAAGACCCACCAUGGCCCGGUUUGGCCUAUUUCCUUCUACCGGUCAAUUCCCAUGCUUAACCGAGUUGUUUGCUUCAAUUUCCAGCCAAGAUCAUAUCAGUUUUUCAGUGGGUUUCCAGCCGCCUUUAGGCCUGUUUUGGAGGAGUUUCGGGCCUCGGUUUCUAGGUCCACUUUGGAGGUUGUUGUUCCCUACACCGUUCCUGUCAAUUUGAGCUGACUUGCGCGUUAUUCUGAUGAGUUUAGCUCACUAAACCUUGCUUAGUAGACUAAUGAUGCUUAAGGGUUAAUUAGUGUUAAUUAAGUAGGAUUAGGUGGUUAGAUUAGAGUAGAUUAGUGAUUAUUAAUUAAUUGUGAUGCAUGUUAGCUAAUGUGAUGGUGCAAUUAACUAGUUGACGUGUUCUAUUAUUUAUUGAAUGCGUCUCGGUAUUUUUCUCGGACCGUUUUGGGCUCCAAUUAGGCGAAUUGGGCCUAAGUUGGAUUUAUUGGUAAUUAUUUAUUAAUUUUUAUAGUUAUUUAUUUAUUUAUUUAUUGGAAAUUCGGCAUGGAUAGCCGACGAUCGGAAUUUUAUGCUGAUUGUCGUGGUGAAGUCUGUUUAUUUAUUUGAGUCUUAUGUUGCGUGGAAUUAAUUUAAAUGUGGAAUUUUAAGAAUUGUUCCUAGUUGAAUUGAAAAUGGACAAUUAAUUGGGAAACAACUGGGUAUCGGUUGACAACAUCAAAAAUGUUUUGGUGGACUACAGGUAAGGGUGGGAUUUGUGGAAAUAAAAUCAUAAUAUUUUGGCUAAAGCCAACCGUGUGCCCAUGCACAUGUACUUUUAUCAGAAAUGAAUAAAAUGACAAAUUGAUCGUACGUUUGAAGUAUCAUGUUAUAUACCGGCUCGGUGACUCUAUAGGUCAUUUUGUAGAAUGGACGGAAUGCAAUACCGGUUCGGUGAUCCUAUAGGUCAUUUUGUAGAAUGGACGGUAUUUAAUGUCGACUCGAUAACACUAUAGGUCAUUUUGUAGAAUGGACGGUAUGCAAUACCGGCUCGGUGAUCCUAUAGGUUAUUUUGUAGAAUGGACAACAUGUCAUAACGGCUCGGUAACUCAAUAUGUCAUUUUGGAGAAUGGACGUUAUGAUGAAUAUACUCGGUAACUUACUAUGUCAUUUCGGAGAAUGAAUCGUAUAAAUACCGAUUUAAUAACCCGAUAGGUUAUUUGAGAGAAUGGACAGUAUUGAUUGAAAUAACCAAGAAUAGUCUGUUUAACAUGUAAAUCGACUAGGUCGAUUGACGGAUGCUUUGAUCCGAUUGUUGUGAAUUGAUUGGUUGUUUGAUGCAAUAUAUGAGGCAUGUGUGUAUAACCUUGAAUUGCAGGUUGGAACUGAUGUCAAGGUAAGUCUUCUGACUUGUGUUGUGCUUAGGCAACCAUGUGACGUAUUGGUUUCCUAAUCGAGUCUUAAGGUGUAUAACUCGCUGAGACGUAGUCUCAUUGGUUAUUGAAUAACCAAUUGCAGGCCCCUAGGUGGAAGAUCCUGAAGAGGAGGAACCUGAGAAGAACUUGGCGAAGGGUCAGUGGAGGAUCCAGAGGAUGAUCCUGAGUACAACCUGAAUGAGAAUUGAAAGCCUAUCCUCCUUUUGUGAACCCCUGUCUGUGUGUAGAUAAAGUGAGACUUUGAGGUUGUGAAUAGUAUUGUGAAUUAUAAUCUAAGAUUGGCUUGUAUAAAAGUAUGGUUAUGAAUUUCAAUAUGAAAAAUAUAACCUUGUUUUUCUAUCACUUUGUUUUAUUGUUUGGAGAUUUAUAACUACUUCCGCAUAUGUUAUUGAAAAUGAAAGGGUCGGCGAUACUUAGUCUUAGGAUAUUGCAUUCUAAAAUUGACCAAGUAGAAGGAUGUGUGCGUGCUCGAGGAUCGGGAUGUGACAAAUUGCCUUUAGAUUCCUUAAUUGCAUCCCCAGAUAGACUAGUUAUCUCGUGAGUGAUCGACUCAAAGAAUAGCACUAUCAGCGCAUCGAUAAAAUGUCUGAUUUAUUUAAUCGAAAACGAAAUCUGAAAAUUUAGGCUGUCACAAUGAUGCUGCCAUGCCCCCCCUCUCUCUCUCUCUCUCUCAAUUUGGGGAUUUAGGGUUUCGACUUGGGGGAAAGAUGCCAAAUGACGUCGUUUUGUGGUUUUGAUGCUGACUGUACUCUCCAGUGAGCCACAUCAGCUUAAAAAAUUAAUAAAAAAAAGUGUCACGUCGGAUUUCCAGUCAAUCUAAUUGGAUUUGGCACUAAAAUGAUCAUUUUUUAAAAAAAAUUUGGCACUUAAGUGAUUCAAAAUAAACUUUUGGCAUCAAAGUGAGCGUCGUCUAUGAAGCACGGACACGUUGUCCAUGCUACCGUGUCAGAUUUUCCGACACGCGGUCAACUUUUAUCGACACGCGUGUCGAUGCGUGUCCGGAACACUGAUGAAGGGUGGAGGUGAGGGAGGGCGAGGGAGCUGAGGUCACGAGCGCCGGCGAGACGGAGCAGAGGUCACGAGUGCCGGCGAGACGAAACCACGAAUGGACCACCGCAACGGCGAGAGACGGCUAGAGAAAGAGCCGAACAAAAAGAAAGAAGAGAGAAGACAAACUCCCGCCGGCGAAGCCACAAACAGACCACUGUGACGGUGAGAGACGGCCAGAGAGAGGUGAGGGCGGCCAUUGUUGCAAUGGAUCGGCGACAAGAGGAAGAGGAGAGGAGGGAAGGGGGUCAUGCGGCGCGGCAAGGAGGAUAGGAAAAGGAGGGUUCGCGGCUCGCUAGGGUUUUUCAUAAAGAAAUCCAAAAAAAAAAUAAUAAAGGAGGUUGGAUGGCGUCGUGAGGGGGGGAGGGAAAAAAGUAAAAUAAACGUGGGUGUGGAGGGAAAAGGACGAACGAAGGAAAUAGUGGAUUUUGGGGAUUGUUUUUUUAAUCGGAAAAUUAAAUAAAUGAAAUUAAAAAAUGAUUUCGAAAUAUAAAAAUAUUAAAUUUUGAAUAAUGAUAAAUUUUGGUUAUUGUAGAAAAUCAUGAAUUUAUUUAAAUAAAUUGAUUCGAAUUUCUUAUUAAUUUUUAGUUUCAUCGAUAACUUUUGUUAAAAUUUAAAAAAUGUUUCGCAUUAAUUAUGAAUAUAUCUUUUGAAUUUCAAAUGAAUUGAUUUGUUAAUAUUAUUAGUAUAAAUUUAUUAUAGGCUCUUUUUUAAUUAAUUAUCUAUUUAUGAAUUUGAAUCAAAUUAAUUAAAAAUAAAAAUAUUUAUUUAAUAUAUAACGUGUCACAACGUGUCGGAAUUCUCUAUUUUUUAGAAAUGACGUGUCGACGUGUCGUGUCGUGUCGGACACUCGUGUUGUGUCAUGUGUCGGUGCUAUAUAGAGCGUCGUACACAAUUUUUAGCAUUGAUAAUGUACUUACCCCUAAAAAAGAGAUAUGAACACGAAAAUAUAGCAAACUCACCCCUAAACAUUUUAGCUCAAUGAUAAAGAGGUCGCAUGGUCAAUUGGCUGUUAAGGGUUCAUAAAUUCGAGCCAUAUCAAGAAUGAAUUUCGACUAGUUAGAAUCUCGAGCAUUUAUAAUCUCCUUCCAAACUUAUAGCAUGUCAAUAAGAUUUAUAACGACAGAUUCAUACACAUAUUAAUAAACAUAUUAGUUGUGUCUCAAAUUAAAGGCACUGUAAUGAUUAAGGAAUCUUACGGUAAUAUCAAGCAUAAAUAGUCGUAGUGAUUUAUCACAUUUUCUUACUUUUUUAUUUAUUCGCAAAAUUUCGCAACCCAUCACGGUGUGGGCGGCGAGGCCAGGCCGAACCAGCCCCCUGAUCCUCAAGCCACAGGUCCAUCCCGCGCGCUAGCCGGCGGUGGCUGGCUUUAAUUCCCGCAGCAGGAAAUGAAAUUACAUUUCCCCCACACUCUGACUGGCGGGAAAUUUUCGGACCCAGUCGCAUAAAACGAAACCGAAUAAAGGAAAAAAAACAAAAAGCCGGAAUAAAAAAAACCCAGUCAAUGAUUAAAUAUCAUAAUAAAAGCGAAGGGACUAUUUAAUACAAAAUUACGAAAAAGCUGCUGUUGUAGGUUUUUCUGGUUUGCUUGCUAGGCUUUGCGGGGUUCGGUGCCGUUGUAGGUUUCUCAGGUGUUUUGCGCUAGGCAGUGGAUGUGUGCUUCGUGUUUGAAUGCGAGUUUUUACGUAGUUUUAGAACGAGCGUCGGAUUUCGACCGAGGAUGUUGACUUAGACACUCGAGACAAGCCGCUAUGUUGGAAUAUAAUCCAAAAAUAAAACACAAACUGUUUAUUGCAAUCAGAACAUGAAAUUGGAGGUGAGGUACGGAUAUCCGAAUCUCCUUAAGGCAAUUAGUUCCCACCAAUGGUGCUCCGCAGAUUCACGAACUAUGCCUCCCAAGAUACAACACCUCGAACCUGUUUGGAUUAGCACUAUGCAAACAGGACUCAGUCGAACCGUUCAAUUGAACCAGCACACUCAGAAAAAUUCAGAAGAGUAGAAAAGUGUAUCAGAGCCUUUUUGGAAUCGAGUCAGAAAAACCAAAAAACCAUUAUGAAGCUCUUAUGCUCCCAUCUAUUUAUAGAUAUUUUUAGUUCAUGUACAAAAGAGAUACAUGAAUUAAAUAGACGCAUGUAUCCACGAAAUUCAUGAAUCAAGAGAUACAUGAAUUCAAGAGAUACAUGAAUUCAAGAGAUUCGUGAACUCAAUAAAUACAUAAACUAAAAGAUACAUGGAUCUAGAAAAUUCAUGAAUUCAAUAGAUACAUGAACGGAAAAGUUUAAGAAAUUCAUGAAUCCAAAGGAGAUACGUGAAUAGAAAAGACGUAUCUUAAUUUAUUGGCAUUCGUUGAUCCAUUAACCAUAAUUACAACAAUCCCCCACAUUAAUGGAUCAACAAAACAUUUUUGACUCGAAGGAAUCUGAGCAUGCCUGUUGAAAUAAACCGCAUCAAGAUAGGUAGCUUUCGCUUUGAACCUUCUUUAGUGAAAGCUUAUCGGACUUACUUAACUAGUCGAUGGACUAAGCCUUGAAUCGCCAGUUGUUUGUGUAAGCCUAGACAAUAAACCUCACACGGAGUAUUUCCAAUUCAAGAUUGGUUCUCGGUUGUGUUCGUUCUUUCGGCCCUGAACCUCUCGGGAUUCGUGCGUGCUUUAGAAAAUCUAGCCUUUAAAGAUUUUCAUAGAGUCGGCCAGCUCCACGCAUAUAGGUGCAUUCCUAUUAAAGAUAUCCUACCAUAUCUUACUUAGAUGUUACAUCCCAAGUUAUAGGAAUCAUUAAACGCAUAGCGUACCCUUAAUAACGCUGUAGGAAAGCACUGUUGCAUCUUAGGAAUGGGAGACAGUGCUUACACUAAAGUUUCCAAAAUUUGUGUUGUCCUAUUGAACCUAGUCCAUGGGAUCUCCAAUCGCAUAGGUUAGGUUUCCACCCUAGAAUCUCUUUAUUGGGUUAAGGCUUUUAAACCCAUUCCCCUCGAUGCGCAGUUUAUCUGCUCUCUUGACAAACCUUUUGUCAGCGGAUCCGCAAUAUUUUCCUUUGACUUUACAAAGUCUAAAGAAAUUAUUCCAUUUGAGAGCAACUGCCUUACGGUGUUAUGUCUACGACGAAUAUGUCUAGACUUACCGUUAUAAAUCACAUUAUGUGCCCUUGCAAUUGCCGCUUGAUUGUCACAGUGUAUGCAAAUUGCAGGCAUAGGUUUUGGCCACAUUGGAACAUCUUCUAAAAAAUGUCGAAGCCAUUCUGCUUCUUCAGCAGCUUUAUCCAAAGCAACAAACUCUGAUUCCAUUGUAGAGCGUGUUAUUAGAGUUUGUUUAGAGGAUUUCCAUGACACUGCAGCAUCUCCUAGCGUGAACACAUAUCCGCUAGUCGAUUUCGAUUCAUCAGAAUCUGAAAUCCAAUUUGCAUCACAAUAACCUUCCAAAACAGCUGGAUAUUUGCCAUAUUGUAGAACAUAGUCUUUUGUCCUUUUCAAAUAUCCUAAUACUCUCAUCAAAGCAUUCCAAUGCUCAUGACCUGGGUUACUGGUAUAUCUACUCAGUUUGCUUACUGAGUACGCAAUAUCAGGUCUAGUGCAAUUCAUGAUAUACAUGAUGCUGCCGAUUACUUGAGAGUAUUCUAGCUGUCUAACACUAUUUCCAGUGUUCUUUCGUAAAGUUAGGUGUGGAAGAAAAGGAUUGUUUGCUUCUUUAAUACCGAAUCCUUUAAAUCUCUCAAAUACCUUUUCAAUGUAAUGAGAUUGUGUUAAACCUAAGCCAUCAGAAUUCCUUAGAAUUUUGAUGCCGAGUAUAACAUCUGCAACACCUAAAUCUUUCAUCUCAAAGUUCUUCUUGAGAAUGUUCUUGGUGAUUUUGAUGACCUCAAUGUUAUCUCCAAAAAUUAACAAGUCAUCAACAUAUAGACAAAUAAGUACAUAUCCAACUGUAGUGGAUUUAGUGUACACACAUUUGUCACACUCAUUGAUUCUAUACCCAUUUUGAAUCAUUAUCCGGUCAAAUUUCUCAUGCCAUUGCUUAGGAGCUUGUUUAAGUCCAUAUAAUGAUUUGACAAGUCUACACACUUUGUGUUCUUGUCCUUUGAGCUUGAACCCUUCAGGUUGUUCCAUAUAAAUCUCCUCGUCGAGAUCACCAUUUAAGAAUGCAGUUUUCACAUUCAUUUGAUGUAUUUGCAAAUUGUAUAGCGAAGCUAUAGCAAUCAACAUCCUUACUGAUGUUAUUCUUGUGACAGGUGAAUAAGUAUCAAAGUAGUCAAGACCCUCUUUUUGUCUAAACCCUUUGGCUACAAGCCGAGCUUUGUACUUAUCAAUGGAACCAUCAGCUUUUAGUUUUUCCUUGAAAAUCCAUUUACAUCCAAUUGGUUUAUUUCCAGGUGGAAGAUCAACCAAUUCCCAAGUAUGGUUACUUAGGAUAGAAUGGAUUUCAUUGUCAACAGCUUCUUUCCAGAAAGGAGCAUCUGGAGAUGACAUUGCCUCUUUAUAUGUUUGGGGCUCACCUUCUAACAUGUAUGUUAGAAAAUCAGGUCCGAAAGAUUUUUCGAUUCAAGACCUUUUACUCCUUCGAAGUUCGGCUUCUUUGGCCACAACUUCAUCAUUCUCAGAUUCUAAUUCUCUAAGCCUUUUCUGAGAAAGUUCUCCUUGAUUUCUUUUUGCAGGAUAUAUAUCCUCAAAAAAUUCAGCAUCCCUUGAUUCUAGGAUUGUAUUGACAUGAAUUUCCGCAUUUUCAGAUUUAUGAACCAAAAAUCUAUAUGCGCUACUAUUUUGAGCAUAACCGAUGAAUAUGCAAUCCACCGUUUUAGGUCCCAACCGAGUUUGUUUCGGAGGAGGAAUUGCCACCUUGGCCAAGCACCCCCACACUUUUAGAAAAUUGUAGGAUGGCAACUUUCCAUUCCAUAACUCAUAUGGAGUUUUACCUAUCUUUUUGUGGGGUAUUUUAUUAAGAAUAUAAUUUGCAGUUAAAACUGCUUCCCCCCACAAGUUCUGAGGUAAACCUGAACUCAAAAGCAUGGCAUUAGCCAUCUCCUUUAGUGUCCUGUUCAAUCGUUCAGCAACUCCGUUUUGUUGUGGAGUAUAAGGUGCAGUCGUUUGGAGAAUUAUUCCAUGACUAGCACAAAACUCUUUCAAAUUGAUUGAACUGUAUUCUCCUCCUCUAUCAGACCUAAGCACUUUGAUUCGUUUAUCAAGUUGAUUUUCAACUUCAGUUUUAUACUUGAUAAACAUGCUCAUAGUCUCAUCUUUGCUAGUUAGUAAAUAAACAUAGCAAAAUCUAGUACAAUCAUCCACAAAUGUGAUGAAAUACUUCUUUCCACCUCUACUUUCUACAAACUUUAAAUCACAUAGAUCACUAUGGAUUAAUUGUAGAGGUUCACUUGUUCUUUCAAUGGAUUUGAAAGGUUUCUUGGCAAACUUGGCCUCAACACAAGUCUCACACUUGUAACGGGCAUCCAACUUAAAUCUUGGAAUUAAUCCCAAGUUUGUUAUUCUCUUCAUUGUACCAUAGUUUACAUGUCCUAAUCUACCAUGCCAUAGAUAAGGAGACACAACAGUGUAAACUGAAGACUUUUCUUUAUUAAUAGUCUUUGGGUACACAUACUUUGAGUUUACAUCAAUGACAGCCACAUUGGCCUUAAACAGGUCAUUACGUAAGUACCCUUUCCCCACAUACAUCCCUCCUUUUGAAAGUACAAACUUGUCAGAUUCAAAUACAACUUUGAAACCCUUAUUGACAAGUAUAGGGCCAGAAAUUAGAUUUUUCCGAAUAUCUGGUACAUGCAGCACAUUCAGCAGGGCGACCUCCUUGCCAGAUGUAAACUUCAAGAUCACCUUUCCUCUUGCGGCGAUCUUUGCUGAUGCAGAGUUAGCCAUAUAAAGCUUCUCAUCUUCUUCAGCUUUCUCAUAAGAUGAGAACAUGUGUUUAUCUGCACAGAUGUGAUUUGUGGCACCCGUGUCUAGCCAUCAGCCAUUAGUGUUCGACACCAGAGAUGCUUCAGACAUUACCACAGCAGACAGUCUCUCAAUAUUGUCAUACUCUGUCAAAUUCAGUUGCUGGGUUGCACCUUCGUUCUUGCCUUUUUUCAGGCGCUUCUUGCAAUCCUUAGCACGAUGGCCAGGCUUGUUGCAUAUAAAACACGUCCCUUGGAAUUUCUGGAACUGCUCCUUUUGCUUGCCUUUUCCUUGAAAAGACAUCUUCCUUUUUCUAUCUUGCUUGGAUUUGGAAGAUUCCACAACGUUGGCCUUUGGCUCAGAAGAAGGAUUCGCACUCCUUCUAUUGUCUUCCUCGAUCCUGAGGCGCAAAAUGAGAUCUUCAAGGCUCAUCUCCUUCCGUUUGUGCUUCAAAUAAUUUUUGAAGUCUGACCAGCCCGGAGGUAGUUUCUCAAUCAUGGCUGCCACUUGGAAUGAUUCACUAAGUAUCAUUCCCUCAGCCGAGAUGUCACUCAGAAUUAAUUGCAAUUCUCGAACCUGACUCAUGACAGAUUUAAAAUCCACCAUCUUGUAGUCCAAGAAUUUGGCAACCACAAAUUUCUUGGUGCCAGCAUCCUCAGUUUUGUAUUUUUUCUCUAAGGACUCCCAUAACUGUUUAGCAGAUUCAAUAUUACAAUAAACAUUAUAAAGAUAAUUCACUAAACAGUUAAGGAUAUAAUUUCGGCAUAAGAAGUCCCCAUGCUUCCAAGCCUCCAACGCACCGAGCGUCGUGACAUCUUGCUCAUUUGGACUAAUUAUCGGGCACACCUCCGAUAAAUAUUUCGUCAGAUUGAGCAUGGUCAAAUAGAAGUACAUCUUCUGUUGCCACUAUUUAAAGCCCACUCCGGUAAAUUUCUCCGGUUUCUCAUUAGCUGUAACUGGAGGCGUUGCCAUCACUGUAGGCAAGGUUCGUUGAACCAUCCCUCCAGAAACAGAGCCAAAAGCCAUUUGGCCUAUACUGUUCUGAAAAACAGUCCCGGGUAUACCAGUCAUAUGACUUGUACCCGCACCACCAAAAUUGGUGUUGGCCCAAGGGCCCGUAGCAUUGGCUGCUACAAAUUCAGACCUCGAGGGUUGAGCAUCUUCCAUAGCAUCGGUCGAAUCGACCAUAGGAACGUCUCCAGAAACAUUCGGGACAUUGAAGGGCACUUGGUUGUUUCCAACCAUCUCAAUAAUCUGACAAGAACAACAAACAGUGAGUGAAUAAUUGCCUUAAGAUUGUUGGAAUAUAAUCCAAAAAUAAAACACAAACUGUUUAUUGCAAUCAGAACAUGAAAUUGGAGGUGAGGUACGGAUAUCCGAAUCUCCUUAAGGCAAUUAGUUCCCGCCAAUGGUGCUCCGCAGAUUCACGAACUAUACCUCCCAAGAUACAACACGUUGUUCUAGCGGUCUCUCGUGAUUCUUUUACUGCGUUCGUUUCUGCAGAUUGGCGCUUGUUGUAUUGAUCCUCCGCUUUACUAGUGUAUUGCGCAGAAUGAAGGCUAAUAAUAGACAAGUAUAUACAUAUAGAUACAUGUUCUGCGAGGUUCAACUGGCACAAGAGUAAAAGCAUUUUCAAGGUGAACUUGUUUCUUGCUCUUCGUUCGGGGUUUACUAUUUUCUGGCGUACUCUUGGUUGGAUGAAGAAGAGCGGAAGUUGAGAGUGUCUCUCGCUCGUAGUGUAGGCAUGGUGUUCAACUUUCAUAUUGUGCGUGCCAAAAAUUAUGCCUUUGGUCGGUUGGUUUUUUGCAUCUCCAAGGCUAGAGUACUUGAGCAGGGCUGCAACUUUUCACGUUUCUAAUAUUUGAAGCUGAUUACUCGGGUUUACCCAUUUUAUUUCAACAUUUCCUUGUGAAGUUGUGAUUGAAAGCUUCAUCAACCACCUCUCACGAUAUGCAAGGUGGGAAACGAUGGCCAACAGAGCUUUUUGAUCUUGCUCCGCUUCUGUCUUUACAUAUACACAUGACUUCCCAAGUUGGCAAGUGCUUCCUUACGUCUGAAAUGUUGUUAGAUACUAGUAAGUAUCAGAAGUGUUGCCGCUACUUAUUUAUUUUUACAUUCUUUGAACCCAUUCAUUGCACAGGAAGAUAAUGGUGAAACAGAAGUUAGCAAGAUGAAAAGGCCAGGAUUUGUGAAAUGCAAAAGUUGAAGAAGCAGAAGAUUCAGGAAAUAUCGGAUCAGCAAAAUGCUGCUAUGGACACUGAUAUGGUGCCUUUCCAUUCUAAAAAUGACUAUUUCUUGCAUUAUUUCGAGUUCAUGUAUUGAUUAUGCCAGUAACAUUUUCUUGUUUUUGAAAUAAUUUUUCAAGAAUGAUAAGGGAAAAGGGCGGUUGAAGUAUCCUCUGCAGCAAACUGAGAUUUUUGCUCAUUUUGCCAGAGGAAACCAGUCUGCUUCACAGAAAAUCAAAGGAAGGUACCUUUACAUUGUGCAUUGCAGAUAUGAUCUCGGGUACAUAUGUUCCUUUUGACAACCUGCUGAACAAUGUCUACAUAGGUCCUAACUUUCCUCAUACUUCAUAGUUGCUUAAUUGGGACUGAAAGCUUUGUUUGAUCCUUGAAGGGCCGUUUGCUAUAUAUUAAUAAUUGCCUAAUGCUGGAAUUCUUUAGAGGAAAGGUGCCUAUGGUCCAGUGGUCUAACCCUUGCCGGACUUCCAGUUACAUUUGGUGUUAAGGUUCCAUAUUUAAAGGGAAUUGGGAUUUGGUAACAUUUAUGCAAACUAACAAUGUUCAAUUGUAACCUUAUAUUGAUUGUUCUCUCCCAGUGGACAAAUAAACAUCUGCUCAUGCUUAAAAGUGAAGAAAACAUGUUUGUGAAGUUCAAGUCAUCAUUUCCCAGACCAUUUCUGUGUACAGCAUUCAUGUUUGUUCAGUGACAUUUUGUCUCUGCUUAACGUGUAGGGGUUGUCAUGAAUCUAAAAUAACUGAAGAGGAAGAGGAUGAAUAAUGUCUUAAGGAGGAAGAAGAUGGCUUGUCUGGUACGGGAAACCCACGGCUG